UAGGAUAAAGUCCGAAUGAAACGCUGACGAGGGGGGAAAAACAACAGUGGCAAUGCACUAUCCACAGAUCCAUGAUUGAUUUAUGUUAGCAAUAAUGAAUUAUUUUGACUUUGAUAACCUUGGUUAAGAGAAUUUGGUCUUGUUAUUAUCAUUUUUUCAAAAAAAAAAAGUGUAGGUAACUAGGUAGUUGAUUUAUUAGAAUUUAGAAAUGAGGAUCCCCUCCUCCUGCAAGAGCCGUGACAGACAUGCCUGCUUUCUUGCCAGAUUAUACCAAUGUGCCCAAAUAAUCCCCCAUCUAUCAUCUCUGCACCCUGGAACACGUCACUCCCUCCUUUGAGCAAUAAAAUAUCUCUUUUAUUUUCUUUUGAACCACUCUUCUAUUUCUUUGUACCAGACUGGACCCAUUUAAAUUCUUCGCUACGCUGUUCCCAAGGACUACGAGAAUCAAAAUAGCAAAAUUCUUGAAUCAUUUUAAUGGGUUCAGAAACCACAUGUUUCUCUAGAUCAUAAGAGGAAAAUCUUUUUGGAUGGUGUUUGUGUUGUGUUGUGUUCAAUAUUAAAUACUCAAUUAAAUAAGCUAAAUCAAAUAUCACAUGAAAAAUAAUCAAAUUAAAAAUAGGGAGAAUUAUGUUUUGAGGGUAGAUGGACCCCAAAUUAACAAAAGGUUCAUGUAACUCUUCAAAUUGAGCCCAGACCCAAUGAAAAUAUGGAAAUUGAGUUGAAGUAUAUCAUCAUUCAGUAUUUCCAAAAAUGUCCUUUGUUGAUUUUGAGAAAAAAAUUAAUAUUUUUGAAAAAUAUUUUUAUGUAAUUUAAUAUUUUUUUAAAUACUUUUAUUUAAUUUAAUAUUUUUAAAAAAUAAAUUUAUUUAAUUUAAUAUUUUAAAAAAUAUUUAAUUUAAUAUAUUUUUUAAAUACUUUAAUUUAAUUUAAUAUUUUUGAAAAAAAUUUUAAUUUAAUAUUUUUGAAAAAAAAAUUAUUUAAUUUAAUAUUUUUUAAAACUAUUUUUAUUUAAUUUAGUAUUUUUGAAAAAAAAUUAUUUAACUUAAUUUUAUAAAAUAUUUUAUAUGUGUUCUUAAAGGGUAUAUUUGUCCGUUACUAUUUCAUAUCCUUCAACUCAAUUUAAAGAGUUAUAUGGACCUUUUGUUAAUUUGGGGACCCAUCUACCCUCAAAAGAUAAUUCUCCCUUAAAAAUAUAAAUUUAAAUAUGACAUAAUUAUUAAAUAUGUUAGAUCUUGUAUGAGUUUAUAAGAUUUAUGUUUCAAAAUAACAUGUUUAUAAUUCAUCUAUUGAUUUAUAAUCAAAUUUUAAAUAAAUUAAAGUUAUUCAAGUUAAUAAAUAUGAUUUAUGUUAUAAAGACUAACUAAAAAAUAAUUUAUUAAUUAAACGGAUCCUGGUCAAUAAAAAUUUGAUUUAAAUACGAUCAUACUUAAUCAAAACUUAGGUCAAAUUGUAUUGAUAAAUUACAUCAAAACCUUGUUGUGUUCAAUAUUUUAUAUUAAACUAUUUUUUAAUAAAAUUAUUUUUAUAAAUAUAAUAUUACAUCAUUUGGAGAAACAAAAUAGUAUUAUAUUGAUUUUACAUAUAAAGCAACCAGUUAACCCCUCAUUAUUUUGAUCCAUUUCACAUCCAUAUCAUUCUCAUAAUUUUUUUAUAAUAUAUUAACAUGAUGGACGGUAAUUGAGGGUAGAAAAAAAAGAUGAGAAGAAUAAAAUAAUGUGAAUCCUCUCUAAAUGUUACAUCUUCUGACAAAUGAAGUCUAUAGAAAUGUGUAAAAAAAAAAAAAACACUUAAUUGUGAGGUUCACUUGAUUUAGCAAAAAAUUAAUAUUUUAUUUGUUGUGUGAUUUAAAAAUAAUAUUUUAUUUUUAAAAAUAAAAAAUUAUUUUUAAAGUUUUUUAACACUAUUUUACUAUUGUUCUUUGAAAUAAUUUUUAAAAUUAAAAUGAAAUAACUAAUAAUUUUUAGAUAAUAAAUUAAAGUUGUUUUUAUUAGAUUUUAAAAAUAAAAGAAAAAUAUAAAACCAUUUGAUCAAAUUUUUUUAAACUUAUUUUUAAAAGGUUUUUUUUUUUUUUUUUUUUUUUCUAUCCUAAGUUAAAAGAUAAAAAAUAAUUUUUAAAGAUAGGUUACGAGCAAAUGCCACAAACUUUUUUCUUCUCUUUCCCUUGUUCGGAUAGAAGUGAAAAAUAUCCUCCCAUGGAUCGACAUUACGUGAGCCAUCACCAUUCCCCAACUGCAAUUCAACCGCCAAAGCUGAGGUGUCAUUAUUAGUUUGAACAAAAGUCAGCAUUGUCCACGUGGUGACAAGCGGAACUGACCCAACUUGCAAGGCAAAAAAAUAAAUAAAAUAAAAUGAAAAAAUCAGAUCACCAUUAUGACGUCAGUCCAAUUGCUGACCUGGCCGCCGUCCCCCAUUUGACCCACGUGUUCAUUUAACCCAUUCGCCGUAUGCCGUGGCUCCCCACCCAUAUGGCCAUAUCUGCCAUUUAUUUUAUCCGUUGCCUCCAUUCGGUUUUUGGAUUUUACCCAUUCGCCCUCGUCUAUUCCCAUUUCCGUAUUUGCCCACCAAGGAAAUUCAAUUCCCAUGCUUUUGUUUUACAUUCAAAUCCUCCCCCCUCUAUAUAAAGGAGGGAGUAGGGCUUGAAAGUUUCUCAAGCCAACAUGGACUGUUGAGAGUGAAAGACAGAGGAGCCACAAACAAAUAUCACUCACUCAAACCAAAGCCAAAACCAAUACCGAAUUCAAUUCAAAUGACUUCUUUCUCUCUCAUCAAUUCCCUGAAUUCCGAUUCCGAUUUCAAUUUGUUAUCGGAUUCUUUUUCCUGGGAAAACUCCCUACCUUUCAAUGAAAACGACUCCCAGGAGAUGCUCCUCCUGGGCAUGCUGGCCAGCUCCACUCAGGAAACCUCAGAAACAGUUUCUUUGAAUCGAGUGAAGGAGGAAGAAGUGACUUCCCAGGAAAAUCCCGAGAAGGAGAAGUCAUACAGAGGCGUUAGGAGGCGGCCAUGGGGGAAAUUCGCAGCAGAAAUAAGGGACUCGACCAGGCAUGGCAUAAGGGUGUGGCUGGGAACAUUUGACAGUGCAGAGGCAGCUGCUCUGGCCUAUGAUCAAGCUGCUUUUGCGAUGCGGGGCCCUGCGGCAGUCCUCAAUUUCCCGGUGGAAAGAGUGAAGGAAUCGAUGCAGGAGAUCAAGUGCAUCUUGGAGGAGGGGGGCUCACCAGUGGUGGCCCUCAAGAAGAGGCACUCUAUGCGGAGAAAAAGUCCUUGCAAGAAACAUAAAAGUGAAGAGGUGAGGUUAGAAAAUGUGGUAGUGCUGGAGGAUUUGGGUACUGAAUACUUGGAACAGCUCCUCACUUUCUCUGAGACCUCUAGUCCUUGAUCAUCAUCAUCCAUCACCUGGAUAGCUUCUUCUCUUUGCUCUGUUUCUUACUUUUCUCUCUCUCUCUCUCUCUCUCUCUCUUUUUUUUUUAUGUAAUUUUUCUUAAUGUAUUUUUGGAGAUGGCGGGGGUGUAGUGGUGGCAAUUAUCCAUCUAGAAUUUUUCAAAAGAUAUGUUCUUUUGUUUCUUUGUAUAAAGUUGAAAAGUGGGGAUCAAUUGUGAUGGUGCUCUAUGUUCAUCCACCCAAUUUAUAUAAUCAAGGUGAUUAAUGUUUUUUGAUAUCAACAAUUUGUGAAUGACAUAGAGAGAGAGAGAGAGAGAGACCUUAUUUUCUACACUCAUUACGGUGGUUUCCAUUUGGGGAAGGAAAAGGAAAUGGCUAAGAAUGUUACCAAAAGAAGUGGGGUGGCUUUCAUAUGCGUGGUGGCAUACUUGCAUACAAACUUUUCAAUUGUGUUCUGCAUGCCACUCGGGUCAAUUUCAUUUCUUUUACUCCUAGUAGCCUAAUUGGAUUUCCUUUUUCUCAUGAGACAUCAAAUAAAUUUCAUUUUUUUAUAUUUAAAUAGUUAGGUAAGUUUGAUAGUGAGUUAUAUUUUAUACAUUAAUUCAUCUUUUAGAAUGUUGUCUACAAUAUAAACAGUGUAAUUAAUUUCAUCAUUACAGAACAGUCAUCUUAUAAAAUAACAUAAAAAUUAUUGGAUCACUUGUAUGGCACCACUGAUUUGGACUUGGUAUGGCUCUGUUUGGCUUCAUAGAAAAAAUUUGGACCCAAUUUGAAUGUCUUGCAUAAAAAGAGAUACGUCCCACUUUGAAUGAUAUUGAAGAAAAAAAUUUCUGAUGAAGAAUAUAUUGUUGGCAGGGUCAUGCAGGCCAAUAGGGAAACGAUAAAUUCAGAAGAAUGAGUCCAAACCAGUGGGCUUGAAAAUUAAGAAGAGAAUUGCUGUAUAAAACAAUCAUUUCUUAAUCGAGUUCACUUUCUGAAUAAUCGUCACUUUGAGAAUGCAUACUUAGGAAGAUGAUGAUCCUUAAUGGGAAUAAUCAAAGGCAUCAAAAAAUUGUUCUGGAACAAUUCUUGAUUGUCUCCAGUAAAAUUCAAAGUCAAAAGUCAAAAGUCCAGUCGGUCAACACCAAACCAGGCCAGUCCAAAAGACAUUAAUUUGCAAUCUAGAAUCUAUGAUGAGGUGGCGAAAUCAAACCUUGGCUUUUCACCAGGGAAUGGUACUCUGAAUUUGGUCAGUUCACUGUUUCGAGUGAAUAGGGUGUAGUAAUUAGUAAAUCAUAUUUUAGAUUUGUGUCACAAGUUACAAGGGAUAUGGGCUGACGUUCAAUUUUGGCGACAAUUUGUGGGCCCGUAUAUUUGUUGAGAUGUGGAAAUUGGGUGUGUGCUUUUUUCUGCUACCACAUAAAUAUAUUUCUUUGAAUUGAAGAGUGUUUCAGACCAUUUUUUUUCAAGUCACAAAUGGACAACUGAUUGAGAUUGUAUUGGUGAGAGUAGGAGUUUAUUUUGGGCUGGUUGAGCGAAGUUGAAAGUCGAGUUGGACCUAACCCUUGAAUUCAGCAGACUACAGUCCGAUCCUGUAUUUUGGAUUUAGGGAACCUUCUUUCCCAGAAGCUUCGUCUGGGUUUUAAAGUCUAAAUGUGGCUACUCUUAAACAUUGGAGAAAGGAUGAGCGUUCACAAGCAAAUGGGUAAUUGUGGAUGGUUCAAGGACCUGGCCAGCUGGUCUUCAAGUUUGGAUGCCGGUUUGGGCCUGAGAGAGUCUUUGCAAAGUGACUUCACUUCAGCCUAUGAGAUCAAGAUAUCAUGGUGAUGUCCGAUCACUUAGGUUUCAUUUUCACCUCGGAUUACCGUUACCAUGUUCAUGAAUAAAAAUAAAUAAAUAAAUGAAGCCUUAUAGAGAAAUUAAUGAAGUGAGCUAUACAAGCAACUGGGCCAGGAGCCUACAAGGCAGAAAUUCCCUGCCCUAGACUAGGCCGAAUAAAUUAGAUGAAUGAAUUGGGGAAACCUGGGCCAGCCACACAUCCUCCUGAAGGCUGAUGUCGAACUCGCUUACGAGGAAUGGACAUGGGAGAUUGGGCUGGGACCAAAUAACCAAUUGACAGCCCUAUCCUUGUGGCAAGACGUCAGUAAAAUGGUUCAUUCUGAUUUUACGCUGCCAUUCAAUUUAAUUUUAAUUUUUGUUUAAAGCGAUGUACAAAUUGAAUGGUGUCUAGUCACUUAAAGAGUGGUUCAUAAUACACUUAAUUUAAACAAAAAAGAAAUUAUUAGAUAGGGGAUUCUCCAAUAAAAACCACCCCAUCUUGUCAGCAAGUCCGGAAACUUCCUUCACUUAGGGCGUAUUUGUUUUUUUAACUUUAAUAUUAAAGAAAGUUGGUUAAACCUUAUGACACUUUUAUAUUAUUUUAUGAAUUUUUUUUAAUUUUUAUUUUAAUGGAAUUUUAACUUUAAUACAAGUUGGAGUAAUUCUUAUCUUAAAAACAAAUCAAAAUUACUUUAAUUUUAUAUAGAAAUAAACUUACAGUAAAUUUACCAUGAAAAUUUCUAAGUCAAAUACACCAUAAGUGCUAGUAUUUUAUAAUAUUUAGAAACAUGUUAAAUUAUUAUUAUUAUUUUUUAAAAUUAUUAGUUUUCAUAUUAGUUUUAGGGAAACUUGUGCUUUAGGUCUUUUAUUUGCAAAUAAUAUGGUUUUCAAAUCCUAAGAAUAGAAAAUAUGAGAAUCAACUGUUAAUGUGGAAAAUAAUAUCAAUUUUGUGCAAUCUCUAUUGACUCAUUUUUUUGUGCCUAGAUUGCCUUCACCCACUUCCAUGUCAACAACCACAUUAAUAGAUUGUUUUUUUUUUAUAAAACAAAUAAUUAUUAUGUUUAAAAUUUUGGGGAAACUCUCUAUCUCUCUUACUUCUUCACUACAUCCGAGACCCAUCUUCCUUAAACGUUUGCCUCUCAUUUUGCCCUAACCCCAAAUCUCAUAAAUUUCUCAUUUUCUUGCCUCAUUUGAAAUAUGAAGAUGACCGAUUCUCAAACAUCUCUGUCUCUCUCUUCACGUUUUGACCAGUCUAAUUGGAAACCCAUUUUCCAAAAACCUUCUUUCUUUCAUUUUGCCCUAACCCCACUAUCUCCCUCUUCAAGACCUAAUCACCCAAACUCGAUAUCUAUCUUCCCAAAACCUUCAAGCAAACUGAACUAGACCCAUAUCUUCUUUUUUCAUCAUCAAAGGUGAAAUUUUUUUAAGGCUUUUGGAAACCGAAUUGGAGCUUUCCCUUCUUCUGGGAUUAAUCAUUCGCAAGUGAGUUUUCCAUUUAAGGCUUUGUUUGGCUGUUGAAAUCUUGGGAUCAAAGGUCUUUUAUUUUCAGGUUUCUUGUAUUUUGCUUUAUUUUCUUGUAUAUAACAAUAAUCAUUGUAACAUAUGCUAGUAGUUACCCUUGGUGCAACUUUACAUUUCCAAAUACCCUAAAGUCCAAAGCUUUUAAUUCCCUUUUCAAAGCUUUCAACUUUGAAAGCAGACUAAACCAUAAGAACUAUGAAACUUAUAUCUCUAUCACCACUAAUUAAGCAUGUCUAUGAAUCCUUCCACUUUAAGUCACUUAUUCUCAAACCAAGAAGGGCUCCUCUCAUUCUCACCCCACCUCAUCUAAAUGAGGGAAAUGAUCAAUUGCAGCCAUGCUUUGCACCAAAUUAGAGAAGUGAUCCUCCCAAUCAUCCAUUACCAAAAAUUGAUCAUGCUGAUGAGAUCAUAAGAGUCUAUUCGGAACUCCCAGUUUACUUGCCUCUUAUCUCAGGAUCCUCCAUUACCCCCUGUCUUUCCAACAUCAAAUCAACUUGCAAACAAUUCCUUUGUAGAUAAAAUGUUUUUAAUAUUGCAAAAGGGGACUUAUCAUAAUGGUUGAAUCGAUUUAUUUGAUAUAAUCACUCAAAUUCAAGCUUAAAAUUGAUCAUAAUAAAAUGUUUUUAAUAUUGUUAAAAGGAGAUUAUAAUGGUUUUAUUUGAUAUCAUUACUAAAAUUCAAGCUUUCAAACAUGCUCUACAAAGAAGUUCUAAAAGACUACAAGAAAGAGUUUCCACUAAAGAAAAACAAUGAAACCAUUUCUACUAAAGACAAACAAUGAAACCACAGAUGCUUUGUGAAAUAUGUACCCGCACAAUCCAACAAACUUUAGAAAUUCACAAACACUACCUAGAAUUUUUGCUGACCAGCAAAAAAUUUAUGCAAUUUAAUUCUUAUUGUUAUUAUUAUUUUCAAUGUGAACAAAUAUGAUUGAAUUAUGAAGUAUUUGGCCAGAAGAGGAUCUUGCCUAAUUAUAGUCAUUAAACAACCAUUUAUACCAUAGCCUCUAGACUUUAAAAAGUUUAUAAAACUCAAGGGCUUCCACCCAAUUUCUAGAUAUCUCCAUAACAUUCUUCUGACUAUUAGAAAGCAAUUACCACUUUAAUUUUUCAUUUCAUGAGUGUUCAAUUCAGAAAAAGACCAGGAUCGAACUUGCGAUCAUGCAGUCGAAAAUCCACCUGUGCAUGAAACUAUUGCCUCACGAUUGCAAACUCAAGUUGGAGUCCAGUAACAACUCUAGGUUUGCUGAUGUGCUCCAUUUGAAAUAAAGGAACUAAAGAAUACUUUAUAAAGAUUAAUUACCUUCAUAUUUUAGGUUGGGGUUAAGGCAAAAUGUGAUAGAUUGAGAGGAAGAAAAUAUAUCUUGUUCAGGAAGCCAAUAUUUUGGAGUUCACCUUUCCAUUCGAGUCCACUCUGCUAUAGCAAAAUCAGAGUCACAACUAUGCCUCUUUAAGCUAUCCUUUAAUUGGAUGAAUUGCAGAUUUGGUUGCUGAGAAAGUGGAUAAGAAAGAAAAAUGCAUACUGUAGCUUGAGAUUAAGAGUUUGUUUUCUAAAAUGAGAGAAAGGGAAAGAGAAAAAAUGCAUAUUGUAGCUUGAGAUUAAGGGUUUGUUUUCUAAAAUGAGAGAAAGGGGAAGAGAAAUGUUCGACAACUUUGAGAUGACAAAUUUUUAGAUUUGGAAAAUUUGAGAUGAGUCUCAGGUUUUUUUUUUUUUUUUUUUGUCUUUGUCUUUGUUUUUUUUUUUUUUUUUUGUUUUUUUCCCAAAAACAACCUGUUAAUGUGGUUGUUGACAUAGAAGUGGGUGAGGGCAAAAUGGGCAUAGAAAAAAGAGUCAACACAAAGUGCACAAAACCCAUAUUAUUUUCCACAUUAAUGACUGAUUCUCAUAUUUCUUGUUCUUGGGAUUUGAAAACCAUAUUAUUUGCAAAUGGACCUCCCAAAGCACAGGUUUCCCUUAGUUUUAUGUCUCCAUCUACAUUUUACAUAUAAAUAGAUUAUUUUAUAAAAUUUGUUUUGUAGAUAUAUUAGUUAAUAAUUAUAUAAUUAAUGAUAUAGAAAACAUAUAAAAAUCAUAUUUAAAAAAGAUAAUUACAUAUUCCUCAACAAUCCAUCCCAAGAAUUCGAGGUUGAGUUGAAAACAUGUAGAGUCUUUGAUGUUAUUAUAAUCAUAUCCAACACAUAUGAUUAUUGUUUAUGAGAUAUUAUUAGAAAGUUUGUCUUAAAAUAAUUGAUUUAUUACCCACCUUUAGCAAAUGCCCAUUUUUGCGUCUUUCAAAAUUUUCAUUUUUUUUUUGUUUAAAAGAAGUAUUGUAAAGAAUGAUGAAAUAAGAAAUUUGUUGAGAAAGUGUGAGUAAAUAAUUUUACAUAAAAAGAGAUUUAAUACUUGAUAAAUAAAAUAAUAAAAUCAUGAUUUCUAGUUGUAUAGGGCCGGGUGGAUGGAGUGGCUAAGAUGUAAUUCUUGAAAUAGAGGAGACAACAUCAAUGUAUAAAAGUUUAACAGAGAAGGAAAGUGUGUUUGAAUGACUUUAUUUUCUUCAUUUAAAGUUUUGACGAUGAGUGUUUAUACAAGAUAAAUUUUCAAAUGAUAGGACUCCUAUUUACAUGGAGUUUGUGAUAUACUAUGAUUAUACAAAUUUAAAAUUCAAACAGAUUCAUGAGUUGAUAGGAGUCUGCUCAAUACGCCCCUUCAAAAUGGUGGGAGAUAGCACACCAAUCUUGACUCGAAGGGCCUAAACUCGUGCAGAAGAUGAGGGCUUUGUUAGAGCAUCGACAAGUUGAUCCGUGGUUGACAUAUGGGACACCUUGAGCUCACCUGAUUAAACCUUGUUUCAAACAAAAUGAAAAUCAAUCGCCGAUGUGUUUCAUGGAGAGUGAAACAUGGGAUUUGCACAAAGAUAUGUUGCACCCACGUUAUCACAAGAGAUAGGAGGUGGUGAUAAAUUUGAAACACUAAGUUUUGAGAGAAGAGAAUUAACCCAAAGAACCUUUGAGGCUGUAGAGGCCACGACGUGAUAUUUCGCUUCAGUGGAAGAGCGUGCUAUGAACUUUUGUUUCCUCGAUGACCAAUACACAAGAUUGUGACCAAGAAAAACAAUGGGAGCAUUGGUGGAGGAUCUGACAUAAGGAUUCCUUGCCCAUUCAACAUUCGAAUAUGCAUGUAGAUUGAUGGGCGAUUUCUUAUGCAAGAACAGACCAUGCACCAUUGUGCCGACUAAGUAUCUAAGCAAUCUUUUAACACAAGACCAAUGUGUUGAUGUUGGAUGGUGCAUAAAUUGAGAUAAUUUAUUCAUCAAGAAGGUGAUGUCAGGGCUAGUAAGAGAGAAGUAUUGAAGGCUUCCAACAAUUGACAUAUAUUUAGUGGGACCAGGAAAAGAGGUGUCAUCACACAGAUUUGGAACAUUGUUGAGGAACAUCAAUGAUUGAACUGGUUUGGUAGCCACCAUUUGUGUUUUCUUAAGAAGCUCUCGAAUGUACUUGAGAUAAAAAUAAUCCUUUGGAAGUAUGUAUCAUUUCAACACCAAGAAUAAAAGAUGAAGUCCUGAGAUCCUUAAUGGAGAAUUUGACUGCUAAUUGAGAGAUCACGCGAGCACGAAAAACAUUAUUGUUACUUGUUAAAAUAAGAUCAUCAAUAUAAAUAAGUAGGUAAACAAUGAGACCACUCUUUUUAAAAAUGAAGAGGGAUGUCUCGGUUUAGGAGUUGACGAAGGCUAUUGAGAGGAGAAAUUGGCAAAGUUCAUGAUACCAUGAUCGUGGAGCUUGUUUAAAGCCAUAAAAAGCCUUACAAAGUUGGCAAAUGUGAUGAUGUGUGUAUUCGUGAACCCAGGAGGUUGAAUCAUGUAAACAUCUUCAUGAAGUGUCCUAUGCUAGAAUGCAUUAUUAAUGUCCAAUUCAUGAGUUGAUAGGAGUCUGCUCAAUACAAUGUGGGAGUGUGAUUUCAAAAUUAGGGUAAUUUCGAAAUGGAUUUUGUAUUCACAAGUUGAAUUUCAAAAUUAUUUUGAAAUGGUCUUUUAACUUUAAGCAGUUGUGUUCAAAAGGUCAUAACUUCUUCGUUUCAAUUUUGAUUUACACAUUGUUUAAAACAUUGGACUCUUUACUUCCCGAGCUUCAAAACGAUAUAUAGUAUGCUCAAAAAUGACAUCAGGAUUGGUUCAAAUUUCAUCUUGAUAUUAGAGUACAUGUUGUGAUUAGAUUUUGAGUUCCAAAUUUCCAUGUAAACUUGAUUGCAUUUGCUUCAAACCUCCUUCAUUAUGGUUGCUUGCCCUCUAUCUCACUUUGCAACAUUUGUUACUAGUAUUUUAUGUCCAUGACUUACUCAUUUCAACCUUUCUUGGAUUCUUCAUGGUUCACAAAUUAUGGAUUCUUCAUGGUUCACAAAUUGAGUCUUUCAAUUAUGCAUGUUUAACUCCUAUUUCCUUGGUUGAUAAUGACUUUUACACUUAUCAUUUUCUUUUAUUCUUUAAACCUGAAUUUAGACUUACAAAAAAAAGUUAGAUCCAUAACUAGGGUCUUAGCAUCAAUUUGAGUUAAGUUGGAUGAUUUGAAAAUUUUAUAUUACAUAAAUCAUAUCAUACAUGUGCCAUUGGAGUGCACAUUUUGGCUCUAAUCAUGUUCCAACCCAUUGUUUUACUCUUGCAUGAAGUAUGUGGCCAUUGAUUUUAAUUUUAUUUGCGAUUAGGUUCAAAAUGGUGCUUUUGUGUUGCUCAUGUGUCAUCAGAAGAUCAACUAAUGGAUUCUCUAACAAAACUACUACAUCAUAGUCAUUUUUUUUUUUCUUAAGACCAAGAUUGAGAUCUCCAAUCGGAGCCAACUCCAUCUUGGGGGCAUGUUAGUGAAAGAUAAAAUUUAUCUUUAAUUUAAAUAUUAAUAUUUAUCAGUUAUUAGUUUUAAUUAGAGUAAAAGAUAGAGUUUAAAUUGGAGUAGGAGAUAAACUUGUGUUUGAACUAGAAUAGAAGAUAAAGUAUAAAGAUUUAUGUUUGAAUUAGAAUAAAAUAUAAAGUUUGAAUUAGAGUAGAAGAUAAACUUGUUCUUUAUUUGUAUAUAAAUAUUCAUCAAUUCUUGAGAAGAAGAUUAUUUCAUAGUUUUUCUAUCUUCUUUUUUCUUCAUACAUAUCUGCAAGAAAUUGAAGAUUUCAAGUAAAAUAUUUUCUGUUUUAAAUAGUGAAAAAAGCUAGAAAUUCACUUUGUUAUCUCUUGGGGUAAAUUGACAAGGUUUAACGUUAAGAAGGUGAAUUAUUUUUUCAGAAAAACUGAAGUAGCUAGGAUAUCUGGCCAGUUGUGAUCGAUAAAAAAGUUGUAAAAUCUCUCAUAUACUAAACAGGUUUUGGAUGUUGGUAUGGUAAAUCCAUCUGCAGUCAUUCGUCAUCUCAUCUAGUGAGAUGUUUGGGAGGUGGUGACCGCCGGAUUGGGUUUCAUUUGGUUAAAUCUGUCAGUGGGUUGGCUACUACCCGAGCCUCUUGCUUUGGGGGAGGUGGGUUCUAGAUAUAAUGUUCAAACCAUUUUAGUUAUCAUAUGCAUGACAUGUAAGCAUAAUCUCUUUAUCACUUCUUCAAUGGGAGUUCAUGGUUAGGAAUUGACUUCUUUUCUUCUGGGAUGCUUGGCAUGUAAUGGACAAAGUUACUUUUAUAUCGAUCGAAUUUCUAGUAUUAUAGUGAAGACUUACCCUUUUGACAUUUUAUAUCGAAUUAUAGAAGAUGAAAGGGACAUACAUGCAAUCGACUGACGCUUUAGUGAAUAUGCUGAAAAUAUGCUGAUGCUGUGGAGAUCGUAUGAGGACAGAGGAAAAAGAUAGAAAUGGAUAUAUAAUUAGACCUAGGUUUUUAUUAAAUGAGAUGGGGAACAUAGAGUGAGGGAAAAUCAAAAUUUUUGGCUGCAGUUCACAUUGGUGAUAUUUUGGAUUGACAAAGACUAACGACUUUUCUAUUUUUCUUUUCGGCCUGACUGGAUAGUUGGACAUGGACAAUACAGAAUCCACAGAAGGAUUGUUGGGACCGCUGAAAAUUAGCUAGAAGAAGCUGAGGAAGUAGUCUACGUAGUCAAAUACCAAACACAAAGAAAGAAAGAAAUGGAUAUCAUGGAUGCCUAGAGUUAUACUCCUAAUACCGUCACAGGUAUUUUUCUUUCCUCCUUUUUUUUUCUACGAUAAUUAGAGCAUUUCUCCUCCUCCUCCUCCUCCUCCCCCCACCCCACCACCAAAAAAUAAAAAAAUAAAUUAUUGCAAGUAACACUUCAAAUAUUAAUUUAUACAUUCUAAAGUAUAUAUUCAUGAAAUAACUUGAGUAUCAUACAUUAGUUCUCAAAAAAAAAAAAAAAAAAAAAAAAAAAUUACUGGAAGAGAAAAGUUUAAGAAAACAUAAAAAUAUUCAACUACUAUUUUAAAGAGAAAAUUUAAUUUUUACACUAUAAAUUUGAAGAGAACUUUUACAUGCAUCUUAUAUAAACUACCAUUUUUUGCUAAAAGGCUUAAAUUUGUCAAAAAUACCCCUUAGGUGCUUAACGUUCUGGUCAUAAUAUAAUUGGCAUCUUUUCUCAAACAUAAGGCCUGUGUGUGGGAACAAGAUUUAAUGUUAAUGAGCUUCGCCACCGACAUUUAGUUCCAGAAAUCAUUAUUUUAAUAGAGUGGGCUCAAUUUACAACUUUAAUUAAACUCUAACCAACUGCAUUGUGAAAUGAAUAUGUUUCUUUCGUGGUGAAUCCAAUGAGUUGGGAGUCAAACUUUGCUUCAUUGUGUAUAGAUGAAAUGUUAAGACUCCAUGUAACCUCAAACAUUUCCGCAAUNNNNNNNNNNNNNNNNNNNNNNNNNNNNNNNNNNNNNNNNNNNNNNNNNNNNNNNNNNNNNNNNNNNNNNNNNNNNNNNNNNNNNNNNNNNNNNNNNNNNUUCUUUCGUGGUGAAUCCAAUGAGUUGGAGUCAAACUUGCUUCAUUGUGUAUAGAUGAAAUGUUAAGACUCCAUGUAACUCAAACAUUUCCGCAAUGAGCGGGAGUUCUAAAUUUAAUAAUUGAAAUUGUCAGUGGAACCAGUGGACAAGAGUUGGUUUGUGGUUGACAAACUUAUCCGUUUGAUCUUUACUUGAACAGUUCCAGUGUGUGGAUGGGUACUGAUGAAGUGUGCGCAUUUAUUUUGAGAAGCCUGCUUGUUCGCAUAGAUUUUAACGACAUGAACAUUGUGGUAAGGUUAGAGAGUAAUGCGAAUGUAGGAGCUUAUAUUAGAAAUGACACAAACACGUAAAUAGAAGUAAUCUAUAUAUGAUAUUACUCAUGGACUACAAGCAAAGAAGUACAAUACAUGGAGUAAGUGAUGAAAUGAGCAUUCCUCACUACUACUGCUUGACUGAUGGAACAUGAUGCACGAGAUAGCAUAAGUAGUAGUAGGAAGCAGCUCUUAUUUGUGGCGUCGGUAUACAUCAUACUAGGUAGAUGGUUCAAUUGGCAUGGAUGGGUGGUGGAGCCUUGAAGUGCUUGUGAUGGGGAGCCCACGGCUUCUUCUCAGGAGUUGGUGGCUUCUUGUAUGGAGUUGAUGGAGGUGUUUCUACUGGAGGGUGGCCAGGGUAGUGACCCUGGGGUGGUGAAGGUUCUUUUGUCGGUGGUGGCCUCACUAUUAUUGGCGGUAGAGUUGGUGGCUUGGGCGUUGGCGGUGGUCUCACUACUCUUGGGGGUAGAGUUGGUGUCUUGUGUUUUGGUGGUGGAGGUGGCUUAACAGGAGUUGGUGGCUUGUAUUCUGGGGGUGGUUUCUCCACCGGAGGUGGCUUAUAAACUGGAGUUGGUGGCUUGUAUUCUGGGGGUGGCUUCUCCACUGGUGGUGGCCUGUAAACAGGGGUUGGUGGCUUAUAUUCUGGGGGAGGCUUCUCCACUGGAGGCGACUUAUAAACAGGGGUUGGUGGCUUGUAUUCCGGGGGUGGCUUCUCUACGGGAGGUGGCCUGUAAACAGGGGUUGGUGGCUUCUCCACCGGAGGUGGCUUAUAAACGGGGGUUGGUGGCUUGUAUUCUGGGGGUGGUUUCCCCAGUGGUGGAGACUUGUAAACAGGAAGAGGUGGUUUGUGCUCAUAUGGGGGUGGCUUGUGGUCAUUAGCAAGUGAGGGAGUGGUGAGGACCACCAAUCCAAGGAACAACACGAGUGAGCAAGCAGAAGACAUGUUUGGGCUCUGGUGAUGCACAAGUAGAAGAAAUGGGAACCAUUUAUAAUGCUUCGAGACCUUGGUUAGCACCAAAAUAUGUCAAAAUCUUGAUUACUUCAUUUCAUACAUAGAUUUAAAAUUAUUUCAAUCAACCAUGAUCCUUAAUUUUCUGGGUGGUCCAUAAAUGUAAUGGGGUCAAUUUGGGACCUAACAAGCUGAGAAGUUUGACAAUGCUGCAAGGCUUCAUCCGAAAGUCCGGGGAAGAAUAUUAGGAGUUACACUCCGUUUCCUUUUUUGGGUGCAUUUUUCUCCUUUAACAUUCUAUUCCCUUUUACAUUAGCAUUUGAUCUUAGCUCAUUUCAAGUACAAGUUUCUUGAACCCUAUACCAUUGUCAAAGUUGAGUAACCAUCUCUACUUUGCUCAAGAAACAUAAAAGACAAUGACAAUAAAGAAAAAGGAGAGAGACCAUACGUGACUUGGUUUAUAGGUGGCUUUGUGUUGACAUUUGAGUAUGGAAGCCGACAUGCAUCUUAGCUUCGAUUUUAAUUAAAUUUGUACAUUAGUGUCUGUGUCAUUCAUUUUGGUAUAAAAGGUCUCUUGAUUUCGUAAGUUUGGUAAGAACCGUUGAAAAUAGCAGUAGCAGCACAUGGUCCACUUUCUUUCACAAAAUAAUUUUAAAAGUUUAGAAGCAUAGGAGGUAACAUUAGUGGCCUUGUGGCUCAGCCACGAGUACUAUGUGGUGCUCGAGAAAUUGAGUUUAAUUUCCUUCCGAUAGUUCAUGAUAAGGUCCGUCACUGUCCUGAGACAGAUUGCGUUUUUUCUUUUUUCCUUUUUUAGUGUUUUAUUGACUAGCUAGGUGUGACUUUUCCUACUUUAAGGCACGAGGCAGAAAAGAAACUGGGAUUUAGUGCUUAAGAAGGCAAAUUUAAUUCGAUUUGGAUCUAAAAUUUGCCAGCAACAUGAGAUUUUCCAGCCUAUCGUUGCUCCACAUAUAGACAAGGCACUUGUAGAAGUGGCUUGUUUGUAGCCAUUCCCGAUAUUUGGACUCACUUGAUUCACCGGACACUUUGAUAAAAUUUAAUAUUUAUUAUUUAAUAAUUUAAAUUGAUUUAAAAUUAAAUUAUACCGAAGUUGUGAUUUAAAAAUUAUUAUUUAAUUCUUACUUUUAAAUAUGAAGAUUAUUUGAUAAAAAUAAUUUAAAAUUUAUUAUAAAUUAUCAAAUUAACAUAUUUAUCCUUAUAAAUUAUAAUUAAAACAGAAAAGGUCAAAUGAUUUGAGUAUCCAUAGAUGUGGUAAAAUAAUAAAAAAGAUUAUAAAAACAAUUAUGAUAAAUAAAGAUAAAAAGUAAAAUGAAUAUGUGAAUUUAAAGAAUAAAUUAAUUAUUUUUAUUUAUUACUUAAAAUUAUUUUUGACUUUAAAUUAUAUUAUUAAAUUAUUUUACCAAACAUACUUAAUUUAGUUAAUAAUUUAAAUUUAAUUUAAGUUAUUAAAUUGAUUCACCAAAUACCCACUUAAUCAAAGACUGAAGUAUACAUUAUUUGGCCAAAUGCAGCUAUUGAAAUUUAACUUUUUCCAAACUUAUUCAUUUUGUGGAAAUAUUUUUAGAAAUGAUUUUAAAAAUGCACUAUUCUGUGUGUUGAUUUUAUAUUUUGGCAUUAAUCCAACAUAGAAAACGGUUCUUAUUUUCGCUGUUAAAUAGGUACCAGAUCCUUAAUUAGUGCCGUGAAUCCGGCAGCUUCCAAUGAGUAAUUUGGACUUGGGUAUUGACAAUGUGUGGCCAUGCUUCUACUAUUUUAUUAUUCUUGAAACAUAUAUGAUAUAUUGGACUUUAUACAGGGAAAAAAAAAAAAAAAAGUCUUCACCAAAAAUGAUUCCUCCUAAAAAAUAGACUCCACAAACUAGGUUUAACAGGAAAAUGAUUCUAAUCUAGUAGUUUCCAGCCACAUGAGCAUUUACGUAACAAUAGUAUAGUUGAUAACGACUUUUAUUUUAUUUAUUUUUAAAUAGUUAAAGGGAUAAUUUUUGAGCUUAAAUUUUAUUUUUUUAUUUAGAAACAUUUUACUUUAUUUUUUAAUCAUAAUUCUAUUAUAUUAAUGUUUUAUUUUCUAUUUUUUAAUAUAUAAGGAGAUACUAAAUUUAUGUGAUUAUUUUUUAAAAAUUUAGUAUAUGAAAUUAAAUAAUUGGAUAUAUAUACAUAUAUCAUAUAAUGUUUUUUAAGUGUGAUUUUUGAACUUUUUAGUCAUUUUAUAAGUUUAAGCUUUUGAUUUUUUUUUUUAAACUUUGGUAUUUUUUAUUUUAUAUAAAACUAUUUUGAUUUAAUUUUAUUAAAAAAUAUUGGUAUUAUAAAUUAUUGUAUUAAUUAUUUUUUUAUAUUAUAAUGUAACUGGUAUAUACUAAAAAAUGUAUGCAAGUUCAAUUUAAGUUUCAAAUUAAAAAAUUUCAUUUAAAUAUUUAAUAACUUGUUCAUAAUAAAAAAUUAAACAACAUAAUACAAAUGAAAAGAAACAUAAAAGAAAAAGGAAAAAAUGGUCCUCUCUGUGUGUCACAUUACUAGGUCAUCCUCUUUUUCUAUGACCCUUACAAUAGAAUGGCAUAUUUGUCAAAUCUACUUAUGAAAGUUGGAAUGUUUCUACAUGUGUAGGGUCCAUUGGAACUAAUGGAGGAAAGGCUUAACGUCUAUGUAAAUCACAACGUUGCCUAGGUGGGCAUAGAUCUAGUUGUGUAACAUGAGAUGGUGUGAGAGUACAAUAUAUGCAUUGUAGUCUCUAUGGGAAGAGAGAUAGGUAAUGGUAGGGUGGUAGACGGUAGGGUGAUCUCUAAUAUAAUGACAUUUGAUGUGGUGGCUUCUAAGAGAGGAGAUAUAAGAGAUGGUAGAAUGACAUUUGGUGUAAUGGUCUCUAGUGCAAUGACAUGUGAUAUGGUGACCUAUAAAGAAGAGAUAUAGGUGAUGGUGAAGUGGUAUGUGGUGUAGUGACCUUUGAGAUAGAAAAUAGAGGUAAUGGUAGGUUGGCAGGUGGAGUGGUCUUUGGUGUAGUGACAUCAAUUAUAAAUGUCUCCAAGGGAGGAAAUAAAGGUGAUGGUAGGUAGUAAAUGUUGAGGUGGUCUUUGAUAUGUUAUGCUCUAAGAGAGAAGGUAUAGGUAAUGAUAAUAGGGAAUUUGACAUAGUGGUGUUGGAAAUAAAAAGUGAAAGUGACCGUAGAGGUGAAAGGGCAAGUGUAAAAGCCUCAAGUACGAAUGGAGUAAUUAAUGUGGAUGGUGCUAACAUAGUCUUAGGUGGAUACACAAAUAGUCAUAGUCAUCAACUAGCUUGCCCACCAUCUGUCUUUCUGCUAGUGAUAGGUUACAUCUUAAUAGUAAUGGCCAACAUAAGUGGUGUGGAUCCGAUUUUUUUACGUGUGUCCCCACUCAAUCGACAAGACUUAUUUUUUAUUAGUGAAAAAUUAAUUUUGGAAAAGUUGGAGUCACCACUUAUUUUAUUUUAUUUUAAAAAGGAAAGUAAAACAAGAAAGAGAACUCUAAAGAAGUGACUUCAUAGUUUUGGAAAAGUUAGUCUUAAAAAAUCCAAGUCUUGGUCCGGAGAUCAGGUUACUUAUUGGGAAGAUACCUCUAAGAGGUAAUACCCCUCUAAACCCUAAAGAAGUCUCUAAUGACUAAGUUGAGGAGAAUGUGGUAAUUAAUUAAUUGAUUGAGGGUACCUAGGUAGACUAAGGUGAUUUCAGAAUUAACAUACCAAGCUAGAAAGUCCAAUCAUGAUCAUAAAAGAGAGUCAAAGUAUGUACCUGAACUGCUUCUCAAACGCUAUCAUAAAACAUCAAAGUUAGUAUAGAAAUAUAACACAUAAUAUUUGUUUUAUCCAAGCAAAUAAAGCAUACAUCUAAGCACCCAAGAAUCACAUCAAGUAUGGAUAUAGUCAUCAAUAGCAUACGUGUCCAUAGAACUAUCGAAAGUAAAUGUGGAGGAGCGUAUCUGGACAACAUAGAUAACUUAUAAUGUGCUUCCACAAGACAUGGGGGUUAGAUAAAAGUUAUAAUAAUAAUUAGUAAAUGAAAGAAUUCUAGCAUGUUUGGUAUCUAAAUAACAUAGCAAAAAUGAACAAGAGUACACGAAAACAUCAAUUAUCACACGAGUCAUAUUGGCUAGUAUUUAAUCAAUAAACCAACAAUAAAUGACUAUAAACAUAUAAAAUGACAUAUUCAAAGAGACCCAAACAUAAAGAGCCUAGAACACAAGCUUACACUAAAUUUAGAAAACUAAAACAUGGAAUUUUAAAAGCAUAAAUUAGCAAACAAAUUGAUGGAAACUAAAUUUAGAUAACUUAAGAAUAUUUUUCUUAUCCUUCAAUUUAAAUCAGUAAGCCAACAAUAAAAAAUUAUAGAAACAUGGAAUAUCAAGAUCAAUGGGAUACCUAAACUAUAAUUUUUAAAAGAAAAUAAACUAAGCAUAAUAUCUACAAAGCAACUAAACUAACAUUUUUUUAAAAAUAAAUUAAACAUGACAUUAAUGGAGUAACCAAACUAAAUUAAAGUAAACUAAAAACAUUUAUGAAUUUUCAAACAUGGAAUCAGCUUUCUUAGUAAAUUAAAAUUAUUAAAAUAAAAUCUAAGCUUAAAAAUGAAUUAAAUACUAACUAAAGCAAAUCUAAAACCAAAUAUUUAACACAUAGGAUCAAUUAUAUUAACAAACUAAAAUUUUAUAAGAACACUUAAACCUAAAGUUGAAUUAAAAACUAACCAAUUUUUAAAACUAGAUCUUUAACCCAUAGGAUCAAUUAUAUUAACAAAUAAAUAAUAAAUAAUAAAUAAAUAAAACUCAAACCUAAAGAUGAACUAGAAAUGUACCAAAGUAAAUUCAAAACAAGAUCUUUAACACAUUAGAUCAAUUAUAUUGACUAACUAAAAAAAAAAAAAAAAAACACUCAAACCUGAAACGAUGUAUUAGAAACUAACCAAAGCAAAUUUAAAAUAGAGUCUUUAACACAUAGGAUCAAUUAUAAUCACUAACUUAAAUUACAAUUUUUGAAACAUGAACUAAUUAGUGUUGGAUUAAUUAAACUAAUUAACUAAAAAAAACUAUAAACUAGAAUACGGUGAAUCAAGAAUUCAAAUCAACAAACAUAAAAUAUGGGUACAAUGAAAUGAAAAUCUAUUAAACUAAUAAGACGGAAAUAUGACAAACUCAUGAACCCACAUUUUGAUCAACUAGGAAAUAGAAAUUAAUAGACCUGUAGCAUGGAUACAAUGAAAUGAGAUCAGUUAAAUUUAUUUGCCGAAAUUCUAAAAAACACAUACACUCAAAUAAGAUCUAAAUCUAAGACCAAGCAAAACUCAAACUUUCUCAAUCUAAUGCAAUGAAUCAAAACUAAAAUUAAAUAGAAAUCAAACCAUUUUUUUUUUAUCUAAUAUAAUAAAUCAAAGCUAAAACUAAACAAAAUCGAAUUUUCUUAAUUUAAUAUGAUGAGUCAAAGCUAAAAUUGAACAAAGUUCAAACCUUUAUAUAAUGGAUCAAAGUUAAAUCUAAAUGAAAUCCAUACUUCCACAAUUUGAUAUAACAAAUCAAAAAUAAAACUAGAUAAAAAAAAAGUCAAAGCCUUUCAACUUGACAUAGUGAAUCCAAACUGAAACGAAACAAAAUUUUAACUUUUCCAAUGAAACCCAAUAUAGAAAAAAUUAGCUUACCUUCUUUAGAAUAUAUGUAUGGGCCAUAAAGAAGUCACCUUGGUGCAUGUGUUCCUCACUUUGACGCCAAUGGACGACUUUCUAUGGUAGCAAAUGGAGAUCCUUUUUGGUGGUAACUUGCGUGUGGAAACCUAUGGUACAACCAAUGUCAUCUUUUAUUGUGCGUGUGGACCAAUUUCUUCUCGAGAACUCAUGUGUGUUGUGCUCAAAAUAUGUUGCCUGUGAGAAUCUAUUGGUAUACCCCACAUAUGGUUUCCUUGAGAGAAUCUGUGGUUGUGUGUGGGCGUUUUCUUCAUGACAGCAUGUGGAUGUUCCCAUCUAUGGUAGAUUGGUUGUGAUGCUUUAGUGCAUGGUCUCCAUAGGAAUAGUGUGUUAUGGAAAUUUGGUUUUUUUAUUGGUGCAUGUUGUCUAGACUUUCCCAUAUGCGUGGACUGUGUGUUCAUGCUUUUCUUUUCGGAUGGUCGCCUGUGUUAAUGUGUGGCGGUGUCUACAAUGAAAGAUACAACCCUUUCUCUCCUUCUGCGUGAUAGAAAAGUCAAUCCCCCAUGGUGCGACUAUGUUCCCUCGUCCUUUUUGAAAAAUUUUGGUGUUUUCCCCCCAAAAAAUCCCCUCCAAAAAUCUAAUUAUAAAUGUCUGCUUUGGCCUAAUGUGUGUGCUACUUUUUUUUUCCUUCUUUUUAUGGUUGUGCGUGCUUUUCUUGAUACGUGGCUUAUUUCUUAAGGAUAUGAUUCGCUCCCAAUUGGUGUCUCAGCUGAUUCAUGUCCUUUCAAUGGUCCCUGACAGUGGUGCCAUUUGAUUCGUGUCCAGCUGGUGUCCCUUGAUUGUGGUCCUCAGAAGGGAGUAAUCAAUAAAAUUUAUAACCUAUUACACCAUGUAUUAGGAUAGCCUUAGCUAGCAUAGCAUAGUGGCUCUAGGGUCGUUUAUUGGGAUGAGUUUUCACUUCACAAUUGAUAUUAAUUCAAGAGCUGAAUUGGUGCCUUUUCAUUUCAAGGUUAGCUUUAAAAGAAAACAUAAUCUUUGGUGGAAAAAGGUUUGGUUUUAAACUAACCAAAAAUAGUAACUGAUUUUACUUACAAAGAAAAGUGUUCUUUGGAGUUUAGAUCACUAGGCUCAGGUUCCUCAUACAAAAAGGAGAGUUCCGAUCAUUUGUUUCUUUUCCUCGCAUUAGAGAAUUAACAUAUAGUUAAUUCUCUAACCGGUGCGGUACAUAUGCUUCCCAUUAAUGGGUUCAAACACUAAAUACCUCUCACUGAUGCACCUUGCAAUGGCUCGUGCCUCUCACCUAGCAUUUAUCAUUCAAGGUGAUCUUUAACCUUGGAUUACCCAUCAAAAGCUCGCAAGAGAUAACUAAAGGAUGUCUCCUUAGAGUCCAAAAGCUUACCAAGUGUUGGUUAUUCUAGAAAAUCCUACCUUCAAACCACCUCCCAAAGGCUCGCAAGAGAUAAACAAGUGCAUCUCAAUGGAUGAAGAUCACUUGCCUUACCAAGUUUUGGCCCAGAUGAUUUAAUGACAUUUUAAGUUAACUAAAAAGAUAAAAACCAUUAACGGGUCACACUUUCUCUUCAUUAAAAACUAAAACAACAAAACUUCCAAUUUAUGCAUGAGGAAACUUACCUGGCUUUCUUCACUUCAAGAGAUGAAGAGCCUAGCCACUCAUCAUUUGAGGAAAAAUCCUCAGAGUUUGAUUUGCUAGAAAUAAAAAUAAUGAGAAAACAAAAAUAUAUAUAUGAAAAACAGAGCAAGUUCUCUGUAAUAUAUUUUUCUUCCUUAUACAAAAGGUUGUCUCUAAGAACAAGUUCCCGAGAUCUAUCUGAUUGUAAAUAAAAUUACAACUAUAUAUAAGAGGUUAUUCACCCCUUUGUUCUUUCUUAAAGACUAAGGAAUCCUAUGAUAGGUGGGUUACAAGGAGAGUUUGGGGAUUUAGACAUCAAAUAUCUAAAGCAAAAUAUCUCAAGAUGUUAGUCGGAAAUAUCAGGAAGCUUCAGGAGAACACCGCGACACUGUAUACUGAGAGAAAAACUCUCCGGGUAAGCUCUAUCAAAGGAUCCAGACAUGUCUGACUGGGAAAGUUGAAACGUCCUUCUCUCCCAUCCGGAUGUGAGAUAUCCGGAGAAAGUGAAAUGUCGGUCGGACAGAAUUCUUUCCCCGGGUGGAAUGAGUUGUGUUGCGCGUCGCAAGGGGGACCGUCUGCGUGUACAAGUUGUAGGGACCCCUCUCCCGGAUGACACCGAGCGCGUAAGGCUAUCCGGAUCAACUCCAUUCGGAUUCCCCAAGAGGACAUGUGGCGUGCUCCCCUAUCAGGACUCCCUUAGGGAGAAGCACACGACACUCGUGAACAUCAUACCCGGACGAUAGCAUGUCCUAUCCGGAUGUGUUGUCCGGAUCAUUGACUAAAGUGAGCAAGCCUUGCUACGUCAUUCGGACAGCUUGCCACAUACCAUGUUCCGUCGCCAUCUGAUGGUGUGUCCGAACGCCUUGUCCGGACAUCUUUUGCUCCUUGCAUUCCGGAUUUGCUUAUGACAAAGGACUUCAAAGCUUCGGUUCUUCAUGUUUCUGAGCUUUCCAUUGCUUUGCCAUGGAUUCCAAAGAACUCUCCUUAAUCACGGAUUGCUUUGGUGAUCAAAAAGUUAUCAAAACACAAAAACUUAACAUAGUUUGAUUAGAAUUGAUUGCAAGGGUUCUUAAUAUGUUAAUUGGGUUAAAAGGUGAUAACUACUACUCAAAAGUGUUUAUAAGAAUUAAUUACAAGCUAUGAAAUAACACUUUUUGAGUAGUAAUCAGGAUACAUCCUAGUUUUUCAUGGAAUUGAUAGUGGGUUGUUGUGCAUGAAUGCCACCAUUUCAACUAUGCUGUUGUUAUUUUUAAAAAAAAUAUGGAUUAUGCGCGAGUGGCAAUUCUCCACUAUGGAAAGUGGAUUGCUCCUUCAACCCAUGCAUGGCUACGUAUUCCUAUGUCUUUCUACUUGUGUUUGAUCCUCCAAAAAAAAUUUCGGUUUAGUGCUAGUAGAUUUUAAGUGGUGGAUCCCCAUUUUUUGAAAAUGAAGUGGCAGCCUCCCAUUUCAAGACAAAAUGGUAGCCUGCCUUUAAUCUUUGGAGAAAAAUCUGUGCAUGACCUUUUUUUUUCCCAAAAAAUCCGUGCAUGGUGUCCUUUAAUAUUUGGAGAAAAAUCUAUGUUGGAUCUUUUCUUUUCUAGAAACAUUUGUGUGGUCUUUUUUGUUAGCCCAAGGGUUCUUCUAAUCAAGUUUUGAUGAUAACAAACCAUGGUUAAGUGACUAAUUGGUUUAAUGAUUAAGAAUCUCAAACAUAAAAUCGAAAAUUCAUCAAAGGACCAAAUGGAUACAAGAUCGAGACGCUUGGAAGACUUGUAAUCAUAGGAAACUAAUGUAAGAUGAAUGCAUGAGUGCACUUAGGAUUUUCACACGUUUCAUGCAACUUAGAAAACCCAGUUUAUUCUUUAAAACUUCAUCCCAGUUUAUUCUUUUUAUGGUUGUGUGUGCUUUCCUUGAUACGUGGCUUAUUUAUUAAGGAUACAUCCCAGUUUUUCAUGGAAUUGACAGUGGGUUGUUGUGUGUGAAUGCCACCAUUUCAACUGUGCUGUUGUUAUUUAAAAAAAAAAAAAAUGGAUUGUGCGCGAGUGGCAAUUCUCCACUAUGGAAAGUGGAUUGCUCCUUCAACCCAUGCAUGGCUACGUAUUCCUAUGUCUUUCUGCUUGUGUGUGAUCCUCCAAAAAAAAUUUUGGUUUAGUGCUAGUAGAUUUUAAGUGGUGGAUCCCCUUUUUUUGAAAACUAAGUGGCAGCCUCCCAUUUCAAAACGAAGUGGUAGCCUGCCUUUAGUCUUUGGAGAAAAAUCUGUGCAUGACUUUUUUUUUCCCAAAAAAUCCAUGCAUGGUGUCCUUUAAUAUUUGGAGAAAAAUCUAUGUGGGAUCUUUUAUUUUCUAGAAAAAUUUGUGUGGUCUUUUUUGUUAGCCCAAGGGUUCUCCUAAUCAGGUUUUGAUGAUAACAAAUCAUGGUUAAGUGACUAAUUGGUUUAAUGAUUAAGAAUCUCAAACAUAAACUCGAAAAUUCAUCAAAUGACCAAAUGGAUACAAGAUCGAGACGCUUGGAAGACUUGUGAUCAUAGGAAACUAAUGUAAGAUGAAUGCAUGAGUGCACUUAGGAUUUUCACACGUUUCAUGCAAUUUAGAAAACCCAGUUUAUUCUUUAAAACUUCAAUUUCAUUAAAACCCGAGUUUUUAACUAAUGUACCUUAGGCAAAAUGUUUUAUAAUUGGCUUAAUAAUUCACCUAAAUACAUUUUCUAAGUGUUAGAAAAGAAAGGAAUUAAAAAAAGGUUUUCGGGGCAAAAAAGGCUCAACCGGUCGAGGCUAUGGUCAACCGGCUCAACCGGUUGAGGAACCAAUCGAUCGGUUGUGCUUGUCCGAUCGAAGACCAAUCGAGGGAUGCCAAAAAAUUUCUCUCUCUCCUAGUGGCCUUCUCUUCCCGGUCGAGGUUCGGUCUAGGCAACGGUAACAUGUCAAGCAUUAAAUGCUCCGACGACUAGUGAAUCGGUCGACCCCUAGCCCGAUCGGACGAGGUUGCCUUUUGCUGUUUUUGACUCCCGAGCUUAGAAACCUAUAAAUUGAGAGCUCCACUUCAUUUAUUGAUAAAAGAGAACACUUGCAUUCAAUAGUCUACCUACCUUUUCUUGAUCAAAAAGCUCUCAUUUCCUUCAUAGUGCAUUAAAUCAUCACUUGCAUAUCCUUUAGUGCACUAUUGUGUGUCAUCCUAGCUUUGUUUUGUAUUUGAGCUAUCCUUAAGCUAGGUUGAGGGAUUAUUUCUUAUAAAAAUCUGAGUGUUAAAGCCUUCAAGAGAUUUGAAUCUUGAAGAGAUUGUGUAAGAGCCCAUUGGAGCCGGAGUCCAAGUGUAAGAAGAUUGGAAGCUUGGUUGAAGCUUCAAGUUAGUGGAACCCUCACUCGGUUAGGAGGUUGAGGAGAGUGGACGUAGGUAAGGAAGUGUCGAACCAUUAUAAACCCGAGUUUGAAUUCUCUAACUCUAUCUCUUUAUUUUGCUUAUAUUGUGUUUGAAUUUGUUGUGAUUGAAAAGAUUUUAAAAACCUAAUUCACCCUCCCCCCUUUUGGGUUUUUUUUUCUUAAUUAAGCAUAACCUUUGUUUUCUAAUUUUCUUUUUAGGAAAAUCCAUGCGUGGUAUGUCCAAACUCUCCAAGUGGCAGUCUGCCUUCUUCUAAAAAAUUUGUUUCUAUUUCUUUAUUCGACUACCUUCCAUGUCUUCCUAAUGAGUGCUUGUGCUCAAUGGUCAAUCCCUGGUGGUUGCCUCCUUUUCCCAUAUAUACGUGUUGCAAAAUCAACAUCCCACUAUAUGUGGGUUGCCUCUAUGGCAAGUUCACAUUUCCCACAUGAAACCUAUGAGUUUCCACCAAAAAUUGCCAUGAAAAAGUCUUUAUAUGCAUCUCAUGCAAUAAAAAGUCAAGCCAAUACUCAUCUUAUCUCGAAAAAUAAGUAACCAAAAUCAAGAUCAUGCCUAAGUGAACUAUGCCAAAAGAAGUGUCCAAGUGACCUAUUAUGAAAAAAGUGCCUAAGUGACCUAAGGUGAAUGUGUGUAAGCUGGAAGGUGUCUAGGAUGUUUAGGACAAUGCCUAAGCCUAAAAUAGGGUUGCCAAGGGUCACAAUGGGGUUAGAUAAAUCUCUCAAUCAGAGUCUCCAAGGUGGCUCAUAAAAGAUAAGCUACACGAGUAAUGAUGGGCCACCAGGGAAUUAUUGUAAAGCACCAAACGAACACAUAAUAGGACAUGUGUUAGAAUGAAAAAAUGGAGGGUUUACAAGUGGUCUCAUGGAUGAGCUUGAUAAUUUAAAUGACUCACAUAAUGAACGUAUGUGAUGUUUCUCUCCAAUAACAAGCAAAACAUCACUAGCAAUAUGAUGAAUGUCUCCUAAAUCACUUGAAGUAGUCCUAGCAAAUCAAUUAGAAAAAUCACACAUAUUGCUCUAAUGUAAUAUUAUAUACAUCUGUCAAUGAAUGGGAGAACUAAUGACACAACCAUCAUGUUGAUAUCUCGAACCCUCUAAUCUCAUAUGUAGGUGGGAUCACACUUAGAAACUCAUAACACAGUAAUGACCAAUCUAAGUCAAAAUGUGUUGGUGAUCGGAGGCCCAUGAAUAUGAAGUUCUAGGAUGAUAAUGACAUCUUAUAAAGUAAUGAUCAUCUCCUUAAUAGAUAGGUGAAAUGUGUGUGUCUUAGGACACCAUCUCUCAACAAGACUUGUGAUCAAUCCCCAGUCUAGUGUAACAUGCCUAUUAUGACAUCCAUCGUAAAAUCUAGACUAGAUAAUAUAAGGACAAAUGUGAGGGUUCAUCUCCCUUUCCCACAUAAAUUUAAAAAAUUAUUAUUGACAAGUUAAGACCAAACUAAGUUGCAAAAUAUAAAUAAGUCCAUUAGAUAACAAAUUUAUGUUUUCUCAUUUUCUCAUUUUUAAAGAGAUAUUAUGUGCUUCCAUGUACAUACAUGCUAAAGUCAAUUAUACGAGACUUAUAUCCAUCUUGUAGAACCAAAUCGAACCUAUCUAAUAGAUCCAGAUUAGAAGUAUGUCCUCUAUACUCCAUAUUUAUAACACAUUUAUAAAGAUAAAUGCUAAAAAAAUGUUAAAGAUAUAAAUUUAAUGAACCAUACUUUAUGAUUUUAAUUCUCAAUUAUUGUUCAUAUUUAUAAGAGAAAAGUUAAAAAAAUUGAUAGAGUUUUCCCUCUAUCAUGGACAUUAUCCCAAAUAAAAAUAAAUUGAUUAUGCAAAUUACAUUAAUAUUUGUAACCAAAUGAUCAAUAACUAUCUUGUAUCAAUUUAGUAAAUAAAUUUAAGUAUAUCUUUUCAUUUAUGACUAACAAAUAACUCAUACUUGUCCAAUAAAAGCCACACCUAAUUUCUAAAAUUUUGUCUUCACCUCAAGUGAGUGUUACAUUGAGAAAGAAAAAAUAUGAAAGAAAAAAUGAACACCUUUUUCUUUUAAUAAAAAAAGGCCAUAACGAAACAUUAAAUCUCACUGUUACACCUAUCUUCAAUGGAAACAUGAGGAUGUGAAUGGUGGCGGUGAUAUUCUUUGCUUGAAGCUCAUAAACAAAUAUUCCUUACUAAGCCUAUGCCAUUUAGUAUUUCAAUAGUGGACCCCCCCCCCCCCCCCCCCCCCCUCCUUGCAUUUCAGAUUUAGCAAACUUAGAACCAAAUAACAAAGUGCAUUUGAACCCAUAAAGAAGUAAUGAGACUCUCCUAUAUUGGCAAUAGAAGAAAUUUUUGGAGGUAUAGGAGAUUCACGGAUGAAGAAGUUGGGCCCCAAUUGAGAUAAGACCCAAGAAAAGAUGGGGUAGAGAGGGAUGGUUGGAAAUUGUAAAGUAAGAUUUUCAAAAUGUAGUUGAUGACUAAGAUUUUGACAAUUUAAAAAAGGUUUAAAAAUGUAGUUAGCAAUCGGGGUUUUGUAACAUUUAAAAAAUAAAAUAAAAUCUCAGGCCACAUGGUAGCCCAUGUGAUUCAGAAGCUUGAGAAUUAUUUUAUAAGAAGACUUAAUUUGUGAUUUUUUUAUAACUAUAUUAUUUUUUUUCUUAACACACGAAAAAAAUUAUGAAAUAAGACAAUUUUCCUAAGAAAGCAUGUAAGUGACUCUUGGUUAUUUUAUUUAACUUCUUCUAGUUUGGAGAGGAUUAAUACCUUUGCUUUUACUCACUUGCUUGGAUAUGUACACGUUGUUCAUGUCACUUUUCAUUUAAUUUUCUGAUUAAGGGAAUUGGAACCGUACGUAACUGUCUUUAUUCCCUCUGAAACUUGGACUUGGAGUUGGACUUUCAAUCUCAUCAGUCGUGUUUCCAUAAAAAAGAAGAUGGAUUAACCAAUUUUCCUAUGCCUACUAAUCAUACACAAAACUCCACUUCCAAAUAAAAAGGAAUGGGAUAUCACUUGUUAAUAGUGGCUAAAGACUAUUAAUAACCAUGCAAAGAAAUGUCACAUUUUUUGUUCUACGCAAAUUUUAUUCAUCAACUACUAGAACCAUUUCAUACAAUAGUAGCUUUUCGAUCCUUUGAUAAAUGGACACUUGAUGUGAUAACACCAACUACACCUAUAUAUUCAAGCAAUCAUGCGUAUAUAAUAGUGGAUAUGGAUUACUUCUCUAAAUGGGCAAAAGUUUUGUCAUUCAAGGAAAGUGAACGAGGAAACACAAGUUUACUUUCAUCGGAACUAAUAUUAUAUAUUGAUAUGACUUCCCAUUAUUACUUACGAUGGAAUAUGCUUCCAUAAAAUGGCCUAGAUGAACAAACUAUCCAAGAAGUUUGGGAUCAAAUAAUAUAUAUAUAGUUCAUGUGUGAUUCUUUGGUUGACAACCUUGUUAAGGGGUGAGUGAAGCACUUUGGGCAUACCACAUACUACAUGCUAGACUUCCACCCAAGCUACCCUAUAUUCCUUAUGAACAAAGUAGAAGUUGUCAUCUCUCUUGAAUACCAAAUCCUUUCACCUAAUAAUGCUAUCUAAAAAGGUCUUAAAAAGGAUAAAAAUGCGCAUAUUUGAAUUUUUGAAUUAGGAGUGCUACUUAAAAAGAAGCUAGAUAUACAAUAAUAGAAUGUUAUCAAGCAUAUCUCUUCAAAGUUUUUGACCAAAAAAUAUAUGAUUUCUCAUUUUAGGUAGGAGACUUAGUACUCACUAUUCAAAAACCAAUUAUCAUUACUCAUAAAAACUAAUAGAAAGUUUGGGCCAAAGUAGGAUGGACCUUAUAUUAUGCAACAAUUAUGCCUAUAAAAUUGUUGCAAAAGAGGUUUUAGAAUCAAAUCAAUGAAUGAAAAAUUAUUAAAGCAUUACUAUGCUUGAAGGCUAGUCAUUUUCCCUUAAAGUGCAAUAUUAAGUUGCAUAGUACUAUGUGGAUCCGCAUUUUUCACAUGCGUUCCCACUCAUUGUCGAGACUCACUUUUUAGAAGUGAAAAAUUAGUUUUAUUAAAGUCGAAGUUGCCACUGGGGAUUUGAACCCUAACAAAAGGUUCAAUUUAAGGAUAAAAAUAUCGAUAAUCACAUAUAUAUAUAUUGGUACUUUGAUUUUAUGAAUAUAUUGAAGAAAUAUGGACAAAUAUUUUGACACAAAAUAUGUACAAAAUAAAAAUUAUAUAAAAAGUAAAAAUAAAUAUUUUAAAAUUAUUUUUUUAAAUAUAUAUAUAUAUAAUUUGACAUAUUUGAUAAUAAUAUAUAAGGGUCUCCAAAAAGCCCGUGGCCCGCUUUAGGCCCGGUCCGACCCGACAGGCUAAAGCCCGGCCCAAGCCCGCCGGGCCCAAGCUCGGCCCGAGCCCGUUUAUGGGUGGGCCGGGCCGCGAGCCCGUAGGCCUGCUCCUUUAAAAAAAAACUACAAAAAUAAAAAGUAUUAAAAAAAAUAUUCAUUUCAAAAUUUUAUUCAUUGAAUGUAUAAUUACAUUUGAAAAUGUGGGAAAAGUUUACAUCACUACAAAAUAAAUACAUCCCAACUAGGUUGGCACCUAUUUAUUUGUCAAUCAUCUGUAUUUUUCAACCACAAAAAAUAAAAAUAAAAAUAUAAUAUACAUUUAGUCAUUAUUUUCUGGCGGUGAUGGCGAACUAUCAUGCAUCCAUGAAGAUCUUGAUAAUUUUAAAGAUUCCAUAUCGGUAAGCAUCUUUGUUUCUCGAAUGGAAUCAUACAUCCUUUUAUCUGCUAUUUCCCAAUCUUUCACACAUAUCCCUGCUUUAAUAACAUCUGACGCUAAGUUGCAUCGUUUUUUACUAACUACUCUUCCACCUGCACUAAAAGCAGCUUCUGAUGCAACUGUACUCACAGGAACUGUUAGUACAUCACGAGCAAUUAUAGAAAGCACAGGAUAUUUGUGUUGAUGUGAUUUCCACCAUAUUAAAAUAUUAAAAUCUUCUUGAUCUUCAAAUGAAAUUAUAUCAGUAUUAAGAUAUUUAUCUAAAUCAGAUGUAUUAUUUGGAGAAUUAUUUGUUGUCUUUUUUCGACUUUUCAACAUUUCUAGAGCUCCUUUAUAAAAAGAUGAGGAGUUUGUAGAUGUAGGUGGUAAUUUAAUAGUAUUAAUAUCAUUACCAUAUUUUUCUUUAUAAUAGUUAUAUAAAUUAUAUAAUAAUGAAUUUAUUUCAUUUUUAAUUUCUUCAAUUUUUAUUUGGUCAUUAAAAUAAAUAAUUGUUAACCAUUCAUCCAAAGCUUCAAAUUUCAAUCUAGGGUCCACAAUUAAAGCAAUAUAAAAAAUUAAAGGUAUUUCUCCCCAAUAUUUUCUAAAUUUUUAUAUCAUUACAAAUAUUGUAUCAUUAAAUAUUUCAAAACUUAAAUAUUUUUGAAGUACAAUAAAAAUAUUAGUUAUUUGCGUAAUAACUCGAUUUGAAGUUGGAUAAUAUACACCACAAAAAAUGUUUGUUGAAGUAUCAAAAAUUUCAAAAAGAUCUCUUAAAACAUCCGCAAUAUGCCAAUCAUAAUCAUUUAAUGCAUAAAUAUCUGCUUCAUAAUCAUUGUUAAUUAAUUGUAUUUCAUAUAAUUCGACUACUUUUCUAUAUUUUGUAAUAUUUUCUAAAAGUUUAUAUGUGGAAUUCCAUCUAAUAGCCAUAUCCAAAUUUAUAUUUUUUCUUUUCAUAUUUAACAUUUUGCAACAAUCAAAAAAUAAUUCAUGUUUUGCUUGAAAACUAUUAAUACUAUAUGCAAUGCCUCUAAUUUUUUUCCAAUGUACUAUCAACAUUUUUUAAUCCAUCCUUUACAAUUAAAUUUAAAAUAUGUGCACAACAACGCACAUGAAAUAUUUUAGCAUGAUCUUCUUUUACUUGCCAAUAUCGUUUUAGUCUAUGUAUUGCUGCAUCAUUAUUAGCAGCAUUAUCUAAUGUUAUUGUCAAUAUUUUAUCACGAAUGCCUAAAUCUAUAAUUUCAUCAUUUAUUAAAGAUGCUAUAUUUUUACCACUAUGUGGAGUAUUUAUUAAUUUAAAUAAAAUUAUUCUUUUAUUUAAUUUCCAUUCAUUAUCAAUGUAGUGAACAAUUAUAUAUAAAAAACCAGUAUGAGUUAAAGAUGUCCAAAUGUCAGAUGUUAAACGAAUAUUUCCUUCAAAAUUUGCAAAAUUUUUUUUUAAAAUUUCUUUUUGUGUAUAAAUUUUUUUCAUAAUAUCUCUUUUAACUGUAUUUCCAGAUCAACCUUUAAAUUGAGGAUUAAUACCUCGUUGAAUUGUUCUUGCAAAAUCAUGAGUUUCCAUCAUGUUGAAAGGUUGUUCUGCUCUUAUUAUAUAAUCAAUCAUUUCUUCACAACAGUUAGAUUCAUCAUAAGAAAAUGUUUUUAAAUUUCCACUUUCAUUUUUACUUAAUUGCAUAUAAUUUCUAAUAUCUACAUUAUUUUUAGUUUUACAAUUUUCAUGAUGUCUUUUUAAAUGACUUGUAUCUGCAUUUGAGCCACCAGUAAGAAAUUUAUUACAAAUUUUACAUUUUGCUUUUAUUUUUUUUUUAUUAUUUUCUAAAAUUAUUUCUAUUCUAUCAAAAAAAUUCCAUAUAUUUAAAGUAAAUUUUUUGUUUGAUGAUAUUUCAUCACAUGGACUAGACGAAGAAGCACUUGUCAUAUUAUAAUUAUUGAUAAAAUAUUAUGCCAAAAAUAAUAAAGUAAUAAAUAUAAAAAAAAAUGUAACAAAAAAAAUAAAGUAGUAGGGGUGAAGUAUGUUACUCAAUUAGAGAACCUAUGCAGAAAUUCCUAGCAAAUUUGAACUCUUGGAGCCACCAAUGCUUGUUUUGCACCAUCAACAAUAUUGUAUAAUUUGAGGGAAAAAUAAAAGAAUUUAAAAUAUUGUAGAAUGUGAGAGAAAUAGAGAGAAUUUGAUGAAAAAAUGAAAAGGAAGAAAAUGUAUUUAUAGGAAGGUUAAAAAUAAUAAUAAUAAUAAUAAUAAUAAUAAUAAUAAUAAUAAUAAUAAUAAUAAUAAUAAUAAUUGGCCAUGUGACCGUUGGAGGCUUAGCUCCAACGGUCACAUGGGCUGGAGCUAGGCUCCAACAGUCACAUGACCGUUGGAGCCUUUAAUUUUUUUUUUUAAAAUAAUAUACUUUAUUUUUAUAUAUAUAUAACUAACUCAAUUAAUAAACAUAAAAAGAAUAUAGUUCAGUUGGUUAGAACCUUGAAGUUUAAACAUGAGGGGAGGGGUUUGAAUCCCUCCCUCUCCCUUAGGGGCUUUUUUAAAAGCCAUUUUGGCUUAUUUCAAAAAGCCUGUCGGCCCGACCCGCCCUGCAGCCCGCGGGCCUAGCAUUUUAGCAUGGCCUGGUCUGUUGACUAGUCAAAUGGCUCAUAGGCUCGGCCCGAACUGGGCCGCGGGCCUCUUAUUUACGGACCGGCCCGACCCGGCCCGCCCGUUGGAGACCCUUGAUAAUAUCUUCUAUAUUAAGUUACAUUAUAGUUUAUUUUACAAUAUUAUUAUGAUAAUAUGUCUAAUUUUAAAAUAUAUUUAAUAUUAAAAUUAUGAUCUAUUUUAAUUUAAAUGUAUUCAAUGAUAUCAAAUAAAUAAUAAUAUAUGUAUAAUUCUUUUAUUAUUUAUAUUUAUUAUUUUUAAUAAAUAUAUAGAUUAUAUAAAAAAGACCGGAUAUAUCUUUUCAAAUUUUGUAUCGCUCUCCAAGGAUAUUAGAUGUAUGGGAAUUUGUAUUGCUAUCUACGGAUACGUUGAUAUAUGGGUGAUUUAUCAGGAUAAUUAGAAAUUCUAAUUAUGUAAGCAGGUACGGAGUUCUGUGUCGGUGCGAUCUUGUCGACAACAGCUCCAAAUUGUGCAUCUUGCUCAUAGAGAGUAGCGGAAUGCACCAAUCGUAGGCUCAGAGUACCACUGAGUCGUCUGGCAGAGACCCAACUGAAGGUGCCUGUGUUGUUCCUGAUCUGAUCAGGCUUCAAACUACAAGGUGGAAUACUGGUUCCCCUAUAUCAGAAGCUGGAGAUACCCACCCCAUAUGCUCGUCUGGAUGUGCUCCUACCCUUUGAAGCCUUCUUCCGAGUCAAGUCCGAAUUGAUAAGGCUAGUGAGUUCCCAACCAACUGUACUCAGCAUGCUGCCAGGUGGAGACCCUCCAUAUUUGAUGGCUUCCUAAUAUUAAAAUGCUGACCACUGGUCUUCAUGUUCCACAGGCUUAAUUGUGUCCUUUGCUGAAAGAAUGGAUAGUGAUCCAUUUUAACACAUGAUUCACGCCGUCUUUGCCAUUCUUCAUGGUCUAGCCCUUUUAUAUAUAUGCUUCCUGAACUGUUGCUAUUAAUAAAAUGUGGUAUCUAUCCCGUACACCUUCCUGAUGGCCAGCGAAUGCAGAAGCUACAGAAACGGUUCCAUCUUUUGCUUCCGCCACUUUGGCAUCCUCCAUGAUGAGAUCGAAGGUGAAUAAUCAUAUUCUGGGGAUUUAUGUCCUGGAUAUUCUCAGUAAUGCCCAAUUUCCUGGUGCCGGCCUCAUUUCCAUGGGAACUGAUGGAUAACUUAAGGCUUCUACCAUCUGCGUGGUUCGCUUCUAACACAGGAAACUUCACGGCUAAAAGCAAGAUACCAAGAACAUCAAGGCUGUGACAAAAAUUAGUAUUUUUAACUUGUAGGAAUUUGAAAGGCAACCAACCAUCUAGCUCUGUUCUUAAAGCUCCCAUAGGAGGAUCAGAGGCUGGAUUGCUCAAGAUGAACUCAUCCAUUGUUGCACUUAAAAAGAAUUGGCAUGAAUUGUGGCCGCUCUAAUAGGUUCCCUAAACCAUCAUCCAAGUGGGCUUGCGGAAGGUAGCGAGUUUAAAACACCUAGGGCGAUGAACAGUGGACUGUGAUGCUCACAAAAGAGAAAAGGAAGAAUUCAAUAAUUCCUAAGAAUCCAUUUGCCUGUCAUCCAAAUUUUUAUAUUCUCUUCAGUCUGACGCGUUAUGCCAUAUAUUAAAAAUAGCGGCUUCUUCCAAGCCGAGACAGACUGUGCAAAGUUCGCAAGGCCAAUCAUCACCAUAAUCUGAAGUUGGCCUCCUCAAUCGCAGCUUGUAUCCGAAUGCUCACUUCACGGGAUGGAUUGUAAUGAAAACUAAUCUCAGUCCCAGCUAUGGCAGCAUCCUCACUUGACAGCAUUUUCUGCAUAUUCUAGAACAAAGCAAUAAACCCUCAAAGGCUCCUUCGGAUCAGAGUUAGAAGACUGUCCCUCAGGAACGUGAACACUAUGGUGGUUCUGAUAAGCAGUGAUAUUGCAUUAGAGCCUUUUGGAACAAGAGGAUCUUUUCAGGUGGAAACUGUAAACUGCUUCAUGUUGGGCUGCAACCUUUUCUUCAAGCAAUACUUUCUUUCUGUAUCACGACUUAUGUUGCUUCCGGAGCCAUCCCGUGUGGACUGCCCUUCAGUGAAAGAAUAUGUGUGUUGACAUGUUGGAUUGUAAUCUUUGUUCCACUCUAAUGGCUUUUGGUCCUCCUCUUUCUCUUUAUGACAGAGAACCAUUUAGUGAUCCAUCUCUAUAUUGUAGCAUUGCUGGUGCUUUGCAAUACUACACUCUCACCAAGCAUAACAUCUAUUUUUCCGUGACCAAAGUAUGUCGGUUUAUGCAUGCGCAAACUCUUAUUCAUUGGCAAGUUGUCAAGCGUAUCUCAUGAUUUCCCAAAGCCACAAGUUCUUAUGGUCUUUCUGUUCAAGCUUACAAUGAUCUAUCUUUUCUUGGUUAUACUGAUGUCGAUUGGGCUAGUUGCCCUGAUAACAAGCACAAUACUAGUGGGUACAACACUUUUCCUGGUCCUAAUCUCAUUUCAUGGGCAUUUUCAAAGCAGAAGGUUGUGUCUCACUCCAAUAACGAAUCUGAAUAUAGGGGACUCACUAAUUAAUGUUGUUGCCAAGGUCACUUGGAUUGAAUCUGUCUUACGUGAGUUGCGUGUUUCUCUACCCCAACCACCAAUUUUGUUGUGUGACAACAUUAGUGCUACACACUUGGACAAACCAUGUUGAAAUACACUAUCAUUUUAUCCAUGAAAGGCUUAUGCAUCACACACUCAAAAUUCAAUACACCUCUUCUAUAGACCAACUAGUCAAUGCUAUGACCAAAGCUCUUCCUUCAUCUCACUUGUACAAUCUUCAGUGCAAGCUGAUUGUUCUUCCCAAACCACUCAACUUGAGGGGAGAUGUUAAGCCAAUUUAAUAAAUUGAUUUCUUUUGGUUAAUUUGUUAGAAUCAUUUUUAUUAGAGGUUUGUUUGUACAAUUACAUCCAUUUAUCAGGAGAGUACACGUGUACAACUCCUCUUUUAAUCUCACCAUUGUAUAUAUAUGAUACACGACCUUACUCAGAAUUGCAUAACAUUUCCUCUGCUCAUUCCUUUUCUUCUUUGAAUUUUCCCUUACCUCACUGAUUUUGAUUUAUACCUGGUGUUUUCACCUUUGGUCUCUACCUUUCUAGCCAGUUUUCUAAUUAAUCCGUAUAUGGUAUACCUGUCAACUAAUGAGGAGAAAGAGAAAAGGGGAUUGCUGUUCCACCAGCUACAUAUAAUAAUUAAUUACAAUCAUGGUAAUGGAUCCUGAAAUCCAUCCUUUGUGGAUUUUGUACGGAAUAUUGUUGUUAUGUAUGUGGGCUCACUUAGAUGUAUAUUGCUAGCCUGUCUGGGAAAUGUGAUUGCAGGUCCAGAUUAUGAUGUUGAUAUUAGUGGGAUAAGCAAGAGAUGCAGUUAACACGUAUGUGAUGGACUUGAGUAACUUUUCCAUUUCAGUCCAUUUUUUAAGAUUAUGCUUAGUCUUAUUACAAGGAAAGACCAUAAGAAUCAUGAGUCAUUGGCAAGGUAAUAUCAUUCCCUCUUUACAGGCUUCUUCACCUUUUGGUUUUUUUAAUAUCCAUCAAGAUCUUUUAAUUGGAGGACAAUUACAAGUAUAUAUAUAUGUAUUAAAAGGGGAAAAUAUUAAAACAGGAAAUUUUAGGGAAAAUAUAAUAAUUAUUUCUUCCUUCUUUCCCAUAUAGAACUACACAAAAUAAAACUUUAAUAAUUUUUUCUUAUCUUUUUUAUUAUUAUUUUUUCUUAGAAACAUCCGUGGUCUCACAAGCUUGUAAUCCUAGAUUGUUAGGCUCCUUUAACAGUGCCCCAACAUCGUGGUCCAAUGACAAGCUUCCACGCCUUAAAAUCAGAAAAUGCCAUUAAACUUUAUCAGACAUUACAGUUCAAGACAAAGCUUUCAUUUGCUUAAUGUGAUAAUGAAAUUGUUAAUUUCAUUUCGUGGGCAUCUAAAUUUGGACGAGCAAGACCUCUGAAUUCCCUGUUUUUAUCACCAGCAGAGGAGAUAAAAUCUUAAUGGUGAGAAUCUCCACGUGAAAUUUAUGUGUACUGUCAACAUAUUUUUGUUUAUAUAGUCCAGUAGCUGCAGGAAGUCUAGAUUAUAUAGGUAGCAGUAGCACUAUUUAUAGCACUCGAUAUUCGCUGUAUGAAUACAUUAAACCUUGUUUUCAAUACGCAUCACAAGCAAGUACUAGAUACUACAAGGAGUGACAGUCGCAUCAACAUUUCUUGAUAAUAGCAGUGACUGAUUUAUACACAGAACAGUACUGUACACGUACCAGUCACCAGAGAUAGGAUCUUAUUCCUACAUACGACUCUUAUUGAUCGAAGUCACUCAGUUGGGGUAGCCUGGAGUUGGAGGUUUGUGUGGUGGCUUCUUCUUUGGAGGAGGCUUUAUCUUUGGAGGCAUCAUCUUUGGAGGCAUCUUGUGUGAGUCUUCUUCAGCAUUCUCUACAGGAGGAUGGCCAGGCUUAUGACCCUUAGGUGGUUUGCCAACUGGGAUUGGUGGCUUGUGUCCUGAGAGUGGCUCCUCUUCUUCGGGAGGUUUGCCAACUGACGUUGGUGGCCCGUGUCCUGGGGGUGGCUUGUGUUUUGGGGGUGGUUUCACUCCACCGGGAGGUUUACCAAUUGGUGUUGGUGGUUUGUGCUCAAUCGGUGGCCUCUCAACUGGGGGGCGCUUGGGGUAAUCAGCGAGUGAAGAAGUGGUGAGAACCACCACUCCAAGCAACAACACUAGCAAGUAUGUGGAAGACAUCUUUGAGUUUGGCUCAGAUGGUGUAGAACUAGAAUCCUGGGUGGCCUUUUAUAUUAGUUGGGCCCUAUGCCCGAACGACAAGUGUCAUGGUGACACAUAAAGUGAUGGGGUCGAUUUGGGCCUACCGGAUUUGAAAACUUGGACAAUUCGAGAAGCGUCUCCUGACUCCGGGUUGUAAAGUGAAAGAUUAGGUAUCGACCAUUGAAGUAUGAUCACAACUUUUGGCCUUUGGCUCUCUCUACUGCCGUAUAGCUUUUUUCCUUUGGAUAUUUUUCUUAGCUAGACACAAUUAUUGAGCAGUCUAAUCUCGAAAUGGGAUUAGUAUAGCUUUAAGCAAAUUUAUUAUAGUUAGUGGAGGACUUUUAAGAGUGCAGACGACAUUUAACACAUGCAUGCAGUAGUAUAGGGGACAUAACACUAUUCUUUUUCCAAAGAUUCACAUGAUUUUUAUAUUAUAGUAUUGGCACAUUGUAUGUAGCUGGUUUUGUGGUUAAAAUUCCAUAUGUAGACACUGGCGUUUCUCCAUUUCUCACAAUUGAUGUUUACCUCCACGAUUACUAGAUUAGAUAUACCAAACAAUAACACAUUGUAUAAUCUAUCCGCCCUUCAAAAUCUACUGUAUGAUGAAAUGUUUCAUGUGUGUGUGAAGUGUUAGAAAUGCACUAUAGGCAACAUCAUCUUCUUUUGUCUAGGCUUGGGCCUCAAAUUAUACUCCCAUGCCAUGAUAAAUUUUCAUGUGCAUUCUCUAAAGAAGAGUGUCUUGAAUGUGCCAAAUCAUUUUGAUUGAUUUUAUGAUGUUAAUUGCUCCGCAUAUGGAUGGGUAUGUGCUUUAUUUGCUUAUUCAAUCCACAAUUACCUUGAACUGAAGUCCUAUUGGAGCUCUAUUAUUUUAGCAACGUCCUGUCAAAUAGGCUGCUAACUUGGGGUGGUAUGGACCCAAUGAUCCAUCUUAAUCUUGGGUUGAUUUUGUCUGACUCUAUCUAUCUCAGAGAGAACCAGGAUCACCAGUGCUGGUCUGCUUAAAGAAGACUCAGUACUGGAUUAAUAUUGGUUUGGGUCAAUAGCUUAUAAUGCAUUGAAUGCAGAAUAAACAAGAUCAAUGAAACCCAAAACACACUGCCCACACAACUUCACUCUGGUGUCUGUUAUUCAUCAAUUCUAUUCCCACAUGAACUGGUUCAAGUUUAAGAAAAUGACAACGGAUCCACUGUAUUAACUUGGUUUUGCUUGGUUUUGAGCUAGUUGCCAAACCAGCCAUGAGUUUUACCUCUAAUGUCAAUGAACAAACCCCAAAUGAACAACUGCAACAGCUUAAAGAGAAGGAAUGGAGAUGAAAAUCCCUGUUUCUUCUCAUUCUGGGGACAAAUUAGAACAUAACUACAAAGGUUCUAUUAAUUGACUUACUCUACCAUGAAUUAUGGUUCUUUGGUUUUCCAAAUUUAAAUUGUACAUGAGAUUAUUUUUUUCCUUUAUAUAUAAACAUAUUAAGGUUUUCUUAUUUCGUGGGCAAAUGCGCUAAGGAUGAAAGUCAUUUCAUUUGGCUGCAACAGCAUCUUAUAAUCAACAUGCAUAAGCAGCAGUUUUAAUUGAUCGAUUGAACACCGACUCACAAGAAUAGAUAGAAUGGUACAAGACAGCUCUUAUUAAUUUAUACUCGUUACUCAUUUUAUGUAGCCCCAUUAAGAUGGCUGGCUGGACCACCGAGGUCUGGGGGUGGUGUUGCUUGUGUGAUGCAGCGGGCCGGGCAGACACUUCUCUAGUUGCUUCUAUUUGGAGUUAGAGGAUCAGUCUCUGCCAACCUUGAGGACUCUCUACCUCAGAGGGUCCAGGUGGUGGACUCUGGUGUCGGUAGCUUUGAACUCUCAGUAGACUAGUGUGUCUUAAUCAGUCACUGCCAGAGGCUGGCGUAGGCAGUGACGAUAAGGUGAGACAAAUUACCGAAUAGUCAAUAUCGACUGCACUUGACCAUUAUAGAUUUGUUCUGACAAAAGUGAGAAAAGGGAGAAAAUCGGAUGUUGACCUUUAUAGAAAAAGAUAAGAUUUACUGCAACACAGAGCACUGAUUUGUUACUUGGAAACCAAGUUAUGCUAUUAGCUAGCCUCCAUUAGCAGCAGGGUACCUUGCUGCCUGAUCCUAAUCUGAGUUCCCAAGGUUUCAAUCUUCGUUUGUUAACGCUUCAGGAUUUGGAUAUUUCAGCUUCGUUUCUCCAUUUAGCCAACGCUGCCUGGUUUGGAUUUCAAUCCUCAUCUGGAACAUUCUUUUUUCGGUCUGAUUCAGGAAGUGUUUGGUGAUAGUUGAUUAAAAUUAAACAGUACUAUCAUACAAAUAAAGCUGAUCUAAUUUUGGUGGGCAAUAUACCAACUCAUUUAUUCUUGAAAACACCAUGGGGAAUUGGAGGUCCAUCCGAAGUACUAUUUGAUGGGACUCACAAAAAGAACAGGUGCACAUUUAUGAGAUCCGUGGAAGAGAUAACUAUGACAGCUAUGCAUGUACAACAGAUUUAUGUCGAGUUCACCUCGUAGAUAUUUUGUUUUCAGUGUCGGUGGACCCCAAAAUGGAAAUCGGAAAUUAAGGUUAUAUUUAUUUUUUUAUUUAAUUUUAAAUAGAAUUUUAAUUUUUAAUAAUAUUAAGUAUUAAAUUAUUUUUUUAAGGGUAUUUUAUUUUUAUUAAGUAUUAAAAAGUAAAAAAAAUUAAUAUGUUGCUUUUUUAUUUUAAAAAAAUUAUAUAUUUUAAUUUUUUCUAUUUACUAAAAAGUUUAUAAUAAAUUAUAAAAAAAUAAAAAAAUAAAAAACUUAAAUUCUGAAAAUAAAUUAUUUUUAAUAAAAAAAUCCAAAAAAGCAAACACCACCUAAAUUUGAGAUGACUCAAAAUUUUAUAUUUUUUUUCACCUAAAUUAUAUUCAUAAAUUUAAAAUUAAAAAAUUAGGAAGUUGAAUUUUAUUUUGGAUAAUUGGAAACUACAAGAAAUCAAUAAAAAUAUUUGGAAAAAAAAGAAAAAGAAAAACUAUCUAUAUAUUCACCCCCUUCUAAGAAACAUAACUUUAGUUUUUAACUAUUUUUUAAAAUAAUUUUUGAAAAAUGUUAUAUAAUAUUUUAUAAAACAAAAAAUCUGUUUGACAAUUUGAUAUGUCUUUAACUUAUUUUUAAUAUUUAUAUAUAUAUAUUUUAAAAAUAAUUUUAUAUUUAGAACUUUAUCUUUAAUUAUUAUAUAUAUUUAUAUAAUUAUUUUUUUUAAAACAACUCUUAAAAAAUAAGUGAAAGUAAUUGAAAACAACUCAAAGAUAUUUGAUGAAAACACUCUAAUUUGUAUUUUUGAGAAUAAAAAAAUAAAUAAAUAAAUUUCUAGUUAUCAAAUGUAUUUUUUAAUUCUUUUAUUCUAAAAAAUAGAAAAUCGUUUUUGAAAAUAAUUAUUAAACAACAUUCUUAAAAAUUCACUCGUUACAAUCUAGAUUUAAUGCAAGAAUGAUUGAAGGAGUCCUCCAAUAGAACCCAAAGUUAUAAACAUGAACAAGAAGCCCUAGAAACACCAAAGAUCUCAUAUGGUAUAUAUAUGAGCUUGAUUGAGAACUGUUUUAAAUUCAGUUUUUUUUUUUUUUUUUUUUUUUUGUUUUCAAAGUCAAAACAAGUUUACUUUUAAUUUUUACUUCUUUUUUUUAAUUUUAUAAAUAACAGUUUUUUAAUAAUUUAUUUUGAAAACAUGAUUAUUUUUAAAACUUAUAAUGAAAAUAGGAAUUUUUUUUUUAAUAUCAUGGUUAUUUUCCCUUCUUUUAAGGAGGGCUAUUUUAAAAAUAAAUUUACAAAUAUGAAAAAUGAUUCAAACUAAAGCAGUACAAAUAAAAAACAUUUUUAAGAAAUAUUUAAAAAUAGAGAAAAUUAUUUGAGAACAUUUGAAGUCCUUAAAUAGACUUUUGUUUUAGAAAAGGCAAGAUAAUUAUUUUUGAAAAUUGUUUUCAUAAUGAUAUGCAAAAACCUACGUAAAAACCAUAAUUAUAAUCGGCCACAUAUCAAAUCUACUAAAUAUGAAAAGUAAGUACAUAAUUAUAUUUGACUUAGAUGCAAGGAGGAAAAUGUCGCGAUAUUAUCGCCGAAAUAUCGUGUGUCGAAGGGUAUCGACACGAUUUUUCUUGCAGAAAUAUCGGCCAGUCGAUUUUUCGGGAUAAAUCUCGAGAAAUCGGCAAUUUAUCGCGAUAUAUCGGCGAUUUUUCCUCGAUAUAUCUUCUGGUCAACGCGGGUCAACGGAGUCAACACGCUACAGUGAAAGUCAAAUGUGCUACAAUGUCCCCGCUACAAUCACCUCCCCAAACAAAUUGCCAAAUUGCUUCCGAGGGGAUUUGAACCAGCCUUCUUGCCAUUUGGGCUAACUCGCCCUUAUGAUAUAUAUUGCAUUAAACAUAUAUAUACUUAAAGUCCUUAUAUAAAGAAAAUGUUAAAAAAAUAUUUUAAAGAGCAAAUUAAUUAUAAUUAUUUUAUAAUUAAAAGCAAAAUUUUCUUUUAAUUAAUUACCAAAAAUAUAAAAAUUAUAUAAUUUUCUUCAUAAUGUUUUUAAUAUCAUUAAUAAUUAAUUAAAUAUUAAAAAAUUAUAUAUAUAUAUAUAUAUAUAUAUAUAUAUAUUAUAAUUUAUUUUAUAUUGUUUAAUACAAUUGAAUUAAAUGGAUCAUAUUUUAAUAUUAAUAUAUAUUUUAAAAUUAGACAUAUUGUAAUCAAAUAUCAUAAUAUUAUAUGUAAUUUAAUAAUAAAUGUACACUUAUAAAAUUCAUAUUUUUAUCGAUGCAUACAAUAUUAUUAUCAAAUAUGAUAAAUCAUGUUAUACAUAUAUCAAAAUUUUCAAUAAAAUAACUUUAAAAUGUCUAUUAUACUUCUAAUUAUAUUAUUAUGAGGUUUUCUUUACAUUUUCAUGAGUUUUAAACAAUUUUAAGCACCAAUAUUUUUUUCCAAAAUAUCCACCGAUAUAUCUCCGAUAUAUCCAAUAUAUCUCCGAUAUCUCCGAUAUAUCCGUAAAAUCGAAGUACCGAUAUAUCCGUGAUUACCGAUAUUUUCAUCAUUGCUUAGAUGCAACCUUCUUCCAAAUGACAUACUUUAGUCAAUACUUAUAUUUUUUCGUUUCACUUCUUUGAUACAACACCUCAUGGAUUUAUUGUUUAAUUUAUUUGUAAUUAUAAAACUAUUUUUCAUUUUUAAUAAGACUUGAAUUAAUUUAAUAAAUAUUAUAUAAUUUGAAUUUAUAAUUCUUUUUAUAAAAUCAAAGUAUAUUAAAAAAAAAACAAUUUAUCCGAAGAAAGUUUUUUAUUUUUUAUUUUUUAAAACCGAUUUUAAAAAUAACUAGCUAGACACCCUUAUUUUGAUAAAAUACGAAAUAAAAGUGUAAAAACAACAUGGCCAAAUAGGGGCUUAAAUUUUAUUUUUAAAACAUUUUUUUACACUAAAGUGCAUUUUAAAAACACCAUCAAAACCAACUACAAGUUAUGCUUCUUCCCGUAAUAGAAAUAUUUUAGGCCAAAAUAGAACCUCCCCAAAUAAAGACCCUAUACUAAACUCCUUUUCAUUUUAUUAAUACAAAAGUGGGGAAAAAAGGUCUAUGCUCACCUAAAAAACAUGAAUAUUGUGAAUUCACCAUUUCUAUAAGGAAGUUGAAAACUUCAAAAUUUUAUCAACAAAUUCUCUAAAAUCCUCAAAAUAUAUAGGGCCUGUUUCACAAAGUUUUUUAAAAUUUGUUUUUAUAAAUUGCUUUUAAAAUAUAGAAUAAAUAACAGUUUUUUAGAUUUUUUGAAAAAUAAGAGUGUUUGGUAAGAUGUUUUUUUUUUUUUUUUUUUUUUUAAGAAUUAAAUAAAAAAUAAAAAAAUUGUUUAGAUAAAAGAAUUUGUAUUGUUUUUAAAAACAAUGUCUUACUUUUAUGUUAUAAAAAUUUUAUUAAUUUAAUUUAUAAUAAUAUGAAAUGAAAUUCAAGUUAAGUCUUAUUAAAAAAUACAAAUUAAAUCUAUAAUUAUGCAUGAGUUAAAGAUAAAUAUAUAUUUUUUAAAACUAUAAAAUAAAUUUUCUAUUAUAGUGAAACAAAAAUUACUAUAAAAUAAAAAUAAUUUUAAUAUUCAUUUUUAAUACAAGUCAAAUAAGUACUUUAAUUAAUUUUUUUUAUCAUGAUUUCUUAUGUUUUUUUUUUUUUCUAGAAAUUAUUUUAAGUAAUAUAACUAAUUUUUUUUUUAAUGUUUUAUAAAAAUAAGGAUAUUUGGCAAGUUGUUUUUAUAAAAGGAUUUUAAAAAUAAAUGGAUUUUUUUUUUUUUUAAAAAAAGAACAAAAUGAUUUGUUUGAAUAAAUUGUUUUGAUUUUGUAAAAACAUUUUAAAUUCAAUUUAUAUAAUAUUAAUUAAUUAAAUUAAAUUGAAGUUUUAUUGAAAAUAAAAAUAAUUUUGUAAUUAAAAUUAGAUUAAAAAAUAUAUAGGUUUUAAUAAAUCGUAAAUAGUAAUAUUAUAAUAAAAUUAUAAAUUAUAUUUUUAACAUAAAAUAUACUAUUUAUUACAUAUUAAAAAAAAUAUUUUAUUAUAUUAAUAAUUUUAUGGUAUUAAUGAGUUUAUUAUUUAAGUUUUAAAUUAUUUUUAAAAAUUAAUAAAUUUGUUAACAAAUGCAAUGUACUAAAUGUGGUUUAAUUUGGAGUUAAUUUGUUUAGGGAAAAAAAUAAAAAAUAAAAAUCUUAUGUAAAAGAGAAAUAAUAGAGUGUGUGUGUUUUUUUUUAUUAUUUUUAAAAAUCAGUAAAAAGAACUUUUACUUAUUGCCUAAAAAUUAUUCUCUAUUUUAUUUUAUUUUUUAAAUCUAGAAAUAGAUAACAAUAAUAAAAAAAAUUAAAAAAGAAAAAUGUUUUUUAAAACUCAGACUUAUAAUUGCUUUUGUUUCUCAUUCGCACCCCUGGAUUCCUGGAUUCUAAACACAAAAUUAAGUUGAAUCGUCCAUCUAUCUUGUAAGCCAAGAAUUCACAUAGAAGAAAUAAUCGGAAUUUGAUUUGAUAUCAGAUUUAGAGUGGCUCACUACUCAUGCAUUGUCCCACAAUAGUAAUGCUUUGGGCCGAGAUAAACCCAUUUGUGGGCCCAAAUAAAACCCCUGGUUUGAAAACAUCGAUUUUACAGUGGCCCAAAAGAUUAUCUAUGAGGGGAAGAUAACUUGGAAGUCAAGCAAACACAUUUAUCGCUAACUUUUCUCUAAUUAUAAAAUUAUAACUUGGUCUUCUACACGUCUCACUUAAGAGGCGGAGCCACUUGGCACUACCUUUCCAUAUUGUAAAAGGAGAAGAAGCAGAAGGAGAAGAUUCUUAUGCCAUUCCACACACCAUGGCUAGUACUGCUAUGCUGCUUGGCCCGCCGGCUCUCCGCCAUCCUAAUUCUCCCGCCGGCACUGUCUUUGAAGAUGGGGUCAUUCUAACGGAUUCCCUGAUCGUCCGCACCAGUAAUCUGGAGCUUUCUGAAAAACCGCCACUGGAAUCCCUGGCGUAGUGCUCUGUCAGUGGGGAUAUUGCUAUGGAUUGUUUGGAUUCCCAAGCCCACAAUCUUCAUCUUCCCGGGAAACCGCCGAUGGGCUUAACGGAAAACAAGUCUCCGACCUUUUUGUCUUCCGGGAACCCGUGCUUGGACUUCUUCUUCCAUGUGGUUCCCGAUACGUCGUCUGAUGAUCUGAUCCGACGGUUUGAGUUGGCUUGGGAAUUCAAUCCGCUGACGACGUUAAAACUGAUAUGCAACUUGAGAGAGGUGAGAGGCACCGGAAAAUCUGACAAAGAGGGUUUCUACACGGCGGUUCUCUGGCUCCACGACCACCAUCCCAAAACCCUAGCCUGCAAUGCUAGGGUGUUGGCCAGCUUCGGUUAUUUCAAGGAUUUUCUCGAGAUUCUCUACCGGCUUCUGGAGGGCCCUAAAAUUCGAAGAAUCGAAAAGAAAGACUGGCUGGAUCGAAAAGGAAGGAAGAAAAAUUCCCGGAAAAGGAACUCAAUAUUCAAGCGAGAAAAUAGGCCUGGAGUUGAAUUUCCUGUAGAAGAGAAGGAUGUGGAGUAUAUGGUGGAAGAAUUUGUGGAUAAAGAAAAGGCUAGGGUACUGAGAAAGGAGAGAGAACUUGCUCUUGCCAAAAGAGCCCUGCACAAGUAUUCUACUGAUUCUAAUUAUCAGUUCUUACAUGAUCAGAUUUCAGAUUUAUUUGCUGAACUUCUGAAAUCUGAUAUUCAGUAUUUAAACUCCGGUGAGCUUUACAAGAUUAGUCUCGCAUCCAAAUGGUGUCCCACAAUUGAUUCUUCUUAUGAUAAAUCCACCUUGAUAUGUGAAAAUAUUGCUCGAAAGGUUUAUUCUCGCGAGGAAUAUAUAUCCAGAAUACCAAGGAAUUGAGGAGGCUCACUAUGUUAAUAGAGUCAGGGAUAGGUUGAGAAAACAAGUACUUGUUCCAUUACGUAAGGCCCUGGAGUUGCCAGAGGUUUUCAUGUGUUCGAACCAGUGGGGAUCACUUCCCUACAACCGUGUGGCUUCAGUGGCCAUGAAAUCAUACAAGAGCCUCUUCUCAAAACAUGAUACAGAGCGGUUUGGUGUGUAUCUUGAGAAAGUGCAAACUGGGAAGGCUAAGAUUGCAGCUGGUGCAUUACUUCCCCAUGAGAUUAUAGCUUCAUUGAAUGAGGAGGAUGGCGAGAAAGUUGCAGAGCUUCAGUGGGCGAGAAUGGUGGAAGAUUUAUCAAAGAAUGGGAGGCUCACAAAUUGCAGUGCGGUAUGUGACGUAUCAGGAAGUAUGAGUGGAACUCCAAUGAAGGUGUGUGUGGCUCUGGGGCUGUUAGUUUCAGAGCUCAGUGAAGAUCCAUGGAAAGGUAAUGUAAUUACUUUCAGUGCAAGUCCUGAGCUUCACAAGAUCCAAGGAGACAGCCUUGUAUCCAAGACUGAAUUUGUGAGGAUGAUGGAAUGGGGUGCGAACACUGAUUUUCAGAAAGUUUUUGACAGAAUCUUACAAGUAGCAGUGGAGGGAAAUCUGAGUGAAGAUCAAAUGAUAAAGAGGGUUUUCGUUUUCACUGAUAUGGAGUUUGAUGAAGCUUGUGGGAGGUAUAACUAUUGUGAAUAUGACUAUGAUAUGGAGGAAAUUGAUGAGAGUCAGAAGGCAUCUCAGAAGUGGGAGACAGAUUAUGAAGUGAUACAGCGGAAAUUCCAGGACAAAGGAUAUGGAAAAGUUCCGGAGAUAGUGUUUUGGAACCUUAGAAACUCAUCAGAGACUCCAGUGAUGGCCACAGAGAACGGGGUGGCCUUAGUAAGCGGGUUUUCGAAGAAUCUGUUAGACCUUGUUUUUGGAAGGAGGUGGAAUUCUGACCCCUCAGGAUGUGAUGGAAUUAGCCAUCUCUGGUGAAGAUUACAAGAAACUUGUUCUAUUUGAUUAAGAUAUCAAGAGAUUUAUCAAUAAUAAUAUGUUUUUUUUUUUCUAUGUGAAAUACAUGUAAUAUUAACUAUGGAGUUAUCAAAGUUCUGGAAAUUUAAUUAUUUCUUCUUUUCAAGUUUUGUUUGUCUUUGUUAGGAAUUCCCCUUGGGCGGACCCAGCUGGGGACUUGGAUUGAGGAAGUAAGGAGGCGAAAUUGUGUUCUUCUAUGGACAGAGAAAAAAGAUAAAAAUAAAAAAUAAAAAAGGAGGUUAUUUGCAUUUGGAUGUCAUGUGGUUUCAGGGUACAACUACAAGUUCGAAAUUGUACAUAAUGUGAAAAUUCCUGUGUGGAGAACAGCAUAAAUAUGUAUCUCAGUGUGUUUUGUUUGAGCUAAUUGGCAAAUUCGCUUUAAACAUGGUCACAUGGAUGCAUAUUUAUUUGUGAAAUGAUAGUAGUCGAUUACUUGGUCAGUAAGGUUUGUAUCUCUAACUCCAACAUCUUAUUGUAGUCUUUUAAAAUGUCAAAAGUUUAAUGCUAGCUUGAGAAAUUUUGGAAUGGAGACAUUCUAAACAAAGUUAAUAAUCCAUGAGACUUGGUAAAACCGAUCAGAUGAUGCUUACGUACAUGAAUGCCUUCUUUAAGCCGUAUCCUAUUUUCAUUGAAUGAGACGUGCCAUCUAGUUUUGUUCUUGUCUUGAUUGGAUCAUGAUCCCGGGAAUUGAUUACUGUUCUGAAUUUGCGAAUGUUCAAGGUAUUAGAGAAAGUUAAUAUUAUCGUUAAUUUACAUAUUAGUAUUUAUCUAGUUAUUAUAUAUUAGUUUGAAUUAUAAUAUAAUAUAGAAUUUGAAUCAAGUUUACUAUUAGUUUGAAUUACAAUAGGAAAUAAAGUUUGAAUUAUAGUAUAACUCAAAUAUAUUUGUAUAUAAAUAUCCAUCUUUAUCAAUGAGAAUAGUAAACCAUAUUUUUCUCUAUCUUCUUCUUUCUCUAUAUAUAUGGUAUCAAAGCCUCCAAAUCCUAAACCUAGUCUCAACUUAGAGCAAAUUUAGGGUGCAGGGUUUAGGCCCCGCCUCCCCCAACCCUUACCACAAAUGGUAGUGACCUUGUUAUGCCUAUGUAUUGUCAAUGCCUCAUUUUCUAUGGUCUUCAAUACAAUAUCUAGUUUCAAUGUCUCUUUCCUUACUAUCUCCAAUGCAAUAUAUUGAUUUCAAUAUCUCUUUACAACCAAGAGCUCCAAAUUUUCCUGGUUCAAAUCUACCAUAAUUUUUAUUCUCCUUUGCUUUUUACCAAUAUUAGUUCCCCUAAUUUAAUAUAUAUCUCUUUAUUACCUUCAACUCUACCUCUCUCUUUCUUUAAAAGCUUCCUCAAAGAUUUGAUUGCUUUCUUGCAUGUUUUGGGAAAACAAACAUGCUCAUAUUCUAUUACCUCUACUUGAGAUCUGCCUUAUACUCUACCUUCUUCUUUACCUCCUAUAUCAUCUACUACAUUAGCUUCAAAAACAUUAUUUAGUUUGAUGCUAAAUAAGGCUCCUAAUCCUACCCUUCCUUCAACUAACUUUCUUUUACAAGUCCCUCAAAGUUUUUUUUUUUUUUUUUUUGGAAAUUUGGCUUAGAAAGAUUUCAUUACUCUUACCUAAUCUUUCAACCAUCAAGUCGAAUCCACUUAUCUCUUGAAUCCAAGGAGACUACCCUCCACAAAAACAAGGAGAUUGACCCCCACAAUAACAAAGAGAUUGUCCUCCAUAGAAACAAAGAGAGCUUCCUUCAUGGAAGCCGAAUACAUCGCAAUCUAUUUUCUUUCUCUCAAGAUCAAAUCUCCAAUCGGAGCUCCAUCUUGUGGGGAUAUAUUAGAAAAAGUUAAUAUUAUCCUUAAUUUACAUAUUAGUAUUUAUCUAUAUUAUAUAUUGAAUUAGAAUAGAAUAUAGAAUUUGAAUUAAGUUUACUAUUAGUUUAAAUUACAAUAGGAAAUAGAGUUUGAAUUAUAGUAGAACUCAAAUAUAUUUAUAUAUAAAUAUCCAUCAUUAUCAAUGAGAAUAGUAUUCCAUAUUUUUCUCUUUCCCUGAGGCUUCAGAAUGUGAUCUUGAACAUUUGAUCUUUUGGAUUCUUCUUGUUUCGGUGGUUUAAUAUAAUGGAAUGUUUAAUUAUAGCCUACUUUAUCACCAUGGAUGUGCUCCUGCAGAUUUCUUGAGGGUGAUGGUUAUUUUGUCAUGUUUCUUGAAUGGUUUGCAUCAGCUGCCUGAGCUGUUGUUGCUGGUCACUUUUGCAACCAGGGAAAGAAUCAUGGCUUUGGAGAAGCCAGCUUCUGUUUUUGUUGCCCAGCUGUUAGUUCACUAAGAUUGGGGGUCCUAACAUGUAUGUAUAAUCAUAAGCAAGGAAAUUUUAUGUCUUACGCUAGAUAGGUACCAUGAUAUGAUGUUUGAUUGAUUUAUUAACUCUACCUGUUUCAAAAGGCAUCAACAUUAAUUUUACCCUUUUAACACAUUGGAUUGUUUGACCUUACGAGAUUUUCUAUUUCUGUACUAUUUGAACUGCAAUCGUUAUGGUCCUUAGGUCUCUAAACCUUCGUUUAAAAUAAAAGUAAGGAGCACACAUAGUAAAAGUUAAUUUUGGGUAACUUUUAAAACAAAGAGAAAAGUAAAAGUUGUUUUUGAGAAAAACAUAUAGAAAUUGAAAGAUUUUUUAUUUUGAGAAAAAAAAGUCAUAGAAAAGAAAUAAUAUCCCCAUAUAAGUAGAUAUGAUCUAUCCGAAGUGUAGCUACUCUCCUGGAUUUAUUCUAACAUUUUAAAAUUUUUCUCAAUGGGCAAAGGAAUAUCAAAUCAAGCUUGAGUAGGAUUAAUUUCUUAAUUUUUAAAAUAACUUAUAAUUAAAAUUUUUUGGUGUUUUCUUUUUUGGACAAUUUUUUAUGAAGACUCUGAAUCAUGCAAGAGAUAUGGUUAUUUUAAAAAAAAAAAUAAUUUAAAACUCAAAUACAUAAUCAAUGUCACAAAUUUAUAAACAAAAGGUUUUUAAAAAAUACUAUUAUUUCCCCUCUACACAUAAUUUUACUUUUCCGAUUUAUUUAUUUUUGUUGGAAAACAGUCUUCAAAUCAAGUAAAAUUAAUAUGUUAAAUUUGUUAAACAAAUAAAUUUUAAAAUACAAUUUGGAACUCAAAAAUCAAUUCAAGUAAUGCUAAAAUUCAAAAAAUCAAAUUUGGAAUAAAAUGACUUUGUAAAUUUUUUUACUAAACAAAUGAAUUUUAAAUCAAGUGAGAUUUAAUACAUUGGAUUUUUAUGAGAAUAGUAAUUUUAAAAAUUAAUUUGGAACUCAAAAAUAGACACAAUAAAUACCAAAAAUCAAUGAACCAAAAUUGGUUUGGAAUAACUCCAUAAUUUUUUAUUUAUUUAUAUAUUUAUUUUUUUGUGCACACGAAUUUCUUACUAAGCAUAUUGCUUCCAAAUUGAGAAAAAUUUACUAUUUAGAUUUUUUUAAUGAGUUUAAUGGUAUUUAAAAAUAAUUCAAAAAUUCGAAAAUUGACUAAUUUAAUAUUAUAAAUUCAUAAACCAAGACUAAUUCAAAAUGCAUUGGGGGCUAAGGGGGUUGAAAUUAAUGCUCCAUUUGGUUGUGGCCACCAAUUGGCAAUGGCCACCAAUCAACCAAUCAAGGUGGCUAAGGGGGUUGAAAAUAGGGACAAUGGGGUGGGUUUGGGACAGGACACUCAUAUCCCAUUCCCAUCCCAAUUACACAGUUAUUUCCCAUCCUUAUUCCAAACUUGUGUUGGGGCAAGUUGAUUUGUUCCCAUCUUUGUUAACGAAAUGACUAAUAACCUCAUCCUCUCCUUGUCUUAGAUGUACAUUUUCUCAAAUUUGGUCAGGUAUGAUUGAUUCAAGCCCUAACCUUAAUUGGUAAUGAGUGGAUACCACACCUAAUUGCAUUCUUCUUUCGUUGCAAAAUAAUGAGAUUAUAAUAAUCUAGCAAAUAAGAAAAAAUAGUAUGGAAGUUCAAAUUAACACCAUAACUAUCAAUAAUUUUAAGCUUAUAGAUGACUUAAAUGAUUGAAAACUAAUGCAAAAUACUAAAAAAAAAAAAAAUCAUCUAAAGAAUUCACAAGAGAAUAGAACGAACAAAACCAAAUAGGAACAUGGGUCAACAUUAGUUACAGAUUUUGAUCCCUUUCAAGGCCAAUCUUUGAACCAAGACUUCAUCAAAUCUACUACUUCAAAGGCUUUUGUGUUCUUCUUGAGUUGUACUCUGGAACAAAGACUUCGAGGUGAUGCUUUAGAUGAUUGCAUUACACAUAUUUAGGGUAGGGAGAUUGGAGAAGCUUGAAGAUGCCAACGAUGGGUACAAUUGAGUGGUCAAUAAGAACAAUGUGGCCUAUGACUAGUUUGAUGUCAUGGUAUAGGAGUUUUGGGCAUUGAGGUGAAAGCAAGAGCAACAUGGAAUUGAUUUCAAAGUCUUUCAAUUAGUGUAAAGGAGGAAGAAGAAGUGGUAUUGAUCCUAGAAAUAGUGUUUUAGGUGUUGCAUUAGAGGAAAAGAAAAAGAAAAAGAAGGAACCAUUGGAAUUAGUACGAGUGUGAAGAGAGAAGUGUAUACAUAAGGGGAAGUAAAAGCAAAGUUCUAAAAAUUUAUUUUUUUAUUGGUGGUGUAUGGUUGCAUGAUUAUCCCUAUAAAUAAUAGGAGUUUUUUGGUGUUCUACUAGUAGUUGAAGGAUAAUUUCAUAAGAUAAUAUUUAGAGCGGGGUGGGGUGAGUUGUGACAAAAUCCAUACCCGUCCCAAACAUUGGUUCAGGUUUUUAAAAUAUUUUCAAACUUAUCAUAUACCCAAUUUUAUAUUUCAUACUUGUCCUAAUAGAGACAGGUUAGUCAGGGUUACUUGAGUAGCCUACAAAACUAUCAUCCCUAGUUGAAAUGCUCUUUUUGGCAGUGGCAGCUAGAAGCUCGAUCGAUUGACCUACAAGACUAGUUGUCAUCAUUUUAAAAAGAGUUUUGGCUUUGGUUGUGAGUGCAAUUGAAUCUAAACUAACAUUUCCUUAAUGCAUCUACUUCAAUCCUAAACUUCUUACUUAAGCCUCAAUUGUUGUUAAGAUUUUGGAAAACCCAUUUCCUUAAAUUGUAAAUUUAAGAAAAAAAAAAUUAAAAGUGAGACAUUUCUUGAUUGAAUGUUGUUAAAGGUCCCUUGGAAUUAAGACUUGGUUGAAGCCUUGGAAGAUUAGCAGAACUCUCAACUUAUGUUUGAACCUUGAGGAGAGUGGACGUAGGCCAAAAUUUUGUCAAACCAUUAUACAAAUUGAGUUUGAAUUCUCAUUUCUUGAUUUCUUAUUUAUUUGCUUUUUCUUAUUAUUACUUGAAUUGUCAUUUGCAUUCAUUAAUGUUAAAAUUGGUUAUAAUUAGCCAACACUAAUUCUCUUUCCCCUUCCCUUAAUUUCUUGGGUGUAAACCUAGGUUGGAUUAACUAGAUUUUAUCAAAUCUAUUAAGAUGGUAAAAGAAUAAUUAUUCUUAACAUACAUAAGAUCAUCUUCAAUCAAAUGACUCAUUGGCUGAUAUGUUGAAUUUGCUUAUUACUUGCAACUCAAAAUUGUGUUCUAGUUGAUAUGUCAAGUCCUGAGUGUAUGGACAUUAAAUUUGUAGUACGUGAUGAGUAUUUAGAUGGUCCAAUUCCAAGAAAGUGAUUGAAAACUAGUUCAAGAAAGGUGCAAAAGGGAAUUGUUUUGGUAUUUUCGUUUUUAUUCUUGAAGGUGGCAGAGCUAAAAUUUGAGAAAUCAAGCAAAACAUACUGAAAUUACAUUGAAAGAAAGAAAAUGGGAGUUAAUGUCUUGCAGUACAUGAUAAGGACUUCAUGCAUGUAGUGUGACCCAUGUCUUGGACUGAUGCCACACUCACGGUUACACUUAUACCCUUAGUUCUCUCUUUACUACCUUAGCUAACCUAGAUCAGGUUAUGAGAUAGGCACCUCACCACACCAUUACUUGCCCAUUAAUUAGUGACAUUUUCAAGCAAUGAGGUAACAUGGUGACACCAAGAGGGUAUAUUCCUCACCCCCAACAAGCCUAGACCUGGUCUAAAAAAAAUGGAGAAAAAUGACGUGUUGUUAUGCAGAAAUAUAGCAACCAUGCCUUCCUCAUUACUUAGAUUCAGAAUGUGAAGGUGAAAUUGAGAAACAGAAACUCUUGAAACCAAAAUGAAAAUUGAUACUUUUACGAAGAAUUACAACAACAUUAGAGGAAGACUACAUUCUUCCUCUUUAUUCCUACAUUUCUACACUACUUCUACUCCACUCCAUAUUUCUACAUACAUCUUUAAUCAGUCUUCCCUCCUUUAUAUAGAGCCAUCUUCACACAAAUUCCGCAAGGUAGAAAAGAGGAAUGAAACUUGGAGCAAGGUUCGACUACUGGCUGUAGCUUGUCAAGGCUGAAAGUGAACUUUUUUUCUUGGCUUUUCUGGGCAUAGGUAGUAACUUGUAGGUUCCUUUUUGGAAUGAAAAUGGUACGGCUAGAACAUGUGGCACUCUCUUGUUGGAUGAUGUGUCAAGCAUGUGGCAGCCAUCUAGUGGAGAUUAUGUCAAUUUUGGGAUGGAGAGUUGGCAUCCAAUUGCAAAGAAAUAUGACAUCUACCAACAUGCAAUGUCAACCUAUGUAGAUCAUAUGAAGAUAGAGAGGAAAAAUAUAGAAAUGGAUAUAUAACUAGAACUAGCUUUUUAUUAAAUGAGACGGAGAGCCAACAAUGAAGGAAAAUCAAAAUUUUUGGCUCAUAUCAAAGAAUUCACAUUGUGUUACCCUAGGUUUUCUUAAAACUUACUUUUAUGAUAAUAAAAAAUCAUUAUUGUUUAAUCCUUUGUUUUAAACGCAUGUUUAGCAGGUUGUAAAAUGUAAAUAUCUUUCGAAAUUCAAAUAUGAAGAUAUGACAUCAUUUCAAGCAAUAUAGUCUCUAGGAAUUAAUGUAAAGCUAAAUUAAGGUGCAAUUAAGUUAGUUCAAUGCAUUAUUUUAAGAAACUUGACCUAUCAAAACCUUGUCUUACUUCAAAGCCUCUUUUUCUUUUCUUCCAACUAACAUUUUAAUAAGUGAUCGCAAAAGUACAAAAUUAGAUGAAAUCCAUUUCAAUGGUUAAAAUGAUCAAAUUCAAACUUUUUCUAAGUAUCUUUUAAAAGCAUCAAUAUUGAAAGACAAUUUUAUAUUUAGUCAAAGCUUGGACAGAGCCAAAAAGCACACAAAAAUUUAUAUUUUCUAGCUCUCUACCUUGGAUGGUCUCUUGAUCCUACUUGGAGAUGUGCAUAAAUAAAAGGAUUUGAAAAUGACAAUUGACUAAGUAUGUAGUCAAUCAAUUACUCAUUGAUUGACUAGUUGAUCAAUUAACUUUGCAACAUCAUAUGCAAUCCUAAUAGCUAGUCAUCUAAUCAACUAGGUAGUAAAUCAAUAGGCCAAAAAUAUGUUUAUAAUGACUAUUUUGUACAAAAACCACUUAUAUAGUUAAAUAUAAUGCAUUUCAUUUAUAAAUCUUCUAAUUCUUGAAUAACAAUCCUAUCAUCCUUUGAAAGUUUUUAUUACACCUUUUCUACAUUUGUUCUAAAACUUAUACAUCACCCUUAAUUGUACCAUGAGAACCUAGCAUUUUUUUUUUUUUUUUUGUAUUUCAUCAAAGUUAGCUCUUGUACUCAUUGUUGUAUUAUUUUUAUUGUAACUUAGAGAGCGAGUGUUUUCAAGUGAGUGAAAUUGACUUGUAAAUAUUGUAAAGAUUCAUUGAUAUGUAUCUCAAACUAGGUGUACAAGUUGAAACAUUUGCUAGUAGAUUUUCUCAAGAUUUAGAAUGAGCUUAAGGCUAUCGAAUUAGGUGGGGUUGCGCCAAACCAUAUCACAUCGUUGUUUGCACCUUUUUUUUCACUCUCUUUUACUUAGUUGCUCUAUAUAUAUUGUCUAGCAAUAUCCUAAAGGCUUGAUGGGCUAGGGAGCAUCCCUCUGAAUGAAAAAUUUUCAUUCAAUUCUUAGUUGUAUUACGCAUAUAUAAAAUGCCUCAUUGUUUUAAUGGUAUUCAGUCGUGGCACCACAGAUAUGGACAUCUAAAUUUUAAAAGUUUGAAACUUUUAGCUAAAGAAAAUAUGGUGCUUUGCCUUUUUGGAAAGCAUGUUGAUGAAAUCCAUGAGAAUUGUAUACUUGGAGAGCAACAUCGAGAUAACUUUUUUUUUUUCUUUUUUUAUAAUGCAUUGUUUGUCCAAAUUCCGUACAAAUUAGGCCACCACAUGUUCAUAAUUCUCCCUUCUUGAAUUUGAAAACUCGGACAAUUUGACAAUGCGACACCUAAGUCCGGUUUUUAAAUGCUAAAGUGAAAGGGCAGGUAUGGACCAUUGAAAUGUGAUAACAACUUUUGGCCUUUUCCUUUUCUCUGUAGCCAUGUUGUCUCUUUUUAAUUUCUUUUGCAUGAUUUUCUUACCUAAACAGAAUCAUAGACUUGUUUAAUCUCUAAGUGGGAUUUCAUCCACCUUAAGCUACUGUAUUAUAUCUCGGUGGAGGACAACCGACAUAGAGCACAUGCAAGUGGGUAUAUGGGACAUGAAAUAUCUUCUUAUAAAGCUUGUUUUGCAGUUAAAUUAAUUGGAUAAGUAGACACUGGCGUUUCUAAAUUUCCCACCUAAGAUAAUGACCUUAUCCUUGACUGCUAGAUACACAAACAAUUAUACCUUCAAAAUCUACUGUGAAGUGCUUCAUGUAUGUGUGAAGUAUUAGAAAUUUCUUUCUUGGCAACUUGUUUUUUUCUUUGCGGUCUACUGAUAGGUUUGACUAAAAUUAUAUUCCCUGUCCUGCUAAUUAAUUUUCACGUGCAUGCUCAAAAGAAGAGUAUGACCUUAGUGCACCAAAAUCACUUUCAAUAAUUUGUGAUAAGUUUUUUUGCAUGACAUUAACCUUAUUCAUUUAGAUAAUGUUUAGUUCUCAUAAAUAUUAAGAAAAUGAAAAUAAAUAUUAAGAAAAAUAUUCUUAUAUUUGAUUGUAUUAUGAAAAAUAUCAUAAAAAAUCAAAUAUAAUUAAAAUUAAUUAAUAAUUUAUAUAUUUUAAAAUUAUUUAAUUUUUAUAUUAAAGAUAUAAUAUAAAUGAAAUGAGUUUUAAGUAUUAUAUAAAAAUGAUUUAUUUAUUUAUUUAUAUAUAUAUAUAUAUAUAUAUUUAGUUUUUCUCUUUAUUUUAUUUUCCUUAUGUUUUCCUCACAUUUUCCGGAAUCAAAGAUAGGGAAAUCCACAAUUACCUUCAACUGAGUAGAUUCUAUUGUUUUAGCAAUGUUAGGCUGCUAACUUGUGGUGGUACGAACCAAAUGAUCCAUGUUAAUCUUGGCUUGAUUUAAUUUGGCUCUAUCUCAGAGAACUCAAGGAUCACGUCAACUCUGGUUUCUACUAUUCAGGUCCAUUCCCAGAUGAACUGGUUCAAAUUUGAGAAAAUGGUAACAGACCUUUAGUGAUAUUGGUUUGGAGCCAGUUGCCAAACCUGCCCUGAGCUUUACCACUAAUGUCAAGGGACAAAGCCAUUUGAACAAAAACAAUAGCUUCAAGAGACUGAAUCGUGGAUGAAAUCUGAUCCACAUUUCUUCUCAUUUUGGGAAAAAAUGAGGACUUAACCACAAAGAUUCUACUGCCUCAUAGUGCUUUUCCUGAUCUAAGGUUGGCUCGUUUCCCAAAUUGUGAGGUGCACGUGCCACUCUCACGCUCAGGAGUGUAUCCACGUGGUGGACAUAAGAUGGUGGCUUAAUAUCUGGUGUCGGUGGCUUUACUUUACUAGGAGAGUAGUGUGUCUUCAUCUCAUUCACUGCCAGAGGGUGGCGUAAGCAGUGACGCUAAGGUGGGGCACAGUCAAUAUCAUUUGCAUUUGACCAUUAUAAUUUUCUCCCGGCUUUAAAGUAACCUUAUCGUGAUAAUGGAUUACUAGCACUAGUUCAGAUGACAGUCAUGUUAAAUUCGGACCAUGUUUGUGUCACAUUAUCAGCAACCAUGUGCUUGUGGUUCAUGCUAUCUGCAACUAAACUUGAUAUAUAACCAGGUGAACUUCAAUCUAAAUUCUGGAAGUACUCAUGUGAUAGAUGGUGCCUGUCUGCAGUGAGUGUAUCUAUAAGAGGGAAGGCUUGGCAAAUGUUCAGUUUUCUGGGAAUUCAACAGGGAUCUAAAAUAGAUUGUUUUCUUUGCUGAUUUCAAUGGUUGAAAUUUGAGAAGAUUGUGUCCACAUAACACAACUAUUACUGGUCCUUCUGUUGCAAUUUAUCCUCUAAGGCUCUAACAUGUCUUCCAAUUCCCACUUCCCACUUCCCUGUUACUCCAGGAAAGCUGUUUCUGUCAUUGUGAAGAAGAAAAGAGACUGUACAUAUCGAUGCUUUUAAGUGGACUGGAGAAUUCAUAUCAGGUGGUCUGCAGCCAUACAUGCCACUUUGUGAAGGUUGGAACAGUCAAUCACUAGGCUAUAUUAGUGGGGCCCAGCCACUUCAAUCAAGGACAAGUCUUCAUACUUAAAGUCAAAUUCUGCCUUUAGUCUCAUUAUAAAUUGCUGUUUAAAUAUCAAGCAAACAUUUGUUUAAUGCGAUUAAGACAGCACUAACUCAAUACUUGUUCUAUUUUUGGAUGCAAAUGCUUGAUAGUUUCAUCAUUGGAGGGGAUAAAGGUGCAUUCAUGAUUAUGAAUACUUGUAGUUAUAUUUUCAUUCUCUUUUUUCUCAAUGGGACUUGUUGGCACAAUUUUGCUGUUCAGAAACCUACCUCUCCAUGGAAAAUCAGUUGUGAUUGAUAUUACUGGAUAUAUUCAAGAAAGCUAAAUGUAGAUAGCACAAAAUAUUAUCGACAUAAAUAGCAUUAACAGCGUACGUAUGUCUCAAUGCUCAUCAGCUAUAAGCAAGGGGCAAACACUUACUAUGAGCAACUUACGUCAAAAUUCCGGAAUAGGACAUAGAAGUGACAGGUCAGUAAAUAUAGAACACUGCAUAUGAGUCACAAGAAAGGAAAUUACGGGUACAUAGCAGCUCUUAUUUUACAUCCUACUCAUACUGAUCAAAGUCACUCAGUUGGGAUGGGUGGGAGUGGGAGGUUUGUGGGGUGGCUUGUGCGGAGGAGUUGGCAGCUUCUUUCCAGGACCUGGUUGCUUCUCUGCUGGAGUUGAAGGAGGCUUAAUCUUCCGAGGUGGCUUGUAUGAGUCUUCAGCAUUCUCAGCAGGAGGGUGACCAGGGUUGUGACCACAAUGUGGUGGCUUCUCUCCCUUAGGUGGUUUGCCAACUGGGGUUGGUGGCUUGUGUUCCGGAAGUGGCUUCUCUUUGUGUUCAGGAGGUGGCUUCUCCACUGGAGGCUUGUGUUCAGGAGGUGGCUUCUCCACCGGAGGCUUGUGUUCAGGAGGUGGCUUCUCCACCGGAGGCUUGUGUUCAGGAGGUGGCUUCUCCACCGGAGGCUUAUGCUCUGGUGGUGGCUUCUCCACCGGAGGCUUAUGCUCUGGUGGUGGCUUCUCCACCGGAGGCUUAUGCAAUGGUGGUGGCUUCUCCACCGGAGGCUUGUGUUCAGGAGGUGGCUUCUCUACCGGAGGCUUAUGCUCUGGUGGUGGCUUCUCCACCGGAGGCUUAUGCUCUGGUGGUGGCUUCUCCACCGGAGGCUUGUGUUCAGGAGGUGGCUUCUCCACCGGAGGCUUGUGUUCAGGAGGUGGCUUCUCCACCGGAGGCUUGUGCUCUGGUGGUGGCUUCUCCACCGGAGGCUUAUGCUCUGGUGGUGGCUUCUCCACCGGAGGCUUGUGUUCAGGAGGUGGCUUCUCCACCGGAGGCUUAUGCUCUGGUGGUGGCUUCUCCACCGGAGGCUUGUGUUCAGGAGGUGGCUUCUCCACCGGAGGCUUAUGCUCUGGUGGUGGCUUCUCCACAGGAGGCUUGUGUUCAGGAGGUGGCUUCUCCACCGGAGGCUUAUGCUCUGGUGGUGGCUUCUCGAAUGGGGGAUGCGUAGGGUAAUCAGCUAGUGAGGGGGCGGUGAGAACCACCAGGCCAAGCAACACUACUAGCAAGUAUGUAGGAGACAUCUUUGGGUUUGGGCUCAGAUGGUGCAAAACUAGGAGAAUUGGCUAGCCUUUUAUAGCGGAUCGUACCCAAUAAUGAAAUGACACGUGUCAUUAUGACCCAUGUGUCAUGUGGUCGAUUUGGGUCCUACAGUGUUGAAAACUUCGACAUCCACUUUUUUGGCCUUUUGCUUUCUCUACAGUCGCCUUGCUUUUUCCCUCUUUUCUUUUGUUUUCCUCCUGCCCCAUUCUAUCAACUAAUCACAAUUAUGUAGUUGUUUAAUUCUUAAAUGAGAUAUUAUCCGUCAAUCAUAUUAUCUUUUAUCAAGAGAGAACGGAGUGAAAAGUGGCAAUCCAAAGAAAGAAGAUCCAUAAUGCAGCUGUAAUUUUAUCGUUUACUUUUAUCUCUAGGACCACUGCAUUUUUGUUGAGAGGUGCAAUAAUACACGUCUUUAUCUGCCAUUCAAUGUUUACAGUAAAGAGAGGGCACAAAACUCUUCACUGCUCUGCAUGUGCCCCAAAAAUGCAAUUGGACAAAUUAUGAUUUGCAUGCUAAAAAGAGGCAAAUGAGGUUAAUUAGCACCAAAAUUAUUUUGUUUUCUGGACACCCCGGGGCCCUUUGGUUGGUUUGGGGGUCAGAAAAUGAACAUCAUAGGGGGUUUUUCCCUAAUGUGCAUUUGCAUUUGUAUCUGAUGGCUUUAACUCGCCUUGUUACUACAAAGAAAUUGUCACAGAUAGGAACUUAUUCCAGGCUGAGUAUCUCCGCAUGGACCCUAUAAAAGAAGACAAGUCAUAAUGAACAUCUAACCUUUGUUCAAUUUGAUUCAAUGCCCCUAUUGUGUCCAUCUCACAAAUCUGAAUUAUUAUAUCCAUUGAAUACAUAAAUUAAUGAAGAAAAUAUGAAACCCAAGAUACAUCUCUGCACAACCUCAACCCUGGUUGCUAUGUUUCACUUCUAUUCACAUGAGGAUAUUGAUUACGGAAUAAGGAAACCUAGCAAGGGUUUACUCGGCUCUGGUUUGAUGCUAAUUGCCAAACUUGCAACAAGCCCUGAGUUUGACACCUAAUCGAUGGGCGAAUUAAAAGUCUCCUCCAAACAUAUAUUCCACAGCUUGAAGCUCACAGAAGAUGCUAUACAGGCAGGGAAAAACCUUCAGAGUUAGCUACCAAAGAUAAUUAUCAAGGAGAUAUCACCAAGAGAAUUCCAUGGAGUCUGAAUCAAAGACAAAUUGCUCGCUCGUGGGGGUUCUUACUUAAUUUCUUUUGGGUAUAACUCACUGAGGGCACUGGCUUUGUUAUUUGCAUUUCGCAUUUAGAGUUCUGUUCUGGAAGGUUUGUUCUGGAAACAUAUAAAAGGAGCAUCAUUUUGUUCUAGGGUAACCCAUAGUUGUGAGUGGGUCCAUUUGCAUGCUACUUAGUUGAAAAGUUGGACAAUUUGCUCCGACGCCUACCUCCUGGAUUCCAUGCUCGGAUAAAGCAAGAAUAAUAAAAUAUUUAUAAUUUACAAAUGGGGGAAAGAAAAAAAUGUCAACAACAAACUAGGAAAAAAGAGUAGUAAAAUUUAUGCCACAUGCUAUUGAUAGAAGGGGCAUGUAUUAGAUCCAUCACCAUUUGGUAAGAUUUUAGUAUUAUAUUUUUCAAGGUUCAUUAUUUGAGGGUGUGUUCUUCAUCUCUGUUGCAUUGCUUCUUACUAGGCCCACUGAGGUGGGUUCUUCACCUUUUGUAUAUUCUCUGCACUAGAUCAAUGAGAAAGGGGGAAUUUUGGUGAAUUUGCAGCCGUUGGAUGAUUGAUUCUAGGCUCAGUCCACCAAUGAUGCUCUCUUCACUCUUUCUCAUCUAGUGUCAUUCACAACUAUGUUUUGAUUCAUAUUUGUACUAUCAAAGAUAUCUCAUUAUUCUAGCUCAUUAGGUAGAGUUCCUAAUCUUCCUCCUUUUUGGUCUAUGGACAGUAUUGGCUUCAUAUUAAGAUCAUGUUUCAAUAAUUGCACAUUAAUGAAUGGAUCAUGACCCACAUAAACAGAGUCAGGGUUGAGUCAGUGAACCCUAAAAUUUCACAAUUCUAAAUUUGGGUUCUUUAACAAUGCAGGGUCAAGGACGCGUGGUGAUGAAGGAAAGCUGGUAAGCUCAGUGUUACUUCAAUUCCUGCCAUGUAGGAUGGUGAGGAGAUAUUCACUAUGCAAUUAAUAAUAGACAAUAUUCACUAUGCAAUAAUAAAGCAUAAAUUAAGUUGAAUGAAAAGCAUUUUCUUUGCAAGGAGUUGAUUUUGGUUUCAUAGUUUGUUCAACUGCUAUUUUGGAUAGGAAAGUGUGAGGAGAAGAAAAUAAAAAAUAAAAAUAAAACAAAAAAUAAAAAAUAGAUUUUAUAAAUUCAUUUAAUUUAUUUUUUUUUUAUAAAAAUUAACUAAUUUAAAAUAUAUGUAAAUUUCUAAUUAAUUUAAUUACAUUUUUUUUUUCAGUUUUUCAUAAUAAACCAAAUAUUAGAAAAUUAUUUUUAUUAAGACACCCAAGAUGAGGUAAUAUGCAAUGAAAACAUGAAUUAUAUUAAAAUUCAAAACAAAUUAAGAGAAAUCGGAAAAUAUACAUAGAUAUCUAAACAAAGAAAUUUAAAGAGAAGGAACCACAAACUUUAUUUACAUAAUUUGAAAAUAAAAAACAUAAAACAUACUUAUAGUAAGGAGAAAUUGAAUAUCUUACAAUGGAAGAAGGGAGAAAAGCUUUGAAGAAAGCUUUUGCUUGGAAGCUUACAUGGUGAGAGGUAGAGAAAGGAGAGAGAGAGAAGAAAAUGAAAAAUGAGAAGUGGAGAAAAUUGGAAGUUUUGUGUGCUUACAACUGAGGAUAGAGCCUCCUUAAAUAGCAAAAAAUGGAAUAUUAAAUAGUACCAAUCAGGAGACAAAAUAUUGUUUGCUUUUGAAACCCGUGCAUGAAUAGUAAUCCCGUGAGUGAAUAGUGAAUAAUAAAAGUGAAUAGUAAAAGUCACUUUCUACUAUAGCACUUUAGACUUUUUCAUCGAGAAUCUUACUUUCGGCUGAGUGAUGAUAGCUGAUAGGUUGCUUUGGAUUGUGGAGUCAUAUGUUUGAUGUUUUCGGUGCUGAAACCGCUUAGUUGGAGAAUAAUCUCGUCAGUAGAGCAUCAUGAGAAGCUUGAAUGGAGAGAGCUUAAUGAUGCCAUAUGAUUGGAAGGAAUCCUAUUUUAAUUUCCUUAUUGGAGGGAGAAUACCCUCACAAUCAUCUUCAUUAUCUUGAAGGUAGUUUGAUAUAGAGUCAUCUGACUCAGCAUAAGAGUCCUCUUGGGAGAAGCUUGAACUGCUUUUGUCAAGGAUUUUCUGAAAUUCUUGAGGGGUUUUUGCUAUUGCUAACAUGGUUUGGAGUUGCUGUUUCUUAAGAAGAAACUGUGCAAUAUCAUAAGAUGAUGAAGCUUGUGUAGGAUGCUUUAGGAAAUAUUGCUUUAUUGCUUGUAGUGAGGUAUCAUUUUUCAAGGCAUCCCACCACUUAGACUUGAAAGUCCUUCCAAGGGUUGGAAAGGCUGCUGAUUCAUCUGCUAUAAUGAUAUAAUCCCACUGGACUAUCCAGGCAAGGCCAAAUUCACUAAAAAAGAAUAAUAAUUGGGGAAAACUGAAAGUUCUCUAGGGAUAACAAAAGAACUUUGGAAUAGCUCAAAGCCAUCCAAAAUGGGUUUUGGGAGAAUUUUAAUAGUUGGACCAAAAUAUGUCCACCAAUUGUGGAACCAAAAUGGAAAAGAGGGGAGUUGAUGCUUAGAUGGGAAAUAGAACAUCCCUGAAUGAUGGAAGUCCUUGUUCUGGAUCAGAAAAGCAUUGAACCAUACUCUUUGGUAGUCUCAAUAAUUGAAAAUUUUAGGUUUUGAAGGCUUAGAAAAUUCUCUUGAAAAAUUAGGAUUCCCACCCCACUGCUUAACUGUAAGGAUUUUAUAAAUAUGGUAAGUGGAGAAUGCCAAAUCCAAAUUGCUGAAUUUAUCAGCAUUGUGCUUGAUUUUAACAGAGCCGGUUUCCAUAAGGAUUGCUUCAUAAAAUUCUCUUGUUUUUAAAAGAUCACCAAAGGGAUAAUGAAAAUUUUCAUGAAAAGCUUUUGCUGCAAUAUCUCUAGGGUUUUUAGAGAAAAACUCUUUUUCAAUAACCAAAAGAGGUUGAUUUAAAUCUUUUUGCCAAUAUCUUGCUUUUGCUGAAAGAGGUGUGGGGUUGGCUACCACCACAAUUUGCUUAUUUGAAAAAGAAGAGCUUGAUGCUAAUUCAUUUUGAGAGGGAUUAGCUUUAGUAACCUGCUUAAAGGUCUGAGACACAGUAAUAGUUGGAUACUGAGUAGCCUUGACUGGUUUAGAAGGAUUCGAAGGAUCAUAGUACAAGGACAAAAUCUUAUUAGGCAUAUGGUCAGAAGAAUGAAGCCUUGCUUCUUCUUCUAGCUCAACUUGUUGGCUCCAAAGUAUUUUAUGGGGAGAAGGUUCUUUGCUGGUUUUAGAAGACUAGGAUUCUGGAAGUUUAGGAGCUUGGGUAUUCUUUUUAGGGGCCAUGGUUUCGUGAAUCCUGUAAAAUUCACAAGUUAAGAAAUCAGGGCUCGAAGAAUGUUCUCCUUUAAUAUACUCAAUUUGUAAAUUAAAAUUGCUUAAAAUAGCUUGAUAUAUAGCAAAAAUAUGCUUAGAAGUUAUAUUCUUAACAUCCUUUUGUAAAACUAAUUUUGCAAAUUUACAAUCAACUCUUAAUAAAAACUUUUGAUUCAAAAGAUCAUCUUGAAAUUUUGAAAUGCAUAAAACAACGCUUAAAGUCUCUUUUUUAAUGAUGUUAUGAAUGAGUUGGGUAGUAUUCCAGGUUCUUGAAGUAUACCUAACUAACAUCUCAAGGUUACCAACACUUUGCUUAAGAAUCCCACCAUAACCUAUGUCUGAGGUAUCGAUCCCAACAAACUCAAAGGUUUCUGGAUUGAUAGAGCCUAAACAUGGUAGGGUCUUGACUUUGGACUUAACAUCAAUAAUGAAAACAAUGGUGAAAACAGAAAACUGGUUAAAGUUUUCAUCCAUUAUAUUCUGGAAUUCUGAGGUGCAUUCUUAAGAUCAAAGGGCAUUAUGAACCAUUCAUAAUGUCCAAGAGAUACCACAAAGGUGGUCUUAUUUGGAAUAGGACACCUAAUCCAACUUAAUGUAUCAUUAAGAGGCAUGUAGUUGACGACUAGUCUAGGUGUUCCUUUUUCUGAUUCAACUUGUUCCUGAACAUAGAAGGUUGAACAACUCCAAAGGGACUUAGACUUCCUUAUCAACUUUUUAUCAAGAAGAUCCCAAAUCUCCUUAUCACAAUAGCUUAACAAACCCUUGUUCAUCUGGAUAGGUCUUGAUUUAGUGGGAAUAUUCUUGUCACUAAAGUCUAGUUCAUAAGGUAAUUCUACCUCAUGUUGUUUCCUAUGCCAAAAUGCAUUAGGAAUGUUAGAGCAAACUUCUUCAACAAUCAGAUUAAUUUCUUGCUCAUGACUUUCCUUAGCUUGAAUCACCUGAUCCCUUAAGGUGUUUAUAUUUUUCUUAUUAGGUGGUUGGCAAAUUCAAAAAUAAUUUCCUUAUCUAAGAGCUUUGUUCUUAUACUUUGGUCAUCUACCCACAUGGGAUAGAUGGAGCUUAAAAAGGGGAUUCCAAGGAGAGCUUUCUCCUUAAGAUCCUUAACUAGAAUGAAGGUUUGCUUGAUGCAAAUGCCUUGGUUAUUUAUGUGAGCAUCUGACAGCUUAUACUCAAUGUCAAGCCUUUUACCAUUAGCUCCAAAGAGAGAUUCUUUGGUUUUCUUACAAAACUUAAUAGGACCUAGACCUUCUUGUAGGCAAUUCAAAGCUGUUCCUGAAUCAAUCAAAGCAACAAUAUCAAUGACAAAUUUACUCUUAAUUACUAUAGUAAGGGAGACUUUCCACCUCUGGAAAAUAACCCUACUAACAGUAUUUAAGUAUCCAUCCGUCUUUUCAUCAUUAGCAUGUGAAGAUUCUAGAACCUCUUCAAGGUUUUCCUAGUUAUCAACAAGAUUUUCUAUAACAAUCCUAUUUAUUUGUUCUUGGAGAUCUGAAAAACCUAAGCUUGUGUAUUGUCUUAAAUCUUUAAUUUCCUUCUUAUACUGUCUUACUUCUUCUUGAAGAUCCUUAAUGGUUACGUCUUUGGUAGACUACUGGUUAAAUCUUCCUAAGAUUUCAUUUAAGUUAUAAGAAUUUACUGUCUUCUUAAUCUCUUGCUUAUCGACAAAUUUCUUAAAAACUUCAUAAAGAUCUUGUUUAGUUUUUUCAUCUUCAACUUUCCUUAAAACAUCUAGGACAAGUUCUUGAUCUUGGCUUAUGACAUUUAUAGUCUUAGGUUGGCAAUCACAAUUAUCCUUAAUGUAUUCUUCUUGGUCACUAGAAGUUUGGCUUGAGAUUUCCUCACCACUACUAUCUAGUUGGUUAAUACCAUUUUCAUUAUCUGAAUCAAUCCUUGAUUCAGACUCUGUGGAAUUUAACAUUACUUUACAAAGCAUAUCUUUUAAGUCUUCUGUGACAUUUAAGUUAUUAAUUUUCUGCUUAACCCUACAAUCUUUCUUAUAGUGGCCUAUCUUACCACACUUAAAACAAACUGGCUUAGAUUGUGAAGGAGCUUCUAGCUUUUUAUGGGCUUCUUUGUUCAUCAUUCUUUGGAUGUGCCUUUGUUUCUUAGUUUCAUUCAUCCUAUAGUUGCCAUGAGUUCCUCUCUUGUUGUGAUAGGACUUUUCCUUACUAGGCUUUGUACUUACUUGUUUCUUACGUUGCUUAGAGGGGGGCUUAGUUUCUUUUUGGUUGAAUCCAAACUAGCUACAAAAUGAACCAAACUCAUUCUUGUAGAUCCUUUGUUCAUUUUUCAUCUGUUGCUUAAGCUUAAAGUCAUUGCACAGUUUAAUUGCUUCUGAUGUGACAAUGCUUAUAAUUUCUCCAUAAGAAAGCUUAUCAUAAGGGAUUUGUCCAUUAAACUGUUCCCUUAUCUUAAUCCUAAUCCUCUCAGAGAAAAGUCUAGGUAGUCCUAAGAUGAAUUUUUCUUUCCAAAAAGACUGGUUAUAGUUUGAUCUUAGUAUGACUUUGGUUAGGAAAACUUCUCUAUACCAUCUAAAGUCAUGAAGCUUGGGACACUUAAGGUUGGUUAAGAGAUCUACAAUCUUAUCCUUAAUCUUUGCAGGAUCUCCAAUGAAGUGCUUUGAAAUUGAAUAGAUUAGAGUAGCCACUACAUCCUCUAUAUCUUGUCCAUCUUCAUCCUUAACCACUUCAUUUUCCUCAUUAAUCCUAUAGGCUUUUAGGAUACCAUUUCUAUCCUCAAAGGUGAGAUAAUUAUCCCACCAACCCUAAAGUUGACCUGUAAACCCAACAACAAUUGUUUGAGCUACAGCAUGGCCUGACAAUCUAUUGUUUAACUUAUAGGUUGUACUAACCAUGGUCAUUUCUUGAAGCUUAGUGAGUAUGUUGUACUCAAUCAUACCAUCUAUGUUCCAUUCAUAGAUAGUGUCACUAGUGUAGGAAGCUUGAGUAUGCUGGUUUCUUUCCUCAUACUACAUAUCAGGAAAAGUUGGUCUAGGGUAGUAAUUCCUAGUUCUUGGUUGUUGAUAAUCCUCAUAACUGUUUGGUUAGGAGGUUCCUUAAAAAUCUUAAUUAGUUCAUCAGCCUCUGCUUCAGAACUAAUUUCUCCUUUAACCAUAUUGAUUCUCUUGUGAGAUGGUUGAGGUGUCUCAGAGACAACAAGGCUAUCCUUAACCUUUUGGCUUAUCCUAUCAAUGAGGGCUUGAUCAAUAUGGAGAUUCUCUAGGAAUUUCUUAGAGAAUUCAAAAGGCUUAAAUAAAGACUUAUUAUCUUUCUUAACAAACGUAGUCUUAAUGUAGUCUUGUGUUUCAAUGAUAUCCUCAAACUUGUUGAGUUGAUCGCCUGUAGUCUUAAGAAACAUGUUAGUGUAGUUGUUUUGUUCCAUGAUUCUUCUAACGUCAACAACACUAUCAAUUCCUUUAUUCUUUGGCCUAGUCUUAAAAGGUGAAGCUUUGACUAUGGUUCAAUUAAUGUUCUUUUAUAUCUUAGCUUCUAGAGGGUGGAUGGAUUCUAUGAUAGUAUCGUCACUAGUUUUCCAUAUCUUAGUUUUUUUGGAUGUGUCAUUGACACGCUUACUAGGGUAAUCUAGAUAUUCCUCUUGUUUGAAGAGUUCAAACCAGAUCCAAUACUUAAUGUUCUUCUUUUCUUGUCUUAAGUAUGUGUAGAAUUCUUCUUGGUAGAGGGUUCUAAUGUCUUUAAGGACCUUGCUAAAGAACCAAACUCUCCUUUUCUUAUUGACUUCAGAAUAGAAGUCUUUCCUUAAGAGGUCCUUGUUGAUUCAAAGUCUUCGUUAAUUAGGCUUACAGUGUUAAUCAACUGAGAAUAAGUAGGAGACAUAUCAGGAGAUUCGUCCUGAUGUGAUUCUUGAGUAAACUCAUUUUCCUCCAUGUAAAAGGGUUUGGCCACGUUGGUGUGACUUCUAACACCUGUUAGCUUAAUAUUCUUAGGAUUUGCUGAACUAGAUCCUUCCUCUAUCCUAGUGGUUCUUAUUGGGAUAGAUGAACUUGAAGCUCUAGAGGGCUCAUAAUAUGAAAUUCUAAGGCUGCUAGAAUGAUGAAAAGAGUUGGAGAAAAUUAGAUCUCGUUCUCCAUCAGGAUAUUGAACAAUCUGUUCAAUUCUUUCAGAUCUUUGCUCUAUGGCUGGGACAACAUUAGCAAAAUGCCAAUUUUCUGGAAACUCAACCUCAUUCCACUUGAUUUUCAUGGGGACUAUGAAAUUAGACUUGUUUAUCAUAUCUAAGUGGAAGAUAGUGGUUUCACCCUUGGGACUGGUGCACAAUGCUCCAAAUCCAACGCUUAUGGUCAUGCUCUUAUAGGCAAAUCUGGUGAUGAUGGAAACAUGAUUGUUUCCUUGCUUGAACUUAAAGUCAUGGGUCUUAACAUGAAGGACAACUGAAUCUAAGAUGUUGACAUCUCUUAGUCUAACUGUGAAGUUAGGGAAACACUGGAAAUAAACAGGACCAUCAUUUAAUCCUGCUUGGGUAGCUCCAAUAAUAGAAUCUCGGUAAUCAAGAUGUCUAUUAUCUCUUAAACACAUGACAAUAAAGGUGUUUAGACCUAGUCUUGUCAAGGGCUUAGCUGCAACUUGAAUCAUGCCAAAGUGUAUGAAGUUGUAGUCUCGCUUAUGCUUAUCAAUGGACUUACUAUCCAAGAGUCUUAUGACUUGAUCGUCGUGUUCUAAACUUACUGACAUUUCAGGGGUUUUAAUGGUGUAAUCUGUAAAGAACUUAAAGGUUCCUUUCUUAUAAAUUUCUUGAUUAGGUACCUUGGGUAACUUCCAAUCAUCUAAAUCAUCUUGGAUCUUAGGAUAAUUGAUCUCUUCAUUGUUUACUCUUGAGAAUUUGUGGAUUUCCUAGACAUGGUUCUGAAAAUCAAACUCAUUUUAAGGUUUUAAUCUAGAGCCUAAUAGCAGAUUAACAGACCUAGUGAGUAAUCACCCCAACCCUUUUCCAACCUUAACAAACGCCUAUCUCCAGCUAACAAUGGGCUCAACUCGGCAAGGAUCGCACUCAGGCACACUACUAUCUUUCCUAGGAUAGAUCAAAACACCCAAAACAAACCCGACUUCCUUUUCCUAGGAUAUAUAUAGUAUUUUGGGUUUGAGUAGGAGUUCAUGUUUUGUAUGUAAUUGUAGUCUACGUUGGACUAGGUUGUUUGCUCCUAAUUGAAAUAGGAAUGGUUGGUGUCACAUCUCAUUCAUUUUCUCAUCUAUUUCCAUGUUUAGAUAACUCAAGUAAUCAUAGGAAUGAAAUUAAGAAUGAUUUGAGGGAAAUGAAAUCUCACUUGUAAGUGGGAUCUCAAUUCAUCAUUAAUAGAAGGUAUUUUGAUUACAUAGUGCAAGUUAUUUUUAAAAACACUUUUCAAAAAUUGAAAAACCAAAAACUCUCUUGGAUAAGUUGUUUUUAAAAAGAAUUUUUGUAUUUUUAUUUUGUAAAAAAAAAAAAUAGUAAUUCAAUUUAUAUAAUAUAAAUAGACUUUAAUUUUAUUAAAAAUAAAAAUAAUUUUUUAAUUACAAAUAAAUUAAAAAAUAAAUAUUUGUAAUAAAAUAUGAAUAGUAAUAUUAUAAUAAAAUCAUAAAUAAAUUAAAAAUAUUUUUAAAAACAAAUAAGUUUAAUUUUUUUGAGGUACAAAUGAGCCAAAUUUUUCAUUAGGUACACAACCAACAAUUUUUAUUGGAAACAUUCCUCAAAAAAGAAUUCGUUUCCCAUAUAGCAAAGAUAUUUAUUAUUUAGUAUCUAACCAUCCGUAGUAAUCAUAUCAAUUCUACUAAGUUAUUUAAUAAUUCAUUUAUAUAUAGUACUCAAUUAUGAAUUUUUUUAUUUGAUGUAUAAUUAAUUAAUCAAUGUUUUGAAUUUUGAAUUAUUCUUAAAAUUUAAAACAUUAAUUAUGUCUAUUACUUUUUAUAGUCAUUAUAUAUAUAUAUAUAUAUAUAUAUAGAGAGAGAGAGAGAGAGAGAGAGAGAGAGCUUAAAUUUAUCUUUAAAAAUUAUUAAAUUUAUUAAUAAAUUCAAUACAAAGACUCAUUUGAUUUGAAAUUCAUUUCUUUAGUGAAAAUUUUGAAACUAAAUAGUACUUUGUUUUACUUUGUUUUUAAAUCAUACUCACAAAUAAGUUUUUAUCAUUUAGCCAAAAAAUCUCAAAGAUGUUUCUAAUUUUAUUUAUUUAUUUAUUUGUAAAUGAAAAUAAAAAAUUAGUUUAAACUAAAUAUGCGGAUAUUAUUGUUAAUUUAUUUCAUUUUUUAUUUCCAUUGUUAUUUAACAUUGAAACGGAAACAAAUAAUCAUUCCAAUCUUACAUUCUUAUAUGCAUCUAAACACAAGAAUUGAAAUCACCAAAUUCAUAUUCAAGGCAAAAUAGAAAUGGAAAAAAAAUAUUCAUUUUCAUUCCUCAUUCUCAUGUGCUAAACAUGACAUUAGUUCUACUACCUAUUUCACCAUUCUUCUUGAUAAAUUUGGUAUAUGCAAUAUUGAUCUAAGUGUGAGGUGAAUAAGAAUGAUGAUGGGAUGGGCUUGGAAAUAAGGGCAAAGUUUCUAGGUGCUAUCUAGAGGGGCAACGCGACUUUUUCAAAUUUCGAAUAUUUGUUCUCAACAUAAAGCAAAACUUUACUCACACAAUAGAUAAGACUCUGUUUGUUUUCUUCAUCCACGACUAUAUAAUGUAUAGCUCUUACUCAAGGGAUGAGCUACUUACUAUUAAGGAUUGGGUAAGAUAUUGCCUAAUGGCCAAGAAGGCAUGUCAAAAAAUAAAUCUAAUCACCAUAAAAAAUAAUAGGGGAAAAUUAAUAUAUUAUGAAUGAUGACUUUACUAUUUCUCUAUAUACAUAAUUAUAUAUUUUGAAUUUUCUCACUAGGUAAUGAGAUUCUAAAUCAACUGAAACAUAAUUAAUAAUUUAUAUUUUUAAUGAAUCUUUUAAUUUUUAAAAAUAAUUUAAAAUUUUAAAAAACAAUUCAAUUAAUUACAUAUUAAAUCAAAACAUUUCAAAAUAUUGUGUUUGUAGAUGAGUACUAAAUGCUUGCAUAUAAUAAUAAUAAUAAAAAAAUUGACUCAUUUAGAUGUUAAAAAAGUUAAAUGUUUUUCAUUAUUCAUUUUAAGUAAAAUAUUAUUGACAUUAUUAUUAUAAAAUUAUUAUUAUUCAUUUUUAACAAAAAACAAAAUAAGUUAUUCUUUUACCAAGAUGUCAAUAUCUAUAUUUUUCUAACAUAUAUUAAAAUAGUAUACUUUUCUUUUAUUAAAAAUAAUAAUUAUUAUUAUAUUAUUAUUCAAGUUUUAUUAAAAAAAUUUAUCUUUUAAUUCAUUUGUAAUUACAAAAUAAUUUUAUUUUAUUAAGAAUUUAAUUUAAUUACGCUUUUUUUUUUUAUAAAAAAAACAGUUAUGCUUUUACCAAGAUGUUAAUAUUCAUAUUUUUCUAGCUAACAUAAAUAGAAUAGUACACUUUUUCAUAUAAAAAAAUAAUUUAUGAUUUUAUUAUAAUGUUACUAUUCACAUUUUACUAAAAAUAUUUAUUUAUUUUAUUUAUUUUUAAUUAUAAAAUAAUUUUAUUUUCAAGAAUUUAAUUUUAAAAAAAUAGAAAUCAUUUAUUCUUUUACCAAGAUGUUAAUAAACAUAUUUUUCUAACAUAUACUAAAAUAAAAAAGUUUACUUGUUCAUUAAAAAAUAUAAUUUAUGUUUUUAUUAUAAUACUACUAUCUAUGUUCUACUAAAAAUAUUUAUUUAUAAUUAAAAAAUAAUUUCAUUUUUAAUAAGACUUGAACUAAAUUAAAUUUAUAAUUUUUUUUUAAAAUAAAAUAGAAAAUUAUUUUUUAAAAACAACUUAUUGAAAGAAAUUUUUUAUUCUUUACUUUUAAGAACUGUUUUUAAAAGCAACCUAUAAACCCCUUUGGGUCUGUUUGGCUAUGUUUCAUGCAACUUGUUUUUAAAAAUUGUUUUUUAUUCUUUAAUUUAAUUUUUUUUAAGUUAAAGAAUAAAAAACAACUUUCUAGUGUUUUAUAAAAAUGAGAGCUUUUGACAAGUUGUUUUUAAAAACCAUUUUUAAAAAUAAAAAAUAAAAAACUUAUUUAGAUAAAUUGUUAUAUAUAUAUAUAUAUAUAUAUUUGUAAAAACAUUUUAAAUUCAAUUUAUAUAAUAUAAAUUUAAUUUAAUUUAAGUCUUAUUAAAAAAAAAUUGUUUGGAUAAGUUUUUUUUUUUAAAUAGUUUAUUAUUUUUGUUUUGUAAAAACAUUGCAAAUUCAAUUUAUAUAAUAUAAAUUAAUUUAAUUCAAGUCUUAUUAAAACCAAAAUAAUUUUAUAAUUACAAAUAAAUUUAAAAAUAAUUUUUUUAGUAAAACAUGAAUAAUAAAAUUAUAAAUUAUAUUAUUGUGGACCCUGCAUUUAUGCUCAUGCGCUUCCACUUGUUGGCGAACUCAUUUUUUAUUUGAAAAUGAUUUAUUUUUUUAGAAAAUGACUUAGAGUCGCCACUUAUUUUUGUUUUAUUUUUAAAGGGCAAGCAAAAUAAGAAAGAAAACCCUAAGUGUGACUCCUUAUUCGAAAAAGGUAGUCUGUGUAAAACCGGAUCAGGGUUCAGGGAUCAGGUUACUUAUUGGGAAGGUAUGACAAUGACCGUAGCACUCCUCUAAGUCCUUAAAAACGGGCCUCUACUAAAAAAAAUAAAGUAAUCAUGGCAAUCAGUAAGGAAAUCACUGGAUACCCAGAACAAUUAUGCACAUGUGAGAAUUAAAACAUGCAUAAGAAUGGACAAAGUGAGAGUGGGUGCGUACCUUGACAACGAACCACAAUGCGUUAUCAAGAAAUGGGGUUAGUGCACGAUCAAUGAACAUAAAACACGUCACACAUGUCACUAAGCAGAGUGAGAAAUCAUCAGAUAUUACAAUUCAAUCAAAUUUAUUUUUAGAAGAAACAUCUGUUGAUGUAGAGCCCCUACCAAAGCCUAAUUUAUUUUUGCAUGAAUCAAUUUCAUAAAUUCAAUCGCUUGGAAUUACAGAAUUAAAUUCAUGCUUAUUUUAAAACAUCUUUUUAAAAUCAUGGAAGAUGUGAAAAUGGUUUUCCAAAGAGAAAAUGACAACUGAUUUUAUUGAAAAUGGGAUUUUGGGGACCUAAACGUUAAAGAGGGAUUAGGAAUUGAAAAUUAAAUCAUUUGAAAAUUGAAUUUUUCAAAAAUCAGUUUUGAAAGCAUGCAUGCAAGUAUGGACUGUGAAAGUGGGCCUAGGGAGGGUGGCCAUGCAAAAUGAGGUCAUACACGUGGGCCUUGGGUACAAUUGGGACUACUUUGCUGGUGCCAGUGGUGCUUGCAGCUGUCAUCCAUGAUUUCUUCAUUGGGAUCAAUUUCCAUUCUUACUGCCAAACAUUCCAUAACAAUUGACCAAACUAGUAACCCUGACCUUGCAUGAAAAUGAACGUUACCUAGAAACUCACUGCCAGUGAGAUUCAUUGCUCUUUCAAAAGGUCUCAUUUUCUUUCUCAUCCAAUUGCUUUAAGGAGCAUUCUAGCGUCACGAUUGGUGACUGCGCAUCAUCUAGAGCCUUCUUUCUUCUCAGAAUCAGGUUUGCGUGCAGAGGCCUGUGCUUGUUCAAGGUUGACCUAAAUUCAUCUAGGUUUAGAACCGACCAGUUGAGCUUGGGGAGCAACGACAAGAAUAUCAGUCACUUGCGAAGAGAAAACUCGAGAUCUUUCAAGUAAUGCCUGACAUAGAUUCCUCCAACCUGUGGCCAAUAUCUCAUUCCUUGUUGGCCAGACGCCUAUUAGGGCGUAUCUCAAUCAAUAAUAUGAUUUUUCGUUUGUUCACAAUAAAGACCGGAAGCCAUGGUUGUGAUUUAUGCAGUACAGAAGAAGUUGCCAUGGCUGGUAUCCUUACAAAUUCUGGUGUUUCUGCUAUCUGUUCAAGUGCAAAACACAACAGCUUUAUCAAGUUUGUCCCUAACAACUGAUAUUGAGCCCUCUGGAGGAAACCUUGAUAAAUUCAUAAUCACUUUUGACUCAUGCAUGGGCUGCCCAUCAAAUUUUCCUAGCAACGAGACGACUGCUGUCAUCUACUGCAAAGAGAAUUUCUUCUCGCAAAGACAAGAGGAGUUUAAGAAUACACACUAUUCUGCCAUUUCAUUUCCUCUUUCUCCACAACCAACAUAAACCAUAGUGUCUACAUUAGAGUACUUAGAAAGAGCUUAACUGAUGACCGUUUUUCCACAACCAAAUGCCCCAGGUAUGGCACAAAUUUCACCGAAAACAGAAGGGAAAAGGGCAUCAAGAACACGCUGUCCUGUAAGUAGUGGGGUAUCAGGACUACUCUAGGGAAGUUAUUUCUGUCAUUUUGAAAAAGAAAAAUUAAAGAAUGUACACAUGCUUUCAAGUGGACUGGAGCAUUCUACAUAUCAGGUGGUCUGUAGCCACAUGUGCCACUUUGUGGAAGUUGGAACAGUCGAUCACUAGGCUAUUUAGUGUGGCCAAGCCACGUUAAUCAAGGACAAGUCUUCAUACUUAAAAGUCAAAUGGUGCCUUUAGUCUCAUUACACAUGGCUAUUUAAAGAUGAACUAAUCUUUAGUGUAAUGUGAUUAAGACAGUACUAACUGAUCAAUAUUUUUUCUAAUUUUGGAUGCAAAUGCUUGCUGGCUUCAUCAUUGGAUGGGAUAAAGGUGCAUUCAUGACUCUGAAUACUUGCAGUAAUACUUGCAGUAAUACUUCAUUCUCUUUUUUCUCGAUGAGACUUCUUGGCACAAUUUUGCUUCUCAGCAACCUACCUCUCCAUGGAAAAUGAGUUGCGAUUGAUGGUACUGGAUAUUUUCUAGGAAGCUAAAUAUAGAUAUAUAGCACUCAAUGUCAACGAUAUAUAUAGCAUUAACAGUAUAUGUCUCAAUGCUCAUCAGCUACAAGCAAGGGACAAACACUUACAAUGAAUAACUCACGUCAACAUUCCUAAACAGGACAUAGAAGUGACAGAUCUAUAUAUAGAACACUGCAUAUGAGUCACAAGAAAAGAUAAUACGGGUGCAUAGCAGCUCUUAUAUUACAUAUUACUCAUACCGUUCAAAUUCACUCAGUUGGGAUGGGUGGGAGAAGGAGGCCUCUGGGGUGGCUUGUGCGUGUGAGAAGUGGAAGAAAGUUGAAUGGAAUGAAACUGAAAAACAGGGUAGAAUAGAGGUUUCUUGAAUCUUCUGAAAUCUUUAUUUUUCUGAGAUUUAUUCUCUGUUUUUGUGAGUCGUGACUCUACAUAUAUACAUGUAUUUAAAGUUAGUUAUGCCUUAUAACUAAUUAUCUAACAGUACCAAAACUAAUCAUCUAGUUGCAUGUUUCUAAUUAAUGCUAUUUAGUUACAACUAUAUAUGGCUUAACAUCCUCUCUCAAACUCAAAAGUCUAGCUAGAACAGUGAGUUUGCUUCAUAGAUUGAGAAAUUGUUGAAUAGGUAAGGCUUUGGUAAGAGCAUUAGCAAUCUGGUCAUAAGAAGGAAUGUGUUGAACCACCAAAGUCUUAUUGAGCACCUUUUCCUGAACAAAAUGGCAAUCUAGUUCCACAUGCUUAACUCGAGAAUGAAAAUAGGAUUGGCAGCAAGAAAGGUGGCUGAAAGAUUGUCAUAGAACAAAACAAAAUAGGAGAAUAAGAAGAUGAGAUAGAAAACUCCUGAAGAAGAUGUUGAAUCCAUUGAAGUUCAAAAGCAACAUUUGCUAAGGCCCUAUACUCAGCUUCAUUGCUGGAACGAGACACAACUUUCUGCUUACUGGAGUUCCAGGAGACUAGAUUAGAGCUAAAAAAGAUGCAAUGACCACUUGUACUUCGACGAUCAUCAGGGCAACCAACCCAAUCAACAUCAGCAUAAGCAGUAAGUUGAAAAUCAGGAGAAGAAUAAAAGGAAAGACCAAAGGAAGUAGUGCCCUUAAGAUAAUGCAACAAUCGUUUAACAACUUGCCAAUGAAGAUCAGUUGGUUAUUGCAUGAAUUGGCAAAGUUUAUUGAUAGAGAAAGAGAUGUCAGGCCUUGUAAUGGUACAAUAUUGCAGGGCUUCAACAAUGUUGCGAUAUUGAGAAGGGUCAGCCAAGAGGGAACCUUUAGAGGCAGAUAAAGUGUGAGAGGUAGUCAUUGGUGUAUCAAUAGGUUUAAAAUAUGGAAGACCAGCACGAGUUAACAAGUCCUGAAUAUAUUUGGUUUGGGAAAGAUGAAGAGAAGAUCCUUGCCAACAUACUUCUACACCCAAGAAGUAAUUCAGAAUACCAAGGUCCUUGAGAGCAAACUGAAAGUGUAAAGACGAAACCAUUUGGUGGACUAGCACGGUAUUAAGACCACUAACAAUAAUGUCAUCAACAUAGAUGAGAAUAAUGAUCAUGUCAGUCCCUUUCCGAAGAGGAGCUUGCUUCAGACCCUACAAGGCUUUGCGAAGUUUACAGAAAAAACCGGGUUUAGAAUGAUCAACAAAGCCUGGAGGUUGAACCAUGUAAACCUCUUCUUCUAACUCACCAUUGAGAAAGGCAUUAUUAACAUCUAAUUGUUCCACUAACCAACCAUGAGAAAUAGCAAGAGAAAGAACAAUUCAUAUAGUAGUUGGUUUAACAACAAGGCAAAAGGUUUCAAAAUAAUCAAUACCAUAUGUUUGAUUAAAACCCUUUGCAACUAAGUAGGCUUUAAAACGAUCAAUUGAGCCAUUAGCUUUGAGUUUCAGCUUGUAUAUCCAUUUACAACUAAUAAUGCGUGUAUUAACAGGUUUAGGAACCAAUGUCCAUGUGGAAUUGGUGAGAAGAGCAUCAUACUCAGUCUUCAUAGCAGCUUGCCAAUUAGGAUGCAAUAUUGCUUCUUUGAAAGAGGAGGGUUCGACAACAGUAGUUUGGAUAGCAAGGCUAAAUAUUUUUUUGGGUUUAAAAAUACCAUUUUGGCUACGAGUAACAAUAGUUCGGUUUGGAAGUGAAAGAGGAUCAGUGGAGGAGGCUGGAACAAGGGAUUGUGGUAAAGUAGGAAAGGAAGGUGGAUGAGAUGGAACAAAAUCAGUAGGGACAAUAAUGGGAGAAGAAAAAUUAGGUGGAGAAUGAUGAGGAUUCCUUGAAGAUGGUGUAGGAAUAGAGAGAAUACCAGAAUCAAGAAGUGUUAAAGAAGAGUUGGAUGAUGAUACUGGUUGACAGGAUAAAGACUUUGUUAAAAAUGGAAAUCGAGUUUCAUCAAAUACAACAUGACGAGAAGCAUAUAUCCGAGAGGAAGCCAUAUCCAAACAGAGGAAUCCCUUGUGUUUAGCACUAUAACCCAAAAAACAGCAAACAACAAAUAUAUUUGCUAGCUUGUGAGAAGCAUAAGGGCGAAGAUAAGGAAAACACAAGCAUCCAAAACUUCAAAGAGAUGUAUAAUAAGGUAAACGAUUAUAAAGAACUCCAUAAGGAGAAUUUUGUGAAAGAACAGCAGAGGGAAGGCAAUUUAUGAGAAAAAUGGCAGUUUGAAAUGCAAAUGACCAAUAUUUGAGAGGGUAUACCAGCUUGUAUUAACAAAGAAAGACCAACUUCCACAACAUGACGAUUCUUUCUUUCAACUCUUCAAUUUUGCUAAGGAGUAUAAUGACAAGAGACUUGAUGAAGAAGACCAUUUGUAGCCAAAUAAUUCUGAAAAGCUGAAACUGAAACUCAUCAAAUUGAUUUUUAGUAUCAAAUUUUCUUCAGACUGAACACAUUGAUUUUUAGUAUCAAAUUUUCUUUCAACCAUGGCUUGAAAAUGUUGGAACAUAAGUAAAGCUUCAUCUUUAGUUUCCAAAAGGUACAACCAUGAGAAUAUGCUAAAAUCAUCAAUUAGCAAGAGGAAAUAUUGAGCAUUACCAUUGACAGAAACUAUAGGAGUUGCACCCCAAAGAUCAACAUGGAUGAGACCGAAUGGUUUUAUUGCUCUAGAAGUGGAUAUUUCAAAUGGAAAACGAUGGCUUUUAGCCAACUGACAAGACUCACAUACAGAGUUAUUAUUGUCAUGUUUCAAAGGUAUUUUAUAAAGAGAUAAGAUUUUGGAAACUACAUUAAUAGAGGGAUGACCAAGUCUAUUAUGCCAAAGCCUCAAAGAACCAACGGCUAAAGUACUACUAGUAGAGUAAAAUACUAGUGGAUGACCAACAACUCUUGGUGUAGCAAGAAGUUUAUAGAGACCCUUCUCAAUUUUUCCUUGAAGAAGAGCAAGUCUCGUUUCCUGAUCCUUUACCACAAAAUGAGAAGAACGAAAUUCAAUAAAGGUGCCAUUGUUUGAGUAAAAUCGUUGCACGCUAACUAAGUUGGUGGUAAUAGAAGGAACAUGUAAGACAUCAUUGAAAAACAAAGAACCACUUGAAGAGGCAAGAGAAAAUUUACCAAUAUUUGCAAUGGAUAAACCCUUACCAUCUCCAACAAUUACUUUGUCACCACUGGUAAAUGGAUUAUGGAUUGUUAAAUUGUUAAGAUCAGAUGUGAGAUGAUGGGUAGCCUUUGUAUCAAGAAACCAAUAAGUGUCUCCCAUUGUUGCAGAAGUUGUAGUCAUAGCCUCAGGAUUGUUAGAGGUGGAAUGUUUAGAAUCUUUUGGCUGAUAAUCAGAGUUAAACCGAUACCAGCAUUGUAAAGCGGUGUGUCCGAACUUACAACCGAGAGAAAUAAUCUUUACUUAUUCUCUAAAAACUGUUCUUUAUUCCACACAUUAUUUCUAAAAACUGUUUCUAGAUAACAAUGACAAAAUAGUAUUAGGAAUUUUUAAAAAUAAAAAUUGUUUUUAAAUUACAUGAUCUAUAUCAUUCACAUUUGACCAUUAUAGCUUUGUUCAGGAAAACACUUGAAAGUAACCUUAUCGUGAUAAGAGAUAUAAGUUGGCUGUAGUUUCAAACUGAAAACAGAGGAUGGCAAUAGAAAGCAAAGCAUUAGUUAUCUGCAAUCAGUGGUGAUCAUGCCCCAUGUCAAUUUCGGACCCAUAUCUUAAAACCGUAUAAUUUGCAUUUCAACAUUUCUGAUUUCUCAGAUGUUUCAUACUCCACAGAAGAACAUUGUUUGUGAAAGCAUGCAUUUAUGCUGGAUUUUGGAUGAUGUGGGAACUGGGGCAAGGAUCAUAUGGAAGAGUGGUCGAUUUUUUCUGUACUUUAACAUUUGAAAUAGGAGCAGCACGGGCAUUUGUGGGGCUUAAUUGAUUUUGAAGCCUGAAAUUGCGUUUCUGUCAUUUUGUAAAAAAUAUGGCAGAUUCCAUGCUCUCAUAUGUUUGGUCUGUGGCCAUGUAUAGAUGCCACUUAGUGACCAGUUUGUAACUGUCAAUCAUAGUGUUUUGACUCUGGCUCAACAACAUCAGCCAUUGACGGAUUUUCAUACAUGCAAAUCAAAUAGUCUUCUUCCUCCCUUAGGAAUUUCGGUUUAAAUGUUAUUAAGCAUACAUUUGGCUGACAAUUAUUAACCACUUCAUGAUAUGGUUUCUUACCCUUAAUCAAUGGUUUCUAAGUGAAUAUAUGCAGAAGGAAAUCUGAACUGUAGACAGCAGUAUUGAUAAUUAUCAAUAUUCUUUAUAUAAGAGAAUAAACAACGUCAUAGUGAUCGUCGCCUACAAGAAAGGUACAUUUCCCAACAAGAUGUAGUUGUGACUGGUACAUGGACGUAAUUAACUCGUAGAAAAGGAUAAGACCAGUGCACGGCAGCUCUUAUUUUACAUGCUAAUUAUGCUAACCAAAGUCACUCAGUUGGGAUGGGAGGGAGAUGGAGGUUUGUGCGGUGGCUUGUGGGGCGGAGUUGGUGGCUUCUUUUCAGGAGCUUGUGGCUUUUUCGGAGCUGAAGGAGGCUCAAUCUUAUGAGGCGGCUUGUACGAGUCUUCUUUACUCUCGACAGGAGGGUGGCCAGGGUUGUGACCAUAAUGUGGUGGCUUCUCUCCCUUAGGUGGCUUGCCAACUGGGGUUGGUGGCUUGUGUUCAGGAAGUGGUUUCUCUCCCUUGGGAGGUUUACCAAUUGGGGUUGGUGGCUUGUGUUCUGGGAGUGGUUUCUCUCCCUUGGGAGGUUUAGUGGGUGACUUGUGUUCUGGAGGUGGCUUCUCCACCGGAGGCUUGUGCUCCGGUGGUGGCUUCUUGGUUGGAGGGGGCUUGGGGUAAUCAGCAAGAGAUGGGGGGGUGAGAACCACCACUCCAAGGAACAACACUAGCAAGUAUGUGGGAGACAUUUCUGAGUUUGAGCUGAUCAGAUGAUGCAAAACUAGAAGAAUUACGUGACCUUUUAUAGCAAGUAGCUCCCAAUACCCACAUGACACGUGUUACUGUGACCAUAAAUAUUAUAGGGUCCAUUUGUGCCCUACCGGGUUGAAAACUUGGACGCUUGGCCGAGGACACACCGAACUAUGGAGGACUAUUGACGUGUGAUCACAGCUUUUGGAUUUUUCUUCCUGUGCAGCUGUCUAGCGGUUGGCAUUAUUUUUUUAAUCUUAAAUAAAGGCAUAGUUAUAGAGUACAUUUAUAUAUCUUCAGAUAGCCAUUAAUAUAUUUGAUGAAGAAAGACAAGUGCAUACAACAUGUAUACGGCUUGCUUCAAUCGAGUACAUUUAUGAUCAGUUUUCCAGUGCAAGUAAACCAGUUUUUUGUUCCACAACUAUUUUGGAAUCUUGUUUAUCAGUUUCUAUCAUUAUAAUGUCACAUAGGCUGCAAACUUGGGCACCCAAAGAUCUAGUUGGGCAAAUUUGUUUCAGAAUUUCAAUGGUGGAUUCAGUAAUUGUUAAAAGGUGUUUCUUCAUUAAGGAAAGAGUCCUGUAAAAAUAUUGUUAAAAGGUGUCAUAGAAACUAUAAUAAUUAAAUAACUUCUUUUCCCCGUGGGUGGUGUUUCUUCUGGGGAUACCCAAAAUGAGUUCAGAUUAAAAUUGGUUCGAGUCAAAGCUGUCUCUUUUGUCCAGAAAUCAACUAUUUUGCGCAUUGCAUGAAUCGAUAAAGAAAAAAUGAAAGCCAAAUCACACCUCCCCUGCAAAACCUAAACCCCGGUUGCUAACUUUCUAUGUUUCAGUCCUAUUCAUACAGGAAUAUUGGUUCAAGUUUGAGAAAAAUGGCAACUUACCUAGGGAUUACUUGGUUGUGGUUUGCGACGACUAUUUACGCAACCAACCAUGAGUUUGACUUUAACGUCAUGGGUUGAAGCCUCCUACAAUCGUGUAUGAUAGUUCAAAGCUCGUAGUAGAAAUUAUACAGGAAGGAAGAAACCUCCAAAGCUAGCUCCAAAAGAGAAUUAUCACAUCGAUAGCUCCAGAGAUUCCCAAGGGGACUGAAUCAAAGACAAGUUCCUCACUUUUUCUUCUUUUGAGGCCAAAUAUGAACCAAGGAUCACACGACCUCAUUCAACUUCAUAAGUUUGAUUUCAUGCAGUUGAACACUGGGUGAAGGCCAUGACAAGAAUUGAUUAAAAAAUUCUACCACUGUUUUAAGUAAUGGAAGAUUAUUAUCUCUGAUUGGCACCACAACAGCACAUGCUGCUAGAUCUUUCUAGACACUCCAUGCAAUGAAAGUACAAUGGAUCUUGUAACGAUAGAAACUAAGCCAUGCUACAGUACUAGAUGACGAGGUAAAACUAUUAGACAUGGGUGGCAGCCUAUAUGGGAGGGACACAAGUCUAAUUGAUUUGCAUUUCAGCGUUCUAGAUGGGUAUGUUUUGGAAGAUUUGUUCUGGAAAUACCGCACCAAGUAGGAUUCUUUUUUCUCUUGAGUGGGUCCACUUGCAUGCCAAUUAUCGAGUUGAAAAGUAGAGCACCUACCUCGUGCUCGUGGAACCGAAGGUCAGUGAAGUGGGGCUCCUUUUGGCCUCUUGUGUUUCUGUUCCAACCAAGGCGGCGGAGGGAAAAACAGCAAUAUGUCUCCGCUAAAUAUCAACGCAUGAUAGCGAAUGAGGGAGAAAAAAAGUAAUUGGCAUCUCAAUCUCACAAACUUGGUACAGUAGUGACAUUAAUAGUCUUCCACAUGGUUUUUAUUUUAUUUUAUUUUAUAUUUUAUAUUUUCCAUUUUUUUAUUUUUUUGUAUGUCAAGGCUAAUGAAUAAAAUGCGUUAGCUUGUUUUGUGAUUGGAACUGCAAAUGUCCAAAUUGGAGUUUCUCCAUUUCUCAGUUCGGAUGGUUAACUUUAUAAACAAGAUAUAGGAAACAUGUGAACGUCUUGAGGAACAAUUCGAAUUAUUGAUUAGAACUCCUAGGUUGAGUUCCAAGAUUUAAAUCAGACCCCUCUAGCAGCUUCAGGGGUACCUAGCAAUUAGAACAUAUUAAUGAAGAUUUAGGAUUUAGACUCCGGAAUACAAAUUAAUAUGUAUCUUAUGCUCUGACUAGCUUCCCUGCAUAUGCACAAAAUGGAGAUGACCCAAAAAAUAGCAGAAUCGCCUUAGUUUAUGUGGUUAAGGUGAUUCUCCGGUUAAUAUCCACAUUGGCUCAUUAUGCAAAUCAACUGAGCUAUUUUUUUUUUAAUGUCAAAUAGGAACUCCUAAUUAACCUAACCAUUGGCCUGUGUAAAUUGAUUUCACAUGCACAAUGUUGUAGUAGAAGUCCACAUUUUGAAUUUUAUUUUUGGAAAGGUAAGGAAAAUGAAGCAUUGUGUAAUUAUAAAAAUAACUUCAUUGGAAUUCACAAGGUUCACCCAAAAUGGAGCUACAUCCGUAUUCUAUCUUACAGUAGACUAUAUAGAUUGUACAAUAGUAAAUUGCAAAUACAAUUAAUAAGUCUUGUGUUUCCUUACUAAUAAUCCUUUGACAUAAACAUUGCAGCACUAAGGUCCUCUUGGGCAGACACCUUGCACCCAUGAGAGCACUAAGAGGAAGCAAGGCGGAGUCAUGGGUGCAAUGUCAUGACUUGUUGCACUAAGAGAGGCUUGGUGAUGGCAUAGUGCUGCAGUAGCAAGAAUGUUGCCUUGGCAGGGACACGAUCUAGGGACAGAUGCCAAGAAAGGCUUAGCACUCACAUGAGUUGCACAAAGAUGAAUGAAAUAGAACAUCAAAGAGACAUCUUGGCAAGCUCAAGAAAGACAUGUGGGUUGGUAAAUGAAUGGAUGCAAGAGGCAACAACAUGAGGAGUUUCAAAUGGAUAGGGAAUGAGUCAAAGACAUUUGAAAGCUACAAGUUGGAUUCUAAUUACGAUUGCAAUUUGAGUUUGAGUAGGAGUUUAUAUUAUGAUUGUAAUUGUAGUAUGAGUUGGACUAGGAUUGCUUAUCCCUAGUCAAAAUAGGAGUUGUUCAUGCCACACCCUAUGAAAAGAGUUUGAGUAGGGACUAGGAUUGCUUGCUCCUAGUCAAAUAUGGAGUAGGUGGUGCCACACCUAUAAAAAAAAAAGGGACAACAUGAGAGAGAGAGAGAAUGAAUUCACCAAAGAUAUUGUGGGAGUUUUGCUUUGUUACAUCUUGUAUUAUUAUUUAGAAUAGUAAUAAAAUACAAGUUGGGGCUAGAGCCCCAUAAUCUCGUGUGCCUUUGUGGGUUAUUCUUUAUUUGCCAUCUCGUGUGGAUUGGAUUAGAUUGAUGAGGCGAAAUAUUAUGUGGGAAAUUUAUGUUGGGACACUUACCAUAACCAGGUAAAAUCUACCAAGUCUUUUGUAAUAUCUUCUACAAAUAUUUUAGACCAGUUCUUCACAAAACAUCAUAAUAUGUUUUGUGUUUCUCUUGGAUUUUGAGUUGAAUUGUCUUAGAUCAAUUGAAUGCAUCUCAAUAUUAUUAUCUUGUUUGAAGGCUUGAUGAUUUUCCAUUUAACUUUACUUUCUUUAGGUUAUGCUUGAUUCCUUAAAAGUACUAAGGAAAACAAAAAAUAAAAAAAAAUAAAAAAUGCAGAGGGUUAGGACAUGUGUUAUCUAAUUGUCCUAUCCAAAGAUAUUAAGAAAGUCAUGUAGGAAAGUAAUUGAAAACUAGGUCAAGAAAGGAGCAAAAGGGAAUUGUUUUGGUAUUUUCUUUUUUAUUCUUGAAGGUGGCAGAGCUAAAAUUUGAGAAAUCAAGCAAAACAUACUGAAAUUACAUUGAAAGAAAGAAAAUGGUAGUUAAUGUCUUGCAGUACAUGAUAAGGACUUCAUGCAUGUAGUGUGACGACCCAUGUCUUGGACUGAUGCCACACUCACGGUUACACUUAUACCCUUGGUUCUCUCUUUACUACCUUGGCUAACCUAGAUCAGGCUAUGAGAUAGGCUCCUCACCACACCAUCACUUGCCCAGUAAUUAGUGACAUUUUCAAGCAAUGAGGUAACAUGGUGACACCAAGAGGGUUUAUCCCUCGCCCCAACAAGUCUAGACUCGGUCUCAAAAAAAUGGAGAAAAAUGAGGUGUCGUUAUGCAGAAAUACAACAACCAUGCCUUCCUUAUUACUUAGAUUCAGAAUGUGAAGGUGAAAUUGAGAAACAGAAACUCUUGAAACCAGAAUGAAAAUUGAUACUUUUACGAAGAAUUACAACAUUAGAGGAAGACUACAUUCUUCCUCUAUAUUCCUACGUUUCUACACUACUUCUACUCCACUCCAUAUUUCUACAUACAUCUUUAAUCAGUUUUCCCUCCUUUAUAUAGAGCCAUCUUCACACAAAUUCCGCAAGGUAGAAAAGAGGAAUGAAACUUGGAGCAAGGUUCGACUACUGGUUGUCGCUUGUCAAGGCUGGAAUUGAACUUUUUUUCUUGGCUUUUCUGGGCAUAGGUAGUAACUUGUGGUUCCUUUUUGGAAUGAAAAUGGUACAGCUAGAACAUGUGGCACUCUCUUGUUGGAUUAUGUGUCAAACAUGUGGCAGCCAUCUAGUGGAGAUUAUUUCAAUUUUGGGAUGGAGAGUUGGCAUCCAAUUGCAAAGAAAUAUGACAUCUACCAACAUGCAAUGUAAACCUAUAUAGAUCAUAUGGAGAUAGAGAGGAAACAUAUAGAAAUGGAUAUAUACCUAGAACUAGCUUUUUAUUAAAUGAGACGGAGAGCCAACAAUGAAGGAAAAUCAAAAUUUUUGGCUCAUAUCAAAGAAUUCACAUUGUGUUACCCUAGGUUUUCUUAAAGCUUGCACAAAGCCAAAAAGCACACAAAAAAUUAUAUUUUCUAGCUCUCUACCUUGGAUGGUCUCUUGAUCCUACUUGGAGAUGUGCAUAAAUAAAAGGAUUUGAAAAUGACAAUUGACUAAGUAUGUAGUCAAUCAAUUACUCAUUAAUUGACUAGUUGAUCAAUUAACUUUGCAACAUCAUAUGCAAUCCUAAUAGCUAGUCAUCUAAUCAACUAGGUAGUAAAUCAAUAGGCCAAAAAUAUGUUUAUAAUGACUAUUUUGUACAAAAACCACCUAUAUGGUUAAAUAUAAUGCAUUUCAUUUAUAAAUCUUCUAAUUCUUGAAUAACGAUCCUAUCAUCCUUUGAAAGUUUUUAUUACACCUUUUAUACUUUUGUUCUAAAACUUACACAUGUACAUCACCCUUAAUUGUACCAUGAGAACCUAGCUUUUUUUUUUUUUUUUUUUGUAAUUCAUCAAAGUUAGCUUUUGUAUUCAUUACUGUACUAUUUUUAUUGUAACUUAGAAAGCGAGUGUUUUCAAGUGAGUGAAAUUGACUUAUAAAUAUUGUAAAGAUUCAUUGAUGUGUAUCUUAAACUAAGUGUACAAGUUGAAACAUUUGCUAGUAGAUUUUCUCAAGAUUUAGAAUAGAGCUUGAGGCUAUUGAAAUAGGUGGGGUUGCACCAAACCACAUCACAUUGUUGUUUGCACCUUUUUUUCACUCUCUUUUACUUAGUUGCUCUAUAUUUGUUGUCUAGUAAUAUCCUAUAGGCUUGAUGGGUUAGGGAGCAUCCCUUUGUGAAAAAUUUUCAUUCAAUCCUUAGUUGUAUCACGCAUAUAUAAAAUGCCUCAUUGUUUUAAUGGUAUUCAGUCGUGGCAUCACAGAUAUGGGCAUCUAAAUUUUAAAAGUUUGAAACUUUUAUCUAAAGAAAAUAUGGUGCUUUGCCUUUUUGUAAAGCAUGUUGAUGAAAUCCAUGAGAAUUGUGUACUUGGGAAGCAACAUCGAGAUGACUUUUUUUUUUUUCAUUUUUUAUAAUGCGACACCUAAGUCCGGUUUCUAAAUGCUGAAGUGAAAGGGUAGGUAUGGACCAUUGAAAUCUGAUCACAACUUUUGGCCUUUUCCUUUCUCUGCAGCCAUGUUGUCUCUUUUUUCUUUUGCAUGAUUUUCUUACCUAAACAGAAUCAUAGACUUGUUUAAUCUCUAAAUGGUAUUUCAUCCAGCUUUAAGCUACUGUAUUAUAUCUUGGUGGAGGACUUUUAAGAGUGAAACCGACAUAGAGCACAUGCAAGUGGGUAUAUGGGACAUGAAAUUUCUUCUUAUAAAGACUGCAUGGUUUUUAUAUUAGAGUUGUUGAGGCGCAAUGUAUUUAGCUUGUUUUGCAGUUAAAUUAAUUGGAUAAGUAGACAUUGUCGUUUCUAAAUUUCCCACCUAAGAUAGUGACCUUAUCCUUGACUGCUUGAUGAGAUACACAAACAAUUAUACCUUCAAAAUCUACUGUGAAGUGCUUCAUGUAUGUGUGAAGUAUUAGAAAUUUCUUUCUUGGCAACUUGUUUUUUCUUUGCCCUCUACUGAUAGGUUUGACUCAAAUUAAAUUCCCUGUCAUGCUAAUUAAUUUUCACGUGCAUGCUCAAAAGGAUCACGUCAACUCUGGUUUCUACUAUUCAGGUCCAUUCCCAGAUAAACUGGUUCAAAUUUGAGAAAAUGGCAACAGCCCUUUAGUGAUGUUGGUUUGGAGCCAGUAGCCAAACCCGCCCUGAGCUUUACCACUAAUGUCAAGGGACAAAGCCAUUUGAACAAAAACAAUAGCUUCAAGAGACUGAAUCGUGGAUGAAAUCUGAUCCACAUUUCUUCUCAUUUUGGGAACAAAUGAGAACUUAACUACAAAGAUUCUACUGCCUCAUAGUGCUUUUCCUGAUCUAAGGUUGGUUCGUUUCCCAAAUUGUGAGGUACGUGCCAUUCUCACGCUCAGGAGUGUAUCCACGUGGUGGACAUAAGAUGGUGGCUUAAUAUCUGGUGUCGGUGGCUUUACUUUACUAGGAGAGUAGUGUGUCUUCAUCUCAUUCACUGCCGGAGGGUGGCGUAAGCAGUGACGCUAAGGUGGGGCACAGUCAAUAUCAUUUGCAUUUGACCAUUAUAGUUUUCUCCCGGCUUGAAAGUAACCUUAUCGUGAUAAAGGAUUACUAGCACUAGUUCAGAUGACAGUCAUGUUAAAUUCGGACCAUGUUUGUGUCACAUUAUCAGCAACCAUGUGUUUAUGGUUCAUGCUAUCUGCAACUAAACUUGAUAUAUAACCACGUGAACUUCAAUCUAAAUUCUGGAAGUACUCUUGUGAUAGAUGGUGCCUGUCUGCAGAGUCCAUCAAUUGAAAAAUGGAGUGAGUGUAUCUAUAAGAGGGAAGGCUUGGCAAAUGUUCAGUUUUCUGGGAACUCAACAAGGAUCUAAAAUAGAUUGUUUUCUUUGCUGAUUUCAAUGGUUGAAAUUUGAGAAGAUUGUGUCCACAUAACACAACUAUUACUGGUCCUUCUGUUGCAAUUUAUCCUCUAAGGCUCUAACAUGUCUUCCAAUUCCCACUUCCCUGUUACUCCAGGAAAGCUAUUUCUGUCAUUGUGAAGAAGAAAAGAGAAUGUACAUAUCGAUGGUUUUAAGUGACUGGGGCAUUCAUAUCAGGUGGUCUGCAGCCAUAUAUGCCACUUUGUGAAGGUUGGAACAGUCAAUCACCAGGCUAUAUUAGUGUGGCCCAGCCACUUCAAUCAAGGACAAGUCUUCAUACUUAAAGUCAAAUUCUGCCUUUAGUCUCAUUAUAAAUUGCUGUUUAAAUAUUAAGCAAACAUUUGUUUAAUGCGAUUAAGACAGUACUAACUCAAUACUUGUUCUAUUUUUGGAUGCAAAUGCUUGAUGGUUUCAUCAUUGGAUGGGAUAAAGGUGCAUUCAUGAUUAUGAAUACUUGUAGUUAUAUUUUCAUUCUCUUUUUUCUCAAUGAGACUUGUUGGCACAAUUUUGCUGUUCAGAAACCUACCUCUCCAUCGAAAAUCAGUUGUGAUUGAUAGUACUGGAUAUAUUCAAGAAAGCUAAAUAUAGAUAGCACCAAAUAUUAUCGAUAUAAAUAGCAUUAACAGCGUACGUAUGUCUCAAUGCUCAUCAGCUAUAAGCAACGGGCAAACACUUACUAUGAGCAACUUGCGUCAAAAUUCCAGAAUAGGACAUAGAAGUGACAGAUCUAUAUAUAUAUAGAACACUGCAUAUGAGUCACAAGAAAGGAAAUUACGGGUGCAUAGCAGCUCUUAUUUUACAUCCUACUCAUACUGAUCAAAGUCACUCAGUUGGGAUGGGUGGGAGUAGGAGGUUUGUGGGGUGGCUUGUGCGGAGGAGUUGGCAGCUUCUUUCCAGGACCUGGUUGCUUCUCUGCUGGAGUUGAAGGAGGCUUAAUCUUCCGAGGUGGCUUGUAUGAGUCUUCAGCAUUCUCAGCAGGAGGGUGACCAGGGUUGUGACCAUAAUGUGGUGGCUUCUCUCCCUUAGGUGGUUUGCCAACUGGGGUUGGUGGCUUGUAUGAGUCUUCAGCAUUCUCAGCAGGAGGGUGACCAGGGUUGCGACCAUAAUGUGGUGGCUUCUCUCCCUUAGGUGGUUUGCCAACUGGGGUUGGUGGCUUGUGUUCUGGGAGUGGCUUCUCCCCCUUGGGAGGUUUUUCCAAUGGGGUUGGUUUGUGUUCAGGAGGUGGCUUCUCCACUGGAGGCUUGUGUUCAGGAGGUGGCUUCUCCACCGGAGGCUUGUGUUCAGGAGGUGGCUUCUCCACCGGAGGCUUGUGUUCAGGAGGUGGCUUCUCGAAUGGGGGAUGCUCAGGGUAAUCAGCAAGUGAGGGGUUGGUGAGAACCACCAUGCCAAGCAACAGGACUAGCAAGUAUGUAGGAGACAUCUUUGGGUUUGGACUUAAGACAGUGGAAAACUGCGAGAAUUCUCUAGCCUUUUAUAGCGGGUCGACCCAGUACUCACAUGACACGUGUCAUUAUGACACAUGUGCCAUGGGGUCGAUUUGGGUCCUACAGUGUUGAAAAGUUGGGCAUUUGAGGUGUGAGCACAACUUUUGGCCUUUGCUUUCUCUACAGCCGCCAUGCUUUUCCCUUUUUUCCUUUUCCUUUUGUUUUCCUCCUGCCUCGUGUUCUCAACUAAACACAAUUAGGUUGUUUAAUUGUUAAAUGAGAUUUUUGUCUGUCAAUCAUAUUAUAUCCUAUCAAGAGAGAACAGAGUGUAAUGUAGUACACAUAACACGAGGCAGUAGUAAUUUUAUCAUUUAUUUUUAUAGCUUGGACCACCGCAUUUUUUCUUCUAAAAUAUUCUGUCUUGUUAAGAGACGCAAUAAUACACAAUUUUAUCUGCCAUUCAACAUUUACUGUAAAGUUCUUUUAUCUCUUUGUAGUUCUAGAAAAGUACAAAAUGGAACAUCAUGUAUAUGGUGCCUUCUGUCCUAAAAAAGAAACUGGACAAAUUAUGAACUGCAUGCUAAAAAGAGGCAAAGGAGCUUAAUUCGCAGCAUAAUUAUUUUGGUUUCUAGAGAGCCCGGGGCCUUUUGGUUGGUUUGGGGUCAGAAAAUGAACAUCAUAGGGAUUGUGCCCUUAACUGGCCUUGUUACUACAAAGAAAUUGCCAUAGAAAUUUAUUCCAGGCUGAGUAUCUCCGGAUAGACCCCAGAAAAGAAGAGUCAUAAUGAGAAUCAACCUUUGUUGAGUUUGAUUCCAUGCCUCCAUUGUGUUCAUUUCAUGAAUCUGAUUUGCAUUUAACAUUACAGUUUUGUUCUGGAAACAAUCAAAGGAGCAUCGUUUGCUUCUUGGGUGACCCAUAGUGGUGGGUGGGUCGAUUUGCUUAGUUGAAAAUUGGACAAUUGGCUCCAUCGCCUACCUCUUGGAUUCCAUGCUCGGAUAAAACGACAACAAAUAAAUAUUUAUAACUUACAACUGGGGAAAGGAAAAAAUAGUACUAAAUUCAUGGUACAUGAUAGUGAGAGAAGGGGGUGUUACACUCAGCUAAAGUUCUUUUCUAAAUAUUGCAUGGUGUUUAAUUUUAUGUGUCGGCGCGCGUGUGAAUGGAACCUGCAAAAGUCCAAAUUGGCGUUUCUCCAUUUUCCACAUAGGAUGGUGACGUUAAUAGACAAAGAUACAAUAUCUGUAGACAUUGCUUAAAAAUCGAUGUGAAGUAUUAGAAAUUACAGGCCACUGUACUGGGGGAGCGGCUGCCCCGCCAAAGGAAGAAUGUAGCAAUUUCUUCUGUUAGCCAGGCCUUAGGAUUUAUGCAUGGGAUGCCUAAUAACAAACAGAGAAAAUAUGCUUUUGGGGAAGGUAUCCAACAACAGACACCAUCAUUCAGAUGGUGGGAAGGUAUCCAACAGAUGCCAUCAUUCAGAUGGUAACAUAUAUAUACAUUUAUUAGUGAGUUUUUUUAAUACCUAUAAAAAAAAUAUACACUUUGAUAUUGUGGCUGAAUCCAUUACAUACUCAACUAACCUUGCUCAUUAGGGAUUUGACGUAACAAGGGCAACGUUGCAGUAAAAGCUCGAAACUUUAUGCAGGUGACAUUACAUUUGGUAAAGAAGAGGAAAAUAAGGAAAGCCAUCCAUAAAAGCAAAAUUCCUCAUGGGAUGAAAUUCACAAACUUCAUUUACGUUAGAGUCGCAUCCAGGCAAUUAAUUCCACAUUAGACCGCCUUUUGACAUGUGUACGGAUCUUUUUUCAAAAAUUAUUUAUAAAUAAUUGAUACUUACAAAAAUAAUUUAAGAUUUAUAAAGGAUAAAAAAAUAUUUUCAAAUCUAUGACAAUUUAUAAAAUAUUAAUAAAAAAUUAUCUCUUAAACUUAGUAUAGUUUUAUCGUAUUAAACUUUUAUUUUGAACAAAUAAUUUUAAUCUAAGUUUUAAAUUCUAAAAUUAUUUCCUUAAAAUAAAAUUUUAAAAUUCAACACUUCAAUUGAAAUUGUCUUUUAAAAAAAAUAUCUUCUUAUUUUAAUCCUUAUAAACUAUAGUUGAUUGAAAAUACUAUUGAAGUUCUCUCUUCAAAAAAAGUCUUAUUUUAAUCUUCAUAAAUUGCCCUUGAUUUGAAAAUAAACUUUGGGUUAUCAUAUUUUAAAUAAUAUAUAUAUAUAUAUAUAUAUAUAUAUAUAUAUAUAACAAAUACUCUAUUUUUUUUUUAAAUGAACUAAUUUUAAUUAUAUUUUAUUUUAUUUUUUUAUAUAUUUUUAAUGAUAAACCAAACAUAGAAAAUCAUUUUUCUAAAUAUUUUAAAAUUUCUAAGCAACCAAACAUAAUCUUCAAAAUAAAAGGAGAAUAAGGAGGGACAAGUGAGAAAUGGCGAUUAAAAAAAAGUGUACAAAAGCUCAAUUAAUUUUCUUCUAGUCUUUUAUAUAAAAAAGUAUUGGUAUGUAAAUUAAUAUUUGGAUUUUAAUAGUAUUUUAUUUGUCUUUCUCUAUCUCAUGUAAAAGAGAAUUUAAGAUAUUUCCUAAAGCAAAGCAUUAGUUAUCUGCAAUCAGUGGUGAUCAUGGUCCAUGUCAAUUUCGGACCCAUAUCUUAAAACCGUAUAAUUUGCGUUUCAACAUUACUGAUUUCUCAGAUGUUUCAUACUCCACAGAAGAGUAUUGUUAGUGAAAGCAUUUUGUAACUGUUACUCAUAGUGUUUUGACUCUGGCUCAACAACAUCAGCCAUUGACGGAUUUUCAUACAUGCAAAUCAAAUAGUCUUCUUCCUCCCUUAGGAAUUUCGGUUUAAAUGUUAUUAAGCAUACAUUUGGCUGACAAUUAUUAACCACUUCAUGAUAUGGUUUCUUACCCUUAAUCAAUGGUUUCUAAGUGAAUAUAUGCAGAAGGAAAUCUGAACUGUAGACAGCAGUAUUGAUAACUCUCAAUAUUCUUUAUAUAAGAGAAUAAACAACGUCAUAGUGAUCGUCGCCUACAAGAAAGGUACAUUUCCCAACAAGAUGUAGUGGUGACUGCUACAUGGACGCAAUUAACUCGUAGAAAAGGAUAAGACCAGUGCACGGCAGCUCUUAUUUUACAUGCUAAUUAUGCUAACCAAAGUCACUCAGUUGGGAUGGGAGGGAGAUGGAGGUUUGUGCGGUGGCUUGUGGGGCGGAGUUGGUGGCUUCUUUUCAGGAGCUUGUGGCUUUUUCGGAGCUGAAGGAGGCUCAAUCUUAUGAGGCGGCUUGUACGAGUCUUCUUUACUCUCGACAGGAGGGUGACCAGGGUUGUGACCAUAAUGUGGUGGCUUCUCUCCCUUAGGUGGCUUGCCAACUGGGGUUGGUGGCUUGUGUUCAGGAAGUUGUUUCUCUCCCUUGGGAGGUUUACCAAUUGGGGUUGGUGGCUUGUGUUCUAGGAGUGGUUUCUCUCCCUUGGGAGGUUUAGUGGGUGACUUGUGUUCUGGAGGUGGCUUCUCCACCGGAGACUUGUGUUCUGGAAUUGAUUAAAAAAAUUCUACCACUCUUUUAAGUAAUGGAAGAUUAUUAUCUCUGAUUGGCACCACAACAGCACAUGCUGCUAGAUCUUUCUAGACACUCCAUGCAAUGAAAGCACAAUGGAUCUUGUAACGAUAGAAACUAAGCCAUGCUACAGUACUAGAUGACGAGGUAAAACUAGUAGACAUGGGUGGUAGUUGAUUACUACUCAAAAAGUACUCUUUUAUAGUUUGAAACUAACUGUUUUAAACACUUUUGAGUAGUAGUUAAUAAAUUUUAACUCAAUUGGCACAUUAAGGAACCUAGCAAGGGUUACUAAUAAACUUUUGGCAAGUUUUGGUGUUUUUGGUAGUUAUUCGAUCAUUGAAACAAGCCAAGAAUGAGGGAGAAUUUUGUGAAGUCCAUGGCAAUGCAAGUUAAAGCUCAAAUACACGAAGAAUCCAAGCUUUGGAGCACUACAUAGCCCUUUGCCAAGCCAAUUAGAGAUGCAAGGAACAAAACCAAAGGAAGAAAUCCAACAACCAACAUUUUCGCAUGGUUGUGUGAAAUUUCGCACACCAUGCGAAACCACAAGAGGUAGCCAAAGAAUUUCACAUGGUAUGCGAAAUCUUCUCAUGCACCGACUCCGUUAGAUUUUUAUCUUCAGAUAUUUUGUGUAAUUUCCUAGUUUCUCCUUGUAACCAACCUAGAUAUUUUCUUUUAUAUCUUUUUUUAUAUUUUUUAGGUAACAUCAUAUAUAAGGGGAGAGACAUAAGGAGGAUAUGGAUGUUUUUCAUAGAACACUUGUAAAUUUUCAGUAGUAAGAAAUAUACAAAGCUUUUUGCUAUGCCUUACCUUCUCAUUUUGUUUUCACCUGUCUUUCUAGCCAAACAACCUCUAAGGAUGAUUUCUCAGGGGAUGAGUGGCUAGGUUUUACGUUUCUUGGAGUGAGGGAAGCUAGGUGAAGGACCUGAAUGCAAAGAUGAGAGUUUUCCUUGCUUUAAAUGAAAGUAGUUGUUAAACAUUAAUGGUUUUUAUUUUAAGGUUUAGCUUUAAAUCCCUUAAAAACACCUUGAAUGACCAAUACUUGGUAAGCUUUUCGGAUUCUAUGGAUGCUUAUUGCUAGAUCCAUGGAUGUCUAUUAGUUAUCAUUUACGAGCCUUUGGAAGGUGAUUCAAGGUGAGGGUCUUUAGUGUUUGAAGCCAUUAAUGGGAAGCAAUUACCAUUUUUUCAUGAAUCCUUUGGAUCAAAUCUUAAUUGCUAAAUAUAAAACCGAUUUGGGAAAUAACCAUCCUUUAUGUUAUUAUCCCCAACGCAAGGAGAAGAUCCGGAAUCUUCCCUUUUGUCUAAGGAACCCGAUCCUAGUGACCUAAAGCUCCAAGAGACCUUUUCUUUGUAGUUAACUUCAUUUAUUGUUUUUGCUUAACUUAAAAUCAAUCUUUGCAACCACAAUUCCAUUUUCUUUAAAAGCUAAUUUUUAUAAGGAAAAACACCAUUUUAUUUCCUUCACUAAGUCAACUGUACGAUGAAAACCCAUCCCUGUGGACGAUCCUAGAGCCAUUAUACUAUGUUAGCUAUGCUACCCUAGUGUGAGGUGAUUUAGGUUUUAUAAAUUUUGUUGAUAACACCCAUCUGAGCCAGAAUCAAAUGGCACAACUGAACCAGGGACGAAUCAAAUGGCGCCGCUAUCGAGGAUGGUGCCAAAGUACAUUGACAUGACUUUUGGUGAACACUUGUGAUCUUCAUCACAAGUUUGGUGAUUUUUCUAUUACUAAUUUUUUUCUUUGUUUUUAUUUUAGCUUAUCUUUUAUUUAGUUUUUAGCUAACCUUAACUUUUUCUUAGAAUUGUAUUUCUUCUAUUUUCUUUGUUUUUGUUUCAGUGAUCUUUAGUUGUGCAUGCCCUAUUGGAUAAGAAAUAUUGAGGGAAUACUUGUGAAGAUUGAAAAUCCUCGAGAAACUGAGUUGGAAGUGUGAUUGAACAUCAUGGAUGUUCCACCUGAAGACCAGAAUAGCCAACAUGGUUAAGAGGAUAAUUUCAAAGCAUACCGAUCCAUGAGGGACUGCAUGCAUCCACCUCGUAUGAGUGCACCGUCAUGCAUAGUGCCUCCCACUGAGCAACUAGUAAUCUGACCUCACAUUGUGCCACUCCUACCUACUUUCCAUGGGAUGGAGAGUGAGAAUCUCUACUCGCAUAUUAAGAAAUUCGAGGAGGUUUGUAAUACAUUCCAAGAAGGAGGAGCUUCAAUUGACUUGAUGAGGCUCAAGCUAUUUCCUUUCACUUUGAAGGAUAAGGCUAAGAUUUGGCUUAAUUCUUUAAGGCCAAGGAGUAUCCGAACUUGGACUAAUUUGCAAGCCGAUUUUCUUAAGAAGUUCUUCCUUACCCAUAGGACCAAUGGUUUGAAAAGGCAAAUUUCGAACUUCUCAGCUAAAGAGAAUGAGAAAUUCUAUGAGUGAUGGGAGAGGUACAUGGAAGCUAUUAAUGCUUGUCCUCACCAUGGCUUUGACACAUGGCUCUUAGUGAGUUAUUUUUACGAUGGUAUGUCUUCUUCAAUGAAGCAACUCCUAGAAACUAUGUGUGGAGGAUACUUCAUGAGUAAGAAUCCGAAGGAAGCCAUGGACUUUUUGAGUUAUGUGGCUGAAGUUUUAAGAGGAUGGGAUGAACCAAAUGCUAGAGAGGUGGAAAGAAUGAAGUCUCAACCUAAUGCUAAGGGUGGGAUGUAUGUUUUGAAUGAAGACAUUGACAUGAAAGCAAAGGUUGUAGCUAUGGCAAGGAGAUUGGAAGAGCUAGAAAUGAAGAAGGCACAAAAAGUGGAAGCCAUUUCUGAGACAUCAGUGCAAGCUAUGCCUUGUUCCAUUUGUCAACCUAAUGCUAAGGGUGGGAUGUAUGUUUUGAAUGAAGACAUUGACAUGAAAGCAAAGGUUGUAGCUAUGGCAAGGAGAUUGGAAGAGCUAGAAAUGAAGAAGGCACAAAAAGUGGAAGCCAUUUCUGAGACAUCAGUGCAAGCUAUGCCUUGUUCCAUUUGUCAAUCUUAUGAGUACCUAGUGGAGGAGUGUCCUACAAUUCCAGUAGUGAGAGAGAUGUCUGGUGAUCAAGCAAAUGUUAUUGAUCAAUUCAAGCCUAAUAAAAAUGCUUCAUAUGGCAACACCUACAAUUCAAAUUGGAUGAACCAUCCAAAUUUCUCUUGGAAACCAAAGCUACCUCAAUACACACAACCUGCUCAAGCACCUUAGCAAUCCUCGAAUCUUGAACAAGCUAUUGUGAACCUUAGUAAGGUUGUGGGAGAUUAAAAGUCCAUCAAUGCUCAACUGAAUCAGAGAAUUGACAGUGUAGAGAGUACAUUGAACAAAAGGAUGGAUGAGAUGCAAAAUGAUCUGUCUCAAAAGAUAGACAAUGUCCAAUAUGCAAUCUCAAGGCUUACCAACCUCAACACAGUGCAAGAGAAAGGAAAGUUUAUUUCUCAACCUCAUCAAAAUCCCAAGGGUAUCCAUGAAGUGGAGGCUCAAGAGAGAGAAUCUUCAAAGGUGAGGGAAGUCAAAGCAGUUAUCACCUUGAGGAGUGGUAAAGAGGUUGAUCAACCCACAUCCAAGCCAAAGCAUAAUGAAGAGAGUUUUGUAGAAAAAGAAAAGAGAGGAAAAUAAAGGAAAGAGAAUAGAGAAAAGUACAAAGAAAGAUGACCAUGAGUCUAGUGUGGAUGAAGAGCCCAAGAGGAUAGUGAUCAAGGAAAAUAUGAUGAAGAAACACAUGCCUCCACCUUUCCCCUAAGCUUUGCAUGACAAAAAAGGAACCAAUAAUACAUCGGAAAUUUUUGAAGUAUUGAGGCAAGUGAAGGUCAAUAUCCCUUUGCUAGAGAUGAUCAAACAAGUGCCGACAUAUGCAAAAUUCUUGAAGGACUUGUGCACUGUAAAGAGAGGGUUGAAUGUGAACAAGAAAGCUUUCUUGACCGAGCAAGUGAGUUCCAUCAUACAGUGCAAGUCUCCAGUGAAGUACAAAUAUCCGGGCUACCCUACCAUCUCAGUGAGUAUUGGAGGUACUUGUGUGGAAAAAGCUUUGUUGGACUUGGGAGCAAGUGUGAAUUUGCUACCCUACUCUGUCUAUAAGUAGUUGGGACUUGGAGAGUUGAAGUCAACAUCCAUCACCCUAUCUCUGGCAGAUAGAUCAGUGAAGAUUCCAAGAGAGAUGAUAGAAGAUGUCUUGGUUCAAGUUGACAAAUUCUACUAUCCAGUGGAUUUUGUUGUUCUUGAUACGGAUCCGAUUGUCAAAGGAACUAAUUAUGUUCCUAUCAUACGAAGACCCUUCCUAGCUACAUCAAAUGCAAUCAUCAAUUGUAGGAAUGGAGUCAUGAAACUCACGUUUGUCAACAUGACAUUAGAGCUCAACAUCUUCCAUUUGUACAAGAAGCAUAUCCAUUCAGAAGAAAAAGAAGGUCUAGAGGAAGUGUGCAUGAUUGACACUUUAGUGGAGGAGCAUUGUGAUCGACAAUGCAAGAAGAUUUAGUUGAGAGUUUUGGGGAUCUUGAUGAAGGGUUACUUGAACCCUCAGAUUUGCUUGCUACCCUACUCCAUUGGAGGAAGAGAGAAGAAAUUCUACCCUUAUUCAAUGAGGAGGAGACACAAAGAGCUGCUAAAGAUAAGCCCCCAAAGCUUAUUCUUAAGCCACUACCCACAGAGUUGAAGUAUGCAUACUUGGAAGAAGACAAGAAGUGCACUGUUGUUAUAUCUUUAGCUCUUACCAUUCAUCAGGAGGAUUGUCUACUUGAAGUCCUUAGAAGAAGUAAGAAGGUAAUAGGGUGGCAAAUUUCUGAUUUGAAAGGGAUCAGCCCUUUUGUCUGCACCCAUCAUAUUUACAUGGAGGAUGAAGCUAAGCCAAUUCAUCAACCUCAGAGAAGGUUGAACCCUCACAUGCAAGAAGUGGUGAGAGUUGAAGUUCUUAAGCUACUUUAGGCUGGUAUUAUUUACCCCAUAUCAGAUAGCCCAUGGGUGAGUCCUACUCAAGUUGUGCCAAAGAAGUCGGGGAUCACGGUGGUGCAAAAUGAUAAGGGAAAAGAUGUCUCUACAUGUCUCACUAUAGGUUGGAGGGUGCGUAUCAAUUACAGGAGGUUGAAUGUAGUGACAAGGAAUGACCAUUUCUCGUUGCCCUUUAUUGAUCAAGUGCUUGAGAGGGUCUCUGGGCAUCCUUUUUAUUGUUUCUUGGAUGGCUACUCGAGGUAAUUUAAGAUAGAAAUUGAUGUUGAAGACCAGGAGAAGACCAUUUUCACAUGCCCAUUUAGAACCUAUGCAUAUAGGAGAAUGUCUUUCGGCUUAUGCAAUGCACCCACAACUUUCCAAAGAUGCAUGUUAAGCAUUUUCAAUGAUAUGGUGGAGCAUAUUAUGGAAGUCUUUAUGGAUGAUAUCACCAUAUAUGGAAGUGCAUUUGAUGAAUGCUUGGUCAACUUAGAAGUUGUUCUGAACCGAUGCAUUGAGAAAGACUUAGUGCUUAAUUGGGAGAAGUGCCAUUUCAUGGUACACCAAGGGAUUGUCCUUGGGCACAUCAUCUCCAAGCAAAGCAUUGAAGUUGACAAAGCAAAGGUUGAACUCAUUGUUAAGUUGCCAUUCCCAACAAAUGUCAAAGGAGUAAGGCAAUUCCUUGGCCAUGCCGGGUUCUAUAGGAGGUUUAUCAAGGAUUUCUCUAAGCUUGCAAGGCCUCUUUGUGAAAUAUUGGUGAAGGAUGUUAAAUUCAUAUGGGAUGAUAGAUGCCAAAGGAGUUUUGAAGAAUUGAAGCUAUUUUUGACAACCUCACCAAUAGUGAGGGCUCCCAACUAGCAACUGCCCUUUGAGGUAAAGUGUGAUGUCAAUGACUUUGCUAUAGGAGCUGUUCUUGGGCAAAGAGAAGAUGGAAAACCUUAUGUGAUCUACUAUGCGAGCAAGACAUUGAAUGAGGUGCAAAGAAACUACAUAACCACCGAGAAAGAAUUGUUAGCUGUAGUUUUUGCCUUGGAUAAGUUUCGUGCUUACUUGGUGGGAUCCUUCAUCGUGGUUUUUAUUGAUCACUUUGCUUUGAAGUAUCUAUUGACUAAGCAAGAUGCUAAAGCAAAACUGAUUAGAUGGAUUUUCUUGCUUCAAGAGUUCAAUCUCCAGAUCAAAGACAAGAAAAAAAUGGAGAAUGUGGUAGUAGACCACAUUUCAAGGCUAGCUAUCGCACAUAAUUCCCAUGCUUUGCCCAUUAAUGACGAUUUUCUAGAGGGGUCUCUCAUGUUGGUGGAAGUUGUCCCUUGGUACGCUCACAUUGCUAACUACCUGGUCACAAGAGAAGUUCCAAGUGAGUGGAAAGCACAAGAUAAGAAGCACUUCUUUGCAAAAAUUCAUGCCUACUAUUGGGAAAAGCCAUUUCUAUUCAAGUAUUGUGCGGAUCAGAUAAUAAGGAAGUGAGUUCCUGAAGAAGAGCAACAGGGGAUCCUCAGUCAUUGCCAUAAAAAUGCAUGUGGAUGCCACUUUGCUUAUCAGAAGACAACCAUGAGGGUGCUGCAAUCGGGUUUCUGUUGGCCAUCACUUUUCAAAGAUGCCCACACCAUGUGCAAGAGUUGUGAUCGAUGCCAGAGGCUUGGGAAGUUAUCAUGUAGGAACAUGAUGCCUUUGAACCCCAUUUUAAUAGUUGAUCUUUUUUAUGUUUGGGGCAUUGACUUCAUGGGACUUUUCCCUAUAUCUUUUGGCUACUCUUACAUCUUGGUGGGAAUAGAUUAUGUUUCUAAGUGGGUUGAGGCAGUCCCAUGCAAACACAAUGACCAUAGAGUGGUUCUCAAGUUUCUUAAGGAGAACAUCUUCUCAAGAUUUGGGGUGCCCAAAGCCAUAAUUAGUGAUGGGGGUACUCAUUUUUGCAACAAGCCUUUUGAAACUCUCCUAGCCAAGUAUGGGGUGAAGCAUAAGGUAGCUACACCUUACCACCCUCAAACUAAUGGGCAAGUUGAGUUAGCAAACAAGGAGAUUAAAAACAUAUUGAUGAAGGUGGUGAACACAAACAGAAAAGAUUGGUCAGUCAAGCUCUUCGAUUCACUAUGGUCAUGUAGAACAGCUUACAAGACCAUUAUCGGGAUGUCUCUUUAUCACCUAGUCUAUGGAAAAAAUGCCAUCUCCUUGUGAAAUUGGAAUACAAAGCUUGGUGGUCAAUCAAGAAGCUCAACAUGGAUUUGAGCAGAGCUGGGUUGAAGAGGUUCUUAGACCACAAUGAGAUGGAGGAAUUGAGAAAUGAUGCCUACAUCAAUUCAAAAAUUGUAAAAGAAAAAUUGAAGAGGUGGCAUGAUCAGUUGAUUUCCCGCAAGAAUUUUCAAAAUGGAUAAAGAGUCUUGCUCUAUGACUCUAAACUCCACAUCUUUCCGAGCAAGCUGAAAUCAAGGUGGAUAGGUCCUUUUACCAUUCACCAAGUGCAUUCAAAUAGAGUAGUGGAACUACUCAACUCCAACAACAUCGGGAGCUUCAAAGUGAAUGACCAUUGUCUCAAGCCCUUUGUAGAGUCUUUUUUCUCGCGACAAGGAGGAAUUCAUCCUCCUUGAUCCACAUCAAGCUUGACAAGACCAGUUUUUUUUUAUGGACUUAGUCUUUCUAAAGACUAUCGAGUCCAUAACUUUUUAUUUUAUUUUUUAUUUGAGAGUUUUUCGGUAUUAUUACUUGUUUUGUUUUUUAUUUUUCGUUUUACUUUUAUUUGGUUUGAUUUAACUUAGAUUUUUUAUGAUCAAUUGCAGGGGGGAUUUCAAAUAGAGGAAAAACCAAGAUAAUUCGCACACCCUGCGAAAAUUUCGCAAGGCAUGCGAAAUUUAUGGCUCAUUUCGCAUGGGAUGCGAAAUUUCGCACACCCUACGAACCAAUUUCGCACACUUUGUGAAAAUAAACCAACCCUACGAAAUCAUUUCAAAUACUCUACGAAAUUUUCGCAGAGCAUGUAAAAAAUUUCGCAGACCAAACACCAUUUCGCAUACUAUGCGAAAAUGUAAGGGGUCUACAAAACCAUUUCGCACCUCCAAAGCCAUUUCGCACAUUGUGCAAAAAUGAAAAGUCGCCCUAUCAUCCAUUUUUAAACCCCUUGAGCCCUGAAAUCCCCAUUUCGCAAGCACCCCUGUCCUUGCGAAUCCCUCAUUUUCCUCUGCCACCUUGCGACCUUGUCCCUCUCCAUUUGAUAUCGUGCCCUGCGCACAUCUCAUUUCAAAGACUCGCACUCUGCGCCCUCUCAAAGCACGAACCCAAGGCUCACAUUCCAUUUCCGACAUGGCACAGACCCGAGGAGCCCUUCCCGCCCCUUCAUCGAGACGCACACCAAGGUAGAGAGCCUCUUUUGCUCAGAUGCCAAGUGAUUCUCCAUUUCAGGCCACGGAGGCCCUGCGGAUUCCACAUUCCAAGGGUAGAACAGCCACUGGUCCUUCCUCUUCUAUUCCUCAGCGUAGAUAUGAGACGAGGAGACCACCUACUACACAAAGGGCGACUACUUCGCGCCAUGAGAAUUCGGUACGACACCCUCCUGCCAAGAGGGCCAGGACUUCAGGCCCAGGCGAGUCAUCCAAAGCUUCACAGCCUGAGCCUCCUGCAGAUUCCGAGGUUCCUACUGACAUAUCAUCGGAGUCUAUUAUCAAACGCCCGAUGCUCACAGCACCGCCCAUUGAGGGCAACUCUGAUUGUAGAGCGAGACCUUUCCACUUGGAGCUAUAUUUUAAUUAAGAGGCCAUGCCACAGCAGCCUGAGCUCCAAGACUCUUAUGGCUUACUACAGAGGUACCAUCUUGAGGACCUUAUGACUCCUCGUGAGUUCUUUUAUCCCAGAGUAGCACUAGACUUUUACCAGUCCAUGACUACUCGUGGCGUCCCGAGUCCUACCGCGAUGCACUUCACCAUUAAUGGACGUCAUGGUAUCCUCGAGGCCAGACAUAUUGGAGAGGCUCUACAGAUUCCUUUCGAGCUAGAGGACCCAUCUGUUUUCUGCCAAUGGUCCCCAAUAUCUCAGAGGGACAUGGUCCAUAUUUUAUCCAGGGGGACAUCUACAUAUUCGAUCCUUCUACGGAAGGAGCUUCGACCUGGGAUACUCCUCGUAGAUGUGGUGCUACUUUCCAACCUCUUUCCCUUUUAGCAUUCGAUACAUAGGCGAGGAGCUAUUUUGGACGCUUUAUUCUGUAUAUCAGAGGGCUUCUACUUUGGCCCGCACCACUUGAUCAUGGUUUCCCUCAUCCAUUUUGAGGAGAAGGUCCAUAGAAAGAAGCUUCAGAGGGCGAACACCAUUCCAUUACUAUUCCCGAGGUUGCUCUACUAGAUCUUGGAGUACAUGGGCUUUCCUACUGAGCCUCGGCUUGUGUGCCGCCGCCUUUGUCAAGAGCGAUCCACUCUCGACAAAUGGAAUCAGUUGGCGGGCUAUUCUACACCUCCAGGAGCCCCUCCCAUGGUAGCACCUCUAGUGUCCCCACAGGCAGAGUAGGGCAAGCUCCCGGUAGAGACUGCACCCCUAGUGCCCACACCUGAGGCUACUUCUGCUGUUCCGCCUACGACUCCUACUGUUCCACCAGUUGGUCCUUUUACAUCUGAGUCUUCCAUCAACAUCUCGACUUCGGAGUUUCGCGCCCUUGUGCAUACCUUUCAGACACUCACCACCACACAUACUGCUCUCUUCUAGAAAAUGGCUGAGAUGCGUGCCCAUCAGGACCAGCAGACUACUAUACUCCGCCAAAUUCAACAGCACCUGGGACUUCUGCCUCUGCCUCAGCUUGACCUUCCCACAUCAUCAGAGCCUCUAGCUCCAGUUGAGGAUACUAUUCCACCUGAGGACACUACCACAGUAGAGGUUCAGAUUCCACCACCUCAGGAGGCCACCACAGCUACAUUAGAGGAUGCAUCAUCUCCACCUGAGGCUCCCACUACUUGAUCAUAGGACAUCUCUUUAUCUUAUUGUAUUUACAUAUUAUAUUACUGGAGAUUUGUCUUUGUUUUGAUACUUUAUAUUCUGGCAUUGAAUGUAUUGCCUAAUGAUAUCUCAAUUGUACUUUCUCAUAUUAAUAUAUAGACAUCAAUUUUUUUUAGUAUACUUAGGAUUUUUCUAUUUACUCUACUCAUUACUCUUUUGUUUUUUUUUUUUUACUCAUGUGGUUUCUCCUAUACGACUCAGACUCCAUUUCACUCAGGAGGUACCACUUCUUCCCUUUAUUUUCAAUUGCUCUUGAAACAUUGAGGGCAAUGUUGAUCUUGGUUGGAGGGAGAGUUGAGGAAGGAAGUGAUUACUACUCAAAAAGUGCUAUUUCAUAGCUUGUAAUUAACUCUUUUAAAACACUUUUGAGUAGUAGUUAUCACCUUUUAACCCAAUUAACAUAUUAAGGACCCUUGCAAUCAAUUCUAAUCAAAUUGUGUUAAGUUUUGGUAUUUUGAUAGCUUUUUUAUCACCAAAGCAAUCCGAGAUUGAGGAUAUUUAUUUGGAAUCCAUGGCAAAAGAUGUUUGGACAGGACGUCCGGACACACCAUCGGAGGGCGGCGGAACGUGGGCUGUGGCAGGCUGUCGGAAUGACGUAGCAAGGCUUGUGCACUUUAGCCAAUGAUCGGGAUAACAUAUCCGAAAUUCUGCUCCGCCGACAUUCCACCCGGAUGUCUCACAUCCGGAAUUCUGCUCCGCCGACAUUACACCCAGAUGUCUCACAUCCAAAAUUCUUCUCCGUCGACAUUCCAUCCGAAUAUUUCACAUCCGACGCUUGACGCCGGAUGGGAGAGGAGGGCGUUUCAACUUCCCCGGUCAGACAUAUCCGAAUCCUUUGAUAACGCUUACCCGGAGAGUUUCGCAGCCAUUUUGCACAGUGCCGCGGUGUUCUCUUGAAGCUUCCCGAUAUGUGCGACCGACAUUUUGAGAUAUUUUGCUUUAGAUAUUUGAUGUCUAAAUCCCCAAACUCUCCUUGUAACCCACCAAUUAUAGGAUUCCUUAGUUAUUAAGUUUGGAAAAAUGGUGAAUAACCCCUUAUAUAUAGUUUGCAAUUUUCAUAAAAAAGAUAUGUAGAAUCUCGGGAGCUUGUUCCCAGAGAGACGCAUCCUUUGUACAGUUUUGGAAGGAAGUAAAAUACAGAGCACUUGCUCUGCUUUUCAUAUAUAUUUUUGUUUUCUCGUUCUUUUUAUUUCUAGCCAAUCAAAGUCUGAGGAUUUUUCCUCAGAGGAUGAGAGGCUAGGCUCUUCGUCUCUUGGAGUGAAGAAAACUAGGUAAGUUUCCACAUGCAUAAAUUGAAAGUUUUGUUGUUUUAGUUUUUAAUGAAGAGAAAGUGUGACCCGUUAAUGGUUUUUAUCUUUUUAGUUAACUUAAAACGCCUUUAAAUCACCCGGGCCAACACUUGAUAAGGCAAGUGGUCUCCAUCCAUUGAGAUGCACUAGUUUAUCUCUUGCGAGCCUUUGGGAGGUGGUUUGAAGGUAGGAUUUUCUAGAAUAACCAACACUUGAUAAGCUUUUGGACUCUAAGGAGACAUCCAUUAGUUAUCUCUUGCGAGCUUUUGACGGGUAAUCCAAGGUUAAAGAUCACCUUGAAUGGCAAGUACUAGGUGAGAGGUAUGAGCCAUUGCAAGAUGCAUUAGUGAGAGGGAUUUAGUGUUUGAACCCAUUAAAGGGAAGCAUCUGUACCACACCGGUUCGGGAAAUAACUAUAUGUUAAAUCCCCAAUGAGAGGAAAAGAAACAAGUGACCGGAACUCCCUUUUUGUAUAAGGAACCUGAGCCUAGUGAUCUAAACUCCAAGAAACACUUUUCUUUGUAAGUAAAAUCAGUUACUAUUUUUGGUUAGUUUAAAACCAAACCUUUUUCAUUCAAACAUCUUUAUGUUUUCUUUUAAAGCUAACCUUGAAAUGAAAAGGCACCAAUUCAUAUUUGAAUUAAUAUCAAUUGUGAAGUGAAAACCCAUCCCAGUGAACGAUCCUAGAGCCACUAUGCUAUAGUAGCUUUGUCUUUGCUACCCUAGUUCAUGGUUUAAUAGGUUAUAAAUUUUGUUGAUUACUCCCACAAUCAAAGGAGCACCAGUUGGACAUGAAUCAACUGAGACACUAAUUGGGCACAAAUCAGGAAGUUUUGUUAAUAAUGCUAGGUUAAUUUGUUAAUUUAGUUACUUUCUGCUUAAUUUUAAAAGUUUUCACUUUACUUUCCAUAGUUAUUAAGGAAAAAUUCUCAAAAUGAAAUGGGAGAAAUUGAAUUCUUACAUUUUUACUUGAAUUUUAGAAUUUGUAUUAUGCUUAUUGAAGCUGAUGAAUUAUUGAAACUCCUAUUGAAUUCAACCUUAUUUCUUCCACUUUAAUCUUACCACACACGGUGCACAUUAGGUUCCGAUUAUAAGAGGUGCGUUCUUAGCCUAUUGGAGGUUGGUCAAUUUGUUAAAGUUUGAGAAAGAUCUAGGUUAGGGGAGAGAGAAUAGUCUGACAUACUAUAAUCGAAAACUAAUAAACUUAACACUUAGAUCUUUGUGGAAGAGUAAGGAUUGGACCUUUGGGAGUGGAAAUUCGUUUGAUGCUUAAAUUUGCAUAAUGCUUACACUUUAUAAAUUGUGAUUAGGCAAGAGAUUUGAUGACUCUUGUUCAAGGUUGGGUUUUGCCUCUUUGAUGUUCCAUGAGAGAGUAUAAUCCUCAUCAUGCCACUUGAAAUUUUUUUUGGAGUGAUUAACAUGAUUUUGUAAAUUACUUUACUGUCUAUUUUUUUUUUAUCUCUCCUUCAUUGCUAAUGGACUAGCAAUAUGUCAGUUGAGGGGAGUGAUUACUACUCAAAAAGUACUCUUUUAUAGCUUGAAACUAACUGUUUUGAACACUUUUGAGUAGUAGUUAAUACCUUUUAACUCAAUUGGCACAUUAAAGAACCUAGCAAGGGUUACUAAUUAGUUUUUGGCAAGUUUUGGUGUUUUUGGUAGCUAUUUGAUCAUUGAAACAAGCCAAGAAUGAGGGAGAAUUUUGUGAAGUCCAUGGCAAUGCAAGUUAAAGCUCAAAUACAUGAAGAAUCCAAGCUUUGGAGCACUUCAUAGCCCUUUCCAAAGCCAAUCAGAGAUGCAAGGAAGAAAACCAGAGGAAGAAAUCCAACAAUUAGCAUUUUCGCAUGGCUGUGCGAAAUUUCGCACACCAUGCGAAACCACAAGAGGCAGCCAAAGAAUUUUGCACACUAUGCGAAAUUUCGCAUGGUAUGCAAAAUCUUCUUGUGCACCAACUCCGUUAUAUUUUUAUCUCAAAUAUUUUGUGUAAUUUCCUAGUUUCUCCUUGUAACCAACCUAGAUAUUUUCUUUUAUAUAUUUUUUAGGUAACAUCAUCUAUAGGGGGAGAGACAUAAGGAGGAUAUGGAUGUUUUUCAUAGAACACUUGUAAAUUUCCGGUAGUAAGAAAUAUACAGAGCUUUUUGCUCUACCUUACCUUCUCAUUUUGUUUUCACUUGUCUUUCUAGCCAAACAACCUCUGAGGAUGAUUUCUUAGGGAAUGAGUGGCUAGGUUUUACGUUUCUUGGAGUGAGGGAAGCUAGGUGAAAGACCCGAAUGCUAAGGUGGGAGUUGUCCUUGCUUUAAAUGAAAGUAGUUGUUAAACAUUAAUGGUUUUUAUUUUAAGGUUUAGCUUUAAAUCCCUUAAAAACAUCUUGAAUGGUCAAUACUUGGUAGGCUUUUUGGAUUCUAUGGAUGCUUAUUGCUAGAUCCCUGGAUGUCUAUUAGUUAUCAUUUAUGAGCCAUUGGAAGGUGGUUCAAGAUGAGGGUCUUUAAUGUUUGAAGCCAUUAAUAGGAAACAAUUACCAUUCUUUCAUGAAUCCUUUGGAUCAAAUCUUAAUUGCUAAAUAUAAAACUAGUUCGGGAGAUAACCAUCCUUUAUGUUAUUAUGCCCAACGCGAGGAGAAGAUUCGGAAUCUUCCCCUUUGUCUAAGGAACCCGAUCCUAGUGACCUAAAGCUCUAAGAGACCUUUUCUUUAUAGUUAACUUCACUUAUUGUUUUUUCUUAACUUAAAAUCAAUCUUUGCAACCACAAUUCCAUUUUCUUUGAAAGCUAAUUUUCAUAAGGAAAAUCACCAUUUUAUUUUCUUCCCUAAGUCAACUGUACGAUGAAAACCCAUUCCCAUGGACGAUCCUAGAGCCACUAUACUAUGUUAGCUAUGCUACCCUAAUGUGAGGUGAUUUAGGUUUUAUAAAUUUUGUUGAUAACACCUGUUUGAGCCAGAAUCAAAUGGCGCAACUGAACCAGGGACGAAUCAACAACUUAUAUGGGAGGGACACAAGUUUAAUUGAUUUGCAUUUCAACGUUAUAUAUAGGUAUGUUUUGGAAGAUUUGUUCUGGAAAUACUGCACCAAGUACGAUUCUUUUUGUCUUGAGUGGGUCUACUUGCAUGCCAAUUAACGAGUGGAAAAGUAGGAGCACCUACCUCAUGCUCGCGGAACCGAAGGUCAGUGAAGUGGGGCUCCUUUUGGCCUCUUGUGUUUCUAUUCCAACCAAGGCGGCGUAAGGAAAAACAACAAUAUGUUUGUGCUAAAUAUCAACGCAUGAUAGAUGUUUUUGUUUUUUGGUAUGUCAAGGCUAAUGAAUGAAAUGCUUUAGCUUGUUUUGUGACUGGAACUGCAAAUGUCCAAAUUGGAGUAUCUCCAUUUCUCACUUCGGAUGGUUAACUUAUAAACAAGAUAUAGGAAACAUGUGAACAUCUUGAGGAACAAUUUGAAUUAUUCAUUAGAAGUCCUGGGUUGAGUUCCAAGAUUUAAAUUAGACCCCUCUAGCAGCUUCAGGGGUACCUAGCAACCUAUAGCAUAUUAAUGAAGAUUUAGGAUUUAGACUCUAGAAUACAAAUUAAUAUGUAUCUCAUGCUUUGACUAGCUUCCCUACAUAUGCACAAAAUGGAGAUGACCUAAAAAAAUAGCAGAAUCUAGCUUCCCUACAUAUGCACAAAAUGGAGAUGACCCAAAAAAUAGCAGAAUUUCCUUAGUUUCUGUGGUUAAGGUGAUUCUCCGCUUAAUAUCACAUUGACUCAUUAUGCAAAAUCAACUGAGCUAAUUUUGUUUAUUUAUUUAAUGUCAAAUAGGAACUCCUAAUUAACCUAACCCUUGGCCUGUGUAAAUUGAUUUCACAUGCCCAAUGUUGAAGUAGAAGUCCAUAUUUUGAAUUUUAUUUUUGUAAAGGUAAGGAAAAUGAAGCAUUGUGUAAUUAUAAAAAUAACUUCAUUGGAAUUCACAAGGUUCACCCAAAAUGGAGCUACAUCCGUAUUCUAUCCUGCAGUAGACUAUAUAGAUUGUACAAUAGUAAAUUGCAAAUACAAUUAAUAAGUCUUGUGCUUCCUUACUAAUAAUCCUUUGACAUGAACAUUGCAGCACUAAGGUCCUCUUGGGAAGACACCUUGCACCCAUGAGAGCACGAAGAGGAAGCAAGGCAGAGUCAUGGGUGCAAUGUCAUGACUUGUUGUUGCACCAAGAGAGGCUUGGUGAUGGCAUGGUGUUGCAGUAGCAAGAAUGUUGCCUUGGUAGGGACAUAAUCUAGGGAUAGAUGCCAAGAAAGGCUUAGCACUCACAUGAGUUGCACAAAGAUGAAUGUAAUAGAGCAUCAGAGAGACGUCUUGGCAAGUAAAUGAAUGGAUCCAAGAGGCAACAACAUGAGGAGUUUCAAAUGGAUAAGGAAUGAGUCAAAGACAUUUGAAAGCUACAAGUUGGAUUCUAAUUACGAUUGCAAUUUGAGUUUGAGUAGGAGUUUAGAUUCUGAUUGUAAUUGUAGUAUGAGUUGGACUAGGAUUGCUUAUCCCUAGUCAAAAUAGGAGUGGUUCGUGUCACACCCUAUGAAAAGAGUUUGAGUAGGGACUAGGAUUGCUUACUCCUAGUCAAAUAUGGAGUAGGUGGUGCCACACCUAUAAAAAAAAAGGGACAACAUGAGAGAGAGAGAGAGAGAGAGAGAGAGAGAGAGAGAGAGAGAGAGAGAGAGAAAGAGAUAAUGAAUUCACUAAAGAUAUUGUGGGAGUUUUUCUUUGUUACGUCUUGUAUUAUUACUUAGAAUAGGAAUAAAAUACAAGUUUGGGCUAGAGCCCCAUAAUUAAUCUCGUGUGCCUUUGUGGUUAUUCUUUAUUUGUCAUCUCGUGUGGAUUGGAUUACAUUGACUUAGAGGGCUUCUAAGCACCACCUUUGUGGGUUAUUAUUUAUUUUCCAUUUCUUGUGGAUUAGAUUAGGUUGACUUUGAGGGCUUUUAAGCACCACCUUUGUGGGUUAUUCUUUAUUUUCCAUAUCGUGGGGAUUGGAUUAGGUUGACGAUGAGAAAAAUUAUGUGGGAAAUUUGUGUUGGGACACUUAUCAUAACCAGGUAAAAUCUGCCAAGUCCUUUGUAAUAUCUUCAACAAAUAUUUCAGACUAGUUCUUCACCAUAAACAUCAUAUUGUGUUUUGUUUUUCUCCUGGAUUCUGAGUUGAAUUGUUUCAAGUCAAUUGAAUGCAUCUGAAUAUUAUUAGCUUGUUUGAAGGCCUGGUGAUUUUCCAUUUAACUUUACUUUCUUUAGGUUAUGCUCACUAUAAGAAAAAUGAGAAAUAAUGACGCUUUUUACGCGUUAAGAAAGGCAACAGAUGAUGCUUCUCUAAAGCGUCCUCUUCGGCUCUGUCAUUAUAUGUGUUAGCCAAUAAUGACGCUUCUAGGAAGUGCCAUCUUUGAAUAAUGUUAAUAACGACACUCGUAAAAAGUGUCAUCUUUAAACAUAUUCUGGUCAAAUAAUUUUUACAAAAUUAGUAAUCUUCAAGCCGUUUCUGAAUCAUAUCUGAGCCUAUUUCUGGGGACCAGAAAACCAUCUUUUUUCCAUUCGCCUGAGAGGUCUGAUUAGCAUUUCUGGAAUCAAUCUCUAAACCCAAGCUUCCCUCAUCUACCCAUUUAACCCUCAUGCCCUCCUGUUUGAACAACUUUCCCACUAUAUACACAAAUUUUUUACCUUCUGUUGUUGGUAUUCGACCUCUUCCCAUUCCCAGCACAGAAUCCACCAUUAGUGCCACUUUGUGAAUAAAAUCAUCGAACCAGAUCUUUCGGGCGGAAGAUGAGCUCCAGAGAAAUAAAAUUUUUGGGGUCUUCCCAGCAUGAAAGUCAUAGGUAGCAUUAAUGACAUCAAGAAAUGGGGCACUGUUGAGAAAAAACAUGUUCCCAUCAACCACCCAAGAAUUGUACCAGACUCCAAACACUUCUGGAUUACAUAUGCCUUUACUAAGAUAUAUUUCUUGAUCUCCAUAUCAGAAUCUUGGAGACUCUUCAUUUUAUGAGCUCUGACACUACUGUGAAAUUGGUCCACAUCAAUCACAGGAUGACCCCUUCUAGCAAGAUCAAGCAGGAAGUCUGAAUUCGGGCCCAUAAAAAUGUAGUUCUGAAUAUUGAAACUCUCAAAGUGGCACAACAAAUUCCUUAUGACUCUUUCAGAUGCUCCAAACAGGCUCACAAGUAUAAUGGUAUCCUGUUUUUGCACAGAGUAAAGAAAAUAUCCGAGUUCUUCAAAACUCCUUACAACUAUUCCAGGAUGUACUUCUUUGAAACAGAAAUCGUACCACUUUAGCUUAGUCAGAGGUUGAAUCUAAAAUAACAAAACCCAAACUGAAAUCAAAAUCGAAAUCAACCCUAAUAGAUUUCAGAAACAACAAAUUAAAAGAGUAAAGCACAAAAGGGGGAAAACACAUAUGAAGCAAUCUCCAUACAAGCCCUAACCUUAGAUAAACCCAAAAAAAAAAAUCAAAGCAGAGAGUUACCAUAGAGCAUCUCUGUUUCAAGCUUAGAAAAUGUUUAAUGCCAUUGAUAACUAGUUGGCUAGUGGUGGACUUCAAGCUUCUCUAUUUCGGUGUUAGUAGCUCUCAAUGGCUAUGGUGAGAACAAAGAAAUGAGAGGCUUAGGGUUUGGGAUGUGAGGUUAUUGAUGAUGAUGAGGAUAAAGUUAUGGGCUCUUGGAGGGGUUAGGGAAAUUGAAGAUGGCUGAGAGUAAAGGCUAGGGUUUUUGAGAUAGUUAAUAGCUUUUUAGGGUGUGACUGUCCAUAGAUAGAAGAUAAAUGAGGGUGUGAGAAUUUAUAGAUCUCUAGGUGAUAUGGCGGGUGUGAGAAUGAAAUUUUAGAGGGAAUUGUGUGUUUGGUAGAAAUUUCACACAUGCAUAUAUAAUGUUUCAGAACAUGGCACUUUAAAAAUACGACAAGGAAGAAAUUAUUUAUUGACGCUUAAAUAAAGCGCCAAGGUCUCCAACAUUUUUGCAAUCAAUGACGUUUGUAAAAGGUGCCAUUGAAUAGGAGUGCCAUUGCUUUCCCACAAAGCAUCAUUGUUAAUCAAGCCUUUAAAAAACGCCAAGAUAUGUUGCCACUUAGGUUAAAUAUUGACGCUUUUAAAAAACGCCAAGGAAAAAAACGUCAUUAUUCAUGUUUUUUGUAGUAGUGGCUUGAUUCCUAAAAAGUAAAGGAAAGCAAAAAGUAAAAAAAUAAAAAUGUGGAGAGUUAGGACAUGCGUUAUCUAAUUGUCCUAGUCCCAAAUAUAUUAAGAAAGUCAUGUAGGUUACUUGGAGUAACGAGUCAAGUAAAGCAAGCCUUCUAGUGUUUAAGACAUUAGAUAUUACCGAACUGAUUAUGUCAUUAAUGUAUUGCAUUUGUUGUUUCUAAUAUAUAGAAGAAGAUGAAAUUAUUGGAAUAAGUGGGAAAUAGGAAUAAAUCCAAGGUACCAAAAAGUCACUUUAUCUUAGAUGUUGUUGGAAACAUAAGUGAUUUCACAAUAACGACUAUGAGACAAUCAAGGAUUAAUAAGAUAGACUUUAUAUGAUAUACCUCCCAAUUAGAGCCUAAAAAUAUGGAUGAAGCACUUAGAGAUGAAUCUUCAAUUUUUGUACUAUAGGAAGAAUUAAAUCAAUUUGUUAGCUAUUCUUUGGAUAUUUGAUUCAUCACAAGCUACAAAUCACUUUUGAUGACCAAACACGAAACUAAGAGGAUUGGGCCCAAUUCGAUGCCUAUCAACAAUGAUUUGUAUUCCACCUCAUUAAUUAUUCAAAGUUGGGAAGCUAGGUCUAACCACUUUCUCUACCUGUUCACCCUUAGAGGAGCAGAAGAAAAUUCUAACUUUGGUGCCUAAUGCCUUUGACAAUCUUUCGACAAAGAGAGUUCACUAAUUACUUUGAUUAUUUCUCUGUUGGUCACUGGGGGACAAGACUUUUGUAAUGAAGUCAACUAGAACUUGCCCUUUGAGGGCCAUUCAUGGACGAUAUUACACCAUGAAUUCCCUUAGGUCAUGUUUGGUAUGUGAGAAUGAGGAGUGGAAUGGACAUCUUAUUCAUUUUUUCAUCUAUUCAAAUGUUGGGAUAACUCAAGUGACCAUGAGAAUGAAAUCAAGAAUGAUUCAAGGGAAAUGAAAUCUUACUUAUAAGUGUGAUUUCAAUUAAUCUCUAAUAGAAAUUAUUUUGAAUCAAUAGUGCAAGUUAUUUUUAAAAACAUUUUUCCAAAAUUAAAAAAAUCAAUUUUUUUUUUUUCGAUAAGUUGUUUUUAAAAGGAUUUUUUUUAUUUUGUAAAAAGAAAAUUGUAAUUCAAUUUAUAUAAUAUAAACUAAAUUUUAUUUUAUUCAAAAAGAAAUAAUUUUUUAAUUAUAAAUAAAUUAAAAAUAAAUACUUUUAAUAAAAUAUAAAUAGUAUUAUUAUAAUAAAAUCAUAAAUAAAUUUAAUUUUUUUUAUAAAUAUUAUAAAAAUAUGGAUAUUAACAUUGGAUAAUUGAUUUAUUUUGUUAAAAUAAAAAAUAAUAAUUUUUAAUAUUAUUUUAUGUUAAAUGAAUUUUAAAAUAAAGAAAGUUUAAUUAUUUUAAGGUAUAGAAGAGCCAAAUUUUGCAUUACAUACAUAACAAACAAUAUUUAUUAGAAACAUUUCUCAAGGAGAAUCUUAUUCCAUCUCACAAAGAUACUCGUUUAUUCGAUGUUUGACCAUCCGUAACAAUCAUGUCAAUUCUACUGAUUUAAUAAUUCCUUUACAUUUAUUACUCACUUAUGAACAUGGUAUUGUGAUUUAUUUAUUUAUUUGAUGUAUAAUUAAUUAAUCAAUUUUUUAAAUUUCAAAUUAUUUUUAAAAACUAUUCAUUAAGGAAUUUAAAGCAUUAAUUAUGUCUAUUAUUUUUUAUAGUCAUUAUAUAUAUAUUGAGUUUUAAUUUAUUUUUAAAAAUUAUUAAACUUAUUAAUAAAUUCAAUAUAAAGUCUCGUUUCAUUUGAAAUUCAUUUCUUUAGUGAAAAUUUUGAAAAAAAAAUUGUUAUUUAUUUUACUUUGUUUUAAAAAAAUUGUUUCUAGAGAACAAUAAUCAAAUAAUGGUAUGAAUUUUUAAAAACAAUUUUGUUUUUAAAUCAUAUGCCCAAAUAAUUUUUUUUUAUUUAGCAAAAAACUUUGUUGUAGUAUGUGGCUCAUAUUGAGGGAAAGACAUAUAUGGAGAAAAAUGUGCAAAUGUUGGAGUGGAGCGGAGUGGAAUGACGACAUUUGUCAUUCAAACUUGUAUUUUUAUUGUUAAGGGUGACCGAUAGGUUGGUACGGUUUAGGGGUAUUUUUGGAAUUUCAUUACCUGAGGGUUAGUAUAAAUACCAUUUUAUGUAACCCUAAUUUUACAUAUAAUGUAAGUUUUCUUCCUUGUUCUUGUGGACAUAGGCAAUCCGUCGAACCACGUUAAAUCUGUGUGUUUUUUUUUCUUUUUUCUUUUUCUCUAAUUUCUUCACCAGGAAUCGUUACACUAAGAUCAACAAACUCUCAAAGAUGAUUUUUAAAAUGAAAAAAAUAAUGUAUAGUGUGAGAAUUUUUUAUUUUUUAUUUUUUUAAAAUGAAAAUAAAAAAUUGCUUUAAGGUAAAAGUGUGGAUAUUAUUGUUAAUUUAUUUCAUUUUUCAUUUUCAUUUCCAUUGUUACCUACAAUUGAAAUGGAAACAACUAAUCAUUACAACCUUACAUUCUUAUAUGCAUCCAAAUACAAAAAUUGAAAUCACCAAAUUCAUAUUCAAGGCAAAAUAGGAAUGAAAACAAAUAUUCAUUCUCAUUCUUUAUUCCCACGUGUCAAACAUGACCUCAAAGUUAUAAACAUGAACAAGAAGUCCUUGAAACACCAAUGAUCUCUUCUGGUAUAUAUAUGAGCUUGAUUGACAACUGUUUUAAAUACAGUUUUUUUUUUUUUUGUUUUCAAAAUCAAAACAAAUUUAUUUUUAUUUUUUAUAAAUAGUAGUUUUUUAAUAUUUUUUUUAAACCUUAUUAUGAAAAUAGGAUGUUUUCUAAUAUCAUAUUUUAAUUAUUUUCAAUUAUUUUCCCUUCUUUUAAGGAGGGCUAUUUUAAAAAUAUGAAAAAUGAUACAAAAUAAAGCAUUACAAAUAAAAAUCAUUUUUAAGAAAUAUAUGAAAAUAAUUUGAGAACAUUUGAAGUUCCUUAAUUAAACUUUUGUUCUAGAAAAUGCAAGAAAACUGUUUUUGAAAAUUGUUUUCAUAAUGAUAUGCAUUGAUCGUUUAAAAUUUAAUUACAUGAUAAAAAGACCUAUGUAAAAACCAGAGUUAUAUAAUCAGUCAUAGAUCAAAUCUACUAAAUAUGAAAAGUAAGUACAUAGUUGUAUAUGACUUAGAUGGAGCCUUCUCCGAAUGACAUUCUUUAGUCGGUACUCAUAUUUUUUUGUUUCGUGUCUUCAACAUAACACCUCAUGAUCCUUAAUAAAUCACCUGAAAACUAUAUUAGCACCUUAUUGUUUAAUAUUUCUCUAAAUUUUUUUAUUAAGCAAAUAAAUUCCAAAUUUAAAAUGACAAAUAAAAUUUAUUAAUUUUUAAAAAUAAUUUAAAACUCAAAAACCAAUUUAAUUGAUAUUAAAAGUCAUGAAACUUAAUAAUAUUAGAAAGUCAUGUAUCCAAAUUUAUUUUAAAUGACUUGUUUAAUUUCUUGUUUAUAUAUAUUAUAUUUUUAUAAUUUUUUUUACUAUACAAAUAAAUUUUAAAUUAAACAAAACUUAAUGCGUUGAAUUCAUUAACGAGUCUAAUAAUUUUUAAAAGUUACUUAAAAUUUAAAUACUAAAUCAAUUAGUACCACAAAUUCAUGGAAAAAAAUUGAUUUAUUACUACUAUAUUGUUUCUCUAUUGCAUAGAACCAUUAUUUUUCAAUUUUUUCAUUUGGCAAAUGAACAUCAAAUUAAACAAGACUAAGUGUAUUAAAUUCAUUAAUGGGUCUAGUAAUUUUUUAAAAUAAUUUAAAAUUCAAAUAUUGAUACUCCAAAUUAAACAAGACUUAGGUGGUGUUUGUUUUUUGGUUGAAUAGAAAAAGGUAAAAUAUUUGACUUUUUCUAUUUAGUUAAAAGUAACUUGUUGACAUCGUCCAAUAUAAUUAAAGUAAACCUAUUGAGGGCAAGUUCACUUUAAUUAUGUUGGACGAUGUCAACAGGUUACUUUUAACUCAAUAGAAAAAAUCAAAUAUUUUGACUUUUUUUUUAACUCAAAUAAUAAAUCCAUUAAUACAAAAAAAUUAUGGAUAAUUUGAAACUUUCUUUCUUUUUUUUUUUUUUUUUGCUACACAUAGCUAUAUUUUUAUAAAUUUUAUCAUUAGAGAAAUGGAUUUCAAAUCAAGUGAAACUUUGUAUUGAAUUAAUGGAUUUAACAUUUUUUAAAAAUAAUUUGGAACUAAAAAAAAAAGAUUUAAUUACUAAGAAAAUCAUAGAUCAAAACUAAUAUAUUCUGAUCCAUGAUUUUAUUAUUUUUCCUAUACAUACAAUUAUAUUUUUAUAAUUUUCUCACUAGGUAAAGAUAUUAUAAAUUAAGUGACACAUAAUUAAUAAUUUAAAUUUUUGAAUGAAUCUUUUAAUUUUAGGAAUAAUUUGAAAUUUAAAAAGUUGAUCCAAUUAAUUGUAAAUUAACUUAAAAUAUUAUAAAAUAUUAUGUUCAUAAUUAAGUACUAAAUGUAUAUAUGUAAUGAAAACUUAACUAGUUACAUGUUACAAAAGCCAAAAUUUAUUCAUUCUUUAUUUUAAAUAAAAUAUUAUUAAUAAUUAUUUUUUUUAAAAUAAUAUUUAGUAAUUAUUGUUUUUAAAUUAUUAUUAUUAAUUUUUAAUAAAAAAAUUGCAAAGUUAUUAAUAUCAUUAUAUUUCUAACAUAAAUUUAAAUAGUAUAUUUUUUAAUAUAUAUAUAUAUAUAUAUAUAUAUAUAUAUAUAUAUAUAUAUAUAUAUAUAUAAUUUAUGAUUUCAUUAUAAUAUUUUUAUUCAUGAUUGACGAAAAAUUAUUUAUUGUUUAAUUUAUUUGAAUUGCAAAACUAUUUUUCAAAAUUCAAGCGAGAAAAUAGGCCUGGAUUUGAAUUUCCUGUAGAAGAGAAGGAUGUGGAGAAUAUGUUGGGAGUAUUUGUGGAUAAAGAAAAGGCCAGGGUACUGAGAAAGGAGAGAGAACUUGCUCUUGCCAAAAGAGCCCUGCACAGGUAUUCUACUGAUUCUAAUUAUCGGUUCUUACAUGAUCAGAUUUCAGAUUUAUUUGCUGAGCUUCUGAAAUCUGAUACAGUAUUUAAACUCCGGUGAGCUUUACAAGAUUAGUCUCGCAUCCAAUUCCAAAUGGUGUCCCACAAUUGAUUCUUCUUAUGAUAAAUCCACCUUGAUAUGUGAAAAUAUUGCUCGAAAGGUUUAUCCUCGCGAGGAAUAUCCAGAAUACUAAGGAAUUGAGGAGGCUCACUAUGUUUAUAGAGUCAGGGAUAGGUUGAGAAAACAAGUAGUUGUUCCAUUACAUAAGGCCCUGGAGUUGCCAGAGGUUUUCAUGUGUUCGAACAAGUGGGGAUCACUUCCCUACAACCCUGUGGCUUCAGUGGCCAUGAAAUCAUACAAGAGCCUCUUCUCAAACCAUGAUACAGAGCGGUUUGGUGAGUAUCUUGAGAAAGUGCAAACUGGGAAGGCUAAGAUUGCAGCUGGUGCAUUACUUCCCCAUGAGAUUAUAGCUUCAUUGAAUGAGGAGGAUGCCGAGAGAGUUGCCGAGCUUCAGUGGGCAAGAAUGCUGGAAGAUUGAUCAAAGAAAGGGAGGCUCACAAAUUGCAUUGCAGUAUGUGACGUAUCAGGAAGUAUGAGUGGAACUCCAAUUGAGGUGUGUGUGGCUCUGGGGCAGUUAGUUUCAGAGCUCAGUGAAGAUCCAUGGAAAUUAAGGUAAUGUAAUUACUUUCAGUGCAAAUCCUGAGCUUCACAAGAUCCAAGGAGACAGCCUUGUAUCCAAGACUGAAUUUGUGAGGAUGAUGGAAUGGGGUGCCAACACUGACUUUCAGAAAGUUUUGACAGAAUCUUACAAGUAGCAGUGGAGGGAAAUAUGAGUGAAGAUCAAAUGAUAAAGAGGGUUUUCGUUUUCAGUGAUAUGGAGUUCGAUGAAGCUUGUGGGAGGUAUAACUAUUGUGACUAUGACUAUGAUAUGGAGGAAAUUGACGAGAGUCAGAAGGCAUCUCAGAAGUGGGAGACAGAUUAUGAAGUGAUACAGAGGAAAUUCCAGGAGAAAGGAUACAGAAAAGUUCCAGAGAUAGUGUUUUGGAACCUUAGAAACUCAUCAGCGACUCCAGUGACGGCCACAGAGAACGGGGUGGCCUUAGUAAGCGGGUUUUCAAAGAAUCUGUUGACCUUGUUUUUGGAAGGAGGUGGAAUUCUGAUCCCUCAGGAUGUGAUGGAAUUCGCCAUCUCUGAUGAAGAUUACAAGAAACUUGUUCUAUUUGAUUAAGAUAUCAAGAGAUUUAUCAAUAAUAAUAUAUUUUUUUUCUAUGUGAAAUACAUAUAAUAUUAACUGUGGAGUUAUCAAAGUUCUGGAGGUUUAAUUAUUUCUUCUUUUCAAGUUUUGUUUAUUUAAGGUUUUCUUUGUCUUUGUUAGGAAUUCCCCUUGGGUGGACCCAGCUGGGGAGUUGGAUUGAGGAAGUAAGCAGGCGAACUUGUGUUCUUCUAUGGACAGAGAAAAAAAAUAAAAUAAAAAAAUAAAAAAGGAGGUUAUUUGCAUUUGGAUGUCGUGGUUUGAGGGUACAACUACAAGCUCGAAAUUGUACAUAAUGUGAAAACUCCUGUGUCCAUUGCUGAGAACAGCAUAAAUGAUGGUGAUUUUCAAGUUGUGCCUGGUAUUCUACAGGAUGAAACAAGAAAGGAUCCAGGUGGUAUAUUGAACAAUAUCCCAAUCAUGUUGGUGGCAUCUUUAUUUAGUUAAUGGUAUUCAUUUGGUGGAAGCUGGUUGUUUAUGAUGUUUUUAAUUUUUUUUAACAUGAAGUUCGAUCAAAUACGUAUCUUAGUAUGUUUUGUUUGAGCUAAUUGGCAAAUGCGCUUUAAACAUGGUCACAUGGAUGCAGUUUUAUUUGUGAAAUGAUAAUAGUCGAUUACUUGGUCAGUAAGGUUUAUAUCUCUAACUUCAACAUCUUAUUGUAGUCUUUUAAAAUGUCAAAAGUUUAAUGCUUGAGAAAUUUUGGAAUGGAGACAUUCUAAACAAAGUUAAUAAUCCACAAGACUUGGUAAAACCGAUCAGAUGAUGCUUACGUACAUCAAUGCCUUCUUUAAGCCAUAUCCUAUUUUCAUUGAACGGGAUGUGCCAUCUAGUUUGGUUCUUUAAGCCUCCAAAUCCUAAACCUAGUCUCAAUUUAGAGCAAAUUUAGGGUGCAGGGCCUGCAUGCCUCCCCCUCCCCCUUCCACAAAUAGUAGUGACCUUGCUAUGCCUAUGCAUUGUCAAUGCCUCAUUUUCUAUGGUCUCCAAUGUAAUAUCUUAGUUUCAAUGUCUCUUUCCUUACUAUCUCCAAUGCAAUAGAUUGAUUUCAAUACCUCUUUACAACUAAGACCUCCAAAUUUUCUUGGUUCAAACCUACCAGAAUUUUUCUUCUCCUUUGCUUUCUAUCAAUAUUAGUUCCCCUAAUUUAAUAUAUACUUCUUUAUUACCUUCAACUCUACCUCUCUUUCUUUCUCUAAAAGCUUCCUCAAAGAUUUAAUUGCUUUCUUGCAUGUUUUAAGAAAACAAACAUGCUCAUAUUACAUUACCUCUACUUGAGAUCUACCUUAUACUCUACCUUCUUUCUUUACCUCCUAUAUCAUCUACUACAUUAGCUUCAAAAAUAUUAUUUAGUUUGAUACUAAAUAAGGCUCCUAAUCCUACUCUUCCUUCAACAAACUUUCUUUUUACAAGUUCCUUAAACUUUAUUUUUUAUUUUUUAUUUUUUGGAAAUUCGGGUUAGAAAGAUUCCAUUACUCUUACCUAAUAUUUCAACCAUCAAGUUGAAUCCACUUAUUGCCUAAAUCCAAGGAGUCUGCCCUCCACAAAAACAAGGAAAUUGAUCCCACAAUAACAAGGAGAUUGCCUUCCACAGAAACAAAGAGAUCUCCCUUCACAGAAGCCGAAUACAUUGCAAUCUAUUUUCUUUCUUGUAAGAUCAAAUCUUCAAUCGAGCUCCAUCUUAUGGGGGCAUAUUAGAGAAAUUUAAUAUUAUCCUUAAUUUACAUAUUAAUAUUUAUCUAUUUAUUAUAUAUUGAAUUAAAAUAGAAUAUAGAAUUUGAAUCAUAGUAGAAGUUUACUAUAAGAUUGAAUUACAAUAGUUAAUAGAGUUUAAAUUAUAAUAACUCAAAUACAUUUAUAUAUAUUUGACCUUACGAGAUUUUCUAUUUAUGUAUUUGAACUACAAUCCUUAUGAUCCUUAGGUCUCUAUACCUUCGUGAUGGGCUCCUUGACAUUUCAUAGGUUGUGCUACACAUGCAUUUGAAAUUUAGAGUGCAUUUGACAGUGAUUCUGGGAAGUGUUUUUGGCAUUUCUAACACUUAAAAUUUUUUAUUUUUCAAGUAUUAGAAAUGCUACAAACACUUUUGAAAAUUACUGUCAAACACACUCUUAGGAGCGCAUAUAGUAGAAAACUAGAAAUUGUGGUUUUUUUAGGAUUUACUGUAAUGUCAUUAGGAGGGUAGUAAGUUGAAACUGAGUAUGAAUAAAUAUUUCUUUCUUUGGGAUGUUCUUCUGGUAGGUGCUGAUGAAACUGUUCUUUUUACUGCCAAUGUCACAUAUCAGCCAGAAAUUGAAAAUUUCAGUCAAGGUGUCCUCGGUUUUAGUGGUGAGGAAAGCUAGAAAUUUUAAGGUGAAGUUCUGUUAAAAACCUUAAGUAGCUGGGAUAUCAGGCCUGUUUUGCUUGAAAAAAAAAGUUGCAAGAUAACUCAUAUGCCAAACAGGUUCUGAUAUUGUGAAUCUAUCGGCAGACAUCAGUAAUCUCAUCUUCUGAGAUGGAUGUUGGGGGUGCAUGUGGUGGUGGAGGGGCAAGGUUUCAUUUGGUUUAUUUUGUUGAUGGAUAUUGUCUAGCCCCCUGCGCCAAGUUUGAGGGGUGGUGGGUUGUGAUGGCCCUACAAUUACUAUUAAUUUCUUCCUCUUUUACCGAUUAAAGUGUCCGAACAGUCGAAGUUACCCUUAUGCAUGUCAACUUGAUCACUUACCUCUUCAAUGGAGUUUAUGCUGGUUCAUUUAGGAACUGAUUUUUAUUGUUAUGCAUUCUAUGCUGAUGUUUAGGCCUCUCCAUCAUCACUAUAUACAAAAAUUCUAGGUUGAUACUAUAGGUUGAGAUUUAUUUUUUAAAUAAAAAAUAAUAAAAAUAAAAAUUAUGGUGAUGUUUAGUUGUUUUAUGGAAAAUUUUAACAAGUUAUUUUUGGGCAAGUUUUCAAACAAAAAGAAAAGUAAAAGUUGUUUUGACAAAAACAUAUAGAAAAAAAAAAUCAUAGAAAAGAAAUAAUUUCCCCAUAUUCUAACUUUUUUUAAUUUUUCUCAAUGGGCAAAGGAAUAUCAAAUCAAGUUUGAGUAGGAUUUCUUAAUUUUUAAAAUAACUUACAAUUAAAAAAUUUUGGUGUUUUCAUUUUUGGACAAUUUUUUAUUAAGCAAAUGGACUCUGAGUCAUGCAAGAGAUAUGGUUGAUUAAUGGGUCAAACAAUUUUUUUAAAAUAAUUUAAAACUCAAAUACAUAAUCAAUGUCACAAAAUUUAUAAACAAAAAUAGGUUUAGAGAAGAUCUACACAUAAUUUUACUUUUCUAAUUUUAUUUUAUUUUAUUUUUUUGUUGGAAAAUAGUCUUCAAAUCAUGUAAGAUUUAAUAGGUUAAAUUUGUUAACAAUAAAUUUUAAAUUAUAAAAUAUAAUCUGGAACUUAAAAAUCAAUUCAAGUAAUGCUAAAAAAAAUCAAAUUUGGUAUAGAAUGACUACGUAAAAUUUUUUACAAAACAAAUGAAUUUUAAAUCAAGUGAGAUUUAAUGCAUUAGAUUUUUAUCAAAUAUAGUAAUUUUAAAAUUUAAUUUGGAACUCAACAAUAGACACAAUAAAUACCAAAAAAUAAUGAACCAAAAUUGGUUUGGAAUAACUCCACAACCUCUUUUUUUUUUUUUUGGUGCACACGAAUUUUCUUACUAGGUAUAUUGCUUUCAAAUUGAGAAAGAUUUACUAUUUAGAUUUUUUUUUUUAAUGAGUUUAAUGGUAUUUUAAAAUAAUUCAAAAUUUCAAAAAUUGACUAAUUACUAUUAUAAAUUCAUAAACCAAGACUAAUUCAAAAUGCAUUGGGGGCUAAGGGGGUUGAAAAUAGGGACAAUGGGAUGGGUUUGGGACAUGACACUCAUAUCUCAUUUCCAUUCCAAUUACAUAGUUAUCUCCCAUCCUUAUCCCAAACUUGUGUUGGAGCAAGUUGAUUUGUUCCCAUCUUUGUUGAUGAAAUGACUAAUAACCUCAUCCCCUCCUUAUCUUAGAUGUACAUUUUGUCAAAUUUGAUCAGGUAUGAUUGAUCCAAGCCCUAACCCUAAUUGGUAAUGACUGGAUACUACACCUAAUUGCAUUCUUCUUUCGUCGCAAAAUAAUGAGAUUAUAAUAAUCUAGCAAAUAAGAAAAAAUAGUAUGGAAGUUCAAUUUAACACCAUAACUAUCAAUAAUUUUAAGCUUAUAGAUGACUUAAAUGAUUAAAAACUAAUGCAAAAUACCAAAAAAAAAAGUUCAUAUAAAGAAUUCACAAGAGAACAAAAUGAACAAAAACCAAAUAUGAACAUGGGUCAACAUUAGUUAUGGAUUUGGAUUCCUUUCAAGGCCAAUCUUUGAACCAAGACUUCAUCAAAUCUACUACUUCAAAGGCUUUUGUGUUCUUCUUGGGUUGUGCUCUCAAACAAAGACUUCAAGGUGAUGCUCUAGAUGAUUGCAUUACACAUAUUUAGGGUGGAGAGAUUGGAGAAGCUUGAAGAUGCCAACGAUGGGUACAAUUGAGUGGUCAAUAAGAACAAUGUAGCCUAUGACUAGUUUGAUGUCGUGGUACAAGAGUUUUAGGCAUUGAGGUUAAAGCAAGAGCAACAUGGAAUUGAUUUUGGAGUCUUUCAAUUAGUGUAAAGGAGGAAGAAGUGGUAUUGAUUCUAGAAAUAGGGUUUUAGGUGGUGCGUUAGAGGAUGAAGAAGAAGAAAAAGAAGGAUCUGUUGGAAUUAGUGUGAGUGUGAAGAGAGAAGUAUAUAAAUAAGGGGAAGUAAAAGCAAAGUUCUAAAAGCUAUAUUUUUUUUUAUUGUUGGUGUAUGGUUGCAUGAUUAUCCCUAUAAAUAAUAGGAGUUUUUUUGGUAUUCUACUAGUAGUUGAAGGAUAAUUUCAUAAAUUUAUAUUUAGAGUGGGGUGGGGUGAGUUGUGACAAAAUUCAUACCCGUCCUAAACCUUGGUUCAGAUUUUUAAAAUAUCCUCAAACUUAUCAUAUACCCAACUUUUAUAUUUCAUACUUGUCUUGAUAGAGGCAGGUUAGGCCGGGUUACUUGAGUAACCUACAUAAUUGUCAUCCCUAGUUGAAAUACACUUUUUUGGCAGUGGCCACCAACUGAGCUAGAAGCUUGAUCGAUUGACCUACAAGAUUAGUUCUCAUCAUUUUAAAAAAAGUUUUGGCCUUGGUUGUGAGUGCAAUUGAAUCUAAACUGGCAUUUCCUUAAUGCAUCUACUUCAAUCCUAAAUUUCUUACUUCCUAAGCCUCAAUUGUUGUUAGGAUUUUGGAAAGCCCAUUUCCUUAAAUUGUAAAUUUAAGAAAAAAUAAAAUAAAAGUGAGACAUUUCUUGAUUGAAUAUUGUUAAAGGUCCCUUGGCAUUAAGACUUGGUUGAAGCCUUGGAAGAUUAGUGGAACUCUCAACUUGUGUUUGAAUCUUGAGGAGAGUGGACGUAAGCCAAAAUUUUGUCAAACCAUUAAACAAAUUGAGUUUGAAUCCUCAUUUCUUGAUUUCUUAUUUAUUUGCUUUUUCUUAUUAUUACUUGAAUUGUCAUUUGCAUUCAUUAAUGUUAAAAUUGGUUAUAAUUAACCAACACUAAUUCUCUUUCCCCUUCCCUUUCUUGGGUGUAAACCUAGGUUGGAUUAACUAGAUUAAUUUAUAAAAUCUAUUAAGAUGGUAAAAGAAUAAUUAUUCUUAACACACAUAAGAUCAUCUUCAAUCAAAUGACUCAUUGGCUAAUAUGUUGAAUUUGCUUAUUACUUGCAACUCAAAAUUGUGUUCUAGUUGAUAUGUCAAGUCCCCAGUGUAUGGACAUUAAAUUUGUAGUACGUGAUGGUAAUUAGAUGGUCCAACUCCAAGAAAGUGAUUGAAAACUAGUUCAAGAAAGGUGCAAAAGGGAAUUGUUUUGGUAUUUUCGUUUUUAUUCUUGAAGGUGGCAGAGCUAAAAUUUGUGAAAUCAAGCAAAACAUACUGAAAUUACAUUGAAAGAAAGAAAAUGGGAGUUAAUGUCUUGCAGUAGAUGAUAAGGACUUCAUGCAUGUAGUAUGACCCAUGUCUUGGACUGAUGCCAACUCACGGUUACACUUAUACCCUUGGUUCUCUCUUUACUACCUUGGCUAACCUAGAUCAGGCUAUGAGAUAGGCUCCUCACCACACCAUUACUUGCCCAUUAAUUAGAGACAUUUUCAAGCACUGAGGUAACAUGGUGACACCAAGAGGGUUUAUUCCUCGCCCUCCUCGCCCUCAACAAGUCUAGACUUGGUCUCAAAAAAAUGGAGAAAAAUGAGGUGUCGUUAUGUAGAAAUACAACAACCAUGCCUUCCUCAUUACUUUGAUUCAGAAUGUGAAGGUGAAAUUGAGAAACAGAAACUCUUGAAACCAAAAUGAAAAUUGAUACUUUUACGAAGAAUUACAACAACAUUGGAGGAAGACUACAUUCUUCCUCUUUAUUCCUACAUUUCUACACUACUUCUACUCCACUCCAUAUUUCUACAUACAUCUUUAAUCAGUCUUCCCUCCUUUAUAUAGAGCCAUCUUCACACAAAUUCCGCAAGGUAGAAAAGAGGAAUGAAACUUGGAGCAAGGUUCGACUACUGGCUGUAGCUUGUCAAGGCUGGAAGUGAACCUUUUUUCUUGGCUUUUCUGGGCAUGGGUAGUAACUUGUGGGUUCCUUUUUGGGAUACAAAUGGCUAGAACAUGUGGCACUAUCUUGUUGGAUGAUGUGUCAAGCAUGUGGCAGCCAUCUAGUGGCGAUUAUGUCAAUUUUGGGAUGGAGAGUUGGCAUCCAAUUGCAAAGAAAUAUGACGUCUACCAACAGGCAAUGUAAACCUAUGUAGAUCAUAUGAAGAUAGAGAGGAAAAAUAUAGAAAUGGAUAUAUACCUAGAACUAGCUUUUUAUUAAAUGAAACGGAGAGCCAACAAUGAAGGAAAAUAAAUUUUUUUGGCUUAUAUCAAAGAGUUCACAUUGUGCUACCCUAGGUUUUCUUAAAACUUACUUUUAUGAUAACAAAAAAAAAAAAAAACAUUAUUGUUUAAUCCUUUGUUUUAAACGCAUGUUUAGCAAGUUAUAAAAUGUAAAAAUCUUUCUAAGUUCAAAUAUGAAGAUAUGACAUCAUUUCAAGCAAGAUAGUCUCUAGGAAUUAAUGUAAAGCUAAAUUAAGGUGAAAUUAAAUUAGUUCAAUGCAUUAAUUUAAGAAACUUGACCUAUCAAAAGUACAAAAUUAGAUGAAAUCCAUUUCAAUGGUUAAAAUGAUCAAAAUCAAACUUUUUCUAAGUAUUUUUUAAAAGUAUCAAUAUUGAAAGACAAUUUUAUAUUUAGUCAGAGUUUGGACAAAACCAAAAAGCACACAAAAUCCAAGCGACCAUCUCUAGCUUGGAUGGUCGCUUGAUCUCUAGCUUGUGUACUUGGAAAGCAACAUCGAGAUGAUAUAUAUAUAUAUAUAUAUUUUAUAUAAUAUUGUUUGUCCAAAUUCCCUAAAAAUUAGGCCACCACAUGUUCAUAAUUCUCCCUUCUUGAAUUUGAAAACUCGGACAAUUGGACAAUGCGACACCUAAGUCCGGUUUCUAAAUGCUAAAGUGAAAGGGUAGGUAUGGACCAUUGAAAUGUGAUCACAACUUUUCUCUGUAGCCAUGUUGUCUCUUUUUUCUUUUGCAUGAUUUUCUCACCUUAACAGAAUCAUAGACUUGUUUAAUCUCUAAAUGGGAUUAAUUUCAUCCAGCUUUAAGCUACUAUAUUAUAUCUAGGUGGAGGACUUUUAAGAGUGCAACCGACAUAGAGCACAUGCAAGUGGGUAUAUGGGACAUGAAAUUUCUUCUUAUAAAGAUUGCAUGAUUUUUAUAUUAGAGUUGUUGGGGCGCAAUGUAUGUAGCUUGUUUUGCAGUUAAAUUAAUUGGAUAAGUAGACAUUGGCGUUUCUAAAUCUACUGUGAAGUGCUUCAUGUACGUGUGAAGUAUUAGAAAUUUCUUUCUUGGCAACUUGUUUUUUCUUUGCGGUCUACUGAUAGGUUUGACUAAAAUUAUAUUCCCUGUCAUGCUAAUUAAUUUUCACGUGCAUGCUCAAAAGAAGAGUAUGACCUUAGUGCACCAAAAUCACUUUGAUUAAUUUGUGAUAGGUUUUUGUGCAUCAUGACAUUAGCCUUAUUCAUUUAGAUAAUGUUUAGUUUUUAGAAAGUAUUAAGAAAAGGAAAAUAAAUAUUAAGAAAAAUAUUCUUAUAUUUGAUUGUAUUAUGAAAAAUGUCAUAAAAAAAUCAAAUAUAAUUUAAAUUAAUUAAUAAUUUAUACAUUUUCAAAUUAUUUAAUCUUUAUAUUGAAGAUAUAAUAUAAAUGAAAUGAGUUUUAAGUAUUAUAUAAAAGUGAUUUAUUGAUCUUGCAUAUAUGUAUUUCUUUUUUUUUUCUUCUAUUUUUUUUCUUUAUUUUAUUUUCCUUAUGUUUUCCUCAACAUUUUCCGGAACCAAACAUAGCCUUAGGAAAUCCACAAUUACCUUCAACUGAGUAUAUUCGGUUGUUUUAGCAAUGUUAGGCUGCUAACUUGUGUUGGUACGAACCUGUUAAGCCUAAAGAUGUAAUUAGUUAGGAUAUUCUUUUCCCUCUAGUCUUGUAGCUCCACGUGUAUAGUUGGUUAGGACCUCAUUGUAUAUAAUGCCUGCCCUGUUAUUGUUGAAGACAACAGAGAUAAAUAAUAUUAACAUUUUUCCUCUCAUCUCUCUUUGUUUCCCUCUGUUUUCAUCUCCUCUCUCAUCUUGGUAUCAGAGCCUCCAUGGAUUCUUUCAAAGAAACCUCCGAAUCACCUUCUGCUAGCAUUGUUAAUGUGCAAAACCCAUUAUCUCAGUCAAACAACCUUCCUUCACCAGCAGCCACACCCUCUUUUUCUUUCUUGUCUAUGAAUCAACCUCUCACAGUGAAGCUGGAUAAUGGAAACUACCUCAUCUGGAAGAAUUAGCUUCUGAAUGUCAUCAUUGCGAACAGACUCGAUGAUUUCAUUUAUGGAACUCGACCCUGCCCUCCUUGAUUUCUCAAUCUGCAACAACAAACCCUCACUCCAGAGUACUCGGUCUAGCAGAGAUACAAUCGACUUCUAAUGAGUUGGCUGUACGCAUCCUUGUCCGAAGAUAUAAUGACUCAGAUUGUUGGGUAUUCAACAACUGUGGAGAUUUGGAACGUCCUUAAUCAGAUUUACUCUGCCUCUUCAAUGGCGUGGGUUACCGAGCUUCACACCAAGCUUCAAACGCUCAAGAAAGAUGGACUCUCAGUUGGUGAAUAUAUUCAAAGGCUCAAAUCCAUUUGCAAUAGUCUUGCAGCAAUAGGAGAACUAGUUUCUGAGAAAGACCAGCUUAUCUAUUUGUUCAAUGGAUUAUAUUGUGAGUAUAAUUCUUUUGUUACCUCCAUUCAAAAUCGAUCUGACCAACCAACUAUUGAGCAAAUCCAUAGCCUAUUGCUUAGCUAUGACUUUCGGCUUGAACAACAAAACUCUGUUUCUCUCCAUUAUGCCCAAGUCCGUAUGGCUCAUCUGAACAAGAAACCUUAUAAAUCAACUCCUCAACCUACAUUCAAUCAUAUUCACAUUCAACCUAGAUACUCUUCUCCACCUUUUAAGCCAACCACUAGUCAAUAUCAACCCAGGAUUUUGGGCAAACCACAACCACAACCAUGACAGCCUCAACCUCAAUGGAAACCACAUUUUUCAAUCCAGAAUCAAAAGCCUCAGUGCCAAAUUUGUGGUAAAUUUGGACACACUGCUCUUAUUUGCUUCCAUUGCACAAAUUUGAACUAUUCACCCCAACCUUCUCCUAAAUCUUUCAAUACUGUUCUCACCACAAAUUCCCAGCUCCCUAAUCCUCCAAAAUUUUCUUACCCUACAAUGGCUCAUCCUGCUGCUACGCAUAACACGAUUCCUGAUACAAAUUGGUACAUGGACUCAGGUGCUACACAUCACUUUACUCCGGACAUCAACAUGCUUGACACUGUGACACCAUUUAGUGGUUUAGAACAGGUGACAGUUGGGAAUGGUAAGCAACUCUGUAUCUCACAUCUUGGUACUGCAAAACUACCAUCCUCGUAUUCUCCUCUUGUUCUACAUCAGGUAUAUCACACUCCAAAAAUUUCAAAUAAUCUUAUUAGUGUUAGAAAAUUGUGUUCUGAUAAUAAAGUUUUUGUUGAAUUUUAUGCCACUCAUUUUCUUAUCAAAGAUCAAGUUUCGAAGAGAGUUCUCUUUCAAGGUCAACUUGAUAAUGGCUUAUACAAAGUUCAGUCGUCAUGCUCUCCUUCUACUAUUUCCUUUCAUCCUCAAGUUUUCAUAGCCAACAUCAAGGAUCAAAAUUUGUGGCACAAGAGACUAGGCCACCCAGCUUUAUCUGUUAUUAAUCAAAUCUUGGAUUCUUGUAACAUUGCUCGAACACAGAAAAUUGGUUUUAAUUUUUGUAGUUCUUGUCAAUUAGCAAAAAGCCACAGGCUUCCUUUUUCUCUGUCUCCAUCCAUUGCAGAAAAACCUUUUGAGUUAAUUCAUACAGACCUAUGGGGUCUUUCUCCUGUUCGCUCUAUUUCUGGUGCUCGUUAUUUUUUACUUUUCAUUGAUGAUCAUACUCGUUUUACUUGGUUUUAUUUGCUCAAAACAAAAGAUGAAGCAUAUCCUACUUUUCUCAAGUUUCAAGCUCUCAUUGAAAAUCAAUUUAAUACCAAGAUUAAGGUUGUCCAAUCUGAUUGGGGAGGUGAGUUUCGAUCUCUCUCCAUACUGUUUUCAAAUAUGGGCAUUGUCUAUCGUUUAUCAUGUCCAUACACCUCACAACAGAAUGAGUGGGUUGAGCGAAAAAAUCACCAUGCGGUUGAAAUGGGAUUGUCCUUUCUUGCUCGCUCGGGUAUGCCCUUAUCUUAUUGGCCUUAUGCCUUUCAAACUGCCACUUACCUUAUUAAUCGUCUCUCUACCCCUGUGCUGCACCAUCAAUCCCCUUACUUCGCACUCUAUCACAAAUUCCCAGCUUAUACUCAUCUUAAGGUCUUUGUUCCUCUUGUUUUCCAUAUUUACGCCCUUAUAAUACCCAUAAACUCCAAUACAGGUCACUGGAGUGUGCUUUUCUUGGUUGCAGUUCACACCACAAAGGUUAUCUAUGUCUUGACAUUCAUUCUAGCAGGGUGUAUAUUUCUCGCCAUGUGAUUUUUAAUGAAGAUUCUUUUACAUUCAAGAAUUUGAAAUCUUCUCUCUCUUAGUCUAUUUCUUCUUCCUCUUCUUUAUUAGUUCCUCUGUUCAUUUCCUUGCCUCCCCUCUCCCCAUAUCCUCCUAUUUCUCCAUCUAUAUCUCAUUCUUUUCUCUCUUCUUCUUCUACCUCUAGUACUUGUUCCCCUCUCGUUGCUCCUACCUCUCUUCCUCCCUCUUCACACUUUGUGUCCCAUCUAUUCCACCUCCUUCUCCACCUUCUUCGAGUGUGGACCUGCUUGUACCUUGUGUGAAUACAAAUUUACUUACUUUUUCUCGCACUCACAAUAUUCAUCCUAUGGUGACCAGAUCUAAGGGUUUGUAUCUAUAAACCUAAGUUGCUAUUGAGUGUCUCCAUAGGUUCUCUCACUAAGCCUACUUCCUUUCUUCAAGCUAUUAAAGAUCCUUCAUGGAAGCAAGCCAUGGAAUUGGAGUUUGCUGCCCUUCAACACAACAAGACCUGGCAUCUAGUUCAUUCACCUUCCUCAGGCAAAGUAAUUGGUUGUAAAUGGGUCUAUAAGAUAAAGCUUUAGCCUGAUGGCUAAUUGAGAGAUACAAGGCCCGCUUAGUAGCUUAGGGUUAUCAUCAAACUGAAGGUAUUGACUACUUCGAAACAUUCAGCCUGGUUGUCAAGCCUUCUACUACCGUAUUGUGCUCAGUCUUACUUUUUCCCAGAAUUGGUGUAUUAGACAGCUGGAUGUUCAUAAUGCCUUCUUACAUGGUGACUUAGCUGAAGACGUUUUCAUGGAACAACCACCUGGAUUUGUUGAUCCUCUCUAUCCUACUCAUGUCUGCAAGUUGGAUAAGUCUCUCUACGGUCUUAAUAGUCACCUCGGGCUUGGUAUACUAAGCUGAGUACUUCUCUACUACACUUGGGAUUUGUUACUUCUAAGAAUGACUCUUCCUUAUUUAUUUGUCAUUCGUCUCAUGGGUUACUUCUUGUUCUUGUCUAUGUGGAUGAUAUAAUCGUCACUGGGAGCCACUCUCCUCAAGUUACUCACCUUAUCCAAUAGUUGCAUCAUCAGUUUUCUUUAAAGGAUCUUGGUCAUUUACACUAUUUUCUGGGCUUGGAGGUUCAUCACACCCCUACUGGUAUUCACCUCAGCCAAGCAAAGUAUAUCACUGAUCUCCUUACCCGGGCGGCUAUGUUGGAUGCCAAGCCAUGUCCCACUCCUAUGUCCUCCAACACAUAUCUUUCUCUUCAUGAUGGAGUGGCUCUUGAAAAUGGUUCAGAUUAUUGAAGUUUUGUUGGUGCCCUUUAGUAUUGUACCAUGACACGCCCAGAUAUAGCUUUUGCAGUAAAUAAAGUGUGUCAAUUCAUGCACCAUCCCUCUGAUGUUCACUGGCAGGCUAUAAAACGUAUUCUCCAGUACUUAAAGGGCACAUCUCAUUUUGGUCUCUUCCUACAGCCUUCCUAUGACUUCAACAUCACUUGCUAUACAGAUGCCGACUGGGCUUCCUGCCUUGAUGACAAGUGUAGCACCAGUGGCUACUGCCUCUUUCUUGCCUCUAAUCUGGUUUCUUGGUCAUCUUCCAAACAAAAAGUGGUCUCCCGCUCCAGCGCCAAAUCAGAGUACCGAGGGGUAGCAAAUGGGGCUGCUGAAAUUGCUUGGACUGAAUCUCUUCUUUGUGAACUUUCCACCCACUCGACCUCCCCUCAUUGUCUGUGACAAUAUCAGUGCCACAUACUUAGCUGUCAAUCCUAUUUUGCAUGCCCGCACCAAAACAUGUGGAAAUCGACUAUCACUUUGUCUCGGAACGUGUUCUUCAACGCUCUCUCUCUCUCCAGUUUACACCUUCGGAUGAUCAACUUGCUGAUUGCAUGACCAAGCCUCUCUCCACCCAACGUUUCAUCACUCUACGCUCCAAGCUCACUGUUCUCACUAGACCAAUGAGCUUGAGGGGGGAUGUUAAGCCUAAAGAUGUAAUUAGUUAGGAUAUUCUUUUCCCUCUAGUCUUGUAGCUCCACGUGUACAGUUGGUUAGGACCUCAUUGUAUAUAAUGCCUGCCCUGUUAUUGUAGAAGACAACAGAGAUAAAUAAUAUUAACAUUUUUCCUCUCAUCUCUCUCUCUGUUUCCCUCUGUUUUCAUCUCCUCUCUCAUCUGAACCAAAUGAUCCAUGUUAACCUUGGCUUGGUUUGAUUUGGCUCUAUCUUAGAGAGCUCAAGGAUCACGUCAACUCUGGUUUCUACUAUUCAGGUCCAUUCCCAUAUGAACUGGUUCAAAUUUGAGAAAAUGGUAACAGACCUUUAGUGAUGUUGGUUUGGAGCCAGUUGCCAAACCCGCCCUGAGCUUUACCACUAAUGUCAAGGGAGAAAGCCUUUUGAACAAAAACAAUAGCUUCAAGAGACUGAAUCGUGGAUGAAAUCUGAUCCACAUUUCUUCUCAUUUUGGAAACAAAUGAGAACUUAACUAAGAAGAUUCUACGGCCUCAUAGUGCUUUUCCUGAUCUAAGGUUGGUUCGUUUCCCAAAUUGUGAGAUGCACGGGCCAGACUUCAGAACUCUCACGCUCAGGAGUGUAUCCACGUGGUGGACAUAAGAUGGUGGCUUAAGAUCUGGUGUCGGUGGCUUUACUUUACUAGGAGAGUAGUGUGUCUUCAUCUCAUUCACUGCCGGAGGGUGGCGUAAGCAGUGACGCUAAGGUGGGGCAUAGUCAAUAUCAUUUGCAUUUGACCAUUAUAGUUUUCUCCCGGCUUGAAAGUAACCUUAUCGUGAUAAAGGAUUACUAGCACUAGUUCAGAUGACAGUCAUGUUAAAUUCGGACCAUGUUUGUGUCACAUUAUCAGCAACCAUGUGUUUAUGGUUCAUGCUUUCUGCAACUGAAAUUGAAAUUGAUAUAUAACCAGGUGAACUUCAAUCUAAAUUCUGGAAGUACUCAUGUGAGCGAUGGUGCCCAUCUGCAGAGUCCAUCAAUUGAAAAAUGGAGUGAGUGUAUCUAUAAGAGGGAAGGCUUGGCAAAUGUCCAGUUUUCUGGGAAUUCAACAAGGAUCUAAAAUAGAUUGUUUUCUUUGCUGAUUUCAAUGGUUGAAAUUUGAGAAGAUUGUGUCCCACAUAACACAACUAUUACUGGUCCUUCUGUUGCAAUUUAUCCUCUAAGGCUCUAGCAUGUCUUCCAAUUCCCACUUCCCUGUUACUCCAGGAAAGCUAUUUCUGUCAUUGUGAAGAAGAAAAGAGAAUGUAGAUAUCGAUGCUUUUAAGUGACUGGAGCAUUCAUAUCAGGUGGUCUGCAGCCAUAUAUGCCACUUUGUGAAGAUUGGAACAGUCAAUCACUAGGCUAUAUAUUAGUGUGGCCCAGCCACUUUAAUCAAGGACAAUUCUUCAUACUUAAAAGUCAAAUUCUGCCUUUAGUCUCAUUAUAAAUUGCUGUUUAAAUAUUAAGCAAACAUUUGUUUAAUGCGAUUAAGACAGUACUAACUCAAUACUUGUUCUAUUUUUGGAUGGAAAUGCUUGAUGGUUUCAUCAUUGGAUGGGAUAAAGGUGCAUUCAUGAUUAUGAAUACUUGUAGUUAUAUUUUCAUUCUCUUUUUUCUCAAUGAGACUUGUUGGCACAAUUUUUCUGUUCAGAAACCUACCUCUCCAUGGAAAAUAAGUUGUGAUUGAUAGUACUGGAUAUAUUCAAGAAAGCUAAAUAUAGAUAGCACAAAAUAUUAUCGACAUAAAUAGCAUUAACAGCGUACGUAUGUCUCAGUGCUCAUCAGCCAUAAGCAUGGGGCAAACACUUACGAUGAGCAACUUACGUCAAAAUUCCAGAAUAGGACAUAGAAGUGACAGAUCUAUAUAUAUAGAACACUGCAUAAGAGUCACAAGAAAGGAAAUUACGGGUGCAUAGCAGCUCUUAUUUCACAUACUACUCAUACUGAUCAAAGUCACUCAGUUGGGAUGGGUGGGAGUAGGAGGUUUGUGGGGUGGCUUGUGCGGAGGAGUUGGCAGCUUCUUUCCAGGACCUGGUGGCUUCUCUCCCUUAGGUGGUUUGCCAACUGGGGUUGGUGGCUUGUAUGAGUCUUCAGCAUUCUCUGCAGGAGGGUGACCAGGGUUGUGACCAUAAUGUGGUGGCUUCUCUCCCUUAGGUGGUUUGCCAACUGGGGUUGGUGGCUUGUGUUCUGGGAGUGGCUUCUCCCCCUUGGGAGGUUUUUCCAAUGGGGUUGGUUUGUGUUCAGGAGGUGGCUUCUCCACUGGAGGCUUGUGUUCAGGAGGUGGCUUCUCCACCGGAGGCUUGUGUUCAGGAGGUGGCUUCUCCACCGGAGGCUUAUGCUCUGGUGGUGGCUUCUCCACCGGAGGCUUAUGCUCUGGUGGUGGCUUCUCGAAUGGGGGAUGCUUAGGGUAAUCAGCAAGUGAGGGGGCGGUGAGAACCACCAGGCCAAGCAAGACCACUAGCAAGUAUGUAGGAGACAUCUUUGGGUUUAGACUCAGAUGGUGCAAAACUAGGAGAAUUGUCUUUUAUAGCGGAUCGCACCCAAUAAUGAAAUGACACGUGUCUUUAUGACCCAUGUGUAAUGGGGUCGAUUUGGGUCCUACAGUGUUGAAAACUUCGACAUCCACUUUUGGCCUUUUGCUUUCUCUACAGCCGCCUUGCUUUUUCCCUCUUUCCUUUUGUUUUCCUCCUGCCCCAUUCUAUCAACUAAACACAAUUAUGUAGUUGUUUAAUUCUUAAAUGAGAUAUUAUCCGUCAAUCGUAUCAUAUUUUAUCAACAGAGAACGGAGUGCAAUGUGGCAAUCCAAAGAAAGAAGAUCCAUAAUGCAGCUGUAAUUUUAUCGUUUACUUUUAUCUCUUGGACCACUGCAUUUUUGUUAAGAGGUGCAAUAAUACACGUCUUUAUCUGCCAUUCAAUGUUUACAGUAAAGAGAGGGCACAAAACUCUUCACUGCUCUGCAUGUGUCCCAAAAAUGCAAUUGGACAAAUUAUGAUUUGCAUGCUAAAAAGAGGCAAAUGAGGUUAAUUCGCACCAUAAUUAUUUUGUUUUCUGGACCCCGGGGCCCUUUGGUUGGUUUGGGGGUCAGAAAAUGAACAUCAUAGGGGGUUUUUCCCUUAUGUGCAUUUGUAUCUGAUGGCUUUAACUCGCCUUGUUACUACAAAGAAAUUGUCACAUAUAGGAACUUAUUCCAGGCUGAGUAUCUCCGCAUAGACCCUAUAAAAGAAGACAAGUCAUAAUGAACAUCUAACCUUUGUUCAAUUUGAUUCAAUGCCCCAUUGUGUCCACCUCACAAAUCUGAAUUAUUAUAUCCAUUGAAUACAUAAAUUAAUGAAGAAAAUAUGAAACCCAAGAUACAUCUCUGCACAACCUCAACCCUGGUUGCUAUGUUUCCCUUCUAUUCACAUGAGGAUAUUGAUUACGGAAUAGGGAAACCUAGCAAGGGUUUACUCGGCUCUGGUUUGAUGCUAAUUGCCAAACUUGCAACAAGCCCUGAGUUUGAAGCUCACAGAAGAUGUUAUACAGGCAGGGAAAAACCUUCAGAGUUCGCUGCCAAAGAUAAUUAUUAAGGAGAUAUCACCAAGAGAAUUCCAAGGAGUCUGAAUCAAAGACAAAUUGGUCGUUCGUGGAGGUUCUUACUUUCUUUUGGGUAUAACUCACUGAGGGCACUGUCUUUUUUAUUUUCAUUUCACAUUUAGAGUUCUGUUCUGGAAACAUAUAAAAGGAGCAUCAGUUUGUUCUUGGGUAACCCAUAGUCGUGAGUGGGUCCAUUUGCAUGCUACUUAGUUGAAAAGUUGGACCAUUUGCUCCGACGCCUACCUCCUGGAUUCCAUGCUCGGAUAAAACAAGAAUAAAAAAAUAUUUAUAAUUUACAAAUGGGGGAAAGAAAAAAAUGUCAACAACAAACUAGGAAAAAAGAGUAGUAAAAUUCAUGUCACAUGCUAGUGAGAGAAGGGGUUGUUACACUCACUCGAAGUUCUUUUCAAAAUAUCGCAUGGUAUUUUAUUUUAUGUGUGAGCGCAGUUGUGAAUGGAACGUGCAAAAGUCCAAAUUGGUGACCUUUAAUAAAUAUUUAAAACAAAAAACGAAAAAAAGGAGGGAAAAGGGAUCAGAAAAGAUAAAACAAUGUGUACAAAAGCUCAAUUAGUUUGCAAAUUACUGUUUGGAUUUUGAUAGUAUUUUAUUUGAUGUAAAAGAGAAUUUAAGAUAUUUCCGAAACAAAAGCAUUAGUUUGCUCCAUGUCAAUUUCGGCAUUUCUCAUAUGUUUCACACAUACACAGAAGAGCAUCGUUUUUUAAAGCAUGCAUUUAUGUUGGAUUAAUUUGGAUUUUGUGGGAACUGGGGCAAGGAUCACAUGGAAGAGAGGUUGACUUUUUUCAGUACUUCAAUGGUUGAGACAGGUGAAGGCCUGAUUGAUACUGAAGCCUGAAAUUGCGACUCCGUCAUUUGUCAAAACAUAUGACAGCUUCCAUGCUCUCGUUUGGUUGCAUUGUUCUGUGGUCAUGCAUACAUGCCACUUAGUGAUCAGUCUGUAACUGUCAAUCAUUGGGCUUUGACUGAACAACAUCAGCCAUGUAUAAAUACUUGCAAAUCAAACGGUCUUCUUCCUCCCAUAAGGAAUUUCGGUUUAAUUAUGAAGCAUGCAUUUGGCUGACCAUCAUAAACCACUUCUUUAAAUUGAUGAAUGAUAGUUUUUCAUUCAUUCUUUCAUUCGUUCAUAUACAGAGUAUAUAUAGAGGGUAAUCAUCAUUCUAAGAAUGGGAAAGAAUGAUACAAGGAAAUAAUGAUAUAAAGAAAUAACAACUAAUAUUCUAAUAUCUCAACUUUCCUAAUAUCUAAACAUUCCUAAUAUCUCAACACUAAAUGAUAUAAAGAAAGAAUGAUAUAAGGAAAGCAUUCCUAAUAUCUCAACACUCCUCCUCAAGUUGGUGCAUAGAUGUCAAACAUGUCCAACUUGUCUAAAAAUUUUGAGAACAGUUGACUUGAGACAUCUUUGGUGAGGAUAUCGGUCAAUUGAUCUUCUGAUCGAAUCUUAGGCAAUUCCACAAUCUUAUCAUCCAACUUUUCCUUAAUGAAAAAUCUAUCCAUCUCGACAUGCUUUGUACGAUCAUGUUGUACUAGAUUAUGAGCAAUGUCACAUGCUGCUUUAUUGUCACAAAACAAUCGGAUUGGUUGCCUAGAUAGGUAACCUAAAUCCUAUAAGAGGAGUCUUAGCCAUAAUGCCUCACAAAGUCCUAAAGUCAUACCUCUAAAUUCCGCUUCUGCACUUGAACGAGCGACGACAUUUUGCUUCUUACUUUUCCAUGUCACAAGAUUACCACCUACAAAGGUAAAGUAACCAGAUGUAGAUCGCCUAUCAUCCACUGCACCGACCCAAACAGCAUUAUACUUCUAUACUCUGAUGAUCAACAUUUUUAGCGAACAAAAUUCCCUUCCUAGGAGCAUUCUUCAAAUACCUCAAAAUACGCAUGACUACAUUCAUAUGUUGCUCUCCAGGAUUAUGCAUGUAUUGACUCACUACACUCAAUGUAUAAGCAAGAUCUAGUCUUGUAUGAGCUAAGUACAUUAAUCUCCCCACAAGUCUCUGGUAUCUUCCCUUAUCGAUUGAUACUUGAUUAGGCUCAACACACAAUUUCAGACCUUCUUCUAUUGGUGUAUUAAUAGGUUGACAUCCCGACAUUCCAGUUUCCUGUAGAAGAUCUAAGGCAUACUUUCUUUGAGACAGAAAAAUUCCUUCACUUGAUCGAGAAACUUCAAUCCCAAGAAAGUAUUUCAGACGACCAAGAUCUUUCAUUUCAAAUUCUCUAGAUAGAUACUUUUGCAAAGCUUUUCUUUCUUCAGGAUCAUUUCCUGUAACUACAUGUCAUCCACAUAUAUCAUAAGUGUCGUAAUCUUACCAUGUUGCUUUUUCAAGAACAAAGUGUGAUUUGAAUUACUUUGAUGAUAGCCAAAAGCUCUCAUUGAUUUUGUGAACCUUCCAAACCAUGCUCUCGGGGAUUGCUUCAACCCAUACAAUGACUUCUUCAAUUCGCACACCUUCUGACAUUGCUUUUCUGACACCAUGCAUCCUGGUGGAAGAUCCAUAUAUACUUCUUCAGAUAAAUCGCCAUGCAGAAAGACAUUUUUUACAUCGAACUAUUGUAAUGGCCAAUCUAGGUUUGCAGCUAAAGACAAUAAUACUCGAACUGUGUUGAUCUUAGCUACAGGUGCAAAUGUCUCUGUGUAGUCAAUUCCAUAAGUUUGAAUGUACCCACUAGUCUUGCUUUAAAUCGUUCAAUACUACCAUCUGCCUUGUACUUCACAGUAUAGAUCCAACGACACCCAACUAGCUUCUUUCCUGGUGGACAUUCUACGAGUUCCCAUGUUUCAUUUUUCUGCAAUGAUUUCAUCUCUUCAUUCAUGGUUGCUUUCCACUUUGGAUCAGCUAAAGCUUCCUGCACACUAUUAGGAAUAGCUACAGUAGAUAAUUGAUUUACAAAUGACUUAUUUGAUUCAGACAAACCAUGGUGUGGACCCGCAUUUUUCACGUGCGCCUCUACUCGAUCGGCGAGACUCGCUUUCUAUUUGUGAAAAAUUAAUUUUAGAAAAGUUGGAGUCGCCACCUAUUUUAUUUUUAUUUUGAAGGGAAAAUAAAACAAGAAAGAAAAACCCUAAAAAGUGACUCCAUAGUUUUGGAAAAAGCAUGUCUUUGGGAAACCUGAGUCUAGGUCCGGGGAUCAUGUUACUUAUUGGGAAGGUACCUCUAGGAGGUAGCACCCCUCUAAGCCUUAUGAAGGUCUCUACUAACUAAAUUAAGGGAAGUGUGGCAAUAAAUCGAUUGAUCAUAGAUACCUAAGUAGACUAGGUGAUUUUAAAGUGUGGCAUGUCAAACACAAUCAAAUUGCAAUAAAGGAGAGUUAGGGCGCGUACCUGAACCGCUUCUCAAGCGCUAUCAUAAAACAUCAAUGGUUAAUUUAAAUAAUAUAUCAUCCAGCAUGUAUUUUAUUAGAAAUAAUCAAACAAUGAAACAUGUAUAUCAGAACACUCAAGCAUUAUUAGACAUAAGCAUUAUUUCACUAUUCACAGAAUUCAGAAAGUAGGUGAUAGAGGACAUACCUGGAUAGCAUAGAUAAUUUGUAAUGUGCUUCCUCAAGUUGUAAGGGGUUAGAUAACAAAUAAUAAAAUAUAGAAAUCCUAGCAUGCUCGUUAUCUAAUUAGCAUAGCAAAAGUGAUCACAGUAUACAGAAUCAUCAAUUAUCACAUACAUCUUGUAUAUAAUUCCUAAAAAAAAUAGAUAGACAUGAUUUCAACAAGUGUCAAAUGUGGCAACAAAAAUAAAUUUUGAAAAGAUUUUCUUAUGUAGGGGUUUCACCAAUUCCCCAAAUUAAUAUACACGAAUUUAGCUUAGAAUUAUCCCAUUUAUUUGGGACUACAAGCUUUGAUUCGUGUUUUUGUUCAAAACCAAAAAUUUUUGUUGAAAAUCAAGAAGGAUGCGAACCGAACAAGAUAUGGUUGCAUAUUAUUUUUAAAUAAAUAAAUAAAUAAAUAAAGGAGAUUUUGAUCCUGAGGACUUUAAUGAGUUUUUUUUUUUAAAAUAGAUUUUUAAAAUGAUUUUUUUGAGAAAAGUAUUUUAUUUUAAAAUAAAAGGGAUUAAUUUGGGAAAAAAAUAAAAUAUAAGAAAUAAAAUACCAAACAAAACAAAAAUGAAACCUCAAAGUAAAAUUUUUUUAGUAAUUAACAAAAAUGAUAAUGGUGAUGGUAGAGGGCAAUCUUCAUGAUUUUCCAAUGGCCUCAGAAAGAAAAUCAAAUUAAAUGAAGGAUCACUAACAGGCAAGACAUUCUAAAUUAGACAAACUAACAAAGUAUCAAUUCAUGAACUAACCGCUAGGAUUUUGAAAGCAUAUAAGCUAAGAUAAGGGUGAUCAGGAACUAAUAUUAAUGAUUUUGAAAUAAAAACUAAAAAAAAGGAUCAAUUCGGGUAAGGAACUAAAAUUAUAAAAGUACCUAAACUAAUUAUGACGAGUUUGACUAAAUUAAACUAAAAACAUGAACUUUCAAACAUAGAAUUAAUUUUACUAAUGAACCAAAGCAAACUAAAAAUAUGUACUUUCAAGCAUAGAAUUAAUUUUAUUGAUGAACUAAACUAUAACAAAUAUCUAAACUAAAUAUAAUGAAUCAAAUUAAAUUAAAGCAACUUAAAAACGCAAACUUUCAAACAUAGAAUCAAUUUUAUCAAUGAAUUAAAACUAUAAAUGUAUUUGAACUAAAUAGAUGAAUCAAACUAAAUCAGAGCAAAAUUAAAAAAAAAAAAGAACUUUCUAACAUGAAAUCAAUUUUAUCAACAAAUAAAUGAAUGAAUAACAAGUAAUUAAAAGAAUAGCUACUACAUGAAUAACUGAAUGAAUAAAAUUCAAAUGUUUUCAAUCUGAAGCAAUCAAUCAAAAUUAAAUAGGGAUCAAAUCAAAAUAAUCGAAAUCGGAAAAACAAUAUGCAAUCUUUCUAAAGGUUUAACCAGACAAUUGAAUUAAAAUUAUGAAUAGAAUAAAUUAAUAAACCAAAUCGAAACCUAAAUUGUACCUAAAAAGAUUAAUUAAUUAAACUAAGAAAUCAAAAUCAAUAACAAAACUAAACUAAGGAGUAAAUUAAGACAAGACUAAUUAAAUUAAACUCACAAACACGUUUUAACUAUCAUAUGGAUUAAAACAAAAUUAGCAUGGACUUAUGAAUUACGAACAAAAAUAAUCAAAACUAUUUUAAAAAACUCACCUCUAUUAUAAGAAAAAAUCUGCCUUUGAUGCGUUGAGGUGGCUCCCCUCUCUGUGUGGAUCUCUCUGCUCCCCAGAAAAAAAAUGUCUCUUCCUCCGUUCUCUUUUGUUUCAGCAAAAUAAUAUAUCCCCUGCUGUGGAUCUCUCUACUCCCAGAAAAUAAUAUAUUCUCUCCGUGUCCUAAAGUGGACCUAGGGUGCCUAAGUGGACCUAGGGUGCCUAAAUGGGCCUAGGGUGCCUAAAUGGGCCAAGUGUAUCUAAAUAGGCUUAGGGUGCCUAAGUGGGCCUAAGUCUAAGUGAGCCUAAGUCUAAAUCAAGACUACCAAGGAUCAUAAUAAGGGGUUAGGCAAUCCCUUAACCAAAGUCUCCAAGGUGGCUAAAAAAAAGUAAGUAGUAUGAGUAGCUAUGGGUCACCAAGGAACUACUGUGGAGCAUUGAAAACGAAUUUAAAGACAUGUGCCAAAGGGACAAAAUUGAGGGUCUACAGAUGGUUAGACACAUAGUUGCUCAUGGGAUAUUUGACUUUGGUAAACAAUUCAGAUUCAUAUGUGGGUUUAGGAAUACCUUUAUUAUGACGGUGUGGUAAUCGUUUCAUGAAUGGAUCAGGUUGCAAAUUAAGAACACCCUCAGCAAACAACGAUUGGUUUGGUAUUUCAGUGAAGACAUCUUCGAACCCAAAUUGUUGACCACUCAUAUCCAACUCACCCGCUUCCUGGUUCACUAGUUCAGAUUGUCCAAAUUCAUCAUUCUCAUAGAUAUGAUAAUCAUAAUCGAGAGUCUGAAUUUCCUUAUGGUACUCCCCCUGAAGUUCAGACUUAGAUGAAAAAUACAUCGAAUAUUCAUGAAACAGCNNNNNNNNNNNNNNNNNNNNNNNNNNNNNNNNNNNNNNNNNNNNNNNNNNNNNNNNNNNNNNNNNNNNNNNNNNNNNNNNNNNNNNNNNNNNNNNNNNNNNNNNNNNNNNNNNNNNNNNNNNNNNNNNNNNNNNNNNNNNNNNNNNNNNNNNNNNNNNNNNNNNNNNNNNNNNNNNNNNNNNNNNNNNNNNNNNNNNNNNNNNNNNNNNNNNNNNNNNNNNNNNNNNNNNNNNNNNNNNNNNNNNNNNNNNNNNNNNNNNNNNNNNNNNNNNNNNNNNNNNNNNNNNNNNNNNNNNNNNNNNNNNNNNNNNNNNNNNNNNNNNNNNNNNNNNNNNNNNNNNNNNNNNNNNNNNNNNNNNNNNNNNNNNNNNNNNNNNNNNNNNNNNNNNNNNNNNNNNNNNNNNNNNNNNNNNNNNNNNNNNNNNNNNNNNNNNNNNNNNNNNNNNNNNNNNNNNNNNNNNNNNNNNNNNNNNNNNNNNNNNNNNNNNNNNNNNNNNNNNNNNNNNNNNNNNNNNNNNNNNNNNNNNNNNNNNNNNNNNNNNNNNNNNNNNNNNNNNNNNNNNNNNNNNNNNNNNNNNNNNNNNNNNNNNNNNNNNNNNNNNNNNNNNNNNNNNNNNNNNNNNNNNNNNNNNNNNNNNNNNNNNNNNNNNNNNNNNNNNNNNNNNNNNNNNNNNNNNNNNNNNNNNNNNNNNNNNNNNNNNNNNNNNNNNNNNNNNNNNNNNNNNNNNNNNNNNNNNNNNNNNNNNNNNNNNNNNNNNNNNNNNNNNNNNNNNNNNNNNNNNNNNNNNNNNNNNNNNNNNNNNNNNNNNNNNNNNNNNNNNNNNNNNNNNNNNNNNNNNNNNNNNNNNNNNNNNNNNNNNNNNNNNNNNNNNNNNNNNNNNNNNNNNNNNNNNNNNNNNNNNNNNNNNNNNNNNNNNNNNNNNNNNNNNNNNNNNNNNNNNNNNNNNNNNNNNNNNNNNNNNNNNNNNNNNNNNNNNNNNNNNNNNNNNNNNNNNNNNNNNNNNNNNNNNNNNNNNNNNNNNNNNNNNNNNNNNNNNNNNNNNNNNNNNNNNNNNNNNNNNNNNNNNNNNNNNNNNNNNNNNNNNNNNNNNNNNNNNNNNNNNNNNNNNNNNNNNNNNNNNNNNNNNNNNNNNNNNNNNNNNNNNNNNNNNNNNNNNNNNNNNNNNNNNNNNNNNNNNNNNNNNNNNNNNNNNNNNNNNNNNNNNNNNNNNNNNNNNNNNNNNNNNNNNNNNNNNNNNNNNNNNNNNNNNNNNNNNNNNNNNNNNNNNNNNNNNNNNNNNNNNNNNNNNNNNNNNNNNNNNNNNNNNNNNNNNNNNNNNNNNNNNNNNNNNNNNNNNNNNNNNNNNNNNNNNNNNNNNNNNNNNNNNNNNNNNNNNNNNNNNNNNNNNNNNNNNNNNNNNNNNNNNNNNNNNNNNNNNNNNNNNNNNNNNNNNNNNNNNNNNNNNNNNNNNNNNNNNNNNNNNNNNNNNNNNNNNNNNNNNNNNNNNNNNNNNNNNNNNNNNNNNNNNNNNNNNNNNAACCAAAGGAAGCAUGUUCCAGACGUCGAUGCCACAACCAAAUUUCAGACUUUUUCUUCUCCUCCUUAGAUCCAUCUGCCAUCAAGGCUUGUUGCAACUUAUUUGAAUCCUUUGAUUGCAAGUCCAAGUAUAGAGUUUCCCCCGCUUAAUACGACAACCAAUCGUCUGUCUUGUUUGAAUGUCCUUAAUCACACAAAAUUCAGGCCAAAAAAUGACAAUACAAGAUAAGGCUGCAGUGAUUUGAGAAACUAACAAAAGAUUGUAAUCUAAAGAUGGAACAACUAAAACAGAAUCCAAAUUCAAAGUAUCAGUAAGAGUUAAGGAUCCUUCCCCAAUGACUGGGGUUGUGUUACCAUUGGCUGUGGAAACAAUUUUUUGUGAGGAAGGUCUAAGGGGUGAAACCUGUCUAGAAUCAAAAGUCAUAUGAUCUGUAGCACCAGAAUCAAUUAUCCAUGCACUAUUAAUAACAGGUGUAAAAGUAUUUAAAAACUUACCACAAUGAUCUGUAGCGGCUACUAAUGCAGAGACUUUCUCAACAACAUUAGUCUUUGUUUUUAUUUCGGUAACAGUUGCAAUCAAGGUUUUCUUGGAAUUCUUCUUCCGUUGAUCACGAUUAUUAUCAUUAAUAACAAAGUGUUGAUAGCCUAAACAUGAUCUAAAGGUCCAUGGUGCAAACCCUCGGUUCCUCAUUGUUUUCCUGGUCAUACCAAGAGUUGUUGCUUUGAAAUUGUGGGAUAUCCAGACUGGUGGGAUCAGUUUUAUUGCAGUGAGUGCAUUUGAAUGUUGACUUAUCAAUAUUAGGGCUUGUCUUCGGAUGGUUGAUUGCUGUUGGACUACCAUAGCGACAAAAUAUCCAGGAUUUCAAUUCCAGGGCUCUGAUACCAUCUUCAAAUUGAUGAAUGAUAGUUUUUCAUUCAUUCUUUCAUGUACAGAGUAUAUAUAGAGGGUAAUCACCAUUCUAAGAAUGGGAAAGAAUGAUACGAGGAAAUAAUGAUAUAAGGAAAUAAUAACUAAUAUCCUAAUAUCUCAACUUUCCUAAUAUCUCAAUAUUCCUAAUAUCUCAACUUUCCUAAUAUCUAAACAUUCAUAAUAUCUCAACACUAAAUGAUACAAGGAAAGAAUGAUAUAAGGAAAACAUUCCUAAUAUCUCAACACCACUUCAUGAUAUAUAUAGUUUCUUACCCUUAAUCAAUGGUUUCUAAGUGAAUUUAUAUAGAAAGAAAUCCAAACUGUAGACAGCAGUAUUGGUAACACUCAAUAUUCUGUAUAUAAUAGAAUAAAUAGCGUCACAGUGAUCGUCGCCUACAAGCAAGGUACAAAUACCACAAAGAGUGACCCACAUAGACAUUCCCCAACAAGAUGUAGUAGUGACUGACACAUAGCCACAAUUAACACGUAGAAAAGGAUAAGACCGGUGCACAGUAGCUCUUAUUUUACAUACUACUUAUGCCAACCAAAGUCACUCAGUUGGGAUGGGAGGGAGAUGGAGGUUUGUGCGGUGGCUUGUGGGGCGGAGUUGAUGGCUUCUUUCCAGGAGCUUCUGGCUUUUUCAUCGGAGCUGAAGGAGGCUCAAUCUUAUGAGGCGGCUUGUACGAGUCUUCUUUGCUCUCGAAAGGAGGGUGGCCAGGGUUGUGACCAUAAUGUGGUGGUUUCUCUCCCUUGGGAGGUUUACCAAUUGGGGUUGGUGGCUUGUGUUCUGGGAGUGGUUUCUCUCCCUUGGGAGGUUUAGUGGGUGACUUGUGUUCUGGAGGUGGCUUCUCCACCGAAGGCUUGUGCUCCGGUGGUGGCUUUUUGGUUGGAGGGGGCUUGGGGUAAUCAGCAAGAGAUGGGGUGGUGAGAACCACCAGUCCAAGGAACAACACUAGCAAGUAUGUGGGAGACAUUUUUGAGUUUGGGCUGAUCAGAUGAUGCAAAACUAAAGCAUUACGUGACCUUUUAUAGCAAGUAGCUCCCAAUACCUACUUGACACGUGUUACUGUGACCCAUAAAUAUUAUGGGGUCUAUUUGUGCCCUACCGGGUUGAAAACUUGGACAAUUGGGCAAGGACCCGCCUGACUAUGGAGGACUACUGAGGUGUGAUCACAGCUUUAGGAUUUUUCUUCCUCUGCAGCCGUCUUGCCGUUGGCAUGAUUUUCUUAAUCUCAAAUAAAGGCAUAGUUAUAGAGUUGUUUAAUCUCUAAAUGGGAUUUUAUAUAUCUUCAGAUAGCCAUUAAUACAUUUGAUGAAGAAAGAAAGACAAGUGCAUACAACAUGUAUACGACUAGCUUUCAUGGAGUUCAUUUAUGAUCAGUUUUCCUGUACAUGUAAACCAAGAUCAUAUAUGUUUUUGUUCCACAACAAUUUUGGAAUCUUGUUUAUCCGUUUUUAUCAUUAUAAUGUCACAUAGGCUGCCAACUUGGGCGCUAAAUUAAAGAUCCAGUUGGGCAAGUUCGUUUCAGAAUUUCAAUGGUGGAUUCAGGAAUUGUUUUAUAAGAUAUGCAAAAUAGUAGAGGGAUGAAUAGUGUUUCAUUAAGAAAAGAGCCCUGUAAAAAUAUUGUUUAAAGGUGCCAUAGAAACUAUAAUCAAUAAAUAACUUUUUUUCCCCAUGGGUGGUGUUUCUUGUGGGGAUCAGUGACUGGUUUGAGUCAACGCCGUGUCUCUUUAGUCCAGAAAUCAACUAUUUUAUGCAUUGAAUACAUCAACAAAGAAAAUAUGAAAGCCAAAUGACACCUCCCCCGCAAAAACUAAACCCUGGUUGCUAACUUUCUAUGUUUCAGUUCCAUUCACACAAGAAUAUUAGUUCAAGUUUGAGAAAAAUGGCGACUUACCUAGUGAUAACUCGGUCUUGGUUUGCGAUUUGACUUUAACGUCAUGGGUUGAAGCCUCCUACAAUCAUCGUGUAUGCUAGUUCAAAGCUCGUGGAAGAAGUUAUACAGGGAGGGAGAAACCUCCACAGCAAGCUCCAAAAGAGAAUUAUCACAUUGAAAGCUCCAGUUGAACACUGGGUGAAAGCCAUAACAAGAUUGGUUUUCUAUCGCUCUUUUAAGUAAUGGAAGAUUAUUAUCUCUGCUUGUCACUACAACCGUGCAUGCUGCUAGAUCUUUCUAGACACUUCAAACAGUGAAACCAAGUAUGAUUCUUUUUCUCUUGAGUGGGUCCACUUGCAUGCCAAUGAACGAGUUGAAAAGUUGGACAAUUGGCCACAGCGCGCACUUACCUUCUGGAACCGAAGGUCAGUGAAGUGGGGUUCCUUUUGGCCCCUUGUGUUUCUGUUCCAACCUACUCCAGGAACCGAAGUUCAGUGAAGUGGGGCUACUUUUGGCCUCUUGUGUUUCUGUUCCAACCAAACAAAAAUGGGAGGGAAAAAUAGCAUUAUGCUUGUGCUAAAGAUCAACGCAUGAUAGCUGAAUAAGGGAGAAAAAGGCAUUGCUAUCUCAAUUUCAUAAACUUGAUAAGUAGUGACAUUAAUAGUCUUCCUCAUAGAUGGAUACAUGGUUUUAUUUUAUUUAUUUAUUUUUAUUUUUUUGUUUUAUGUCAAUGCUAAUGAAUGAAGUGCAUUAGCUUGUUUUGUGACUAGAACUACAAAUGUCCAAAUUGGAGCUUCUCCAAUAUAUUUCUCAGUGAGUUAUUGAUUAGAACUCUUGGAUUGAGUUCCAAGAUUUGAAUCAGACCCCUCUAGCAGCUUCAGGGGUACGUAGCAACCUAUAGCAUAUUAAUGAAGACUUAGGAUUUAGACUUAGGAAUACAAAUUAAUAUGUACCUCAUGCUCUGACUAGCUUCCCUGCGUAUGCACAAAAUGGAGAUGACUCCCAAAAAAAUAGCAGAAUCGCCUUAGUAUGUUUUUGUGGUUAAGAUGAUUCUCCACUUUAUAUAUCCACAUUGGUUCAUUAUGCAAAUUAAUCAACUAAGCUAUUUUUAUUUUUUCUUAAAUGUGAAAUAGGAGCUCCAAAUUAACCUAACCAUUGGCCUGAUUGAAUUGAUUUCACUUGCAUAAUGUUAUAGUAGAAGUCCGUAAUUUGAAUUUUAUUUUUGCAAAAGGUAACGUAAAUGAAGCAUUGUAAUUAAAUUUAUUUGUAAUUACAAACUAAUUUUAUUUUAUUAAGAAUUAAUUUAAUUACUCAUUUAAAAUAAAAAUCAGUUAUACUUUUACCAAGAUGAUAAUAUUCAUAUUUUUCUAGUUAACAUAUAUAAAAUAGUACACUUUUUCAUAUAAAAAAAUAAUUUAUGAUUUAUUAUAAUGUUACUAUUCACAUUUUACUAAAUUGAUGGUACAUGAUAGUGAGAGAAGGGGGUGUCACACUCAGCUAAAGUUCUUUUCAAAAUAUUGCAUGGUGUUUAAUUUUAUGUGUCGGCGCGCGUGUGAAUGGAACCUGCAAAAGUCCAAAUUGGCGUUUCUCCAUUUUCCACAUAGGAUGGUGACGUUAAUAGACAAAGAUACAAUAUCUGUAGACAUUGCUUAAAAAUCGAUGUGAAGUAUUAGAAAUUACAGGGCACUGUACUGGGGGAGCGGCUGCCCCGCCAAAGGAGGAAGAAUGUAGCAAUUUCUUCUGUUAGCCAGGCCUUAGGAUUUAUGCAUGGGAUGCCUAAUAACAAACAGAGAAAAUAUACUUUUGGGGAAGGUAUCCAACAACAGACACCAUCAUUCAGAUGGUGGGAAGGUAUCCAACAGAUGCCAUCAUUCAGAUGGUAACAUAUAUAUACAUUUAUUAGUGAGUUUUUUUAAUACCUAUAAAAAAAAAUAUACACUUUGAUAUUGUGGCUGAAUCCAUUACAUACUCAACUAACCUUGCUCAUUAGGGAUUUGACUUAACAAGGGCAACGUUGCAGUACAAGCUCAAAACUUUAUGCAGGUGACAUUACAUUUGGUAAAGAAGAGGAAAAUAACGAAAGCCAUCCAUAAAAGCAAAAUUCCACAUGGGAUGAAAUUCACAAGCUUCAUUUACGAUAGAGUCGCAUCCAGGCAAUUAAUUCCACAUUAGACCGCCUGUUGACAUGUGUACCAAUCUUUUUUCAAAAAAUAUUUAUAAAUAAUUGAUACUCACAAAAAUAAUUUAAUAUUUAUAAAGGAUAAAAAAAUAUUUUCAAAUCUAUAACAAUUUAUAAAAUAUUAAUAAAAAAUUAUCUCUUAAACUUAGUAUAGUUUUAUCAGAUUAAACUUUUAUUUUGAACAAAUAAUUUUAAUCUAAGUUUUAAAUUCUAAAAUUAUUUCCUUAAAAUAAAAUUUUAAAAUUCAACACUUCAAUUGAAAUUGUCUUUUUAAAAAAUAUCUUCUUAUUUUAAUCCUUAUAAACUAUAGUUGAUUGAAAAUACUAUUGAAGUUCUCUCUUAAAAAAAAGUCUUAUUUUAAUCUUCAUAAAUUGCCCUUGAUUUGAAAAUAAAUUUUCAGUUAUCAUAUUUUAAAUAAUAUCUAUAUUUAAAAUACUCUAUUUAAAAAAAAAUGAACUAAUUUUAAUUAUAUUAUAUUUUAUUUUUUUAUAUAUUUUUAAUGAUAAACCAAACAUAGAAAAUCAUUUUUCUAAAUAUUUUAAAAUUUCUAAGCAACCAAACAUAAUCUUCAAAAUAAAAGGAAAAUAAGGAGGGACAUUUGAGAAAUGGCGAUUAAAAAAAAGUGUACAAAAGCUCAAUUAAUUUUCUUCUAGUCUUUUAUAUAAAAAAGUAAAGGAAUUGAAAAGUAUUGAUAUGUAAAUUAAUAUUUGGAUUUUAAUAGUAUUUUAUUUGUCUUUCUCUAUCUCAUGUAAAAGAGAAUUUAAGAUAUUUCCUAAAGCAAAGCAUUAGUUAUCUGCAAUCAGUGGUGAUCAUGCCCCAUGUCAAUUUCGGACCCAUAUCUUAAAACUGUAUAAUUUGCAUUCAAACAUUACUGAUUUCUCAGAUGUUUCAUACUCCACAGAAGAGCAUUGUUUGUGAAAGCAUGCAUUUAUGUUGGAUUUUGGAUGAUGUGGGAACUGGGGCAAGGAUCAUAUGGAAGAGUGGUCGAUUUUGUUCUGUACUUUAACAUUUGAAAUAGGAGAAGCUCGGGCAUUUGUGGGGCUUAAUUGAUUUUGAAGCCUGAAAUUGCGUUUCUGUCAUUUUGUAAAAAAUAUGGCAGAUUCCAUGCUCUCAUAUGUUUGGUCUGUGGCCAUGUAUAGAUGCCCCUUAGUGACCAGUUUGUAACUGUCAAUCAUAGUGUUUUGACUCUGGCUCAACAACAUCAGCCAUUGACGGAUUUUCAUACUUGCAAAUCAAAUAGUCUUCUUCCUCCCUUAGGAAUUUCGGUUUAAAUGUUAUUAAGCAUACAUUUGGCUGACAAUUAUUAACCACUUCAUGAUAUGGUUUCUUACCCUUAAUCAAUGGUUUCUAAGUGAAUAUAUGCAGAAGGAAAUCUGAACUGUAGACAGCAGUAUUGAUAACUCUCAAUAUUCUUUAUAUAAGAGAAUAAACAACGUCAUAGUGAUCGUCGCCUACAAGAAAGGUACAUUUCCCAACAAGAUGUAGUUGUGACUGGUACAUGGACGCAAUUAACUCGUACAAAAGAAUAAGACCAGUGCACGGCAGCUCUUAUUUUACAUGCUAAUUAUGCUAACCAAAGUCACUCAGUUGGGAUGGGAGGGAGAUGGAGGUUUGUGCGGUGGCUUGUGGGGCGGAGUUGGUGGCUUCUUUUCAGGAGCUUGUGGCUUUUUCGGAGCUGAAGGAGGCUCAAUCUUAUGAGGCGGCUUGUACGAGUCUUCUUUACUCUCGACAGGAGGGUGGCCAGGGUUGUGACCAUAAUGUGGUGGCUUCUCUCCCUUAGGUGGCUUGCCAACUGGGGUUGGUGGCUUGUGUUCAGGAAGUGGUUUCUCUCCCUUGGGAGGUUUACCAAUUGGGGUUGGUGGCUUGUGUUCUGGGAGUGGUUUCUCUCCCUUGGGAGGUUUAGUGGGUGACUUGUGUUCUGGAGGUGGCUUCUCCACCGGAGGCUUGUGCUCCGGUGGUGGCUUCUCCACCGGAGGCUUGUGCUCCGGUGGUGGCUUCUUGAUUGGAGGGGGCUUGGGGUAAUCAGCAAGAGAUGGGAUGGUGAGAACCACCACUCCAAGGAACAACACUAGCAAGUAUGUGGGAGACAUUUCUGAGUUUGAGCUGAUCAGAUGAUGCAAAACUAGAAGAAUUACGGGACCUUUUAUAGCAAGUAUCUCCCAAUACCCACAUGACACGUGUUACUAUGACCAUAAAUAUUAUAGGGUCCAUUUGUGCCCUACCGGGUUGAAAACUUGGACGCUUGGCCGAGGACACACCUGACUAUGGAGGACUAUUGACGUGUGAUCACAGCUUUUGGAUUUUUCUUCCUGUGCAGCUGUCUAGCGGUUGGCAUUAUUUUCUUAAUCUUAAAUAAAGGCAUAGUUAUAGAGUUGUUUAAUCUCUAAAUGGGAUUUUAUAUAUCUUCAGAUAGCCAUUAAUAUAUUUGAUGAAGAAAGACAAGUGCAUACAACAUGUAUACGGCUUGCUUCAAUCGAGUACAUUUAUGAUCAGUUUUCCUGUGCAAGUAAACCAGUUUUUUGUUCCACAACUAUUUUGGAAUCUUGUUUAUCAGUUUCUAUCAUUAUAAUGUCACAUAGGCUGCAAACUUGGGCACCCAAAGAUCUAGGUGGGCAAAUUUGUUUCAGACUUUCAAUGGUGGAUUCAGUAAUUGUUAAAAGGUGUUUCUUCAUUAAGGAAAGAGUCCGGUAAAAAUAUUGUUAAAAGGUGUCAUAGAAACUAUAAUAAAUAAAUAACUUCUUUUCCCCAUGGGUGGUGUUUCUUCUGGGGAUCAGUGACUGGUUAGGGUCACCCAAAAUGAGUCCAGAUUAAAAUUGGUUCGAGUCAAAGCAGUCUCUUUUGUCCAGAAAUCAACUAUUUUGCGCAUUGAAUGAAUCGAUAAAGAAAAAAUGAAAGCCAAAUCACACCUCCCCUGCAAAACCUAAACCCCGGUUGCUAACUUUCUAUGUUUCAGUCCUAUUCAUAUAGGAAUAUUGGUUCAAGUUUGAGAAAAAUGGCAACUUACCUAGGGUUUACUUGGUUUUGGUUUGCGACUAUUUACGCAACCAACCAUGAGUUUGACUUUAACGUCAUGGGUUGAAGCCUCCUACAAUCAUGUAUGAUAGUUCAAAGCUCGUGGAAGAAAUUAUACAGGAAGGAAGAAACCUCCAAAGCUAGCUCCAAAAGAGAAUUAUCACAUCGAUAGCUCCAGAGAUUCCCAAGGGAACUGAAUCAAAGACAAGUUCCUCACUUUUUCUUCUUUUGAGGCCAAAUAUGAACCAAGGAUCACACGACCUCAUUCAACUUCAUAAGUUUGAUUUCAUGCAGUUGAACACUGGGUGAAGGCCAUGACAAGAAUUGAUUAAAAAAUUCUACCACUCUUUUAAGUAAUGGAAGAUUAUUAUCUCUGAUUGGCACCACAACAGCACAUGCUGCUAGAUCUUUCUAGACACUCCAUGCAAUGAAAGCACAAUGGAUCUUGUAAUGAUAGAAACUAAGCCAUGCUACAGUACUAGAUGAGGGGGUAAAACUAGUAGACAUCUUUCUAGACACUCCAUGCAAUGAAAGCACAAUGGAUCUUGUAAUGAUAGAAACUAAGCCAUGCUACAGUACUAGAUGAGGUGGUAAAACUAGUAGACAUGGCUGGCAGUUGAUUACUACUCAAAAAGUACUCUUUUAUAGCUUGAAACUAACUGUUUUAAACACUUUUGAGUAGUAGUUAAUACCUUUUAACUUAAUUGGCACAUUAAGGAACCUAGCAAGGGUUACUAAUCAACAUUUGGCAAGUUUUGAUGUUUUUGGUAGCUAUUUGAUCAUUGAAACAAGCCAAGAAUGAGGGGGAAUUUUGUGAAGUCCAUGGCAAUGCAAGUUAAAGCUCAAAUACAUGAAGAAUCCAAGCUUUGGAGCACUUCAUAGCCCUUUGCCAAGCCAAUCAAAGAUGCAAGGAAGAAAACCAAAGGAAGAAAUCCAACAAUCAGCAUUUUGGCAUGGCUAUGUGAAAUUUCGCACACCAUGCGAAACCACAAGAGGCAGCCAAAGAAUUUCGCAUGGUAUGCGAAAUCUUCUUGUGCACUGACUCUGUUAGAUUUUUAUCUUCAGAUAUUUUGUGUAAUUUCCUAGUUUCUCCUUGUAACCAACUUAGAUAUUUUCUUUUAUAUCUUUUUUUAUAUUUUUUAGGUAACAUCAUAUAUAAGAGGAGAGACAUAAGGAGGAUAUGGAUGUUUUUCAUAGAACACUUGUAAAUUUUUGGUAGUAAGAAAUAUACAAAGCUUUUUGCUCUGCCUUACCUUCUCAAGGGAUGAGUGGCUAGGUUUUCUUGGAGUGAGGGAAGCUAGGUGAAGGACCUGAAUGCAAAGGUGGGAGUUUUCCUUACUUUAAAUGAAAGUAGUUGUUAAACAUUAAUGGUUUUUAUUUUAAGGUUUAGCUUUAAAUCCCUGAAAAACACCUUGAAUGGCCAAUACUUGGUAAGCUUUUUAGAUUCUAUGGAUGCUUAUUGCUAGAUCCAUGGAUGUCUAUUAGUUAUCAUUUACGAGCCAUUGGAAGGUGAUUCAAGGUGAGGGUCUUUAGUGUUUGAAGCCAUUAAUGGGAAGCAAUUACCAUUUUUUCAUGAAUCCUUUGGAUCAAAUCUUAAUUGCUAAAUAUAAAACCGGUUUCGAGAGAUAACCACCAUCCUUUAUGUUAUUAUCCCCAACGCGAGGAGAAGAUCCGAAAUCUUCCUUUUUAUCUAAGGAACCCGAUCCUAGUGACCUAAAGCUCCAAGAUACCUUUUCUUUGUAGUUAACUUCAUUUAUUGUUUUUGCUUAACUUAAAAUCAAUCUUUGCAACCACAAUUCCAUUUUCUUUAAAAGCUAAUUUUUAUAAGGAAAAACACCAUUUUAUUUCCUUCACUAAGUCAACUGUACGAUGAAAACCCAUCCCUGUGGACGAUCCUAGAGCCACUAUACUAUGUUAGCUAUGCUACCCUAGUGUGAGGUGAUUUAGGUUUUAUAAAUUUUUUUGAUAACACCCAUCUGAGCCAGAAUCAAAUGGCACGACUGAACCAGGGACGAAUCAAAUGACGCCGCUACCAAGGAUGGUGCCAAAGUACAUUGACAUGACUUUUGGUGAACACUUGUGAUCUUCACCACAAGUUUGGUGAUUUUUCUUUUACUAAUUUUUUUUAUUUUAGCUUAUCUUUUAUUUAGUUUUUAGUUAACCUUAAAUUUUUCCUAGAAUUGUAUUUCUUUUGUUUUCUUUGUUUUUGUUUCAGUGAUCUUUAGUUGUGCAUGCCCUAUUGGAUAAGAGAUAUUGAGGGAAUACUUGUGAAGAUUGAAACUCCUCGAGAAACUGAGUUAGAAGUGUGCUUGAACAUCAUGGAUGUUCCACCUGAAGACCAGAAUAGCCAACAUGGUUAAGAGGAUAAUUUCAACACAUACCGAUCCAUGAGGAACCGCAUACAUCCACCUUGUAUGAGUGCACCGUCAGGCAUAAUGCCUCCCACUGAGCAGCUAGUAAUCUGACCUCACAUUGUGCCACUCCUACCUACUUUCCAUGGGAUGGAGAGUGAGAAUCCCUACUCGCAUAUUAAGGAAUUCGAGGAGGUUUGUAAUACAUUCCAAGAAGGAGGAGCUUCAAUUGACUUGAUGAGGCUCAAGCUAUUUCCUUUCACUUUGAAGGAUAAGGCCAAGAUUUGGCUUAAUUCUUUAAGGCCAAGAAGUAUCCAAACUUGGAUUGAUUUGUAAGCCGAGUUUCUUAAGAAGUUCUUCCCUACCCAUAGGACCAAUGGUUUGAAAAGGCAAAAUUUGAACUUCUCAGUUAAAGAGAAUGAGAAAUUCUAUGAGUGUUGGGAGAGCUACAUGGAAGCUAUUAACGUUUGUCCUCACCAUGGCUUUGACACAUGGCUCUUAGUGAGCUAUUUUUACAAUGGUAUGUCUUCUUCAAUGAAGCAACUCCUAGAAACUAUGUGUGGAGGAGACUUCAUGAGUAAGAAUCCGGAGGAAGCCAUGGACUUUUUGAGUUAUGUGGCUGAAGUUUCAAGAGGAUGGGAUGAACCAAAUGCUAGAGAGGUGGGAAGAAUGAAGUCUCAACCUAAUGCUAAGGGUGAGAUGUAUGUUUUGAAUGAAGACAUUGACAUGAAAGCAAAGGUUGCAGCUAUGGCAAGGAGAUUGGAAGAGCUAGAAAUGAAGAACAUACAAAAAGUGCAAGCCAUUUCUGAGACAUCAAUGAAAGCUAUGCCUUGUUCCAUUUGUCAAUCUUAUAAGCACCUAGUGGAGGAGUGUCCUACAAUUCCAGCAGUGAGAGAGAUGUUUGGUGAUCAAGCAAAUGUUAUUGAUCAAUUCAAGCCUAAUAACAAUGCUUCAUAUGGCAACACCUACAAUUCAAAUUGGAGGAACCAUUCAAAUUUCUCUUGGAAACGAAAGCCACCUCAAUACACACAACCUACUCAAGCACCUUAGCAAUCCUCGAAUCUUGAACAAGCUAUUGUGAACCUUAGCAAGGUUGUGGGAGACUUUGUGGGAGAUCAGAAGUCCAUCAAUGCUCAACUGAAUCGGAGAAUUGACAGUGUGGAGAGUACAUUGAACAAAAGGAUGGAUGAGAUGUAAAAUGAUCUGUCUCAAAAGAUAGACAAUGUCCAAUACGUAAUCUCAAGGCUUACCAACCUCAACACAGUGUAAGAGAAAGGAAAGUUUCCUUCUCAACCUCAUCAAAAUCCUAAGGGUAUCCAUGAAGUAGAGGCUCAAGAGGGAGAAUCUUCAAAGGUGAGGGAAGUCAAAGUAGUUAUCACCUUGAAGAGUGGUAAAGAGGUUGAUCAACCCACAUCCAAGCCAAAGCAUAAUGAAGAGAGUGUAGCAGAAAAAGAAAAGAGAGGAAAAUAAAGGAAUUAGAAUAGAGAAAAAUACAAAGAAAGAUGACCAUGAGUCUAGUGUGGAUGAAGAGCCCGAGAGGAUGGUGAUCAAGGAAGAUAUGAUGAAGAAACACAUGCCUCCACCUUUCCCCUAAGCUUUGCAUGACAAAAAAAGAACCAAUAAUACAUCAGAAAAUUUUGAAGUAUUGAGGCAAGUGAAGGUCAAUAUCCCUUUGCUAGACAUGAUCAAACAAGUGUCGACAUAUGAAAAAUUCUUGAAGGACUUGUGCACUGUAAAGAGAGGGUUGAAUGUGAACAAGAAAGCUUUAUUGACCGAGCAAGUGAGUUCCAUCAUACAGUGCAAGUCCUAGUGAAGUACAAAGAUCCGGGUUGCCGUACCAUCUCAGUGAGUAUUGGAAGGACUUGUGUGGAGAAAGCUUUGUUGGACUUGGGAGCAAGUGUGAAUUUGCUAUCCUACUCUGUCUAUAAGCAGUUGGGAUUUGGAGAGUUGAAGCCAAUAUCCAUCACUCUAUCUCUAGCGGAUAGAUCAAUGAAGAUUCCAAGAGGGAUGAUCGAAGAUGUCCUGGUUCAAGUUAACAAAUUCUACUAUCCAGUAGAUUUUGUUGUUCUUGAUAUGGAUCCGGUUGUCAAAUGAACUAAUUAUGUUCCUAUCAUACUUGGAAGACCCUUCCUAGCUACAUCAAAUGCAAUCAUCAAUUGUAGGAAUGGAGUCAUGCAACUCACAUUUGUCAACAUGACAUUAGAGCUCAACAUCUUCCAUUUGUACAAGAAGCAUAUCCAUCAGGAGGAAAAAGAAGGUCUAGAGGAAGUGUGAAUGAUUGACACUUUAGUGGAAGAGCAUUGUGAUCGAGAAUGCAAAAAGAUUUAGUUGAGAAUUUUGGGGAUCUUGAUGAAAGGUUACUUGAACCCUCAGAUUUGCUUGCUACCCUACUCCAUUGGAAGAGAAGAGAAGAAAUUCUACCCUUAUUCAAUGAGGAGGAGACGCAAAGAGCUGCAAAGGAGAAACCCCCAAAACUUAUUCUUAAGCCACUACCCACAGAGUUGAAGUAUGUAUACUUGGAAGAAGACAAGAAGUGCCCUAUUGUUAUAUCUUCAACUCUUACCAUUCAUCAGGAGGAUUGUCUACUUGAAGUCCUUAGAAGAUGUAAGAAGACAAUAAGGUGGCUAAUUUCUUAUUUGAAAGGGAUCAGCCCUUUAGUCUGCACCCAUCAUAUUUACAUGGAGGAUGAAGCUAAGCUAAUUCAUCAACCUCAGAGAAGGUUGAACCCUCACAUGCAAGAGGUGGUUCGAGCUGAAGUUCUGAAGCUACUUCAGACCAGUAUUAUUUACCCCAUAUCAAAUAGCCCAUGGGUGAGUCCUACUCAAGUUGCGCCAAAGAAGUCUGGGAUCAUGGUGGUGCAAAAUGAUAAGGGAGAAGAUGUCUCUACACGCCUCACUACAGGUUGGAGGGUGUGUAUCAAUUACAGGAGGUUGAAUGCAGUGAUAAGAAAGGACCAUUUCUCAUUGCCCUUUAUUGAUCAGGUGCUUGAGAGGGUCUCUGGGCUUUUUUUUUUAUUGUUUCUUGGAUGGCUACUCCGGGUACUUUCAGAUAGAAAUUGAUGUUGAAAACCAAGAUAAGACCAUUUUCACAUGCCCAUUUGGAACCUAUGCAUAAAGGAGAAUGCCUUUCGGCUUAUGCAAUGCACCCGCAACUUUCCAAAGAUGCAUGUUAAGCAUUUUCAGUGAUAUGGUGGAGCGUAUUAUGGAAGUCUUUAUGGAUGAUAUCACCAUUUAUGGAAGUGCAUUUGAUGAAUGCUUGGUCAACUUAGAAGCUGUUCUGAACCGAUACAUUGAGAAAGACUUAGUGCUUAACUGGGAGAAGUGCCAUUUCAUGGUACACCAAGGGAUUGUCCUUGGGCACAUUAUCUCCAAGCAAGGCAUUGAAGUUGACAAAGCAAAGGUUGAACUCAUUGUUAAGUUGCCAUCCUCAACAAAUGUCAAAGGAGUAAGGCAAUUCUUUGGCCAUGUCGGGUUCUAUAGGAGGUUUAUCAAGGAUUUCUCUAAGCUUGCAAGGCCUCUUUGUGAAAUAUUGGUGAAUGAUGUUAAAUUCAUAUGGGAUGAUGGAUUUGAAAGGAGUUUUGAAGAAUUGAAGCUAUUUUUGACAACCGUACCAAUAGUGAGGGCUCCCAACUGGCAACUGCCCUUUGAAGUAAUGUGUGAUGUCAAUGAUUUUGCUAUAGGAUUUUUUCUUGGGCAAAGAGAAAAUGGAAAACCUUAUGUGAUCUACUAUGCGAGGAAGGCAUUGAAUGAGGCACAAAGAAACUACACAACCACCGAGAAAGAAUUGUUAGCUGUAGUUUUUGCCUUGGAUAAGUUUCGCGCUUACUUGGUGGGGUCCUUCAUCAUGGUUUUUACUGAUCACUUUGCUUUGAAGUAUCUGUUGACUAAGCAAGAUGCUAAAGCAAGGCUGAUUAGAUGGAUUCUCUUACUUCAAGAGUUCAAUCUCCAUAUCAAAGAUAAGAAAGGAGUGGAGAAUGUGGUAGCAGACCACAUUUCAAGGCUAGCUAUCGCACAUAAUUCCCAUGCUUUGCCCAUUAAUGACGAUUUUCUAGAGGGGUCUCUCAUGUUGGUGGAAGUUGUCCCUUGGUACGCUCACAUUGCUAACUACCUGGUCACGGGAAAAGUUCCAAGUGAGUGGAAAGCACAAGAUAAGAAGCACUUCUUUGCAAAAAUUCAUGCCUACUAUUGGGAAGAGCCAUUUCUAUUCAAGUAUUGUAUGGAUCAGAUAAUAAGGAAGUGCGUUCCUGAAGAAGAGCAACAGGGGAUCCUUAGUCAUUACCAUGAAAAUGCAUGUGGAGGCCACUUUGCUUAUCAAAAGACAGCCAUGAGGGUGUUGCAAUCGGGUUUCUGUUGGCCAUCACUUUUCAAAGAUGCCCACACCAUGUGCAAGAGUUGUGAUCGAUGCCAGAGGCUUGGGAAGUUGACACGCAGGAACAUGAUGCCUUUGAACCCCACUUUAAUAGUUGAUAUUUUUUAUGUUUGGGGCACUAACUUCAUGGGACCUUUCCCUAUGUCUUUUGGCUACUCUUACAUCUUGGUAGGAGUAGAUUAUGUUUCUAAGUGGGUUGAGGCAGUCCCAUGCAAACACAAUGACCAUAGAGUGGUUCUCAAGUUUCUUAAAGAGAAUAUCUUCUCAAGAUUUGGGGUGCCCAAAGCCAUAAUUAGUGAUGGGGGUACUCAUUUUUGCAACAAGCCUUUUGAAACUCUCCUAGCCAAGUAUGGGGUGAAGCAUAAGGUAGCUACACCUUACCACCCUCAAACUCAUGGACAAGUUGAGUUAGCAAACAGGGAGAUUAAAAACAUAUUGAUGAAGGUGGUGAACACAAACAGAAAAGAUUGGUCAGUCAAGCUUCUUAAUUCACUAUGGGCAUAUAGAACAACUUACAAGACCAUUCUCGGGAUGUCUCCUUAUCGCCUAGUUUAUGGCAAAGCAUGCCAUCUCCCUGUGGAAUUGGAAUACAAAGCUUGGUGGGCAAUCAAGAAGCUCAACAUGGAUUUGAGCAGAGCUGGGUUGAAGAGGUUCUUAGACCUUAAUGAGAUGGAGAAAUUGAGAAAUGAUGCCUACAUCAAUUCAAAAAUUGCAAAAGAAAAAUUGAAGAGGUGGCAUGAUCAGUUGAUUUCCCGCAAGGAUUUUCAAAAUGGACAAAGAGUCUUACUUUAUGACUCUAAACUCCACAUCUUUCCGGGCAAGCUGAAAUCAAGGUGGAUAGGUCAUUUUACCAUUCACCAAGUGCAUUCAAAUGGAGUAGUGGAACUACUCAACUCCAACAAUAUCGAGAACUUCAAAGUGAAUGGCCACCGUCUCAAGCCCUUUGUGGAGUCUUUUUCUCACAACAAGGAGAAAUUCAUCCUCCUUGAUCCACAUCAAGCUUAACAAGACCAAUUUUCUUGAUGGACUUAGUCUUUCUAAAGACUAUCGAGUCCAUAACUUUUUGUUUUAUUUUUUAUUUGAGAUUUUUUCGGUAUUGUUACUUGUUUUGUUUUUUAUUUUUCGUUUUAAUUUUAUUUGGUUUGAUUUAACUUAGGUUUUUGAUGAUCAAUUACAGGGGGGAUUUCAAAUAGAGGAAAAACCAAGAUAAUUCGCACACCCUACGAAAAUUUCGCAAGGCAUGCGAAAUUUAUGGCUUAUUUUGCAUGGGGUGAAAAUUUUCGUACAUCUUACGAACCAAUUUCGAACACUUUGCGAAAAUAAACCAACCCUGCGAAAUCAUUUCGAUUACUCUACGAAAUUUUCGUAGAGCAUGCGAAAAAUUUAGCACACCAAACACCAUUUCGCAUACUAUGCAAAAACCUAAGGGGUCUGCGAAACCAUUUCGCACCUCCAAAUCCAUUUCGCACAUUGUGCGAAAACCAAGAGGCGCUGUGCGAAAAUGAAAAGUCGCCCUGUCAUCCCUUUUUAAACCCCUCGAGCCCUAAAAUCUCCAUUUCGCAAGCACCCCUGUCCUUGCGAAUCCCUCAUUUUCCUCUACUACCUUGCAACCUCGUCCCUUUCCAUUUGAUAUUGUGCCCCGCGCACAUCUCAUUUCAGAGACUCGCACUCCGCGCCCCCUCAAAGCAUGGACUCGAGACCCACCUUCCAUUUCCGACGUGGCACGGACCCAAGGAGCCCUUUCUGCCCCUUCACUAAGACACACACCAAGGCAGAAAGCCUCCUUUGCUCAAGUGCCUAGUGAUUCUCCAUCUUAGGCCUCAGAGGCCUCGGAGGCCCCGUGGAUUCCACCUUCCGAGGGUAGAGCAGCCAUUGGUCCUUCCUCUUCUACUCCUUAGCGUAGAUACGAGACGAGGAGACCACCUACUACACAAGGGGCGACUACUUCGAGCCUUGAGAAUUCAGUACGAUGCCUUCCUGCCAAGAGGGUCAAGACUUCAGGUCCAAGUGAGUCAUCCAGAGCUUCAUAGCCUAAGCCUCCUGUAGAUUCCAAGGUUCCUACUGACAUAUCACCGGAGUCUAUUAUCAGAAGCCCGAUGCUCAUAGCACCGCCCAUUGAGGGCAACUCAGAUUAUAGAGCGAGAUCUUUCCACUUGGAGCUAUAUUUUGAUCAGGAGGCCAUACGACAGCAGCCUGAGCUCCGAGACUCUUAUGGCUUACUGCAGAGGUACCAUCUUGAGGAACUUAUGACUCCUCGUGAGUUUUUUUAUCCCAGAGUAGCACUAAACUUUUACCAGUCCAUGACUACUCGUGGCGUCCCGAGUCCUACCACGAUUCACUUCACCAUUGAUAGACGUCAUGGUAUCCUCAAGGCCAGACAUAUUACAGAGGCUCUACAAAUUCCUUUCGAGCUAGAGGAUCCAUCUGUUUUUCGCUAAUGGUCCCCAGUAUCUCAGAGGGACAUGGUCCGUAUUUUAUCUAGGGGAACAUCUACAGAUUCGAUCUUUCUACGGAAGGAGCUUCGACCUGGGAUGCUCCUCUUAGAUGUGGUGCUAUGCUCCAACCUCUUUCCCUUACAACAUUCGGUACAUAGGUGAUGAGCUAUUUUGGACGCUUUAUUCCGUAUAUCAGAGGGCUUCUACUUUGGCCCGCACCACUUGAUCAUGGUCUCCCUCAUCCACUUUGAGGAGAAGGUUCAUAGGAAGAAGCUUCAGAGGGUGGACACCAUUCCAUUACUAUUCCUGAGGUUACUUUGCCAGGUCUUGGAGUACAUGGGCUUUCCUACUGAGCCUCGGCUCGAGCUUUGCCGCCUUUGUCGAGAGUGAUCCACUCUCGACAAAUGGAAUUAGUUGGCGGGCUAUUCUGCACCUCCAGGAGCCCCUCCCAUGGUAGCACCUCCAAUGUCCCCACAGGCAAAGUAGGGCGAGCUCCCGGCAAAGACUGUACCACCAAUGCCCACACUUGAGGCUAUUUCUGCUGCUCUGCCUAUGACUCCUACUGUUCCACCAGUUGGUCCUUUUACAUCCGAGCCUUCCAUCACCAUCUCGGCUUCGGAGUUUCGCGCCCUUGUGCAUACCUUUCAGACACUCACCACCACACAUACUCCUCUCUUCUAGCAAAUGGUUGAGAUGUGUGCCCAUCAGGACCGGAAGACUACUAUACUCUGCCAAAUUCAGCAGCACCUAAGACUUUUGCCUCAACCUCAACCUAACCAUCCCAUAUCAUCAGAGCCUCUAGCUCCAACUGAGGAUACUAUUCCACCUGAGAACACUACCACAGUAGAGGUCCGGUUUCCACCACCUUAAGAGGCCACCACAGCUACAUCAGAGGAUGUGUCAUCUCCACUUGAGGCUCCCACUACUUGAUCAUAGGACAUAUCUUUAUCUUAUUGUAUUUACAUAUUAUAUUACUAGAGAUUUGUCCUUGUUUUGAUACUUUAUAUUCUGGGAUUGGAUGUAUUGCCUGAUGAUAUCUCAAUUGUACUUUCUCAUAUUAAUAUAUAGACAUCAAUUUUUUUUAGUAUACUUAGCAUUUUUCUAUUUCCUCUACUCAUUACUCUUUUGUUUUUUUUUACUCAUGUGGUUUCUCUUAUACAACUCAGACUCCAUUUCACUCAGGAGGUACCACUUCCUCCCUUUAUUUUCAAUUGCUCUUGAAAUAUUGAGUGCAAUGUUGAUCUUGGUUGGGGGGAGAGUUGAGGAAGGAAGUUUUGUUAAUAAUGCUAGGUUAAUUUGUUAAUUUAGUUACUUUCUGCUUAAUUUUAAAAGUUUUCACUCUACUUUCCAUGGUUAUUAAGGAAAAAUUCUCAAAAUGAAAUGGGAGAAAUCGAAUUCUUGCAUUUUUACUUGAAUCUUAGAAUUUGUAUCAUGCUUAUUAAAGUUGAUGAAUUAUUGAAACUCCUAUUGAAUUCAACCUUAUUUUUUCCACUUUAAUCUUACCACACACGGUGCACAUUAGGUUCCAGUUAUAAGAUAAAAAACUAUCUCACCCCCUAAACUUAGAAAAAUUUACACUUGGUACCUUUGACAUCGUUUUAAUAGUGUUGGGACACCUUAUAAAAGGCCAAUGAGCCUUUAAAAAAAAAAAAAAAAAAAAAAAGAGAAAGAACAAAGUAUUGCACUUGCCUUGAAACCUGAGCAAGAUCCGAGGGGUAUACAGUGAAAGUCUUUAAAACCUGGUGCCCUAAGCCUUGAUUGGUUGGGAGUCACCGACCUCAAUGCUCGUUAUAAGGGUGAAUAGGUGGAGUUUAACAUAUUGUAGGUGCUUGGGUAUUGAAUUUCAAUCUCAAAAGUCCGGGAAAAAAUCUAAGGAGUUAGUGGUCAAAAGAUCCUUAAAGCUUGAUGCCCUAAACCUUGAUUGGUUGAGAGUCAUUGAUGGAUCCCCGCUACAUGGACAUUUUAGAAAACAAUACCUUUAGCAUUGCACGCCUACAAUGAAAAAAAAAUGUGAAAUAAAAGAGGUGCGUUCUUAGCCUAUUGGAGGUUGGUCAGUUUGCUAAAGUUUGAGAAAUCUAGGUUGGGGGGAGAGAAUAGUCCGACAUACUAUAAUAAAAAACUAAUAACCUUAACACUUAGAUUUUUGUGGAAGAGUAAGGAUUGGACCUUUAGGGGUGGAAAUUCUUUUGAUGCUUAAAUUUGCAUAAUGCCUACUCUUUAUAAAUUAUGAUUAGGCAAGAGAUUUGAUGACUCUUGUUCAAAGUUGGGUUUUUCCUCUUUGAUGUUCCAUGAGAGAGUAUAAUCCUCAUCAUGCCACUUGAAAUCUUUUUGGAGUGAUUAACAUGAUUUUGUAAAUUAUUUUACUGUCUAUUUUUCUUUAUCUCUCUUUUAUUGCUAAUGGACUAGCAAUAUGUCAGUUGGGGGGAGUGAUUACUACUCAAAAAGUACUCUUUUAUAGCUUGAAACUAACUGUUUUAAACACUUUUGAGUAGGUGUUAAUACAUUUUAACUCAAUUGGCACAUUAAGGAACCUAACAAGGGUUACUAAUAAGUUUUUGGCAAGUUUUGGUGUUUUUGGUAGCUAUUUGAUCAUUGAAACAAGCCAAGAAUGAGGGAGAAUUUUGUGAAGUCCAUAGCAAUGCAAGUUAAAGCUCAAAUACAUGAAGAAUCCAAGCUUUGAAGCACUUCAUAGCCCUUUGCGAAGCCAAUCAGAGAUGCAAGGAAGAAAACCAGAGGAAAAAAUCCAACAACCAGCAUUUUCGCAUGGCUGUGCGAAAUUUUGCACACCAUGCGAAACCACAAGAAGUAGCCAAAGAAUUUUGCACACCAUGCGAAAUUUCGCAUGGUAUACGAAAUCUUCCUAUGCACCAACUCCGUUAUAUUUUUAUCUUCAGAUAUUUUGUGUAAUUUCCUAGUUUCUCCUUGUAACCAACCUAGAUAUUUUCUUUUAUAUCUUUUUUUUAUAUUUUUUAGGUAACAUCAUAUAUAGGGGGAGAGACAUAAGGAGGAUAUGGAUGUUUUUCAUAAAACACUUUUAAUUUUCUGGUAGUAAGAAAUAUACAAAGUUUUUUGCUCUGCCUUACCUUCUCAUUUUGUUUUCACCUAUCUUUCUAGCCAAACAACCUCUGAGAAUGAUUUCUCAGGGGAUGAGUAGUUAGGUUUUACGUUUCUUGGAGUGAGAGAAGCUAGGUGAAAGACCCAAAUGCUAAGGUGGGAGUUGUCCUUGCUUUAAAUGAAAGUAGUUGUUAAAUAUUAAUGGUUUUUAUUUUAAGGUUUAGCUUUAAAUCCCUUAAAAACACCUUGAAUGGCCAAUACUUGGUAAGCUUUUCGGAUUCUAUGGAUGCUUAUUGCUAGAUCCAUGGAUGUCAUUAGUUAUCAUUUAUGAGCCAUUGGAAGGUGGUUCAAGAUGAGAGUCUUUAGUGUUUGAAGCCAUUAAUGGGAAACAAUUACCAUUUUUUCAUGAAUCCUUUGGAUAAAAUCUUAAUUGCUAAAUAUAAAACUGGUUCGGGAGAUAACCAUCCUUUAUGUUAUUAUGCCCAAUGCAAGGAGAAGAUUUCGAAUCUUCUCAUUUGUCUAAGGAACCCGAUCCUAGUGACCUAAAGCUCCUAGAGACCUUUUCUUUGUAGUUAACUUCAUUUAUUGUUUUUGCUUAACUUAAAAUCAAUCUUUGCAACCACAAUUCCAUUUUCUUUAAAAGCUAAUUUUUAUAAGGAAAAGCACCAUUUUAUUUCCUUCACUAAGUCAACUGUAUGAUGAAAACCCAUCCCUGUGGACGAUCUUAGAGCCACUAUACUAUGUUAUCUAUGCUAUCCUAGUGUGAGGUGAUUUAGGUUUUAUAAAUUUUGUUGAUAACACCCGUCUGAGCCAGAAUCAAAUGGAACCACUGAACCAGGGACAAAUCAACAGCCUAUAUGGGAGGGACACAAGUUUAAUUGAUUUGCAUUUCAGCGUUAUAGAUAAGUAUGUUUUGGAAGAUUUGUUCUGGAAAUACUGCACCAAGUACGAUUCUUUUUCUCUUGAGUGAGUCCAUUUGCAUGCCAAUUAACGAGUUGAAAAGUAGGAGCACCUACCUCGUGCUCAUGGAACCGAAUGUCAGUGAAGUGGGGCUCCUUUUAGCCUCUUGUGUUUCUGUUCCAACCAAGGCGGCGUAGGGAAAAACAACAAUAUGUCUGUGCUAAAUAUCAACGCAUGAUAGAUGUUUUUUUUUUUUUUUUUGGUAUGUCAAGGCUAACGAAUGAAAUGCAUUAGCUUGUUUUGUGACUAUAACUGCAAAUGUCCAAAUUGGAGUAUCUCCAUUUCUCACUUCGGAUGGUUAACUUUAUAAACAAGAUAUAGGAAACAUGUGAACAUCUUGAGGAACAAUUCAAAUUAUUCAUUAGAAGUCCUGGGUUAAGUUCCAAGAUUUAAAUCAGACCCUUCUAGCAGCUUCAAGGGUACUUAGCAACCUAUAACAUAUUAAUGAAGAUUUAGGAUUUAGACUCCGGAAUACAAAUAAAUAUGUAUCUCAUGCUUUGACUAGCUUCCCUACAUAUGCAUAAAAUGGAGAUGACCCAAAAAAAAUAGCAGAAUCUAGCUUCCCUACAUAUGCACAAAAUGGAGAUGACCCAAAAAAUAGCAUAAUCGCCUUAGUUUCUGUGGUUAAGGUGAUUCUCCGCUUAAUAUCCACAUUGACUCAUUAUGCAAAAUCAACUGAGCUAAUUUUAUUUAUUUAUUUAAUGUCAAAUAGGAACUCCUAAUUAACUGAUUACUGUCGAAAAGUGCUAUUUUGUAGACCUAAUUAUAAGGGUUUUAAGCACCUUUGAGUAGUAAUCAUAUUCAUUUAACCUAAUUAAUUCAUUAAGCUCCUUAGUAAUUAGUUCUAACCAUUUUUAGUGGCAAGUUUACAUGUUUUUCAUCAGCUUAUGAACCAAUUCAAGCAUGCCAAUUGAUGGAGGAGCUACUUGGGCGAGUUAAGCAAGGAUUUUGGACGUUUACAGGCUUGAAUUUCAAGUGGAAACACGAGCACAAGCAAUGGGAACACCAUUUCGCAAGGGGAGGCAAUUCACCUUGCCAAAUGACCAAUUUCGCAAGGGGAUUUUCCUCAUGGUGCAAAAUUUGGUCAUUUCGCACCAUGAAGAAACCACCUUGCAAAAUUUCGCAAGGUGGAUUUAGGCACCUUGCGAAAUGCCAAAUUUCACAAGGUGGCUUUUCACCUUGCGAAAUUUGGACCUUUCAUCUUCCCCCCUUGCGAAAUGCCUUUGAAAUCCCCUGUUUUGAGACGCUGUUGAUGAUAUUCCACUGCCGGUUCUCCAAGAUAUUUUGCUUGACUUUUAGCUUUAUAAAUACCUAUUUUACCCUUGUAAUCAACCAAUGAAAAGGUUGCUUUUGUAAUAGCUCUUGUAAUUUAGCUUUUUAUUGUCUUUAAAUAGAGGUGAAGAGCCUCAGACACGAUCAUCUUGUAACCUGUAACUUUAUAAGUUAUAAGAGCACUUUUGUUCAUACGCUUCUUUUCUCUUUUCUUUCUCAUUUUCUUAGUAGCCAAACAUCCUUGGAGGAUGAAAUCCCCAAGGAUGAGAGGCUAAAACCUUUUAGUUUCUUGAAGUAAUGGAUGCCAUGUGAAGCUCCCGUGUCAGGAUGGAGAUUUCCAAGCCAUAAAUGUAAGUAGCUGAGCGUCAUAAAUGUUUUCAUUCAAAGUAAAGCUUUUAAUCCCUCUGACUUGCUUUGAAUGGCCAAUACUUGAUAACCUUUUGGUCUCAAUGGAUUCUUAUUGUUAGAUCCACUGACGUUCAUUAGUUAUCUCCUACGAGCCAUUGUAUUGCAAGUCGAGGAGAUGACCUAUACCAAUAAAAGAGCAUUUAUGAGGUUCAACUACCCUUUUUGUAAGUUUUCAAGGACUAAAACUCAGUUGUUAAACUCAUACCGGUUCGAGAAGUAAGCAUCACCUUAGUUGCUUCCCCAACUCGAGGUGAAAAGUCCCAAAAUCUCCAUUUUUACACAGUGAGUUAAGCAUGGCUAUCCAAAGCUUUAAGAAACUUCUUUUUCCAUCUUUUAACCUAUUUUCAUGUUAGUUUAGUUUACAACACCUUCAUCUUUUUAUGUUUUCAUCUUAACCUAAUUUUUAUUAAGAAAAGUUCACUCCAUCCUCCGAACUUCACCAGUUAAAGUAAAAACCCUUCCCAGUGUUCGAUCCUAGAGCCACUAUGCUAUAGUAGCUUUGCUACUUUAGUGUAAGGACCUUAGGUAUAAAUUUUGUUGAUACCCUUACAUGCCAAGCUACCAAGAGUCGGGUUAUCAUUAACCUAACCAUUGGCCUGUGUAAAUUGAUUUCACAUGCACAAUGUUGUAGUAGAAGUCCAUAUUUUGAAUUUUAUUUUUGUAAAGGUAAGGAAAAUGAAGCAUUGUGUAAUUAUAAAAAUAACUUCAUUGGAAUUCACAAGGUUCACCCAAAAUGGAGCUACAUCUGUAUUCUAUCCUACAGUAGACUAUAUAGAUUGUACAAUAGUAAAUUGCAAAUACAAUUAAUAAGUCUUGUGCUUCCUUACUAAUAAUCCUUUGACAUGAACAUUGCAGCACUAAGGUCCUCUUGGGAAGACACCUUGCACCCAUGAGAGCACUAAGAGGAAGCAAGGCAGAGUCAUGGGUGCAAUGUCAUGACUUGUUGUUGCACCAAGAGAGGCUUGGUGAUGCCAUGGUGUUGCAGUAGCAAGAAUGUUGCCUUGGCAGGGACACGAUCUAGGGAUAGAUGCCAAGAAAGGCUUAGCACUCACAUGAGUUGCACAAAGAUGAAUGUAAUAGAGCAUCAGAGAGACGUCUUGGCAAGUAAAUGAAUGGAUCCAAGAGACAACAACAUGAGGAGUUUCAAAUGGAUAAGGAAUGACUCAAAGACAUUUGAAAGCUACAAGUUGGAUUCUAAUUACGAUUGCAAUUUGAGUUUGAGUAGGAGUUUAGAUUUUGAUUGUAAUUGUAGUAUGAGUUGGACUAGGAUUGCUUAUCCUUAGUCAAUAUAGGAGCGGUUCGUGUCACCCUAUGAAAAGAGUUUGAGUAGGGACUAGGAUUGCUUACUCCUAGUCAAAUAUGGAGUAGGUGGUGCCACACCUAUAAAAAAAAGGGACAACAUGAGAGAGAGAGAGAGAGAGAAAGAGAGAGUGAAUUCACUAAAGAUAUUGUGGGAGUUUUGCUUUGUUACGUCUUGUAUUAUUACUUAGAAUAGGAAUAAAAUACAAGUUGGGGCUAGAGCCCCAUAAUUAAUCUCGUGUGCCUUUGUGGUUAUUCUUUAUUUGUCAUCUCGUGUGGAUUGGAUUAGGUUGACUUAGAGGGCUUCUAAGCACCACCUUUGUGGGUUAUUAUUUAUUUUCCAUCUCUUGUGGAUUAGAUUAGGUUGACUUAGAGGGCUUCUGAGCACCACCUUUGUGGGUUAUUAUUUAUUUUCCAUCUAUUGUGGAUUAGAUUAGGUUGACUUAGAGGGCUUUUAAGCACCACAUUUGUGGGUUAUUCUUUAUUUUCCAUAUCGUGUGGGUUGGAUUAGGUUGACAAGGAGAAAAAUUAUGUGGGAAAUUUGUGUUGGGACACUUACCAUAACCAAGUAAAAUCUACCAAGUCCUUUGUAAUAUCUUCAACAAAUAUUUUAGACUAGUUCUUUCAGUUAGUGUAAAGGAGGAAGAAGUGGUAUUGAUUCUAGAAAUAGGGUGUGUGUAUUUGAACUACAAUCCUUAUGAUCCUUAGGUCUCUAAACCUUCGUGAUGGGCUCCCUGACAUUUCAUAGGUUGUGCUACACAUGCGUUUGAAAUUUAGAGUGCGUUUGACAGUGAUUCCGGGAAGUGUUUUUGGCCUUUCUUACACUUGAAAAUUUUUAUUUUUCAAGUAUUAGAAAUGCUACAAACACUUUUGAAAAUUACUGUCAAACACACUCUUAGGAGCGCACAUAUAUAGUAGAAAACUAGAAAUUGUGGUUUUUUUAGGAUUUACUGUAAUGUCAUUAGGAGGGUAGUAAGUUGAAAUUGAGUAUGAACAAAUAUUUCUUUCUUUGGGAUGUUCUUCUAGUAGGUGCUGAUGAAACUGUUCUUUCUACUGCCAAUGUCACAUAUCAGCCAGAAAUUGAAAAUUUCAGUCAAGGUGUCCUCUGUUUUAGUGGUGAGGAAAGCUAGAAAUUUUAAGGUGAAGUUUUGUUAAAAACCUUAAGUAGCUGGGAUAUCAGGCCUGUUUUGCUUGAAAAAAAAAGUUGCAAGAUAACUCAUAUGCCAAACAGGUUCUGAUAUUGUGAAUCUAUCGGCAGACAUCAGUAAUCUCAUCUUCUGAGAUGGAUGUUGGGGGUGCAUGUGGUGGUGGAGGGGCAAGGUUUCAUUUGGUUUAUUUUGUUGAUGGAUAUUGUCUAGCCACCUGCGCCAAGUUUGAGGGGUGGUGGGUUGUGAUGACCCUACAAUUACUAUUAAUUUCUUCAUCUUUUACCGAUUAAAGUGUCCGAACAGUCGAAGUUACCCUUAUGCAUGUCAACUUGAUCACUUACCUCUUCAAUGGAGUUUAUGCUGGUUCAUUUAGGAACUGAUUUUUAUUGUUAUGUAUUAUAUGCUGAUGUUUAGGUCUCUCCAUCAUCACUAUAUACAAAAAUUCUAGGUUGAUACUAUAGGUUGAGAUUUAUUUUUUAAAUAAAAAAUAAUAAAAAUAAAAAUUAUGGUGAUGUUUAGUUGUUUUAUGGAAAAUUUUAACAAGUAAAAGUUAUUUUUGGGCAAGUUUUCAAACAAAAAGAAAAGUAAAAGUUGUUUUGACAAAAACAUAUAGAAAAAAAAAUCAUAGAAAAUAAAUAAUUUCCCCAUAUUCUAACUUUUUUGAAUUUUUCUCAAUGGGCAAAGGAAUAUCAAAUCAAGUUUGAGUAGGAUUUCUUAAUUUUUAAAAUAACUUACAAUUAAAAAAUUUUGGUGUUUUCAUUUUUGGACAAUUUUUUAUUAAGCAAAUGGACUCUGAGUCAUGCAAGAGAUAUGGUUCAUUAACCGGUCGAACAAUUUUUUUAAAUUAAUUUAAAAGUCAAAUACAUAAUCAAUUUCACAAAAUUUAUAAACAAAAAUAGGUUUAGAGAAGAUCUACACAUAAUUUUACUUUUCUAAUUUUAUUUUAUUUUAUUUUUUGUUGGAAAAUAGUCUUCAAAUCAUGUAAGAUUUAAUAGGUUAAAUUUGUUAACAAUAAAUUUUAAAUUAUAAAAUAUAAUCUGGAACUCAAAAAUCAAUUCAAGUAAUGCUAAAAAAAAAUCAAAUUUGGUAUAGAAUGACUUUGUAAAUUUUUUUACAAAACAAAUGAAUUUUAAAUCAAGUGAGAUUUAAUGCAUUAGAUUUUUAUCAAAUAUAGUAAUUUUAAAAAUAAAUUUGGAACUCAACAAUAGACACAAUAAAUACCAAAAAAUAAUGAACCAAAAUUGGUUUGGAAUAACUCCACAACCUUUUUUUUUUUUUUUUGGUGCACACGAAUUUUCUUACUAGGUAUAUUGCUUUCAAAUUGAGAAAGAUUUACCAUUUAGAUUUUUUUUUAAUGAGUUUAAUGGUAUUUUAAAAUAAUUCAAAAUUUAAAAAAUUGACUAAUUAAUAUUAUAAAUUGAUAAACCAAGACUAUUUCAAAAUGCAUUGGGGGCUAAGGGGGUUGAAAAUAGGGACAAUGGGAUGGGUUUGGGACAUGACACUCAUAUCUCAUUUCCAUUCCAAUUACACAGUUAUCUCCCAUCCUUAUCCCAAACUUGUGUUGGAGCAAGUUGAUUUGUUCCCAUCUUUGUUGACGAAAUGACUAAUAACCUCAUCCCCUCCUUAUCUUAGAUGUACAUUUUGUCAAAUUUGAUCAGGUAUGAUUGAUCCAAGCCCUAACCCUAAUUGGUAAUGAGUGAAUACUACACCUAAUUGCAUUCUUCUUUCAUUGCAAAAUAAUGAGAUUAUAAUAAUCUAGCAAAUAAGAAAAAAUAGUAUGGAAGUUCAAAUUAACACCAUAACUAUCAAUAAUUUUAAGCUUAUAGAUGACUUAAAUGAUUAAAAACUAAUGCAAAAUCCUAAAAAAAAUAAAAAUCAUAUAAAGAAUUCACAAGAGAACAGAAUGAACAAAAACCAAAUAUGAACAUGGGUCAACAUUAGUUAUGGAUUUGGAUUCCUUUCAAGGCCAAUCUUUGAACCAAGACUUCAUCAAAUCAACUACUUCAAAGGCUUUUGUGUUCUUCUUGGGUUGUGCUCUCAAACAAAGACUUCGAGGUGAUGUUCUAGAUGAUUGAAUUACACAUAUUUAGGGUGGAGAGAUUGGAGAAGCUUGAAGAUGCCAACGAUGGGUACAAUUGAGUGGUCAAUAAGAACAAUGUAGCCUAUGACUAGUUUGAUGUCAUGGUACAAGAGUUUUAGGCAUUGAGGUUAAAGCAAGAGCAACAUGGAAUUGAUUUCGGAGUCUUUCAGUUAGUGUAAAGGAGGAAGAAGUGGUGUUGAUUCUAGAAAUAGGGUUUUAAGUGGUGCGUGAUUACUACUCAAAAAGUGCUAUUUGAUAGCCUUUAAUUAAUCCUUUUUAACACUUUUGAGUAGUAGUUUAGGCCUUUUAACUCAAUUGGCAUGUUAAGGAUCCUUUAAAGCAAUUUUGAUCACUUUGUGCAAGUUUUGGUGUUUUUGUUAGUAUUUUGAUCACCAAAGCAAGUCAAGAAUGAGGAGAACUAUGAGGAAUCAUGGGCAAAGCUUAGAAUUCAAUUGCCAAGAGUGAAUCCGGAUUGCAAGGAGAAAAAGCAAAGAGAAUCUGUCAUGAAGCCUAUUCUUGAUGACAGUCGUAGCAGCCACUUUUGGAGCACUUUCUGAAGUCCAAAUGAUGCAAGCUAUAUACCAUUUCAAAGAUCAGGAAGUCAACAAUCCAAUGCUUCAAACGGUGCGCGAUUCGGAGUUGAAACGAAGAAGUUGCAGCCAUUACAAGCCAGUCACUCUAAAGUGUUGCGGAAUCAGCCUUUUGUUGCGAGAAUUUCGCAGCACUUUUGUACAGUAAGGUGUUUCUCCUUCUGACGAUGCACGAACCAUGCCGCGAGAGGGAAGCUAGGAACUUCAAGAUGGAAGCCAACUUUGCAGCCUGGUGAAGAUAGCUUGGUCUUGCGAAAUAAUUUCGCAGCCCUCUUGGGUGUCUGCGAAAUUUCGCAGGCACCACUUUUUUCCUGCGAAAUGGCUCCGGAAGCCUCCCGAAGCUUGCUACCGACAUUGGGAGAUAUUUUCCAUUAGAUUUUUGUUGUCUAAAUUCCAAAAUACUCCUUGUAAACCACCAAUUACAUGAUUCCUUAGUUUUUAAGUUAGUAAAAAGACCAAAUAUCUAUGUAAUAAUUAGUUUUAUAUUAGUUUGCUAUAAAUACCUCUCGGGAGCAUGUUCUCAGAGAGGAGUUCCUUCUGUAACCAUUUUGGUAAGCAAGUAAAGUCUUUUCUUUCUACUGCCUUACCUUCUCACUUUGUAUUUUCAUUUUAUUUCUAAGUUAUGAAUUCUCUGAGGAGCUUUCCCCAGAGAAUGAGUAACUAAACCUCCAAUUCCUUGGAGCUAAGGUUGCCGGGGAAGGUUCCAAGUGCAAGAAUGCAAAGCUCUGUGGUUUUAGCUAGUAAUGAAGAGGAAGUGAAAUCCUUUAGUGAUUUCAAUGUUUUUAGUUAACUUAAAACACCUUGGAGUCACCUGGGCCAACACUUGGUAAGGCAAGUGAUUUCCAACCGUGGAAAUGCACUAGUUUACCCCUUGCGAGCCUCUGGUAGGUGACUUCAAGGUAGGAUUUUCUGGAAUUACCAACACUUGGUAAGCUUUUGGACUCCUAGGAGACAUCCAUUAGUUAUCUCUUGCGAGUUUGUGAAGGGGAAUCCAAGGUUAAAGAUCACCUUGAAUGGUAAGUGCUCGUGAGAGGCAUGAACCAUUGCAAGUUGUAUCAGUGAGAGAAUUAAAGUGAAAUCUAAUUGAAGGAGUCUCUGUACAUCACCGGUUAGAGAAUUGACUAUAAGUUGAAUCUCUAAUGCGAGGAAAUGAACCAUCUGACCGGAGCUAUGUCUUUUGCAUGAGGAACCACCCCAGUGAACCUAAAUCUCCAAGGAAUGCUUUUCUUCCUAAAUUAUUCCAAACUUCUGUUAAGUUAGUUAGUUUAAGUCUAAACCUUUACCAAUCAAACUUUGUGUUUUAUUUCUUAAGCUAACCGUGAAAUGAAACAAAACCAAUUCACUUGGAAUUGGUAUCCUUGAUUGCUUGCAAAUCAUUCCCAGUGAACGAUCCUUAGAGCCACUAUACUAUAGUAGCUUUGUAUUUGCUACCCUAGUGUAUGGUGUUAUAGGUAUAAAUUUUGUUGAUCACUUCCUCAAUCAAGGAACACCAGCUGAACACAAAUCAGCUGAGACACCAAUUGGGCAUGAGUCAAAUGGCGCCGUUGCCGGGGAAUGAGUGUCAAGAUCAUUGUGAUACCAUUUUUGAGCACUUGUGAUUUUCAUCACAAGUUGGUAAAGUUUCUUUCACUUUACUAAUUUUCAUUCUCUCUUUGUUUAUUUACAAUCUAAGUUUAUCUUUUUAAAAUUUAGUCUAGUUUAAUUUUGCUAUUGUAGCCUUGUUUCUCUUGUUGUCCUCUGUUCUUGUUGUCCUCUGUUUUCAUUUUAGUUGCAGCUGAAUACUAGUUGUGUAUGCCAAAGUGGAUACGAGACAUUGGAGGUAGGCUUAUUAAGUGUGAUACACCUCAGAGAGGAGAAUUGGAAGUAAUCUUGAAUAUCAUGGAGGCUGCACCUGAAGAUCAGCAUAGUCACCAAGGUCGUCAAGACAAUCUCAAUGAAUUCAGAUCAAUGAGGGACCGUAUGCAUCCACCUCGUAUGAGUGCACCAUCAUGUAUAGUGCCCCCUACAGAGCAACUAGUGAUCAGACCAUAUCUUGUUCCACUUCUACCAACUUUCCAUGGGAUGGAAAGUGAGAAUCCGUAUGCACACAUCAAGGAAUUUGAAGAUGUUUGUAAUACAUUCCAAGAGGGAGGAGCUUCAAUUGAUUUGAUGAGGCUUAAGUUAUUUCCUUUUAAUUUAAAGGAUAAGGCCAAAAUUUGGCUUAAUUCUUUAAGGCCAAGGAGUAUCCGCUCUUGGACUGAUUUACAAGCUGAAUUCCUCAAGAAAUUUUUUCCUACUCAUAGAACAAAUGGCUUGAAAAGGCAAAUUUCAAACUUCUCAGCUAAAGAGAAUGAGAAAUUCUAUGAGUGUUGGGAAAGAUACAUGGAAGCUAUAAAUGCUUGUCCUCACCAUGGCUUUGAUACUUGGCUACUGGUGAGUUAUUUUUAUGAUGGUAUGUCCUCCUCAAUGAAGCAACUCCUCGAGAAAAUGUGUGGAGAAGAUUUCAUGAGCAAAAAUCCAGAGGAAGCUAUGGAUUUCUUGAGCUAUGUAGCUGAUGUUUCAAGGGGAUGGGAUGAACCAACUAAAGGAGAAGUGGGAAAGAUGAAGUCUCAGUUGAAUGCUUACAAUGCAAAGGCUGGGAUGUAUACUUUAAAAGAGGAUGAUGACAUGAAAGCAAAGUUGGCAGCUAUGACAAGAAGAUUGGAGGAGCUGGAGCUGAAAAGAAUGCAUGAAGUGCAAGCUGUUGCUGAAGCACCAGUGCAAGUGAAGUUGUGUCCCAAUUGUCAAUCGUUUGAACAUUUGGUAGAGGAAUGCCCUGCAAUUUCAGCUGAAAGGGAAAUGUAUAGAGAUCAAGCAAAUGUUGUUGGACAAUUCAGGCCCAAUAACAAUGCUCCUUAUGGAAAUACCUACAAUUCAAGUUGGAGGAAUCAUCCAAAUUUUUCAUGGAAGGCCAGAGCAACUCAAUACCAACAGCCGGAUCCACCAUCUCAACAAUCUUCAAGUAUUGAACAAAUAAUAGCUAAUCUCAGCAAGGUAGUGGGAGAUUUUGUGGGAAAGCAAGAAGCCACCAAUGCUCGAGUGGAUCAAAGAAUGGACAGAGUGGAUCAAAGAAUGGACAGAAUGGAGAGUAUGUUGAACAAAAGAAUGGAUGGAAUGCAAAAUGAUAUGAAUCAAAAAUUUGAUAACAUCCAAUAUUCAAUUUCAAGGCUUACAAAUUUGAAUACACUGCAAGAAAAGGGAAGAUUUCCUUCUCAACCUAACCAAAAUCCCAAAGGUGUCCAUGAAGUGGAAAGCCAUGAGGGAGAAUCAUCACAGGUGAAAGAUGUGAAAGCUUUGAUCACUCUAAGGAGUGGUAAGAAAAUUGAGCAGCCAACACCCAAGCCACAUGUUGAGAAAGAAGAAGAGAUGAAGAAAGGGAAGGAAAUGGAAGAUAAAGGCAGUGAGAUCAGUGAAGAAAAGAAGGACUCUGAUGCAACAAUGAAAGUAAUUCCAGAGAAGGAGCUUCUGAAGGAAGAAAUGCUGAAGAAAUCAACUUUUCCACCUUUUCCUCAAGCAUUACAGGGGAAAAAGGGGGUUAGAAAUGCAGCUGAAAUCCUAGAAGUAUUGAGGCAAGUGAAAGUUAAUAUUCCACUGCUGGAUAUGAUCAAACAAGUUCCAACGUAUGCAAAAUUCCUAAAGGACUUGUGUACUAUCAAAAGAGGGUUGACUGUAAACAAGAAAGCCUUCUUGACUGAGCAAGUAAGUGCAAUCUUACAGUGUAAGUCUCCUUUGAAGUACAAAGACCCUGGAAGUCCUACCAUUUCAGUCAUGAUUGGAGGAAAGGUAGUGGAGAAAGCCUUGCUAGACUUGGGAGCAAGUGUGAAUUUGCUUCCAUAUUCUGUCUACAAGCAACUGGGACUUGGAGAGUUGAAGCCAACAGCAAUCACUUUGUCUCUGGCAGAUAGAUCAGUGAAAAUUCCAAGAGGGGUAAUUGAGGAUGUAUUGGUUCAAGUAGAUAAUUUCUACUAUCCUGUAGAUUUUGUUGUUCUUGAUACAGAUCCUACUGUAAAGGAAGCUAAUUUAGUUCCUAUCAUCCUUGGAAGGCCAUUUCUUGCAACUUCAAAUGCAAUCAUCAACUGUAGAAAUGGGCUUAUGCAACUCACUUUUGGUAACAUGACACUGGAUCUAAAUAUUUUCUAUAUGUCUAAAAAGCAAAUCACUCCAGAAGAAGAAGAGGGUCCAGAAGAGCUAUGUAUUAUUGAUACUUUGGUGGAGGAGCACUGCAAUCAACAUAUGCAAGAUAAGUUGAAUGAAAGUUUUGUGGAUAUUGAGGAAGGUUUUUCUGAAUCUCCUAAUGGGCUUGCUACUCUACAAAGUUGGAGAAAGAUAGAAGGAAUUCUACCUUUGUUCAAUGAAGAAGAGGAGGCAGCUGUUGAAAAAGAAAUUCCAAAACUCAAUCUGAAGCCUUUACCUAUGGAGCUGAAAUAUACAUAUCUUGAAGAAAAUAAUCAAUGUCCUGUCGUAAUAUCUUCAUCUCAAACCAAGUCUCAAGUGAAGGAUGCAAGCUUCAAAUGGGAUCCGGGCAAACUGAAUCAGGAAGGGCAAAAAGUUUUGAUGUAUGACACAAGACUCCAUAUCUUUCCUGGGAAGCUCAAGUCAAGGUGGAUUGGUCCAUUUGUUAUUCACCGAGUAUAUUCCAAUGGAGUGGUGGACUUAUUGAAUUCCAAUGGCAAGGACAGCUUUAGAGUCAAUGGAUAUCGUCUUAAGCCGUUCAUGGAGUCAUUCAAAUCAGAAAAGGAGGCAAUCAACCUCCUUGAACCUCAAAAAGCCUAAGUGAAAUGGGUUUGCUGGACGUGGUUUUACCACAGUCCAAAAAUUUUUGUAAAUUUUGUAAAUUUUCAAGUUGUUUCCAUGCUUUUAAUCUUAGUUUUUGAUUUUAAAUCAUGUUUUUAGGUGUGUUUUAAUCGUUUUAUAUGAUCCCAGGCGGAAGAAAUUUCAAGGGGAUUGAAAAGAAAAAAAUCGGGUCGAAAUUGGAGCCGAAACAGAGCAAAAACAGGGGAAAAACAGAGCUCUGCGAAAUUUCGCAGGGUGAAGGAAACUUCUGCGAAAUUGGCAUUUUGCUGCCAAACCAUUCCGCAGCACUGUAGAAGCCUCUGCGAGUGUAUUUCGCAAUUGCGAAAGUGGAUUUGGCACACGAGUGCCACUUCGCAGCACAGUGACAUCAAUUUCGCAGCUGCGAAACUCACUGCGAAGUUGCUGCGAAAAUGGCAAGUUGCUGCGAAAUUGGCGUUUUGUUGCGAAACGUAAUCUGACCCCUGGGCUUCCGUUUUUCCUAUUUAUACCUGUCAAAAGUGCUGCGAAAAAGGUUUCAAAAAUUAGAGCACCAUUCUCGCAGCCCUUUCAUCUUCUUCGCCAAGCCACGCCGUCCGUUUCUCCGGUCGUCUUCUCCGUUUAGCAGCGCCGGCCAAAGAUCGAUAGCCCAAAAAUGGCACGAACGCGAGGGGCAAAGUCUUCAUCCCCUUCGAACCGCAAAAGGAGUCUGCGAAAGGAGCCAAGUUCAGGCUCUGUUCCAGAACCUGCUCCAAAGCCUUCGCCGUCGAGACCACAACCUUCUCCAGUGAAGCCGGCGCCACCAAAGCCGCCGGCAAGGCGAUAUUUAACCAGGUCAGGUGGUCAGCCAUUGAAGAAGAAAGCCAGAGUUGAGAGCUCUGAACCAAUCGAUUUGACUGAGCAAUCCCCUGAGAAAUCACCAAAUCCUUCACCGGUACAAAUUCCAGUGCCAUCACCGGUUCCCUCGCCAAUUCCCUCACCAGAAGCAACUCCAAUUCCAUCGCCGGUACCAUCUCCGGCACCCCAAGAAAAAGCUCAGGAGCCUCAAGCGCCAAUUCCAGAGCCCCAAAUUGCAGCUGAAGCACCUCUGGAAGAAGUGAUCCGAAGGCCAAUGCUGCCUCAGCCCCCAAUCGAAGGAAACCUGGAUUGCCGAACUCGGGCAUUCCAUUCUGAGCUUUGCUUCGAUUUAACAGCAUUCAGAGUGAGGCCAGAGCUUGCCCAAUCCUUCCAACUGCUGAGGAGAUAUCAUAUGGAGCAUCUGCUAGCUCCAAGGGAUUUUUUCUAUCCCCGGGUAGUCACGGAUUUCUACCAAACCAUGACAACCAAAGAAGUAAGAAAUCCAACUCUGAUUCAUUUCAUAAUUGAUGGAAGGCAUGGUAUUUUGGGAGCAAGACAUAUUGCUGAAGCCCUGCAAAUUCCUUUUGAGCCAACUCAAUUCGACAAUUUUAAAGCUUGGACAAAUCCUACUGAGUUAGAGAUGGUUAGCACACUAACCAGAGGAGCUGCAAAUCGAUCGCAUUUGUUGAGGGGGGAGCUACCUCCAGUUAUGUUUUUGAUUGAUGCCUUUUUGAGGCAUAAUAUCUAUCCCCUGCAGCAUUGGACCCAAAGAAGGGGAAUUCUCCUAGAAGCCUUGUACAAAAUGUCUGAAGGAUUCUUCUUUGGGCCUCAUCAUCUGAUCAUGGCAGCCCUUCUAUACUUUGAGGAGAAGGUUCACAAGAAGAAGCUUCAAAGAGCAGAUUGCAUUCCACUCCUCUUCCCAAGGCUGCUAUGCCAAGUUUUGGAGCAUCUCGGAUACCCCUCUGAGCCUCAGCAGGAAAGAAAGAGAAUAUGCCGUGAGCCUUUUACCCUUGAUAAAUGGAAUAAUAUGACGGCCUACAAAAUUGAUCAGCCUGGGCAGCCUCAGCCAGCAGCAAGGAGAGUCUCCCCAAGACAUAUACCUGAAGGUAUAACACUUGCUACUCCUGCCAUCCCUCGAGCUCCACCAGCUGCACCUGCUCCAUCACAGCCAUCCACAUCAGCUGAGCCGAGGAUGGCCAUCCCUAUAUCCGAAUAUCGAGAGCUGUGCCGUGCAUUGGAGACUCUUACAGCUUCUCAGAGCAAUCUUGCUCAGGAGUUGGCAGCCAUUAAAGCAUGCCAGGAGCAGAUGUUAGCCUCUCAGACUCAACAAGCUGCCAUCCUAAGGCAGCUUCAAGUCCAUUUCGAUCUGCCACAAGCUGUAGAGCCCUCUAUUCCUACUCCACCAGAGCCACACUCUCAGCCUUCAGAGUCUCAUCCUCCAGAACCCGAAGCACCAGCUGAUCCACCUACUGAGGAGGCAGAUCCUUCUGCCUAGCACCAUCACCCCCCUCAUCAGACAUUAUAUAUAUAUUUGCUGUUUAUGUUUUUAUGCAUGUUUGUUUUGUUUUAGUUGAAAAGAAAUCCCAGUAUUUUGGUACUAUAUAUGGGAUUCCUUGUGUUACUUGUCUUUAGUAUUGUAAUCACAUGAACUCAAAGUAAUACAAGUUGACUAUUUCUUGUUAAAAGUUAGCAUUAAAGUUUCCUUAUUUCCUUUUCUCACAUAUUCUAUUCUUUUUGAAACAUGUGGUUUUCCCCAAUCAAUAUUCGAAUUUGAUAUCAGCAUGGAGGUACCACUUCCUCCCUUUUAUUACAGUCACUCAAAUCACAUUGAGGACAAUGCUCAGUUCGGUUGGGGGGUAUGAGGAAGGAAGUAUUCUAAACCUUUUUGGUAUUGCAAUUAUAUUGGUUAAUUAGUUGUAGAUUUUACUUUUUACUAGUGUUACUCUAUUCUCCAUGAAUUUUGAGGAAAAAUUUUCAAAUUAAACCAAGAGAAAUUGAACUGUUGUUUUUCACUUGACUUAGAGUAUGGAUUAUGCUUACUAAAGUGGUUCAAUUGUUGAAACUUCUACUGAAAUUGAAUUGAGUUCUUCCACUUUAAGCUAUCCACACACUGUGCACAUUAGUUUCCGAUUAUAAGAUGAAAAGCUAUUUCCCUCUUGACUUAGUAUAUUUUUGGGACUUGGUAUAUUUGACCUCAUUUGAUAAAAAUUGAAACACCCUGCAAAAGGCCAAUGAGCCUUUGAAAUAAAGAAAGUUGUUUGCUUGCCUUGAAACCCGAGCAAGGUCUGAGGGGUAUAUGGUGAAAAUCUUUAAAGCCUGGUGCCCUAAGCCUUAAUUGGUUGGGAGUCACCGACCUCAAUGCUCGUUACAAGGGUGAAUAGGUAGAGUUAGCAUAUGGUAGAUGCUUGGGUAUUAGAAAUUCAUUCUUAAAAGUCCGGGGAAAAAUCCGAGGAGUUAGUGGUUGAAAGAUCCUUAAAACUUGGUGCCCUAAACCUUAAUUGGUUGGGAGUCAUCGAUGGACCCCCAUUACAUGGACAAGUCAGAAAGAGUACCCCAUAAAGCUACCUUAAAAAAAAAAAAAAAAAAAAAAAAAAAAAAAAAGAUGAAAGUGUGUUCUUUUCUUAUUGAUUUUGGUCAGUUUGCUAAAGUGUUGAAAAGAGAUAGGUUGGGGGGUGAGAUUAGUAGCAUAUUAUUCUCGGAACCUAAGGAACCAAUACACAUAGAUUUUUGUGGAAGAUUGAAGUUUAGUUCUUAGAAAAUGAAAUGAUUUUAAAACUUCAGUUUGCAUAAUGCACUCCCUUGAUUGACAGUGUUUAGCAUAGGUGUUAUGACUCUUGUUGAGAUUUGGGUUUGUAUUUCUUUAAUGAUUCAUGUGAGAAAUAGAUCAUCAUGCCACUUGAGAAUUAUUUUCCUUUUAGCAUGAUGUUGUAAAUUUUAGAUUAGUUUGCUAUUUAUUUUUUAUUUUCUCUCCUAUAUUGCUAAGGGACUAGCAAUAUGUCGGUUGGGGGGAGUGAUUACUACUCAAAAAGUGCUAUUUGAUAGCCUUUAAUUAAUCCUUUUUAACACUUUUGAGUAGUAGUUUAGGCCUUUUAACUCAAUUGGCAUGUUAAGGAUCCUUUAAAGCAAUUUUGAUCACUUUGUGCAAGUUUUGGUGUUUUUGUUAGUAUUUUGAUCACCAAAGCAAGUCAAGAAUGAGGAGAACUAUGAGGAAUCAUGGGCAAAGCUUAGAAUUCAAUUGCCAAGAGUGAAUCCGGAUUGCAAGGAGAAAAAGCAAAGAGAAUCUGUCAUGAAGCCUAUUCUUGAUGACAGUCGUAGCAGCCACUUUUGGAGCACUUUCUGAAGUCCAAAUGAUGCAAGCUAUAUACCAUUUCAAAGCUCAGGAAGUCAACAAUCCAAUGCUUCAAACGGUGCGCGAUUCGGAGUUGAAACGAAGAAGUUGCAGCCAUUACAAGCCAGUCACUCUAAAGUGUUGCGGAAUCAGCCUUUUGUUGCGAGAAUUUCGCAGCACUUUUGUACAGUAAGGUGUUUCUCCUUCUGACGAUGCACGAACCAUGCCGCGAGAGGGAAGCUAGGAACUUCAAGAUGGAAGCCAACUUUGCAGCCUGGUGAAGAUAGCUUGGUCUUGCGAAAUAAUUUCGCAGCCCUCUUGGGUGUCUGCGAAAUUUCGCAGGCACCACUUUUUUCCUGCGAAAUGGCUCCGGAAGCCUCCCGAAGCUUGCUACCGACAUUGGGAGAUAUUUUCCAUUAGAUUUUUGUUGUCUAAAUUCCAAAAUACUCCUUGUAAACCACCAAUUACAUGAUUCCUUAGUUUUUAAGUUAGUAAAAAGACCAAAUAUCUAUGUAAUAAUUAGUUUUAUAUUAGUUUGCUAUAAAUACCUCUCGGGAGCAUGUUCUCAGAGAGGAGUUCCUUCUGUAACCAUUUUGGUAAGCAAGUAAAGUCUUUUCUUUCUACUGCCUUACCUUCUCACUUUGUAUUUUCAUUUUAUUUCUAAGUUAUGAAUUCUCUGAGGAGCUUUCCCCAGAGAAUGAGUAACUAAACCUCCAAUUCCUUGGAGCUAAGGUUGCCGGGGAAGGUUCCAAGUGCAAGAAUGCAAAGCUCUGUGGUUUUAGCUAGUAAUGAAGAGGAAGUGAAAUCCUUUAGUGAUUUCAAUGUUUUUAGUUAACUUAAAACACCUUGGAGUCACCUGGGCCAACACUUGGUAAGGCAAGUGAUUUCCAACCGUGGAAAUGCACUAGUUUACCCCUUGCGAGCCUCUGGUAGGUGACUUCAAGGUAGGAUUUUCUGGAAUUACCAACACUUGGUAAGCUUUUGGACUCCUAGGAGACAUCCAUUAGUUAUCUCUUGCGAGUUUGUGAAGGGGAAUCCAAGGUUAAAGAUCACCUUGAAUGGUAAGUGCUCGUGAGAGGCAUGAACCAUUGCAAGUUGUAUCAGUGAGAGAAUUAAAGUGAAAUCUAAUUGAAGGAGUCUCUGUACAUCACCGGUUAGAGAAUUGACUAUAAGUUGAAUCUCUAAUGCGAGGAAAUGAACCAUCUGACCGGAGCUAUGUCUUUUGCAUGAGGAACCACCCCAGUGAACCUAAAUCUCCAAGGAAUGCUUUUCUUCCUAAAUUAUUCCAAACUUCUGUUAAGUUAGUUAGUUUAAGUCUAAACCUUUACCAAUCAAACUUUGUGUUUUAUUCCUUAAGCUAACCGUGAAAUGAAACAAAACCAAUUCACUUGGAAUUGGUAUCCUUGAUUGCUUGCAAAUCAUUCCCAGUGAACGAUCCUUAGAGCCACUAUACUAUAGUAGCUUUGUAUUUGCUACCCUAGUGUAUGGUGUUAUAGGUAUAAAUUUUGUUGAUCACUUCCUCAAUCAAGGAACACCAGCUGAACACAAAUCAGCUGAGACACCAAUUGGGCAUGAGUCAGUGCGUUAGAGGAUCAAGAAGAAGAAAAAGAAGGAACUGUUGGAAUUAGUAUGAGUGUGAAGAGAAAAGUAUAUAAAUAAGGGGAAGUAAAAGCAAAGUUCAAAAAGCUAUAUUUUUUUAUUGUUGGUGUAUGGUUGCAUGAUUAUCCCUAUAAAUAAUAGGAGUUUUUUGGUAUUCUACUAGUAGUUGAAGCAUAAUUUCAUAAAUUAAUAUUUAGAGCGGGGUGGGGUGAGUUGUGACAAAAUUCAUACCCGUCCCAAACCUUGGUUCAGAUUUUUAAAAUAUUCUCAAACUUAUCAUAUACCCAACUUUUAUAUUUCAUACUUGUCCUAAUAGAGGCACGUUAGGCCGGGUUACUUGAGUAACCUACAUAAUUGUCAUCCCUAGUUGAAAUACACUUUUUGGCAGUGGCCACCAACUGAGCUAGAAGCUUGAUUGAUUGACCUACAAGAUUAGUUCUCAUCAUUUUAAAAAAAGUUCUGGCUUUGGUUGUGAGUGCAAUUGAAUCUAAACUGGCAUUUGCUUAAUGCAUCUACUUCAAUCCUAAACUUCUUACUUCUUAAGCCUCAAUUGUUGUUAGGAUUUUGGAAAACCCAUUUCCUUAAAUUGUAAAUUUAAGAUAAAAUAAAAUAAAAGUGAGACAUUUCUUGAUUGAAUAUUGUUAAAGGUCCCUUGGCAUUAAGACUUGGUUGAAGCCUUGGAAGAUUAGUGGAACUCUCAACAUGUGUUUGAAUCUUGAGGAGAGUGGAUGUAAGCCAAAAUUUUGUCAAACCAUUAUACAAAUUGAGUUUGAAUCCUCAUUUCUUGAUUUCUUAUUUAUUUGCUUUUUCUUAUUAUUACUUGAAUUGUCAUUUGCAUUCAUUAAUGUUAAAAUUGGUUAUAAUUAACCAACACUAAUUCUCUUUCCCCUUCCCUUUCUUGGGUGUAAACCUAGGUUGGAUUAACUAGAUAAAUCUAUUAAGAUGGUAAAAGAAUAAUUAUUCUUAACAUACAUAAGAUCAUCUUCAAUCAAAUGACUCAUUGGCUAAUAUGUUGAAUUUGCUUAUUACUUGCAACUCAAAAUUGUGUUCUAGUUGUGUCAAGUCCCCAGUGUAUGGACAUUAAAUUUGUAGUACGUGAUGAGUAAUUAGAUGGUCCAACUCCAAGAAAGUGAUUGAAAAGUAGUUCAAGAAAGGUGCAAAAGGGAAUUGUUUUGGUAUUUUCGUUUUUAUUCUUGAAGGUGGCAGAGCUAAAAUUUGAGAAAUCAAGCAAAACAUACUGAAAUUACAUUGAAAGAAAGAAGAUGGGAGUUAAUGUCUUGCAGUACAUGAUAAGGACUUCAUGCAUGUAGUGUGACCCAUGUCUUGGACUGAUGCCAACUCACGGUUACACUUAUACCCUUGGUUCUCUCUUUACUACCUUGGCUAACCUAGAUCAGGCUAUGAGAUAGGCUCCUCACCACACCAUUACUUGCCCAUUAAUUAGAGACAUUUUCAAGCAAUGAGGUAACAUGGUGACACCAAGAGGGUCUAUUCCUCGCCCGGAACAAGUCUAGACUUGGUCUCAAAAAAAUGGAGAAAAAUGAGGUGUCGUUAUGUAGAAAUACAACAACCAUGCCUUCCUCAUUACUUAGAUUCAGAAUGUGAAGGUGAAAUUGAGAAACAGAAACUCUUGAAACCAAAAUGAAAAUUGAUACUUUUACGAAGAAUUACAACAACAUUAGAGGAAGACUACAUUCUUCCUCUUUAUUCCUACAUUUCUACACUACUUCUACUCCACUCCAUAUUUCUACAUACAUCUUUAAUCAGUCUUCCCUCCUUUAUAUAGAGCCAUCUUCACACAAAUUUCGCAAGGUAGAAAAGAGGAAUGAAACUUGGAGCAAGGUUCGACUACUGGUUGUAGCUUGUCAAGGCUGGAAGUGAACUUUUCUUGGCUUUCUGGGCAUGGGUAGUAACUUGUGGGUUCCUGUUUGGCAUAAAAAUGGCUAGAACAUGUGGCACUAUCUUGUUGGAUGAUGUGUCAAGCAUGUGGCAGCCAUCUAGUGGCGAUUAUGUCAAUUUUGGGAUGGAGAGUUGGCAUCCAAUUGCAAAGAAAUAUGACGUCUACCAACAUGCAAUGUAAACCUAUGUAGAUCAUAUGAAGAUAGAGAGGAAAAAUAUAGAAAUGGAUAUAUACCUAGAACUAGCUUUUUAUUAAAUGAAACGGAGAGACAACAAUGAAGGAAAAUAAAAUUUUUUGGCUUAUAUCAAAGAGUUCACAUUGUGUUACCCUAGGUUUUCUUAAAACUUACUUUUAUGAUAACAAAAAAGAAAAAACCAUUAUUGUUUAAUCCUUUGUUUUAAACGCAUGUAAGGUGUAAUUAAGUUAGUUCAAUGCAUUAAUUUAAGAAACUUGACCUAUCAAAAGUACAAAAUUAGAUGAAAUCCAUUUCAAUGGUUAAAAUGAUCAAAAUCAAACUUUUUCUAAGUAUUUUUUAAAAGCAUCAAUAGUGAAAGACAAUUUUAUAUUUAGUCGGAGUUUGGACAAAACUGAAAAACACACAAAAUCCAAGCGACCAUCUCUAGCUUGGAUGGUCGCUUGAUCCCACCUAGAGAUGUGCAUGAGUAAAAGGAUUUGAAAAUGGAAAUUGACUAUGUAGUCGAUCAAUUAACUUUGCAACAUCAUAUGCAAUCCUAAUUGCUAGUCAUCUAAUCAAUUAGGUAGUCAAUCAACAGGCCAAAAAUAUGUUUAUAAUGACUAUUUUGUACAAAAACCACCUGUAUAGUUAAAUAUAAUGCAUUUCAUUUAUAAAUCUUCUAAUUCUUGAAUAACGAUCCUAUCAUCCUUUGAAAGUUUUUAUUACACUUUUUUUACUUUUGUUCUAAAACUUACACAUCACCCUUAAUUGUACCAUGAGAACCUAGCUAUUUUUUAUUUUUUUUUUUGUAAUUCAUCAAAGUUAGCUUUUGUAUUCAUUGUUGUAUUAUUUUUAGUAUAACUUAGAAAGCUAGUGUUUUCAAGUGAGUAAAAUUAACUUGUAAAUAUUGUAAAGAUUCAUCGACAUGUAUCUUAAACUAAGUGUACAAGUUAAAACAUUUGCUAGUAGAUUUUCUCAAAAUUUAGAAUAGAGCUUGAGACUAUUGAAAUAGGUGGGGUUGCACCAAACCACAUCACAUCGUUGUUUGCACCUUUUUUCACUCUCUUUUACUUAGUUGCUCUAUAUUUGUUGUCUAGUAAUAUCCUAUAGGCUUGAUGGGUUAGGGAGCAUCCCUUUGUGAAAAAAUUUUAUUCAAUCCUUAGUUGUAUCACGCAUAUAUAAAAUGCCUCAUUGUUUUAAUGGUAUUCAGUCGUGGCAUCACAGAUAUGGGCAUCUAAAUUUUAAAAGUUUGAAACUUUUAUCUAAAGAAAAUAUGGUGCUUUGCCUUUUUGUAAAGCAUGUUGAUGAAAUCCAUGAGAAUUGUGUACUUGGGAAGCAACACCGAGAUGACUUUUUUUUUUUUUUUAUAAUAUUGUUUGUCCAAAUUCCCUACAAAUUAGGCCACCAGAUGUUCAUAAUUCUCCCUUCUUGAAUUUGAAAACUCGGACAAUUGGACAAUGCGACACCUAAGUCCGGUUUCUAAAUGCUAAAGUGAAAGGGUAGGUAUGGACCAUUGAAAUGUGAUCACAACUUUUCUCUGUAGCCAUGUUGUCUCUUUUUUCUUUUGCAUGAUUUUCUUACCUUAACAGAAUCAUAGACUUGUUUAGUCUCUAAAUGGGAUUAAUUUCAUCCAGCUUUAAGCUACUAUAUUAUAUCUAGGUGGAGGACUUUUAAGAGUGCAACCGACAUAGAGCACAUGGAAGUGGGUAUAUGGGACAUGAAAUUUCUUCUUAUAAAGAUUGCAUGAUUUUUAUAUUAGAGUUGUUGAGGCGCUAUGUAUUUAGCUUGUUUUGCAGUUAAAUUAAUUGGAUAAGUAGACAUUGGCGUUUCUAAAUCUACUGUGAAGUGCUUCAUGUACGUGUGAAGUAUUAGAAAUUUCUUUCUUGGCAACUUGUUUUUCUUUGCGGUCUACUGAUAGGUUUGACUAAAAUUAUAUUCCCUGUCAUGCUAAUUAAUUUUCACGUGCAUGCUCAAAAGAAAAGUAUGACCUUAGUGCACCAAAAUCACUUUGAUUAAUUUGUGAUAGGUUUUUGUGCAUCAUGACAUUAGCCUUAUUCAUUUAGAUAAUGUUUAGUUUUUAGAAAGUAUUAAGAAAAGGAAAAUAAAUAUUAAGAAAAAUAUUCUUAUAUUUGAUUGUAUUAUGAAAAAUAUCAUAAAAAAAUCAAAUAUAAUUUAAAUUAAUUAAUAAUUUAUACAUUUUCAAAUUAUUUAAUCUUUAUAUUGAAGAUAUAAUAUAAAUGAAAUGAGUUUUAAGUAUUAUAUAAAAGUGAUUUAUUGAUCUUACAUAUAUAUAUUUCUUUUUUUUUUCCUUCUAUUUUUUCUCUUUAUUUUAUUUUCCUUAUGUUUUCCUCAACAUUUUCCGGAACCAAACAUAGCCUUAGGAAAUCCACAAUUACCUUCAACUGAGUAGAUUCUGUUGUUUUAGCAAUGUUAGGCUGCUAACUUGUGUUGGUACGAACCUAUUAAGCCUAAAGAUGUAAUUAGUUAGGAUAUUCUUUUCCCUCUAGUCUUGUAGCUCCACGUGUACAGUUGGUUAGGACCUCAUUGUAUAUAAUGCUUGCCCUGUUAUUGUAGAAGACAACAAAGAUAAAUAAUAUUAACAUUUUUCCUCUCAUCUCUCUCUGUUUCCCUCUGUUUUCAUCUCCUCUCUCAUCUUGGUAUCAGAGCCUCCAUGGCUUCUUUCAAAGAAACCUCCGAAUCACCUUCUGCUAGCAUUGUUAAUGUGCAAAACCCAUUAUCUCAAUCAAACAACCUUCCUUCACCAGUAGCCACACCCUCUUUUUCUUUCUCGUCUAUGAAUCAACCUCUCACAGUGAAGCUGGAUAAUGGGAACUACCUCAUAUGGAAGAAUUAGCUUCUAAAUGUCAUCAUUGCUAACGGACUCGAUGAUUUCAUUGACGGAUCUCGACCCUGCCCUCCUCGAUUUCUCGAUCUGCAACAACAAACCCUCAAUCCAGAGUACUCAGCUUGGCAGAGAUACAAUCGACUUCUGAUGAGUUGGCUGUACGCAUCCUUGUCCAAAGAUAUAAUGGCUCAGAUUGUUGGGUAUUCAACAGCUAUGGAGAUUUGGAAUGCCCUUAAUCAGAUUUACUCUGCCUCUUCUAUGGCGCGGUUUACUGAGCUUCGCACCAAGCUUCAAACGCUCAAGAAAGAUGGACUCUCAGUUGGUGAAUAUAUUCAAAGGCUCAAAUCCAUUUGCAAUAGUCUUGCAGCAAUAGGAGAACCAGUUUCUGAGAAAGACCAUCUUAUCUAUUUGUUCAAUGGAUUAGAUUGUGAGUAUUAUUCUUUUGUUACCUCCAUUCAAAAUCGAUCUGACCAACCAACUAUUGACAAAAUCCAUAGCCUAUUGCUUAGCUAUGACUUCCGGCUUGAACAACAAAACUCUGUUUCUCUCCAUUCUGCCCAAGUCCAUAUGGCUCAUCUGAACAAGAAACCUUAUAAAUCAACUCCUCAACCUACAUUCAAUCAUAUUCACAUUCAACCUAGAUACUCUUCUCCACCUUUUAAGCCAACCACUAGUCAAUAUCAACCCAACAUUUUGGGCAAACCACAACCACAACCAUGACAGCCUCAACCUCAAUGGAAACCACAUUUUUCAAUCUAAAAUCAAAAGCCUCAGCGCCAAAUUUGUGGUAAAUUUGGACACACUGCUCUUAUUUGCUUCCAUCACACAAAUUUGAACUAUUCACCCCAACCUUCUCCUAAAUCUUUCAAUACUGUUCUCACCACAAAUUCCCAGCUCCCUAAUCCUCCAAAAUUUUCUUACCCUACAAUGGCUCAUCCUGCUGCUACGCAUAACACGGUUCCCGAUACAAAUUGGUACAUGGACUCAGGUGCUACACAUCACUUUACUCUGGACAUCAACGUGCUUGACACUGUGACACCAUUUAGUGGUUCAGAACAGGUGACAGUUGGGAAUGGUAAGCAACUCUGUAUCUCACAUCUUGGUACUGCAAAACUACCAUCUUCGUAUUCUCCUCCUGUUCUACAUCAGGUAUAUCACACUCCAAAAAUUUCAAAUAAUCUUAUUAGUGUUAAAAAAUUGUGUUCUGAUAAUAAAGUUUUUGUUGAAUUUUAUGCCACUCAUUUUCUUGUCAAGGAUCAGGUUUCGAAGAGAGUUCUCCUUUAGGGUCAACUUGAUAAUGGCUUAUACAAAGUUCAGUCGUCAUGCUCUCCUUCUGCUGUUUCCUUUCCUCCUCAAGUUUUCAUAGCCAACAUCAAGUAUCCAAAUCUGUGGCACAAGAGACUAGGCCACCCAGCUUUAUCUGUUGUUAAUCAAAUCUUGGAUUCUUGUAACAUUGCUCGAACACAGAAAAUUUGUUUUAAUUUUUUAAAUUCUUGUCAAUUAGCAAAGAGCCACAGGCUUCCUUUUUCUCUGUCUCCAUCCAUUGCAGAAAAACCUUUUGAGUUAAUUCAUACAGACCUAUGGGGUCUUUCGCUCGUUCGCUCUAUUUCUGGUGCUCUUUAUUUUUUACUUUUCAUUGAUGAUCAUACUCGUUUUACUUGGUUUUAUUUGCUCAAAACAAAAGAUGAAGCAUAUCCUACUUUUCUCAAGUUUCAAGCUCUCAUUGAAAAUCAAUUUAAUACCAAGAUUAAGGCUGUCCAAUCUGAUUGGGGAGGUGAGUUUCGAUCUCUCUCCAUACCGUUUUCAAAUAUGGGCAUUGUCUAUUGUUUAUCGUGUCCAUACACCUCACAACAGAAUGGGCGAGUUGAGCGAAAAAAUCGCCAUGCGAUUGUCCUUUCUUGCUUGCUCUAUGCCCUUAUCUUAUUGGCCUUAUGCCUUUCAAACUGCCACUUACCUUAUUAAUCGUCUCUCUACCCCUGUGCUGCAUCAUCAAUCCUCUUACUUCGCACUCUAUCACAAACUCCCAACUUAUACUCAUCUUAAGGUCUUUGGUUCCUCUUGUUUUCCGUAUUUGCACCCUUAUAAUACCCAUAAACUCCAAUACAGGUCACUAGAGUGUGCUUUUCUUGGUUACAGUUCACACCACAAAGGUUAUCUAUGUCUUGACAUUCAUUCUAGCAGGGUGUAUAUUUCUCGCCAUGUGAUUUUUAAUGAAGAUUCUUUUCCAUUCAAGAAUUUGAAAUCUUCUCUCUCUCAGUCUAUUUCUUCUUCCUCUUCUUUAUAAGUUCCUCUGUUCAUUCUCUUGCCUCCCCUUUCCCCAUCUCCUCUUAUUUCUUCAUCUAUACCUCAUUCUUUUCCCUCUUCUUCUUCUACCUCUAGUACUUGUUCCCCUCUCGUUGCUCCUACCUCUCUUCCUUCCUCUUCACACUCUGUGUCUCCAUCUAUUCCACCUCCUUCUCCACCUUCUCCGAGUGUGGACCUGCUUGCACCUUGUGUGAAUACAAAUUUACAUACUUCUUCUCGCACUCACAAUAUUCAUCCUAUGGUGACUAGAUCUAAGGUUUGUAUCUAUAAACCUAAGUUGUUGUUGAGUGUCUCCAUAGGUUCUCUCACUAAGCCUACUUCCUUUCUUCAAGCUAUUAAAGAUCCUUCAUGGAAGCAAUCCAUGGAAUUCGAGUUUGCUACCCUUCAACACAACAAGACCUGGCAUUUGGUUCCUUCACCUUCCUCAGGCGAAGUAAUCGGUUGUAAAUGGGUCUAUAAGCUAAAGCUUCAGCCUGAUGGCUAAAUUGAGAGAUACAGCCUGCUUAGUAGCUAAGGGUAUCAUCAAAUUGAAGUAUGGACUACUUCGAAACAUUCAGCCUGAUNNNNNNNNNNNNNNNNNNNNNNNNNNNNNNNNNNNNNNNNNNNNNNNNNNNNNNNNNNNNNNNNNNNNNNNNNNNNNNNNNNNNNNNNNNNNNNNNNNNNAGCUUCAGCCUGAUGGCUAAAUUGAGAGAUACAAGGCCUGCUUAGUAGCUAAGGGUUAUCAUCAAAUUGAAGGUAUUGACUACUUCGAAACAUUCAGCCUGAUUGUCAAGCUUUCUACUAUCUGUAUUGUGCUCAGUCUUACUUUUUCCCAGAAUUGGUGUAUUAGACAGCUGGAUGUUCAUAAUGCCUUCUUACAUGGUGACUUAGCUAAAGACGUUUUCAUGGAACAACUGCCUGGAUUUGUUGAUCCUCUCUAUCCUACUCAUGUCUGCAAGUUGGAUAAGUCUCUCUACUGUCUUAAAUAGUCACCUCGGGCUUGGUAUACUAAGCUGAGUACUUCUCGCUACACUUGGGAUUUGUUACUUCUAAGAAUGACUCUUCCUUAUUUAUUUGUCAUUCGUCUCAUGGGUUACUUCUUGUUCUUGUCUAUGUGGAUGAUAUAAUCGUCAUUGGGAGCCACUCUCCUCAGGUUACUCACCUUAUCCAACAGUUGCAUCAUUAGCUUUCUUUAAAGGAUCUUGGUCCUUUACAUUAUUUUCUGGGCUUGGAGGUUCAUCACACCCCUACUGGUAUUCACCUCAGCCAAGCAAAGUAUAUCACUGAUCUCCUUACCCGGGCGGCUAUGUUGGAUGCCAAGCCAUGUCCCACUCCUAUGUCCUCCAACACAUAUCUCUCUUUUCAUGAUGGAGUGGCUCUUGAAAAUGGUUCAGAUUAUCGAAGUUUUGUUGGUGCCCUUUAGUAUUGUACCAUGACACGCCCAGAUAUAGCUUUUGCAAUAAAUAAAGUGUGUCAAUUCAUGCACCAUCCCUCUAAUGUUCACUGGCAGGCUAUAAAACGUAUUCUCCGGUACUUAAAGGGCACAUCUCAUUUUGGUCUCUUCCUACAGCCUUCCUAUGACUUCAACAUCACUUGCUAUACAAAUGCCGACUGGGCUUCCUGUCCUGAUGACAAGUGUAGCACCAGUGGCUACUGCCUCUUUCUUGCCUCUAAUCUGGUUUCUUGGUCAUCUUCCAAACAAAAAGUGGUCUCCCGCUCCAGCGCCGAAUCAGAGUACCGAGGGGUAGCAAAUGGGGCUGCUGAAAUUGCUUGGACUGAAUCUCUUCUUUGUGAACUUUCCAUUACUCCCCCUCCCCUCAUUCUCUGUGACAAUAUCAGUGCCACGUACUUAGCUGCCAAUCCUAUUUUGCAUGCCCGCACCAAACAUGUGGAAAUCGACUAUCACUUUGUCACGGAACGUGUUCUUCAAUGCUCUCUUUUUGUCCAGUUUACACCUUCUGAUGAUCAACUUGCUGAUUGCAUGACCAAGCCUCUCUCCACCCAACGUUUCAUCACUCUACGCUCCAAGCUCACUGUUCUCACUAGACCAAUGAGCUUGAGGGGGGAUGUUAAGCCUAAAGAUGUAAUUAGUUAGGAUAUUCUUUUCCCUCUAGUCUUGUAGCUCCACGUGUACAGUUGGUUAGGACCUCAUUGUAUAUAAUGCCUGCCCUGUUAUUGUAGAAGACAACAGAGAUAAAUAAUAUUAACAUUUUUCCUCUCAUCUCUCUCUCUGUUUCCCUCUGUUUUCAUCUCCUCUCUCAUCUGAACCAAAUGAUCCAUGUUAACCUUGGCUUGGUUUGAUUUGGCUCUAUCUUAGAGAGCUCAAGGAUCACGUCAACUCUGGUUUCUACUAUUCAGGUCCAUUCCCAUAUGAACUGGUUCAAAUUUGAGAAAAUGGUAACAGACCUUUAGUGAUGUUGGUUUGGAGCCAGUUGCCAAACCCGCCCUGAGCUUUACCACUAAUGUCAAGGGAGAAAGCCAUUUGAACAAAAACAAUAGCUUCAAGGGACUGAAUCGUGGAUGAAAUCUGAUCCACAUUUCUUCUCAUUUUGGAAACAAAUGAGAACUUAACUAAGAAGAUUCUACGGCCUCAUAGUGCUUUUCCUGAUCUAAGGUUGGUUCGUUUCCCAAACUGUGAGAUGCACGUGCCAGACUUCAGAACUCUCACGCUCAGGAGUGUAUCCACGUGGUGGACAUAAGAUGGUGGCUUAAGAUCUGGUGUCGGUGGCUUUACUUUACUAGGAGAGUAGUGUGUCUUCAUCUCAUUCACUGCCGGAGGGUGGCGUAAGCAGUGACGCUAAGGUGGGGCACAGUCAAUAUCAUUUGCAUUUGACCAUUAUAGUUUUCUCCCGGCUUUAAAGUAACCUUAUCGUGAUAAAGGAUUACUAGCACUAGUUCAGAUGAUAGUCAUGUUAAAUUCGGACCAUGUUUGUGUCACAUUAUCAGCAACCAUGUGUUUAUGGUUCAUGCUUUCUGCAACUAAAAUUGAUAUAUAACCAGGUGAACUUCAAUCUAAAUUCUGAAAGUACUCAUGUGAUAGAUGGUGCCCGUCUGCAGAGUCCAUCAAUUGAAAAAUGGAGUGAGUGUAUCUAUAAGAGGGAAGGCUUGGAAAAUGUUCAGUUUUCUGGGAAUUCAACAAGGAUCUAAAAUAGAUUGUUUUCUUUGCUGAUUUCAAUGGUUGAAAUUUGAGAAGAUUGUGUCCACAUAACACAACUAUUACUGGUCCUUCUGUUGCAAUUUAUCCUCUAAAGCUCUAGCAUGUCUUCCAAUUCCCACUUCCCUGUUACUCCAGGAAAGCUAUUUCUGUCAUUGUGAAGAAGAAAAGAGAAUGUACAUAUCGAUGCUUUUAAGUGACUGGAGCAUUUAUAUCAGGUGGUCUGCAGCCAUAUAUGCCACUUUGUGAAGAUUGGAACAGUCAAUCACUAGGCUAUAUAUUAGUGUGGCCCAGCCACUUUAAUCAAGGACAAGUCUUCAUACUUAAAGUCAAAUUCUGCCUUUAGUCUCAUUAUAAAUUUCUGUUUAAAUAUUAAGCAAACAUUUGUUUAAUGCGAUUAAGACAGUACUAACUCAAUACCUGUUCUAUUUUUGGAUGCAAAUGCUUGAUGGUUUCAUCAUUGGAUGGGAUAAAGGUGCAUUCAUGAUUAGGAAUACUAGUAGUUAUAUUUUAAUUCUCUUUUUUCUCAAUGAGACUUGUUGGCACAAUUUUGCUGUUGAGAAACCUACCUCUCCAUGGAAAAUAAGUUGUGAUUGAUAGUACUGGAUAUAUUCAAGAAAUCUAAAUAUAGAUAGCACAAAAUAUUAUCGACAUAAAUAGCAUUAACAGCGUACGUAUGUCUCAGUGCUCAUCAGCUAUAAGCAUGGGGCAAACACUUACUAUGAGCAACUUACGUCAAAAUUCCAGAAUAGGACAUAGAAGUGACAGAUAUAGAACAUUGCAUAUGAGUCACAAGAAAGGAAAUUACGGGUGCAUAGCAGCUCUUAUUUUACAUACUACUACUCAUACUGAUCAAAGUCACUCAGUUGGGAUGGGUGGGAGUAGGAGGUUUGUGGGGUGGCUUGUGCGGAGGAGUUGGCAGCUUCUUUCCAGGACCUGGUUGCUUCUCUGCUGGAGUUGAAGGAGGCUUAAUCUUCCGAGGUGGCUUGUAUGAGUCUUCAGCAUUCUCAGCUGGAGGGUGACCAGGGUUGUGACCAUAAUGUGGUGGCUUCUCUCCCUUAGGUGGUUUGCCAACUGGGGUUGGUGGCUUGUAUGAGUCUUCAGCAUUCUCAGCAGGAGGGUGACCAGGGUUGUGACCAUAAUGUGGUGGCUUCUCUCCCUUAGGUGGUUUGCCAACUGGGGUUGGUGGCUUGUGUUCUGGGAGUGGCUUCUCCCCCUUGGGAGGUUUUUCCAAUGGGGUUGGUUUGUGUUCAGGAGGUGGCUUCUCCACUGGAGGCUUGUGUUCAGGAGGUGGCUUCUCCACCGGAGGCUUGUGUUCAGGUGGUGGCUUCUCCACCGGAGGCUUAUGCUCUGGUGGUGGCUUCUCGAAUGGGGGAUGCUUAGGAUAAUCAGCAAGUGAGGGGGCGGUGAGAACCACCAGGCCAAGCAACACCACUAGCAAAUAUGUAGGAGACAUCUUUGGGUUUGGGCUCAGAUGGUGCAAAACUAGGAGAAUUGGCUAGCCUUUUAUAGCGGAUCGUACCCAAUAAUGAAAUGACACGUGUCAUUAUGACCCAUGUGUAAUGGGGUCGAUUUGGGUCCUACAGUGUUGAAAACUUCGACAUCCACUUUUGGCCUUUUGCUUUCUCUACAGCCGCCUUGCUUUUUCCCUCUUUCCUUUUGUUUUCCUCCUGCCCCAUUCUAUCAACUAAACACAAUUAUGUAGUUGUUUAAUUCUUAAAUGAGAUAUUAUCCGUCAAUCGUAUUAUAUUUUAUCAAGAGAGAACGGAGUGCAAUGUGGCUGUAAUUUUAUCGUUUAGUUUUAUCUCUUGGACCACUGCAUUUUUGUUAAGAGGUGCAAUAAUACACGUCUUUAUCUGCCAUUCAAUAUUUACAGUAAAGAGAGGGCACAAAACUCUUCACUUCGCACCAUAAUUAUUUUGUUUUCUGGACACCCCGGGGCCCUUUGGUUGGUUUGGGGGUCAGAAAGUGAACAUCAUAGGGGGUUUUUCCCUUAUGUGCAUUUGUAUCUGAUGGCUUUAACUCGCCUUGUUACUACAAAGAAACUGUCACAGAUAGGAACUUAUUCCAGGCUGAGUAUCUCCUCAUAGACCCUAUAAAAGAAGACAAGUCAUAAUGAACAUCUAACCUUUGUUCAAUUUGAUUCAAUGCCCCCAUUGUGUCCAUCUCACAAAUCUGAAUUAUUAUAUCCAUUGAAUACAUAAAUUAAUGAAGAAAAUAUGAAACCCAAGAUACAUCUCUGCACAACCUCAACCCUGGUUGCUAUGUUUCCCUUCUAUUCACAUGAUUUGAUGCUAAUUGCCAAACUUGCAACAAGCCCUGAGUUUGACACCUAGUAUCGAUGGGCGAAUUUAAAGUCUCCUCCAAACAUAUAUUCCACAGCUUGAAGCUCACAGAAGAUGUUACAGGCAGGGAAAAACCUUCAGAGUUCGCUACCAAAGAUAAUUAUUAAGGAGAUAUCACAAAGAGAAUUCCAAGGGGUCUGAAUCAAAGACAAAUUGGUCGUUCGUGGGGGUUCUUACUUUCUUUUGGGUAUAACUCACUGAGGGCACUGUCUUUGUUAUUUGCAUUUCACAUUUAGAGUUCUGUUCUGGAAACAUAUAAAAGGAGCAUCAUUUUGUUCUUGGGUAACCCAUAGUCGUGAGUGGGUCCAUUUGCAUGCUACUUAGUUGAAAAGUUGGACCAUUUGCUCCGACGCCUACCUCCCGGAUUCCAUGCUCGGAUAAAACAAGAAUAAAAAAAAUAUUUAUAAUUUACAAAUGGGGGAAAGAAAAAAAUGUCAACAACAAACCAGGAAAAAAGAGUAGUAAAAUUCAUGUCACAUGCUAGUGAGAGAAGGGGUUGUUACACUCACUCGAAGUUCUUUCCAAAAUAUCGCAUGGUAUUUUAUUUUAUGUGUCAGCGCAGUUGUGAAUGGAACGUGCAAAAGUCCAAAUUGGCGUUUUUCCUUUUCCCGUGUAGGAUGGCGACCUUUAAUAAAUAUUUAAAACAAAAAACGAAAAAAAGGAGGGAAAAGGGAUCAGAAAAGAUAAAACAAUGUGUACAAGAGCUCAAUUAGUUUGCAAAUUACUGUUUGGAUUUUGAUAGUAUUUUAUUUGUCCAUCUAUAUUUGAUGGAAAAGAGAAUUUAAGAUAUUUCUGAAACAAAAGCAUUAGUGUAAAACUAAAUUAAGGUAUAAUUAAGUUAGUUCAAUGCAUUAAUUUAAGAAACUUGAUCUAUCCAAAGUACAAAAUUAGAUGAAAUCCAUUUCAAUGGUUAAAAUGAUCAAAAUCAAACUUUUUCUAAGUAUUUUUUAAAAGCAUCAAUAUUAAAAGACAAUUUUAUAUUUAGUCGGAGUUUGGACAAAACCAAAAAGCACACAAAAUCCAAGCGACCAUCUCUAGCUUGGAUAGUCACUUGAUCCCACCUAGAGAUGUGCAUGAGUAAAAGGAUUUGAAAAUGGAAAUUGACUAAAUAUUUAGUUGAUCAAUUAAAUUUGCAAUGUCAUAUGCAAUCCUAAUAGCUAGUCAUCUAAUCAAUUAGGUAGUCAAUCAAGUGUUUGUAAUGACUAUUUUGUACAAAAAACCACAUGUAUAGUUAAAUAUAAUGCAUUUCAUUUAUAAAUCUUCUAAUUCUUGAAUAACGAUCCUAUCAUCCUUUGAAAAUUUUUAUUACACCUUUUUUACUUUUGUUCUAAAACUUACAUAUCACCCUUAAUUGUACCAUGAGAACCUAGCUAUUUUUUUUUUUUUUGUAAUUCAUCAAAGUUAGCUUUUGUAUUCAUUGUUGUAUUAUUUUUAGUAUAACUUAGAAAGCUAGUGUUUUCAAGUGAGUAAAAUUAACUUGUAAAUAUUGUAAAGAUUCAUUGAUAUGUAUCUUAAACUAAGUGUACAAAUUAAAACAUUUGCUAGUAGAUUUUCUCAAAAUUUAGAAUAGAGCUUGAGGCUAUUGAAAUAGGUGGGGUUACACCAAACCACAUCACAUCGUUGUUUGCACCUUUUUUCACUCUCUUUUACUUAGUUUCUCUAUAUUUGUUGUCUAGUAAUAUCCUAUAGGCUUGAUGGGUUAGGGAGCAUCCCUUUGUGAAAAAAUUUCAUUCAAUUCUUAGUUGUAUUACGCAUAUAUAAAAUGCCUCAUUGUUUUAAUGGUAUUCAGUCGUGGCAUCACAGAUAUGGGCAUCUAAAUUUUAAAAGUUUGAAACUUUUGUAAAGCAUGUUGAUAAAAUCCAUGAGAGUUGUGUACUUGGGAAGCAACAUCGAGGUGACUUUAUUUUUUUUUCCUUUUAUAAUGCCACACCUAAGUCCGGUUUCUAAAUGCUAAAGUGAAAGGGUAGGUAUGGACCAUUGAAAUGUGAUCACAACUUUUGGCCUUUUCCUUUCUCUGCAGCCAUGUUGUCUCUUUUUUCUUUUGCAUGAUUUUCUUACCAAAACAGAAUCAUAGACUUGUUUAGUCUCUAAGCUACUAUAUUAUAUCUCGGUGGACUUUUAAGAGUGCAACCGACAUAGAGCACAUGCAAGUGGGCAUAUGGGACAUGAAAUUUCUUCUUACAAAGAUUGCAUGAUUUUUAUAUUAGAGUUGUUCACGUGCAAUGUAUUUAGCUUGUUUUGCAGUUAAAUUAAUUGGAUAAGUAAACAUUGGCAUUUCUAAAUCGACUGUGAAGUGCUUCAUGUACGUGUAAAGUAUUAGAAAUUUCUUUCUUGGCAACUUGUUUUUUCCUUGCCAUCUACUGGUAGGUUUGACUAAAAUUAUAUUCCCUGUCAUGCUAAUUAAUUUUCAUGUGCAUGCUCAAAAGAAGAGUAUGACCUUAGUGCACCAAAAUCACUUUGAUUAAUUUGUGAUAGGUUUUUUUGCAUCAUUUAGAUAAUGUUUAGUUCUAAGAAAAAUUUAUAUAAAAAUGGUUUAUUUAUCUUACAUAUAUAUAUAUAUAUAUAUAUUUUUUUUUUUUUCAUUUUUUUUUCUUCUAUUUUAUUUAUUUAUUUUAUUUUCCUUAUGUUUUCCUCACAUUUUCCGGAACUAAACAUAGUCUUACGAAAUCAACAAUUGCCUUCAACUGAGUAGAUUCUGUUGUUUUAGCAAUGUUAGGCUGCUAACUUGUGGUGGUACGAACCAAAUGACCCAUGUUAAUCUUGGCUUGGUUUGAUUUGGCUCUAUCUCAGAGAGCUAAAGGAUCACGUCAACUCUGGUUUCUACUAUUCAGGUCCAUUCCCAGAUGAACUGGUUCAAAUUUGAGAAAAUGGUAACAGACCUUUAGUGAUGUUGGUUUGGAGCCAGUUGCCAAACCCGCCCUGAGCUUUACCACUAAUGUCAAGGGAGAAAGCCAUUUGAACAAAAACAAUAGCUUCAAGAGACUGAAUCGUGGAUGAAAUCUGAUCCACAUUUCUUCUCAUUUUGGGAAAAAAUGAGAACUUAACUACAAAGAUUCUACUGCCUCAUUCAUAGUGCUUUUCCUGAUCCAAGGUUGGUUCGUUUCCCAAAUUGUGAGGUGCACGUGCCACUCUCACGCUCAGGAGUGUAUCCACGUGGUGGACAUCAGAUGGUGGCUUAAUAUCUGGUGUCGGUGGCUUUACUUUACUAGGAGAGUAGUGUGUCUUCAUCUCAUUCACUGCCGGAGGGUGGCGUAAGCAGUGACGCUAAGGUGGGGCACAGUCAAUAUCAUUUGCAUUUGACCAUUAUAGUUUUCUCCCGGCUUGAAAGUAACCUUAUCGUGAUAAAGGAUUACUAGCACUAGUUCAGAUGACCGUCAUGUUAAUUCGGACCAUGUUUGUGUCACAUUAUCAGCAACCAUGUGUUUAUGGUUCAUGCUAUCUGCAACUAAACUUGAUAUAUAACCAGGUGAACUUCAAUCAAAAUUCUGGAAGUACUCUUGUGAUAGAUGGUGCCUGUCUGCAGAGUCCAUCAAUUGAAAAAUGGAGUGAGUGUAUCUAUAAGAGGGAAGGCUUGGCAAAUGUUCAGUUUUCUGGGAAUUCAACAAGGAUCUAAAAUAGAUUGUUUUCUUUGCCGACUUCAAUGGUUGAAAUUUGAGAAGAUUGUGUCCACAUAUCACAACUAUUACUGGUCCUUCUGUUGCAAUUUAUCCUGUAAGGCUCUAACAUGUCUUCCAAUUCCCACUUCCCUGUUACUCCAGGAAAGCUAUUUCUGUCAUUGUGAAGAAGAAAAGAGAAUGUACAUAUCGAUGCUUUUAAGUGACUGGAGCAUUCAUAUCAGGUGGUCUGCAGCCAUAUAUGCCACUUUGUGAAGGUUGGAACAGUCAAUCACUAGGCUAUAUAUUGGUGUGGCCCAGCCACUUCAAUCAAGGACAAGUCUUCAUACUUAAAGUCAAAUUCUGCCUUUAGUCUCAUUAUAAAUUGCUGUUUAAAUAUUAAGCAAACUUUUGUUUAAUGCGAUUAAGACAGUACUAACUCAAUACUUGUUCUAUUUUUGGAUGCAAAUGCUUGAUGGUUUCAUCAUUGGAUGGGAUAAAGGUGCAUUCAUGAUUAUGAAUACUUGUAGUUAUAUUUUCAUUCUCUUUUUUCUCAAUGAGACUUGUUGGCACAAUGUUGCUGUUCAGAAACCUACCUCUCCAUGGAAAAUAAGUUGCGAUUGAUAGUACUGGAUAUGUUCAAGAAAGCUAAAUAUAGAUAGCACAAAAUAUUAUCGAUAUAAAUAGCAUUAACAGCGUACGUAUGUCUCAAUGCUCAUCAGCUAUAAGCAUGGGACAAACACUUACUAUGAGCAACUUACGUCAAAAUUCCAGAAUAGGACAUAGAAGUGACAGAUCUAUAUAUAUAGAACACUGCAUAUGAGUCACAAGAAAGGAAAUUACGGGUGCAUAGCAGCUCUUAUUUUACAUACUACUACUCAUACUGAUCAAAGUCACUCAGUUGGGAUGGGUGGGAGUAGGAGGUUUGUGGGGUGGCUUGUGCGGAGGAGUUGGCAGCUUCUUUCCAGGACCUGGUUGCUUCUCUGCUGGAGUUGAAGGAGGCUUAAUCUUCCGAGGUGGCUUGUAUGAGUCUUCAGCAUUCUCAGCUGGAGGGUGACCAGGGUUGUGACCAUAAUGUGGUGGCUUCUCUCCCUUAGGUGGUUUGCCAACUGGGGUUGGUGGCUUGUAUGAGUCUUCAGCAUUCUCAGCAGGAGGGUGACCAGGGUUGUGACCAUAAUGUGGUGGCUUCUCUCCCUUAGGUGGUUUGCCAACUGGGGUUGGUGGCUUGUGUUCUGGGAGUGGCUUCUCCCCCUUGGGAGGUUUUUCCAAUGGGGUUGGUUUGUGUUCAGGAGGUGGCUUCUCCACUGGAGGCUUGUGUUCAGGAGGUGGCUUCUCCACCGGUGGCUUGUGUUCAGGAGGUGGCUUCUCCACCGGAGGCUUAUGCUCUGGUGGUGGCUUCUCCACCGGAGGCUUAUGCUCUGGUGGUGGCUUCUUGAAUGGGGGAUGCUGAGGGUAAUCAGCAAGUGAGGGGGCGGUGAGAACCACCAGGCCAAGCAACACCACUAGCAAAUAUGUAGGAGACAUCUUUGGGUUUGGGCUCAGAUGGUGCAAAACUAGGAGAAUUGGCUAGCCUUUUAUAGCGGAUCGUACUCAAUAAUGAAAUGACACGUGUCAUUAUGACCCAUGUGUAAUGGGGUCGAUUUGGGUCCUACAGUGUUGAAAACUUCGACAUCCAGUUUUGGCCUUUUGCUUUCUCUACAGCCGCCUUGCUUUUUCCCUCUUUCCUUUUGUUUUCCUCCUGCCCCAUUCUAUCAACUAAACACAAUUAUGUAGUUGUUUAAUUCUUAAAUGAGAUAUUAUCGGUCAAUCGUAUUAUAUUUUAUCAAGAGAGAACGGAGUGCAAUGCAGCUGUAAUUUUAUCGUUUACUUUUAUCUCUUGGACCACUGCAUUUUUGUUAAGAGGUGCAAUAAUACACGUCUUUAUCUGCCAUUCAAUGUUUACAGUAAAGAGAGGGCACAAAACUCUUCACUGCUCUGCAUGUGUCCCAAAAAUGCGAUUGGACAAAUUAUGAUUUGCAUGCUAAAAAGAGGCAAAUGAGGUUAAUUCGCACCAUAAUUAUUUGGUUUUCUGGACACCAUAAAAAGAUGUUAUACAGGCAGGGAAAAACCUUCAGAGUUAGCUACCAAAGAUAAUUAUCAAGCAGAUAUCACCAAGAGAAUUCCAUAGAGUCUGAAUCAAAGACAGAUUGCUCGCUCGUGGGGGUUCUUACUUUCUUUUGGGUAUAACUCACUGAGGUCACUGUCUUUUUUAUUUGCAUUUCACAGUUAGAGUUCUGCUCUGGAAGGUUUGUUCUGGAAACAUAUAAAAGGAGCAUCAUUUUGUUCUUGGGUAACCCAUAGUCGUGAGUGGGUCCAUUUGCAUGCUACUUAGUUGAAAAGUUGGACAAUUUGCUCCGACGCCUACCUCCUGGAUUCCAUGCUCGGUAAAACAAGAAUAAAAAAAAAUAUAUAAUUUACAAAUGGGGGAAAGAAAAAAUGUCGGAAAAAAUAGUAAAAUUCAUGUCACAUGCUAGUGAGAGAAGGGGUUGUUACACUCACUCGAAGUUCUUUUCAAAAUAUCGAAUGGUAUUUUACUUUAUGUGUCAGCGCAGUUGUGAAUGGAACGUGCAAAAGUCCAAAUUGGCGUUUUUAUUUUUCCCAUGUAGGAUGGUGACCUUUAAUAAAUAUUUAAAACAAAAGACGAAAAAAAAAAGGAGGGAAAAGGGAUCACAAAAGAUAAAAUAAUGUUUACAAAAGCUCAAUUAGUUUGCAAAUUACUGUUUGGAUUUUGAUAGUAUUUUAUUUGUCGUUCUAUAUUUGAUGUAAAAGAGAAUUUAAGAUAUUUCCGAAGCAAAAGCAUUAGUUUGCUCUGUGAUGUCCCACAUCGAAUAGGGGAGAAAGUUUCUGGCGCUAUAUAUGUAGAGGCUCCUCUUAACCAAGUAGAUGCGUUUUAAAACCAUGAGGGCCCCCUUAGGUCCAAAGCGGACAAUAUCUACAUGAUUGGGUGUAAGUCAUUACAAAUGGUAUCAGAGCCGAUCCCCGACCCCGGUGUGGGGGUUUGUUUGGCCCUGUAAGGGGUGUUUGUCUGUUUGACCCCACAAUCCCAUGGGACACAACGAGGACGUUGUGUCUGCAUGGGGGGGCGUUUGUGAUGUCCCACAUCGGAUAGGGGAGAAAGUUCCUAGUGCUAUAUAUGUAGAUGUUUCUCUUAACCAAGUAGAUGCAUUUUAAAAUUGUGAGGGCCUCUUUGGGCCCAAAGCGGACAAUAUCUACAUGGUUGAGUGUAAGUCAUUACAUGCUCCAUGUCAAUUUCAGCAUUUCUCAUAUGUUUCACACAUACACAGAAGAGCAUCGUUUUUUAAAGCAUGCAUUUAUGUUGGAUUAAUUUGGAUUUUGUGGGAACUGGGGCAAGGAUCACAUGGAAGAGAGGUUGACUUUUUUCAGUACUUCAAUGGUUGAAAUAUGUGAAGGCUUGAUUGAUACUAAAGCUUGAAAUUGCGACUCUGUCAUUUGUAAAAAAAUAUGACAGCUUCCAUGCUCUCGUUUGGUUGCAUUGUCCGGUCGAGAGGUGCAAAAAGCAUUCUCUCUCUUCUAAUAGUCUUUUCGUUUAAAUCAAGGGAUUUGCCUUCCCGGUCGAGGUCCAAUAGAGGGUAACGGUCACCUACUAAACAUUAAAUGCUCCAACAACUAGUGAACUGAUCGACCCCAGCUCGACUAGUUGAGGUUACUUUUUGGUUUUCUUGUCUCCCGAGGUUAGAAACCUAUAAAUAGAGAGCUUCACUUCAUUUAUGAGUAAGAGAACACCUAAAUUUAUUUGUUUACCUACUUGUUUUUGCCAUAAAAGCUCUCAUUUCUUUUCUUGGUGUAUUAAAUCUCCAUUUGCAUAUCCUUUAGUGCACCUUUGUGAUUCAUUCUAGCCUUGAGUUGUAUUUAAGCCUUUGUUGAGCUAGGUUGAGAGUUUCAUACUUGUUUAUUGAGUGUUAAAGCCUUCAAGUGAGUUAAAACUUGAAGAGAUUGUGUAAGAGCCCAUUGGAGUCGGAAUCCAAGUGUAAAGGUGAUUAAAAGCUUGGUUGAAGCUUCAAGUUAGUGGAACUCUCACUCGGUUAUGAGCUUGAGAAGAGUGGACAUAGACAAGGCAGUGUCGAACCACUAUAAAAUCUGAGUUUGAUUUCUCUAACCUUAUCUCUUUAUAUUUGCUUCUCUUGUGCUUAAAUUUUUUGUGUUUAAAAAGAAUUUUUAAAAACUCAAUUCACCCCCUUCUUGGGAGUUUUUCUCUUUUAAGAUCAGCUUUUAUUUUCUCAAUUGGUAUCAGAACUAUGCCUCUUGUUUAAGACUUAAUCGUCUAAGAGGAAAUGGCUAAUCCAUCAAGUUCAUCUCACAUUGAAAGUUUUGCAACCAAUAGACUUCUUUUUUUUUUUUUGCGGGAACUGAUUAUCCCUAUUGGAAAACUAAAAUGACUUGGUUUUUACAAUCAAUUGAUUUAGAUGUAUGAGAUGCCAUUGAAGAUGACCUAACUUUUCCUUCAAAACUAGUUGAUGGAGUCAUGGUUCCAAAACCUAAGCAAGAAUGGGAUGAGCGUGAUUGAAGAAAUUUUCAAUUAAAUGCUAAAGUCGUUUAUACUUUGCAAUGCUCUAUGGACAGAAAUGAAUAUAAUAGAAUAUGUCAAUGCAAAUCGGUUAAAGAAAUUUGGAGAUUGCUUGAAAUAACUCAUAAAGGAACAAAUCAAGUUAAAGAGUCAAAAAUCAAUUUACUUGUUCAUAGAUAUGAAUUGUUUUUUAUGAAAGAUAAUGAAACUAUUGUUAAGAUGAUCACUAGGUUCACCAACAUUGUUAAUGGUCUUAAAGCCUUGGGAAAGACCUACAAGGAAUCCGAAAACGUGAUGAAGAUCUUGAGGUCACUUCCAUCAAAGUGGCAUACCAAGGUCACCGCAAUUUAAGAAGCAAAAGACUUGAUCAAGCUACCUUUGGAGGAGUUCAUAGGGUCAUUGAUGACAUAUGAAAUCAAUUUGGCAAAGAAGUAACAAAAAGGUGAAGACAAAAAGAAGAAGAACAUAACUCUCAAAGCUACAACUAAGGAAGAAGAAGUUGAAGAAGAAAAACAAAUUGAAGAAGAUGAAGAUUUAGCCCUCAUCACAAGAAAGUUCAACAAAUUCAUGAGGGGUGAAAGGUUUAGAAGAAGAAGGUUCACUUCUAGAAGAGACUUUUCUAAAAAGGAAUCUUCAUCUAAUGGUGACAAAAAGAGAUGGGAAGAGAAAAGAGACUUGGUGUGUUUCAAGUGCAAGAAACCGGGACACAUUAAAUAUGAUUGUCCUCUCUACAAAAGUGAAGUCAAGAGGAAAAAGAAUAAGGCAAUGAUGGCCACUUAGAGUGAAAGUGAAGAUGAAUCAUCCGAAGAAGAAAAUGAGAAAGAAGUGGCAAACAUGUGUUUCAUGGCAAUAGAUGAACUUGAUGAGGUAAAAUCUAACCUUAGUGAUUAAGAUAUACAUGAUGCAUUUGAAGAAUUGUAUGAGGAUUUUUAAAAACUUAGUUUGAAAAAUAUUUCUCUUAAAAAGAAAGUUCAACAACUUGACAAAGAACUUAGAGAAGUAAAAGAAAAAUUUUCAAAUGUUAAAGUUUCUAAAACUCAUCUUGAAAAAGAAAAUGAGAUUCUAAGAAAGAAAAAUGAAUAGUUGAACUCCUCUCUUUCAAUCUUUUCUUCUAGACAAAAAUCUUUUGAAAUGAUUCUAACUAGCUAAAAAUGUGUUUUUGACAAACAAGGGUUAAGAUUUAAAUCUUCAAAAAAUCAAAAGUAUUUUAAAAACUAUUUUGUAAAGGAAUCCACAAGUGCAAGUCCUUCCACUACUUGCAACUUUUGUGGAAGAGAAUGGCACAUUAGUAGUACGCCCUUUAAGAAAUGGUUCUCAAAAGAAUUUAAAUGCAAAAACUAAAAAAGAUUUGGAUUGAGAAAUCCAAGGUCACUAACCCUCAAGGACCCAAAAAGAUAUAGGUACCUAAAUCAACUUGAGUUUUAUGUUGUAAGGUUCAAAGAAUGAUAAGUGGUUCUUAGAUAAUGGUUGCUCAAGACACAUGACCGGAGAUGAAUCCAAGUUUGCUUUUCUUAAAAAGAAAAAUGGAGGAUAUGUUACCUUUGGAGACAAUGCAAAAGAAAGGAUGAUUGGUCAAGGCAACAUUGGUAAUGGCACAUCCUCUCUCAUUGAAAGUGUUUUAUUAGUAGAUGGUUUCAAACAUAACCUUUUAAGCAUUAGUCAAUUUUGCGACAAAGGUUUUUAAGUGAUUUUUUAAGCAUCUCAUUGCAUCAUCAAGGAUAUUCAAAAUGAUAAAACCAUUUUCAUGGGCCAUAGAUGUGAUAAUGUUUAUGCUAUAAAUAUUUCAAAAUAUGAUGGCCAUGAUAGAUGUUUUUCAAGCAUGCAUGAUCAAAGUUGGUUGUGCCAUAGGAGAUUGAGACAUGCUAACAUAGACCUCAUUUCCCAACUCAACAAAGAUGAACUUGUUAGAGGCCUUCCCAAAAUAAUUUUUUAAAAAGAUAAAGUUUGUGAAGCUUGUCAAGUGGGAAAGUAAAUCAAAAACUCUUUUAAAAACAAAAACUUCAUUUCCACAUCUAGGCCACUUGAGUUGUUGCAUAUGGAUUUAUUUGGUCCCUCUAGGACACCAAGUCUUAGAGGAAAUUCUUAUGCAUAUGCUAUUGUGGACGACUUCUCUAGAUACACAUGAGUCUUGUUUUUUAGUCAAAAGAAUAAAGUUUUUUAUGAGUUUUCAAAGUUUUGCAAUAAGAUUCAAAAUGAAAAAGGUUUUUCAAUUACUUAUAUAAGAAGUGAUCAUGGGAGAGAAUUCGAAAAUAUUGAUUUUGAAGAGUAUUGCAAUGAGCAUGGAAUUGACCACAAUUUUUUGGCUCUUAGAACUCCUCAACAAAAUGGGGUAGUUGAAAGGAAAAAUAGAACUCUUCAAAAAAUGACAAGAACCAUACUAAAUGAAAACAACUUACCAAAAUAUUUUUAGGCCAAAACGGUUAACACUUCUUGUUAUGUUUUAAAUAGAGUAUUAUUGAGGCUCAUACUUAAGAAAACUCCCUAUGAGCUUUGGAAAAACAAAAAACCCAACAUUAGUUAUUCCAAAGUCUUUGGAUGCAAUAUUUUAUAAUAAACACCAAAGACAAUCUUGGAAAAUUUGAUGCAAAAUUGGAUGUUGGAAUUUUCCUUGGUUACUCAACUUCAAGUAAAGCUUUUCGAGUUUUAACAAAAGAACCAUGGUUGUAGAGGAGUCCAUCCAUGUUAUUUUUUAUGAAUCUCCAAGAAAGAGAGAGGAUUGAUGAUGAUUUAGGUUUGAAGACCUCUAUAGGAAGAUUGCAAAUCGAAGAUAGAAGACAACAAGAAGAAAAUGGAGAGAAUCCAAAGAAAGAAGGAUCACCAUUGGCACUACCCCCUCAUCAACAAGCGCAAGGUGAAUCAAGUCAAGAGCUUCCUAAAGAAUGGAAGUUUGUCAUCAAUCACCCACAAGAUCAAAUUAUAGGCAAUCCAUCUAGUGGGGUAAGAACUAGAUCCUCUCUUAGAAAUAUUUGCAAUAAUCUAGCUUUUAUCUCUCAAAUUGAGCCUAAAAAUAUAAAUGAUGUUUUAGAUGAUGAAAAUUGGAUAAUUGCAAUGCAAGAAGAGUUAAAUCCAUUUGAAAGAAGUGGAGUAUGGGAAUUAGUACCAAGACCUUCAAAUCAAAGUGUUAUUGGAACUAGAUGGAUCUUUAGAAAUAAAAUGGAUGAAAAUAGCAUAAUUGUUAGAAAUAAAGCAAGAUUGGUAGCCCAAGGUUUUAAUCAAGAAGAAAUGAUAGAUUAUGAAGAAACCUUUGCCCCCGUAGCUAGGUUGGAAGCCAUUAGGAUGCUACUUGCCUUUGCAUGUUUUAAAGACUUUGUUUUAUAUCAAAUGGAUGUGAAAAGUGCUUUUUUAAAUGGUUUUAUAAAUGAAGAAGUAUAUGUUGAACAACCACCCGGUUUUCAAAGUUUCAACUUUCCUAACCAUGUUUUUAAACUUAAAAAGACACUUUAUGGUUUGAAACAAGCACCUAGAUCAUGGUAUGAAAAAUUGAGUAAAUUUCUUUUGAAAAAAAUGUUUUAAAAUGGGAAAAAUUGACACAACUCUUUUUAUAAAAACCAAAGAAAAUGAUAUGCUCUUAGUUCAAAUAUAUAUUGAUGAUAUCAUUUUUGGUGCUACUAAUGUCUCUCUUUAUGAAGAAUUUUCUAAGUGCAUGCAUAGUGAGUUUGAAAUGAGCAUGAUAGGAGAACUCAACUUCUUCCUUGGACUUCAAAUCAAGCAACUAAAGGAAUGAACCUUCAUCAAUCAAGCAAAGUAUAUAAGAGAUCUUCUCAAAAGGUUCAACAUGGAAGAAGCCAAAACAAUGAAGACUCUAAUGAGCUCAUCCAUUAAGCUUGAUAAGGAUGAGAAAGGUAAAUCCAUUGACUCUAUUAUGUAUAGAGGCAUGAUAGGUUCUUUGCUCUAUUUGACCACUAGUAGACCUUACAUUAUGUAUAGUGUGUGUUUGUGUACUAGAUUUCAAUCUUGUCUUAAAAAAUCUCACUUAAGUGUCGUGAAAAGAAUCCUCAAAUAUUUGAAAGGGACAAUGGACAUAGGCUUAUGGUAUCCUAAGAGUGAUAACUUUGAAUUAAUUGGUUUUUUGGAUGCUGAUUUUGUCAGUUGUAGGGUUGAAAAAUAAAACACUAGUGGCACUUUUCAUUUCUUAAGACACUUACUUGUCUCAUGGCAUAAUAAGAAGCAAAAUUUGGUAGCUUUGUCAACAGCAGAAGCUAAAUACAUAGCAACUGGUUUAUGUUGUGCACAAAUCCUUUGGAUGAAAUAAACACUUAGUGAUUUUGAUUUAUCUUUUGAGCAUAUUCCUAUUAAAUGUGAUAAUAGUAGUGCCAUAAGUAUAUCAAAAAAUCUCGUGCAACACUCUAGGACUAAGCAUAUAGAGAUUAGACAUAAUUUUCUUAGAUAUCAUACACAAAAGGAUGAUAUAACACUUGAAUUUGUAAGCAUAAAAGACCAACUUGCCGAUAUCUUUACAAAACCUCUAAGAACAUUUUGUUGAUAUUAGAGGACAAUUAGGAGUGAUUUCUUUAUGAUCUAAUGUGAUGAAUUCUUGAUGAAUAUACUUUUUGAUUGCAUGAAUUUCAUGUCAUAUAUGCAUCAUAUAGAAAUAUACUUAGAUAAUGGUCAAAUUUCGACCAAAAAUCAAAAUUCCCAUGGCAUUAGGCAUAAAAAUUUUGGAAUUUCAACUGAAAAUGGUAGGAGGAGGAUCACAAAAUGAGAAAGUAUGCAAAAAUUGAAAAAUCAAAACGUUGACCAAGCGGUCAAUCGGACUAGACCGAUCGACUAGUUUGUCGAGAUUUAGGAUUUUUAAGAGACUCCAACGCUUCAAUUUUUGCACCGUUCUCCUCUAUUUCUUCACGGUUUCUCUGAUUUUGUCUUUUAGAGACUAAUUUGAGUGCGUUUUGGAUCAAUUGAAGCAUUUUGGAUUGGAUUUUAGGAAGAUUGAAAGUUAAGGUUUCGGAUUUGGGUCGCCUUCUCUUCCUCUCGCGUGUCACAAUCAGCUUUAGCAUUGUUCUCUUUCCAUUUUCACACACCUAGGGUUUCAGUUGUGAGCAUCUCUCUCUCUUUACCAACCACUACUCCCUUGCUUCUUCCAUAUGGCUCCUAGGCGAGAGUCCGCUACUUCUAGGGCACAAGGCAAGCACCCAACUGAGUCGUCUCAGUCAAAGGCACGUCGAAAAGUGAGAUUUGACAUUGCCUUGUUCAGUUCCAUGGAGGACUACCAACUAUACAAGCAACACUUUGCUUAGAGACGAGUAGUUCCCAAGAGAAAUAUUAAUUUUCCUCAACUUCAGCAUUUCGAAUUUAAGGGUCUAUUUACUAGGAUGGUUGGUUGUCUAUUGUCACAAUUUCGGAGCCGGUUUUCCUGACCUUAGUGCGAGUUUUUUACUCGAGGGCGACUUAUGGCAUGGGUGGCAUGAUCAUUUCUACUGUUGGAGGAGUUGAGAUCUGUCUGGACCCAGAGAGCAUCUGCCAUAUUUUCGAUAUUGCUCUGGUUGGACUCAAAGUAUACAAGUCCAAAAUGUGGCCCAUUGUGCCAGGAUUUGAGCUUAGAGAGGUCAUUCAGAGGAUUUGUGAACUUCCAGACGCCCAGGAGAUGGGCAAACCAUUGCCACACAGUUUGACGGUCAUCAACAGGGUGCUACACCAUAUAUUGUGCUCUAUCUUUCUACCACGAAGUGGACAUUGAGAUGAGGUCUCUUAUUAUGAGGCAUUCCUUAUUGACUCCAUUCUAACGGAGAGACGAAUUCAUCUACUAUGUCAUCAUUCACUAAGCCUCCUCACAGUGACAUACCACCUCAUCAGGCACCUCUUGCUCCUGACCAUGCUCCAUUGAUGGAUUUAUUUACUCAUAUUAGCUCUCUAGGCACUCGCAUGAAGGAGUUUGUUGUAGUUAGUGAUACAUGGUUCUACUCCAUAGAGGAUCGCAUGGAUCAGUAUCAGACUGGCUUCACGUCACAGUUUGAGUAUCUCCAAUAGAGGAUUGAGCAUAUUGAGGAUCACUUGAGCAUGAGAAGAUGAUGGCUUUUCUAUGCUCUGUGUUUCCACCUCCACCUCGUCAACCUUGAUUUCUUAGAGACCCAUUGUUUUCAUUUUGUAAUGUUGCCAAAAGGGGGAGAUAUUUAGGAUCUAGGACUCUAUAGGAGACUUACAUGCAUAUCAUUUUCAUAUCAUUGUUUGGAUCGUACAUAUUGGAUAGUGAUACUUUUUACUUAUAUAUGAUAUGCCUAUAUGUUUCAUGUCUUACAUUGUUUCUUAUUGCAAAUUAUCUCUAACAUGUCUUGAUUAUCUUUUUUUUAACUUCAUAAAUUUUGAUUGUUAACCCAUGAUUGGUUUGAGGGGAAGAUUCUUCUUCUCCUAGAUAACCAAGGUUUGUCAUCAUAAAAAAAUUGGAGAUUGUUAGCCCAAGGGUUCUCCUAAUCAUGUUUUGAUGAUAACAAACCAUGCUUAAGUUACUAAUUGGUUUGAAUUAUAAAGAAUUUCAAGUGUUAAUUUGAAAAUUCAUCAAAGAACCUAAUGGAUGCAAGAUCAAGAUUUUUGGAAGACCUUUAAUCAUAAGAAACAUAUGUAAGAUGAAUGCAUGGGUGCACUUAAGAUUUGCAUAUCAUUUCAUGCAUAUUUGGAAAACACGGUUUAUGCUUUAAAGUUACAUUUCCAUCAAAAUUUGAGAUCCAUCAAAUGAACCUUAGGAAAAAUGUUUUAAAAUUGGCAUAUAAUUUUACCUAAAGACCUUGCCUAAGUGUUAGAAGCAAAAGGACAAAAAAAAUAUAGGUUUUCUGGUCAAAAAUGGUGAACCAGUCAAGGCAUUGUCUAAAUCAGCUCAAUCGGCCAAGGUACCGGUCGAUCGGUUUCCCUUUCCCUGUCGAGAUCUAGUCAAGAGGUACAAAAAUCACAAUCUCUGUCUCUUUCUCUCUUUGUCUAUCUUCCAGUAGUCUUUCCUUCCCGGUCGAGGGAUUUGCCUUCCCGAUUGAGGUCCGAUUGAGAGUAAUAGUCACUUGCCAAAUAUUAAAUGCUCCAACAGUUAGUGAACUGGUCGACCCCCACCUUGCCCAGUUGAGGUUACUUUUUGGUUUUCUUGGCUCCCGAUGUUAGAAACCUAUAAAUAGAGAGUUCCACUUCAUUUAUGAGCAAGAGAACACUUGCAUUUAUUUGUUUACCUACUUGUUCUUGCCUUAAAAGCUCUCAUUUCUUUUCUUGGUGCAUUAAAUCUCCAUUUUGAUAUCCUUUAGUGCACCUUUGUGAUUCAUCUUAGCCUUGAGUUGUAUUUGAGCCCUUUUUUUAGCUAGGUUGAGAGUUUCAUACUUGUUAAUUGAGUGUUAAAGCCUUCAAGUGAGUUGAAACUUGUAGAGAUUAUGUGAGAGUCGAUUGGAGCCGAAAUCCAAGUGUAAAGGUGAUUAGAAGCUUGGUUGAAGCUUCAAGUUAGUGGAAUCCUCACUCAAUUAGGAGCUUGAGGAGAGUGGACGUAGCCAAGGAAGUGUCGAACCACUAUAAAAUUUGAGUUUGAUUUCUCUAACAUUGUCUCUUUAUAUUUGUUUAUCUUGUGCUUAAAUUUAUUGUGUUUAAAAAGAAUUUUUAAAUACCCAAUUCACCCCCCUCUUGGGUGUUUUUCUCUUUUAAAAUUAGCCUUUAUUUUCUCACAAACUAUUGUAGUAUAGUGGUUUUUAGGUGUCAUCCAUUAGGAUGAAUUGUUCUCGGUAAUUAAGGCGUGAAUGAGAGGAGAAUUAAUGAUUGUGAUUAAGUAAAAUUGAUUUGAAAAUUCAUGGUGAAAAAUCAAUUUAACAAUGGUUUCUAAUUGAGAAAAACAAUGAAAUGUGAAAUAAAAUAAAAUUAAUAGGAAAUGAAAUUCUCGAAGUUAGAAUUUUCUAAAAAACAAAUUCCAUGGUGAAUGGAUGUUGAGAUCUAAUUUUCAUCAAGUUAGAUUGAAAACCGAAAUUUUCAUAUAAACUGAUUUUUUAUUUAGUUUUAGGUCUAGAUUUAAUUUCCCUUAAAAUUAGGUUAUUUAAUCCAAGAAAUCAAUUCAAAUCAUAUAUUCAAUUCAUCUUAAAUUAUCUUCCAAUUAUUCACACAAUGCAACUAUUCAAUCUCAUCAAAUCUAGCUUUUAAGAAUUUAAUGAAUCUACCUAGUUUGCAUUGUAAUAGUCAUCCAUGACAAUUUGAAGAGAAAAAUAAUUCAAUUAAUCAAUCACUUGGAUCAAAUUACCUUUGCAAUUAAAGUUCAUUUCUCUAAUUCACCACAGAUUUUGUCUCUAGAUCCUCCUUUCUCAAAGAAAAAUGAGAUUUAGCCACACAUGAUUGGAGAUUUGGUCUCAUAAGGCAUGUUUAGCUAGUGAUAAAAUGAGAGAAAAUAAAGAAAAAUAGAGAAUUCGAUUAAGAAAGAAAAUCUAAAAAAUUCUACAAUUAGAAAUGUCCAAAAAGCUUUUUCAUGAGAAAAUCAAGUUUCUAUUUAUAGGCCAAGGUCAAGUGGACACUUGACAUCAUCUAAGAGGUCUUCCGGAAGCUUCUUCAUCAAGAAAUCUGGAGUUUAAUAAUAAAAUGGUCAUUUCACAAGAGCUCAAACAAUUUCGCAUGAUUAUGUGAAAUAAAAAAUGCAACAACAGCAAUUUACAUCUUCUUGGAGCAUUUCGCAUGACUGUGUGAAAUUUUCACAUGAUCAUGUGGAAUCGACUUGACAACUCUCAUUUAGCCUACAACAUAAUUCCACCUUUUGGUCCAUUUUUCAUAGUCAUGCGAAAUGGAAAUAUUUGAUUUUUAAGUUUUCUUUUGUCAUUUCUUUCAUUUCCUUCUCUUGAUUCCACUUCAACUACCUCCGAAUCCUGGUCCAAACCAAUUGCAUUACUUCUUUCAUUAUGCAUUUGGAUCAUCAUCAACAUUAUUUGUUCUCUUCAAUUUGAUUCAUCUCUUUUGUCACCAAUUUAUCAAAAUCAUACCUUGAAAUGACUCCAAAACUUCAUAAAACUUGUUAGUAACUCUUGCAAGGGCAACAACAUAUUAAUUAAGUGUUUUAGGCAUAGUUACUACUCAAAAGAUGCGAAACUCAUGAUAAUUAUUAUAUAAAAUAUGCUCUUUUUGAGUAGUAAUCAACUUUCUUGCAUAAGCAGACCUUUUAGGGUGGAGUACUAAAGACCAAUAUGCUUGUCCUUGUUGUAAUAAAGAAACUUGCUCUUAUUGAUUGCACCAUGGGAGAAAAUUUUGCUACAUGAGUUAUCAUCAAUUUCUUCCCACCAAUCAUAGAUUUAGACGUGACAAGAGGCCUCUUAAUGGCAAGGAGGAACUGACACUCACACUUAUACAAUUAUCGGGCAUUGAUGUGUUGCAACAAUUAGAAUAACUUACACCAAUUAUGUUGGGGAAGUCACAAAAGGCAAACAUGAAAACUAAAAGGAAAAAAGAAAAAUGUUACAUAUCACCACAACUGGAAAGAAAAAAGUAUUUACUUUCAUUUGCCAUAUUGGAAAGCACUUAUUUUACAUCAUAAUAAUUUAGACAUAAUGCAUAUUGAGAAAAAUGUGUGACAAUAUAAUUGAGACAUUGUUCAGUAUUGACGAAGAAACAAGGACAACCUAAAUAGUCAUCUCGAUUUACAAGCUCUAACUAUUAGAAAUGAGAUUCACCCAAUAGAAAGCAGGACCAAAUUUAUUUUGCUUGCAACAUGCUACUCACUCACCCCAAAUGAGAUUAAGGAAUUUUGCAAGUUUUUGAAAUCAAUAAAGGUCCCCAAUGGCUAUUCUUUCAAUAUCUCUCGUUAUGUGCAACUCAAUGAAAGGAAGAUAUAUGAGCUCAAAUUGUAUGAUUGUCAUGUCCUAAUGCAACAACUUCUCUCACUUGUAGUUCGUGGAGUUCUACAUAAGAAUGUUUGUGGAGUUAUCAUAGAAUUGCGUAAUUUUUUCAAGCAAUUGUGCUCAAAGGUGUUAGAAACAAAUCACUUACACCAACUUGAGAACAAUAUUAUUGUCAUACUAUGUAAAAUGGAGCAAAUAUUUCUUCCAUCAUUCUUUGAUAUUAUGGUGCAUUUACUUGUGCAUCUAGUAAGGCAAAGGUUGCAAGACUUGUGCAAUAUUGUUGGAUGUACCUAAUUGAACGAUAUUGUUAUAAUUUCAUAUGAAUCAUUUAAUUUUAUUUUAUAUUAUGUUCAGUUCAUUAACAUGUACAUUGGUCUACAUAUGGAUGAUGAUAGGUACCUAAGCACUUUAAAGUCAUAUGUGCGUAAUAGAACUUUUCUAGAAGGUUCUAUUGUAGAAAGGUACCUUGCAAAAGAAUGUACAACAUUUUAUUCUAGGUACUUGAAUGAUGUGGAAAUAAAGUAUAAUCACAAUGAUAGAAACUUUGUUGGUUUCAACACUAGAGGAGAUGAAAGGGGUUAUCUUUAAACAUAUUGGACAUGCAUUGGGAAAGCCCAUAUUUCAUUAACUUAGUUCAAAAGAGUGGUCACAAGCACAUUUAUAUGUGUUGACAAAUUGCGAAGAUGUCAUACCAUUCAUUGAGUAAAAAAUUUAUUUGAAUUUUAAUUAAAGCUCUAGUUUAUAUCCUUAAUCAAUGUUUUUUAAAUUCACAAGGAGCACAAGCAAACCAUCAAGGCUAGACCACAUAUACGUGUUUGAGACGUAGAUUUAAUUCAUAACAAGGAAUUUAUCAAGUGGUUUGAAAGACAUGUAAGUAUAUUCCUUAUUAUAAGGGAUUUAUUUCACAUUAUGUUUAUAUUGAAUCCAAACCUAUUAUUGAAUUGUAGGUUGAACAAUUACAUAAUGAAGGUCAUAUAUCUGAACACCUUCUCACAUUAUCAUGUGUUCCAAAUUCAUUAGUUACAUGCUUCAAAUGAUAUAUUGUCAAUGGAUUUAGAUCCCACAUUAAAGAACGUGAUAAAAAAGUUUUUAAAAAAAGACUCAGAAUAAUGGAAUUGUUGUAGUUGCAAAAACGUCAAGCUUUACAAGUGCAUGUGAUAUGAGUCCAAUUAUUAGUGAUGCUCUCUACUAUGGUGUUCUAACUAAAGUUGUUGAGUUACAUUAUCUUGGUGAAAAUAAGGUUGUUUUAUUCGAGUUUGAUUGGUGGGAUGUUACAAAUAUUGGAAAAUUGAUAAAAGAUGAUGAGUACAAUUACACAUUUGUUAACUUUGCAUGAAUUCUAACCACGAACGAACGAUUUGUACUUGCAUCUCCAGCAAAGUAAGUGUUCUAUGUGAAGAAUGCGAAUGAAUCAGAUUGGCAUACUAUCAUGGAGAUGCAACCUCAAGACCUCUAUAAGAUGAACGGGAUAGGAUCCAAUGGUGAUUUUGAACCAUUUCAACAAAGUGAACUACAUGAUCACUAAUAUAUCUCAGAUUUAGUUGAUGAAGAUAUAAUCAAGUGGAACAAAAGUGAUGUUUUAGGACUAAUCAUCCUAAAAAAUAUUGUAGUUUCUUAAAAAAAAAAUGAAAAUGAAGAAGAUAAUUGAACCUUUGUCAUACUUUAAAAAGCAACUAUGCAUUGUUCAUUUUGUAUGUUUUGGUUUUCUUCAUUUAAUUUCCUGAUUUUUGUGAUUCAAUGUCAUAUUAUUGAUCUUGAAAUAUUUUUCUAAUUUUUCAUUCUACGAUGGUUUCAACAAGGAUGACAUCAAGUCAAAAAAGGAAAUGUGGUCCCACACACAAUAUUGCAUUACAGGGAUUAAGGUCAGGGAAGAAGGUAAAAGUUGCAUUUAAUGAGUACAAUCAAUUGGUUAAACAGAAAAAUGGAAAACACUUAUCGAGCUACAUAGGGACACUUGUAUCUAACCAACACAAUGUACCUCUCCAAGCUAGUGAUUGGAAAAAUGUUCCAAAUGAUGCAAAAGAGAAAGUAUGGCCUUUGUUUUGGUAUGUUGUAUUUCUCACUAUAUGAUGUCAUUUCACUGUUAUUCUAUUUUGUGACUAACGUUUGAAUCAUAUGUAAGAAAAAUUUGAAGUAGAUAAAGACUGAAAAGAUUACAUGUUGGGUAUAGCCUCAAAUAAAUAUAGAAGCUAUAAAAAUAUGAUGAAUGCAAAAUACUAUGACCCUUGGCAUAAGGAUGCAUGAGGAGAGGUUAAUACAUAAAUCACCAUUUGUCUCUGAUGUUGAUUGGAAGUGGCUUGUCUCUGAUGCAUAAACCAAAUCCCCCACUGAAUGUUUGAUAUUUGAUAGCAGGAAAAACACACCCGCAGCUAUACACCUCCAUCAUUCAGAUAAUUAUAGUGGGGGAGAUGAUUCAUGGUUGCCCUUAUACCCUUUAUUUGCACCAUCUAUUGAGAUUCUUUAUCAUGGCCAGGUUUUACUGCAGCAAUAAGAUAUGGUGGCAACAAUUUUAUCUAUAGGUGCGGUUCCAGACCGCCUCCAUAGGUGCGGUUCCUGACUGCCUCCAUAGGUGCCUCUUCUUGUAAUGUUUGUUCUGGGAAUUACACUUGAAAGCCUUAUCGUGAUAAGGGAUUACAAACACUAGUUCAGAGGACAGCCAUGUUAAACUUCCACUAUGUUUGUGUCACAUUAUCAGCAGCCUAGUGUUUAUUGGUCAUGCUAUCUGCAACUAAUAUAACCCGGUGAACUUCAAUCUAAAUUCUGAAAGUACUCAUGUGACAGAUGGUGCCUUUCAGCAGAUAUCAUCAAUUUAAAAGUAGUGUGUGUGCCUAUAGGUGGGAAGGCCUUGGCAAAUGUUCAGUAUUCCGGUAAUUCAAGAAGGAUAUAUCUAAAAUAGAUUUUCUUCUUGCCCAUUUCAAUAGUUAAAAUUUGAGAAGAUUGUGUCCACAUCACACAAAUAUUAUUGGUCCUUCUGUUGCAAUUUACCUCUGAACAUGUCUUCCAAUUCCCACGGUCCUGUUACUCCAGGAAAACUAUUUCGGUCAUAUUGAAAAAAAAAAUAUUAAAGAAGGUACACAUGCUUUUAAGUGGACUGGGGCAUUCAUAUCAGGUGGUCUGUAUCCACAUAUGCCACUUCGUGAAAGGUGGAACAGCCUAAUCACUAGGCUAUUUAGUGUGGCCCAGCCACGUUAAUCAAGCACAAGUCUUCAUACUUAAAGUCAAAUGGUGUCUUUAGUCUCAUUACACAUCGCUAUUUGAAGAUUAACUCAUCACUAGUGUAAUGCGAUUAAGACAGUCCUAACUCAAUAUUUGUUCUAGUUUUGGAUGCAAAUGCUUGCUGGUUUCAUCAUUGGAUGGGAUAAAGGUGCAAUCAGGACUAUGAAUACGUGCAGUAAUACUUCAUUCUCUUUUUUCUCAAUGAGACUUCUUGGCACAAUUUUGCUGCUCAGCAACCUACCUUUCCAUGGAAAAUCAGUUGUGACUGAUAGUAAUGGAUAUAUUCUAGAAAGCUAAACAUAGAUAGCAUUCAAUAUUAUCGAUAUAACAUUAACAGCGUAUGUCUCAAUGCUCAUCAGCUACAAGCAAUGGACAAACACUUUGAGUAACUCACAGCAGUCAAAAUUCCUAAACAGGACAGACGUGACAGAUCUAUAUAUAGAACACUGCAUAUGAGUCACAGGAAAAGAUAAUACGGGUACAUAGAAGCUCUUAUUUUACAUAUUACUCAUACUGAUCAAAGUCGCUCAGUUGGGAUGGAUGGGAGAAGGAGGUUUGAGGGGUGGCUUGUGCGGGGAAGUUGGCAGCUUCUUUCCGGGAGCUGGUUGCUUCUUUGCUGGAGUUGAAGGAGGCUUAAUCUUCCGAGGUGGCUUGUAUGAGUCUUCAGCAUUCUCAGCAGGAGGGUGACCAGGGUUGUGACCAUAAUGUGGUGGCUUCUCUCCCUUAGGUGGUUUGCCAACUGGGGUUGGUGGCUUGUUUUCUGGGAGUGGCUUCUCUCCCUUGGGUGGUUUGCCAACUGGGGUUGGUGGCUUGUGUUCUGGGAGUGGCUUCUCCCCCUUGGGAGGUUUUUCGAAUGGGGUGGGUUUGUGUCCUGGUGGUGGCUUCUCUCCCUUGGGAGGUUUACCAAUUGGGGUCGGUGGCUUGUGUUCUGGGAGGGGCUUCUCUCCCUGGGGAGGUUUAGUGGGUGGCUUGUGUUCUGGAGGUGGCUUCUCCACCGGAGGCUUAUGCUCUGGUGGUGGCUUCUCGAAGGGGGGAUGCUCAGGGUAAUCACCAAGUGAGGGGGUGGUGAGAACCACCAUGCCAAGCAACAACACUAGCAAGUAUGUAGUAGACAUCUUUGGGUUUGGACUCAGACAGUGCAAAACUACGAGAAAUCGCUAGCCCUUUAUAGCGGCUCGGACCUAAUACUGACAUAAUAUAAAAUAAAUAUUAUAUUUUAUCAAGAGAGAACAGAGUGUAAUUUUAUCAUUAAUACCGAUCGAGGCCAAAGAAAGAAGACCCAUAAUCCAUUUCCCACAAGCAUACACAAUGCAGCUGUAAUUUUAUCAUUUACUUUUAUCCCUUGGACCACUGCAUUUUUGUUGAGAGACACAAUAACACAUUUUUAUCUGUCAUUCAACAUUUACAGUAAAGAGAGGGCACAAAACGCAAUUAGAUAAAUUAUGUUUUGCCUGCUAAAAAGAGGCAAAUAACUUUAUUUGCAACAUAAUUAUUUUGGUUUCUAGUGACCCCGGGGCCUUUCGGUUGGUUUGGGAUCGGAAAAUGAACAUCAUAGGGGGGGUUGUGCCCUUAUGGGCAUAUAUAUCUGAUAGCUUCAACUGGCCUUGUUCCUAGAAAGAAAUUGCCAAAGAUAUAAACUUAUUCCAGGCUGAAAGUAGAUGAGAGUCAUAAUGAACAUCAACCUUUGUUCAGUUUGAUUCAAUGCCCCCAUAGUGUUCAUUUCACAGAUCUGAAUGAUUAUAUCCGUUGAAUACAUAAAUUAAUGAAGACAAAUAUGAAACCCAAGAUACAUCUCUGCAUAACAACCCCAACCCUGGUUGCUAUGUUUCCCUUCUUCUAUUCACAUGAGGAUACUGGUUAUAAUUGUCAAACUUGCAACAAGCCCUUUGACACCUAACGUCAAUGGACGAAUUAAAAGUCUCCUUCAAACGUCUAUUUCACAGCAUGAAGCUUAUAAAGGAUGCUGACAACCUUCAGAGUUAGCGACAAAAGAUAAUUAUCAAGGAGAGAUAGUUCCAUGAGAAUUCCAAGGAGUCUGAAUCAAAGACAAAUUGCUCACUCAAGGGUUCUUAUUUUCUUUUAGGUACAAAUCUCUUGAGUGUUGUUAAAGAAACACGUCACUGUCAUUUUGAUUUGCAUUUAACAUUUCACUUUUGUUCUGGAAGGUUUGUUCCGGAAACAUAUCAAAUGAGCAUCAUUUUCUUCUUCGGUGACACAUGGUCGCGAGUACGUGGGUCCAUUUUCAUGCCACUUAGUUGAAAAGUUGGAAAGAAAAAACAUGCCAACAAGAAGAUAGUGAGAGAAGGGGCACUUCAAGCCUUUAACAUGAACAAACAGUAAAUAAAAGAUGUUUCUCCACUCAUAAAAGUGUGUUAGAUAGCAAUAUAACGAAUCACAUCCAAAAUCUUUACUAGGCUCAAACAUAAAGAAGACUCAUUUUUAAGAAAAGAUAAAAAUGGCAUUGUCUGAUAGUAUCCAAUACACGAGAUGGCACUUAAUUUGUACAAGAUCUGUCAAUGCUGACGCACAUUUUCUGAUUAAAAAAAAACUGAUCAGUCAAAAGCAAUGAAGAGAAGUGAUGACAAUGAAUGAUGCUUCCAAUAUUUUCACCCCUUAUAGUGUUCUUCAUGAUUCAGAUAUAUAAUUGGAAAUAGAACAACCCUAUGCCAUACAUUCGUCUAAGUAUGGUGUCUAAUUUUUUGUGUCAGCGGUUGCGAAUGGAGCGUGCAAAAGUCCAAAUUGGCGUCUCUCCAUUUCCACAUAGGAAGGUGACCUUUAUUGACAAAUACCCAAUAUUUGUAGACAUUCCUUAAAUAUCAUAACUUCUUGUUGAUUUGAAAAUCAUUUUUCAACUACCAUGUUUUAAUAAAUAUUUUUUAAAAUGUAUUUUUAUCAAAGUCCACCAUGAUGGAUAAUAUUCACCAUGCAAUAAUUAAUAAAGUACAAACUAAGCGAAAUGAAAAGCAUUUUCUUUGCUUUGAGUUGAUUUUGGUUGCAUUGAGUUGAUUUUGGUUUCAUGGUUUUUUCAACUCUUAUUUUGAUUGGAAGAUGUCAAGAAAAGAAAACAUAAAGAAAAAUUAAAAGGGAAAAAAGAAGAAAAAUAAAAAAAAAUAGAUUUAAAAGUUAAUAAAUUAUUUUUUAUAUUUAUUUUAAUUCAUUUCACUUAUUUUUCUUUUACUAUAUAAAAUUUAAAUAAUUUAAAUUUUAUAAUUAAUUUAAUUACAUUUCAUUUUCUUCUAUAUUUAAAUAUUGGAAAAAUAUUUUACUUAAUAUUUUUUUCUUUAAUUUCUUUGGCAUUUUGGGAACCAAACUUAGCCUUUAAAAUAAAAAACAAAAAAAAAAUGAAAAUAAGGAGGGAAAAGUGAGAAAAGAUAAAAACAAUAUGUAAAGGAUUUGAAAAGUAUUAGUUUGUAAUUACUAUUUGGAUUUCAAUAGUAUUUUAUUUGUCUUUCUAUAUUUCAUGUAAGAGAGAAUUUAAGAUAUUCCCCAAGGCAAAGCAUUAGUUACCUGCAAUCAGUGGUGAUAAGGCUCCAAGCCAAUUUUGGGCCCCAUAUCUUAAGACAGUACAAUUUCCAUUUCAACAUUUCUGAUUUCUCAGAUGUUUCACAUACCACAGAAGAACAUUGUUUGUGAAAAUAUGCAUUUAUGUUGGAUUUUGUAUGCUGUGGGGACUGGGGCAAGGAUCAUAUGGAAGAGUGGUUGACUUUUUCUGUACUUUAACGGUUGAAAUAGGAUAAGCACGGGCAUUUGUGAGGCUUAAUUGAUUUUGAAGCCUGAAAUUGCGUUUCUGUCAUUUUGUCAAAAAAAUGGCAGAUUCCAUACUCAUAUGUUUGGCCUGUGGCCAUGUACAGAUGCCAUUUAGUGACCAGUUUGUAACUGUCAAUCGUUGCGUUUUGACUCUGCCUCAACAACAUCUGCCAUUGACGGGUUUUCAUACUUGCAAAUCAAAUAGUCUUUCGUCCCAUCAGGAAUUUCGGUUUAAAUAUUAUUAAGCAUACGUUUGGCUGACAAUCAUUAUCCAGUUCAUGAUUUGGUUUCUUACCCUUAAUCAAUGGUUUCUAAGUGAAUAUAUGUAGAAGGAAAUCCGAAGUGUAGACAGUAGUAUCGAUAACUCUCAAUAUUCUCUAUAUAAUAGAAUAAACAGCGUCAUAGUGAUCGUCGCCUACAAGCAAGGUACAAAUACCAAAACGAGUGACUCACAUAGACAUCUCCCAACAAGAUGUAGUAGUGACUGACACAUGGACACAAUUAACUCGUAGAAAAGGAUAAGACCAUUGCACAGCAGCUCUUAUUUUACAUACUACUUAUGCUAACCAAAGUCAAUUAGUUGGGAUGGGUGGGAGAUGGAGGUUUGUGCGGUGGCUUGUGGGGCGGAGUUGAUGGCUUCUUUCCAGGAGCUUCUGGCUUUUUCAUCGGAGCUGAAGGAGGCUCAAUCUUAUGAGGCGGCUUGUAUGAGUCUUCUUUACUCUCGACAGGAGGGUGGCCAGGGUUGUGAUCAUAAUGUGGUGGCUUCUCUCCCUUAGGUGGCUUGCCAACUGGGGUUGGUGGCUUGUGUUCAGGAAGUGGUUUCUCUCCCAUGGGAGGUUUAGCAAUUGGGGUUGGUGGCUUGUGUUCUGGGAGUGGCUUCUCUCCCUUGGGAGGUUUAGUAGGUGACUUGUGUUCUGGAGGUGGCUUCUCCACCGGAGGCUUGUGCUCCGGUGGUGGCUUCUUGGUUGGAGGGGGCUUGGGGUAAUCAGCAAGAGAUGGGGUGGUGAGAACCACCAGUCCAAGGAACAACACUAGCAAGUAUGUGGGAGACAUUUUUGAGUUUGGGCUGAUCAGAUGAUGCAAAACUAAAGCAUUACGUGACCUUUUAUAGCAUGUAGCUCCCAAUACCCACUAAGUAUUGUGGGGUCCAUUUGUGCCCUACGGGGUUGAAAACUUAGACAAUUGGGCAAGGACCCACCUGACUAUGGAGGACUAGUGAGGUGUGAUCAUAGCUUUAGGAUUUUUCUUCCUCUGCAGCCGUCGUGCCGUUGGCAUGAUUUUCUUAAUCUUAAAUAAAGGCAUAGUUAUAGAGUUGUUUAAUCUCUAAAUGGGAUUUUAUAUAUAUCUUCAGAUAGCCAUUAAUAUAUUUGAUGAAGAAAGAAAGACAAGUGCAUACAACAUGUAUACGACUAGCUUUCAUGGAGUUCAUUUAUGAUCAGUUUUCCUGUACAUGUAAACCAGGAUCAUAUAUAUGUUUCUGUUCCACAACUAUUUUGGAAUCUUGUUUAUCAGUUUUUAUCAUUAUAAUGUCACAUAGGCUGCCAACUUGGGCGCUAAAAGAACCAGUUGGGCUAGUUCGUUUCAGAAUUUCAAUGUGGAUUCAGGAAUUGUUUUGUAAGAUAUGCGAAAUAGUAGAGGGAUGAAUAGUGUUUCAUUAAUAAAAGUGUCCUGUAAAUUAGAAGGUGUCAUAGAAACUAUAAUCAAUAAAUAACUUUUUUUCCCCACGGGUGGUGUUUCUUGUGGGGAUCAGUGACUGGUUUAGGUUCACCCAAAAUGAGUUCAGACUAAAAUUGGUUUGAGUCAAUGCCGUGUCUCUUUUUUCCAGAAAUCAACUAUUUUAUGCAUUGAAUAAAUCAUACAAAGAAAAUAUGAACGCCCGCAAAACCUAAACCCUGGUUGCUAACUUUCUAUGUUUCAGUUCUAUUCACGCAAGAAUAUUAGUUUAAGUUUGGGAAAAAUGGCAACUUACCUAGUGAUUACUUGGUUUUGGUUUGCGACUAUUUACGCAACCAACCAUGAGUUUGACUUUAACGUCAUGGGUUGAAGCCUCCUACAGGAAGGGAGAAAGCUCCACAGCUAGCUCCAAAAGAGAAUUAUCACAUUGAUAGCUCCAGAGAUUCCCAAGGGGACUGAAUCAAAGACAAGUUCCUCACUUUUUCUUCUUUUGAGGCCAAAUAUGAACCAAGGAUCACACAACCUCAUUCAACUUCAUAAGUUUGAUUUCAUGCAGUUGAACACUGGGUGAAGGCCAUGACAAGAAUUGAUUCAAAAAUUCUAUCACUCUUUUAAGUAAUGGAAGAUUAUUAUCUCUGAUUGGCAUCACAACAGCACAUGCUCCUAGAUCUUUCUAGACACUCCAUGCAAUGAAAGCACAAUGGAUCUUGUAACGAUAGAAACUAAGCCAUGCUACAGUACUAGAUGAUGAGGUAAAACUAGUAGACACGGGUGGCAGCCUAUAUGGGAGGGACACAAGUCUAAUUGAUUUGCAUUUCAGCAUUAUAGAUAGGUAUGUUUUGGAAGAUUUGUUCUGGAAAUACCGCACCAAGUAGGAUUCUUUUUCUCUUUAGUGGGUCCACUUGCAUGCCAAUUAACGAGUUGAAAAGUAUGAGCACCUACCUCGUGCUCGUGGAACCGAAGGUCAGUGAAGUGGGGCUCCUUUUGGCCUCGUGUAAACUUGAUUCAGAAGUGAAGUUAAUAGUCUUCCAUUCAGAUGGAUACAUGGGAAUUUUUCUCUUUUAUUUAUUUAUUUAUUUUUUUUUUGUGUGUGUAUGUCAAAGGAUAAUGAAUGAAGCGCGUUAGCUUGUUUUCUGACUGGAACCGCAGAUGUCCAAAUUGGAGUUCCUUCAUUUCUUACUUAGGAUUGUUACAUGUAUAAACAAGGUAUAAGAAAUAUGCCAACGUGUCUUGAGGAGUUAUUGAUUAGAAAUAACAAGUCACCCGACUGUAGAGUUCCAAGAUUUGAAUCUUCAGACCCUAUAGCAGCCUCUGGGGUACGUGGCAUCCUAUAGCAUAUUAAUGAAGGCUUUUUCGAUUUAGACUUCACAAUACCAAUUAAUAUGUAUGCACAAAAUGGAGAUGACCCCAAAAAAAACAGAAUCGCCAUAGUUUAUGAGGUUAAGGUGAUUCUCCACUUAAUAUCUACAUUAGCUAAUUAUGUAAAUCAAAUGAACUUCUAUUUUUCCUUUUUUUUUUUGGUUUAUGUCAAAUAGUAGCCCAUAAUUAACCCAACCAUUAGCCUGUUUGAAUUGAUUUCACAUGCACAAUGUUGUAGUAGUUCAUAUUUUGAAUUUUAUUUUUACAAAGGUAGUUAAGGAAAAUGAAGUAUAAUAAUUAUAAAAGCAGACUAUAUACACUACAAUAAUUGUUAGAAUGGUAUCUCAAAUUCUAAUUUAAAAUAUUAUUUUUUGUAAAAGAAAUAUUAUAUAGAAUAUUUCCUAAUUUUAUAAAUGAUUAUAAUUAGAUCUUUAUAAAAUAAGGAAAGUUGGUAAGAAUAUCUUUAUAAAUAUUUUAGGUCAUGAGAGAAAGAAAUGGGAUAAAAAUGUGAUGAAGAGGUGAAAUAAGAGAGUUGAUUAGGAUAUAGAUGUGAAGAAGAAAGGGAUUCAAUAUAUAUAUAUCUUUCAAUUACCACAUUAAAACCCUGUGAACCUUUUAUAUGGUUUACUUUAUUUUUAUAUUCCUCCUUUAAUAUAUUUACAUUAAUGCUUCCAUUGGCACAACAAUAACGAAUUACAAAUACAAGCAACAAGUCCCAUGUUUUAUUACCAAAAGCAGGUAAAAUCCACCUAAUAUAUUACAAUAUAUUCAUCCAAUAUUUUAGACCAAUUCUUCACCAUAAAUAUCAUAAUGUGGCUUUUGUUCUUUCUUAAAUUUAAAUUGAAUUGUCUUAUAUCAAUUUGUUUGUGAUUUUUUCAUUAACUUCACUUUCAUUUGGUUAUCUUUGGUUUUUGAAAAGUAUUAAGGAAUUAAUUAACAAAAUAAUGUUAAGAAAAAUAAUUUUCUCUCUUUUGAUUUUGAUUUUGUAGUAGAAAAAUAUAAUUAAAAUUAUUUAAAAAGUAUGUAAUUUUAAAUUAUUUAAUAUUUAGAUAAAAAAAAUAAGUCUAAUGAGUUUAAAAUAACAUAUAAAAAUAAUUUAUUUAUUUUAAAUUUAUUUUUUAUUUUCCAUUAUGUUCUCUUUCUCUUUUACUUUUUCAUAUUUUUUCUUACGAAGAAUCAAACACAACCUCAUAUUAUAUGUCAAGUGUUUGUCUAUAUUUGAGCAAUGUUAGAUACGGCCAUGGAUUCAUCAAACUAAACUGAUUUUAAUAGAUACUUCACAAAUUGAUUUAUACACUAAAUCAUUGGAUAGCAAUGAUGCAUUGGAAUUAAACGUAGGAUGAAGCUCGAAGAACACUGUUUGUGUAACAACAUAUUUAUGAAAUUAUGCAAAGGAUGAGCUUCGGGGUAGUAGUACAAGGUCAUUAAUGGAGAGCCGUGUUAAACCUUGAUUGUGAUUGGAUUCCGUUAUCAGCAACAGCAACCUUGUUUGUAACCUUGAAAGUCAUUCUGUCCACAUCGAAACUCCAAUUUGACGUUUGUAAUUACCAUUCCUGGAGUGUUCCUUGAUUGAAAUUUAAAUAAUAAUUGCGGCCCACAAGGAAUAUUUUCGAUUCUGUGGGAAUUUGACAAGGUUUGUUAGAGAAGACUGGUGACAUGUUGACUUCAAUGGUUCAAAUAGGAGACGUAUGUGGAUUUGGGGGGUUUAAUUGAAACUGAGUCCCUAUGGCUUUUUAAUAUUUGCAUUGAGCAGUCUCCAUGUGACUUCCUAAUUCCCACCAACCCUCCUGUCCAUGCUGUGAAACUAAAUUGUAAUUUAUCAGCCUUUGUCAAUGGUUUCUAAAUUAAAGAUAUAGACCAUGCAUGUACUUUAAUAAAAGCAAAUCUAAAGUGUAGAUAGCAGCAAUGGUGACACCCAAUAUUCUCCAUAAAAUAGAAUUAGAAUAAGCAGUGUUACAUUGUUCAUGAUCACCUACAAGCAUACAAGAACUUCCAUGAAUAACUCAUAGCAAUUGCCAACAGGGCGUCGUAGAGACUCAUACAUAGAACACUAUCCACCCAGAGGAAAGGACAAGACCAGUGCGCUGCAGCUCUUAUUUUUCACAUGUAUACCACCACUCGUAAUAACCAAAUUCACUCAGUUGGGAUAGGUGGGAGAUGGUGGUUUGUGGGGUGGCUUGUGGGGAGGAGUUGGAGGAGGCUUUAUUUUCUGAGGCGGCUUGUAUGAGUGUGCAGGAGGAUGCCCGGGAGUGUGACCAUAAUGUGGUGGCUUCUCUCCCGUAGGUGGUUUGCCAAAUGGGCUUGGUGGCUUCUCUCCCUUAGGAGGUUUACCAAUUGGGGUUGGUGGCUUGUGUUCUGGGAGUGGUUUCUCUCCCUUGGUAGGUUUGCCAAUUGGGGUUGGCGGCUUAUGUUCUGGGAGUGGCUUCUCUCCCUUGGGAGGUUUGCUAAUUGGGGUUGGCGGCUUAUGUUCUGGGGGCGGCUUCUCUCCCUUGGGAGGUUUGCCAAUUGGAGUUGGCGGCUUAUGUUCUGGGAGUGGCUUUUCUCCCUUGGGAGGCUUGCCAAUUGGGGUUGGCGGCUUAUGUUCUGGGGGUGGCUUCUCUCCUUUAGGAGGUUUGCCAAUUGGAGUCGGCGGCUUAUGUUCUGGAAGUGGCUUUUUUCCCUUGGGAGGUUUGCCAAUUGGGGUUGGCGGCUUAUGUUCUGGGGGUGGCUUCUCUCCCUUGGGAGGUUUGCCAAUUGGAGUCGGCGGCUUAUGUUCUGGGAGUGGCUUCUCUCCCUUGGGAGGUUUUGUUGGUGGCUUGUGUUCUGGAGAUGGCUUCUCCCCUGGAGGCUUGUGCUCCGGAGGUGGCUUCUGAAAUGGCGGGGGCUUGGGGUAAUGAGCAAGAGAUGGAGUACUGGUGAGAACCACCAUUCCAAGCAACAAUACUAGCAAGCAUGUGGGAGACAUCUUUGAGUAGUUGUAGCUAAGAUGGCGCAACACUGUAGGCAUUGGGUGGCCUUUUAUAAAGGGCUGGACCCAACAGCCAUAUGACACGUGUCAUGAUGACAAAUGAAGUUGAGGGGAUCCAGAUGGGUCCUACUGAGUCGAAAACUUGCACUAAUUGAUCUGGUGAGAUGACUAUUUCUGUCCUUUUGCCCUUCUCGGCCACCCUGUGCUGUUUUCCUUUUGCACGAUUUUCGUUGCCAAACAAGCAAAUAAUAUUUCGCCAAGAAAGAGGAGAGUGAAUGUGGAAUGCAUCAAGUCCCAUCAAGGAUGGCAGAGAAGAAAUAGAAGAUUGCCCAACUGUGAUAAACAUAGCAUACACGUAGCACCAGGAACUUCAUUUACUUCCAUCUAAUGGAACAUAACAAUCUUCUAAAGUUUUUGCAUGAUUUUGUUAUAUGUCUCUUAGCCUAAAGUUGGAAAUGCGCAACAAAUUUUGUCACUUCUCUAUUUCCCACUGAUGAUGUUAAUUAGCCUUCAUAGAUAUCAUCCUUUCUACAAAGUGCUUCAUUUGUGUGUUAUUGUAAAGUGUAAGAAAAGUAAUUGAACAUGUUCUUUUUCCUUUCAUAGAUGACUUUUGAUGUGCAUUUUAAAAGCAGCGCUGUGAGUCGGUGACCUUGAUUCACACGGAAACUAAGGCUCCUAUAGGACCCACUUUUAGCUGGUUAGGGGUGAAGAAAAUAUCAACUUUUCAGAGUGAUUUAAGUCAAGGCCAAGCCUCACUGUGUCAUUACUCGUGUGAAUUUUAUAUGCACAUACAUACAUAAAUAAAGUAUGAGACCCAAAUAACACCUUCCCUUUACAAACUUAACCCCAGCCGCUCUCUUUCAAUUCUUUUCACACAAGGGUAUUGACUCUAUAAAGGUCAAGAAAAUCAUAAUUUCCUAGGGUUUACAAGGUAAUUGGCUUAAUGCUAAUGUGAAAACAUAAAAGAUAAUAGUAUAUUGUAAGCUAACGAAUAUUCUAUAGUUAUAAUUAUUUGUGAUGUGCAUAAAUAAAUCUUCAUAUAUAUAAUGGAACAAUGAAUAAAGAACCAAUGAAAAAAUACUAUAUAUCAUUGCUUGGCAUUUAAACCGUAUAUGCUGCUCUUUCUAGCUACUCCAUCCACUGAAAGACAACAAGGUAAUCCAUGUUAUAAUGAUAGAAGAUACUGUCUCUAGGCUUUUUGUGAUGAAAAAUAUAAGAUAUGGGUAGGGUUGACCCUUGUAUGUUUGUCCUAUAAACACUUCAAAGUAACAUAUUUUUCUUCUUUAGCAACUCAUAAUGAUGGGGUUCAUUUGCAUGUCACUGAGUUGAAAAGUUGGACAAUUGCCCAUGUCGCCUUCCUCCUAGAUUCCGUAGUUCACGGGAAGGUAACUCAAGUUUGACAUAUUUUGAAUUCUUUUCACUCGGACGUCUUCAUAACCUGACAAAACAAAAAUGAAAAACAGAGGAUUGGUAUAUUAUUCAUGGUAAGCCUCAAAUUAUAGUAGUAUGAGAAAGGAGAAAAAGAUUUUGGGAACUCCAAUCUGGAUAAUUCUCGUUUCUUCUCUUGAAUAAAAAUUUCACUUACCUAACUUCGUUUGGAGAAAUGGCAUAUUUUAAUUUUGUACGUCAUUGCUAAUAAAUGGAGCAAUUUAGCAUGUUUUGUGACUGAAACUGCAAAUGUCCAAUUGGCAUUUCUUCAUUUCCCACUUAGGAUCUGAUCUUGUAGACCAUAUAACGAUAUGUAUCUGUGCAAGCAUUGAAAACUAAUGUGAACUAUGAGGAGUUACAAGCCACUGGACUGUAGAGCGAGUGCCAAGAUUUAAAUCUUCAGGCUCUAUCUGGGUAAGGGGAGGAUAGCGACCUAACCUUUUACCAAAGGCUUAGAAUUUAGACUUUUGGAAAAAAAUUUCUCAUGUUUUGGCUGGAUUUCUUGUGCUUGGCGCAAAAAGGAGAUGGCCUCAAGAAAUAGCAGACUCACUUUUGUUUUCAGCCCUUAAUAAUUCUCCACUGCUUUCCAUAACUACAUGGGUUAUACAUGCAGUCUGCUGCAAUAUUCCAGUUAUAUUUAUUAUUUCAAAGAGGGUGAAUGACUUCACAUGCAAUAUGUUGCAGUAACAACCCAAAUUUUGGCACACCAUCUUAAGAAUAGAAAAGUAUAAUAAAAGAAAUCAAUCAGAGAAUCACUUUGCAUGCAGUUCAUAGAGUUCGCCCAAAAUGGAGCCACAUGUACGGACAACCCCACAAUAGACAAUCUUCUCUAUACAGUAAUAAAAUACAGAAAUGGUUAAUGAAGCUCUGUAUUUCCUUAUCAUAUAUGACCGGUUGAAAACUCAGCAAGUCUUCCUCAAUCACAGACAGUUGGAGUUGCUUCAUCAAAAUCAUGCCUUCAUUACUGGCUUCAUUUUGGUUUCAAUGUCUGUUCUACCCUUAAAUUGGGUCUCUGCUUACUACCGGGAUAUCCUUUAGCGUCCUGCAAUUCUACUAGAUUAAAGAGAAUGACUUAAUUCUGCAUUCUGCCGUCCCUAGUCCAAGUGGUACUAGAAUUGAUGUUUCCUUUAGUGUCCUUUCUUCAUACUUUCAGGUUCUUCCCUUGUUUCAAUAAUGCUGUUUUCCUUCAUGUUUAACCUCUGUUGAACCACUUAAAACAACACAAUUUGCACACCAAUGUUUCUUUACAGAAAAGACUGUUUGCAAAAAUGCACAUGUUAUAAGGUUAAUGGAAGAAUUAAUUUGGGGAUAAGGGACUAGGAUUGGGCCAAUGAAGUUUGGUGUUAAAUUUUGAUUAUGAUUGCUUUUCAUUAUCAGGUACCUUAUAUUUGCUGAUGCUAUCUGGAACUAAAUUCAAAUCAGACAUUAUCCGAUUACUAACAGGACAUAUCAUGUCCCUCUGCAGAGUUUCUAAACUAACAUGUAUCGAAAUGUGGCCCCAAAAGGAAGGCUAGGAAGAUGGAGGAUUUUGUAGGAAUCGACCAGAAUCAGAUGGAAGAGAGAUAGUCCUGUUGACUUUAAUGGUUGUGAUAGGAACAUGCAUCAUUAUAUGAGAAGUUGCAUGAAUUUAUGUAUCCUGUUAUCGUUCCUUGACGAUUUCCCAAUGCAAUUUCACUGUCCACAAGACUAACCUCUCCAUGCAGUCAAAUGAAUUGUAAUUUCUCUAUUGGUACCAGUAGUACAUUUCAUACCAAACAUAUAGUAAAUAUAAAAUAUAAAUAGAUCAAGGAAAUCUGAAUUGUAGAUAGCACUGCAAGUAACACUCAAUAUUCUCUAUAUAUAAUAAAAUAAACAGUGUCACAAUACUCAUCACCCAGUGGCAAGGGAGAAAAACCUACAAUGAGUACUCAAAUCACCAUUCUCAAACAGAAACAUAGCAGUGACUGAUACAUAGAACCUAUAUGCUCACAGGGAAAGAAUAAGAUGACCAGUGCACAGCGGGCAGCAGCUCUUAUUUUACGUACAACUCAAAUCCCAAACUAACCAAAGUCGCUCAGUUGGGAUGGGUGGGAGAUGGUGGUUUGUGGGAUGGCUUCUGGGUAGGAGCUGGUGGCUUCUGUCCCUUUGGUGGUUUGCCUAAUGAGCUUGGUGGCUUGUGCUCCGGGAGUUGUUUCUCUCCCUCGAGUAGGUUUCGAGUCUUGUCAGAUGGCUUGUGUUCUGGUGGUGGCUUCUCUCCCUGGGGUGGUUUGCCGAAUGGGCUUGGUGGCUUGUGUUCGGGGAGUGGCUUCUCUCCCUGGAGAAGGUUACGAGUUUUGUCAUAUGGCUUUUGUUCUGGUGGUGGCUUCUCUCCCUGGGGUGGUUUGCCGAAUGGGCUUGGUGGCUUGUGUUCGGGGAGUGGCUUCUCUCCCUGGAGAAGGUUACGAGUUUUGUCAGAUGGCUUGUGUUCUGGUGGUGGCUUCUCUCCCUGGGGUGGUUUGCCGAAUGGGCUUGGUGGCUUGUGUUCGGGGAGUGGCUUCUCUCCCUGGAGAAGGUUACGAGUUUUGUCAGAUGGCUUUUGUUCUGGUGGCGGCUUCUCUCCCUGGGGUGGUUUGCCAAAUGGGCUUGGUGGCUUGUGUUCGGGAACUGGCUUCUCUCCCUUGGGAGGUUCAGUUGGUGGCUGCUGUUCCGUAGGUGGUUUCUUCACCGGCGGCUUGUGCUCCGGAAGCGGCUUCUCUACCUGGAGAAGCUUACGAGUUUUGUCCGAUGGCUUGUGUUGUGGUGGUGGCUUCUCUCCCUGGGGUGGUUUGCCAAAUGGAGUUGGUGGCUUGUGUUCGGGGAGUGGCUUCUCUCCAUUGGGAGGUUUAGUUGGUGAUUGGUGUUCCGUAGGUGGUUUCUGAAGUGGGGGAUGCUUGGGGUAGUCAGCAAGAGACGAGGUAGUGAGAACCACCAGUCCCAGCAGCAACACUAGCAAGCAUGUGGAAGACAUCUUUGAGUUCAGGCUGAGAUCUGUGCAAGGAUAACAGAAUUAGGUGGCCUUUUAUAGAGGCCUGGACCCAACACCCAUAUGACACGUGUCAUGCACUCAUGGUGACACAUAAUUCUAUGGGACCAUUUGGGUCCUACAGAAGUUGCAAAGUUGGACUACUGAGGUGUGAUCACAACUUUUGUCCUUAUUGCUUUCUCUGCGGCCAUUGCACGAUUUCCUUUAGCAUCAUUUUCUUGGCUAAAUAAGCGUAUUAUAUUUGUGGCAGACCGUCCACGUGUCAUAAACAGAUAUAUUAUAAUAAUGUAGUAUGCUUUUCUCCAAUGGAACAUGACACUCUUCUAAGUCUUGUUUUAAAUAUUGUGCAGGAUUACUUUAUACGUUGCAGUUCCAAGUCAAAAUUGGUGGGCAAACGUUGGCCUUUUUUCAUUUCACCUAAGAUUAAUGCUCACCUGGGAUAGGCACUACAUGACUUAUCUGCUCUUUUACUGUAAAGUUGCUUUGUGUAUGAGAUACACCUCCCCUGCACACCCUCAACAUUCGUUGCUCUGUUUUCCUUGUGUCCAGACGAGGAUAUUAAUUGGAGGCUGACAAAACGACUGCUAGCCCAGGAUUUACAAGGUCCUGGUUUGAGGCUUCGGUGAAAGUAUUUUUGAAAAGACACACAUAGAGAUAGUGCGUUUGGUGCAAUGCAGCACUGUGAGCCAUUCUGACGCGUUCUUAAUUUCAAAACUAAUGAAUGCUUCAAAAUUUUAAGAAGUGACAUUUCCAAAUAUUUGAGUUCGUUUAAUUGAACAUUGGAUAACUAGUGAUCAUAGAUUAUUAUCUGUGCUUGGCACUAUAAGAGGGUAUAUGCUUCUUUUUCUGGCCCCUCCUUCAAGGGAGGAGGGACAAUGUGAUCUGUAACGUUAGAAGCUAUUCCAUGUCAUCUUUGGGCUCAGUUCAAAACUAAAAGAUAAUGGGGGGGGGGGGGGGGGGCAUAUCAUUUUAUAUUUCUUCUAGAAGGUUUGUUCUGGAAAUAUUUCACAGGAGCAUAUCUUUUUCUUCUAUUACGUCAUCCGCAGCCUCCAAUAGGUCGGUUAACAAGCCACCGAGUUGAAAAGUUGGAAAAAUGGGAACACAGCCCGCCUCUUGUAUUCAGUAGUUAAAUAAAAGGUCACUAGAAGUGAGAUCCCUUUUGGCGUCUUGAUUUUCAAUCCAGCACCUCUGUGACCUGACAAACCAAAAAAACUAAAAAAUAAAAAACAGUACGUGGGUUGGUGUUAAGCAUCAAGACAUGUUAAUGAAAGAAGGUAGAGAAUAGGAUAUUGAAAUCCCAAUCCUGAUAACAUGAUUUUCUUUGCUAACAACCAUAUUAUAUUUUAUCAAGAAAGAGUAAUGCAUGUGGCGUCCAUCAAGACCCAUUAGAGUUCCGCUAAAGCUAUAGUUCUGUCAACGUUAUCAUUUACGUUUCCUCUAGAUAAUGGCAUUUUCCUCUAAAGCUCUUGCACCAUUAGGCUUCAAGUCAAAAUUUCACAUGUGAACUUUGGAAAUUUUCUCCAUUUGCCCCUAAGGAUACAGUUAGAAUUGACUUAAAAUCCUGAUUGAUAUGUACUAUUAACCAAAGAAUAUUGUAUAUAAUAAUUGAAAUAUUGUUGAUUCAUCGUGGAAAUACAUUUUGUAAGGAAAGUUGUUGAGAAUUUAGUAUGCUAUAUGGAGAAAAAAGUCAUGACUUAAGGUUGUGUAUGUAUAUUCUAUAUCAAAUAUUAGGUAGGAAUGUGGGAAAGAGCAGAGUGUAAUGAUAAGAAACAAAGAAAUAUAAGAUAUUCUUGAAAGUGGAAAAUAUAAAAUGGCUAACGAGUCAAAUUUAUGAUGCGUAAGGGGGAUCAUGUCACAUAAGAAAACCAUGGCAUACUAAAGACGUACGUGUGGUAUGGAGUAAUAAUUUUGUUAAAAUAAGUUUCUUGUUGGAGUACAUUAGGUGACUAUUCAUAACGUAUCAAAUUAAAGAGUCAAGUGCAUCAAUGAAGGCAUAUGUAGAAAAUUUGUUUGUGACAUGUACCAUAAAGAUAAGAUUGACUUGAUAGAAUUUAGUCUAAGUAGGAGUUGUUAAAGGUGUCUUAAAUUUCUAAUUGAUGUAUAUUUUUUUCUAAAAAAAUAUUAUAUAGAUAUUUUAAUAAAUGAUUAAUUCUUUGUAAAAAUACUUACAUAAUAAAAAACAUCAUUAAAAAUAUCUUUAUAAAUAUUUUAAGUUACAAGAAGGAAAAAAACCACUGUGAGAUAAUGAUGAACAUGCAACACUGUACCAAGUAAAUAAAAAUGUGAUAAAAAAAAAAGAGAAACACUCGAUAAAGGAAGGCUCGUAUAUAAAGAGUAAUAUUUUUAAUCAUAUGAUAGAAUGAUUUUCUCUCAUUCAUGAAUAUAGGCAAGAUUGGGGAACCAUUAUAAAAUUUUGUACACCUCGUGUAAAUUGAUGUUUGUCUUCAUAUUUUACACCAACAAAUGACAUUGAAGUUGUCAUUGAUAAAAGGGAAAAGGCAUGCCUCCACACCAUGUGCUUGAUUCGAAUGGUUCAAGUUUGAAGAAUUUUCUCCGGAAGAUCUAAAACAUUUUCGCCUUUAAAUUUCAUUUGAUUAUUAAUAUCCGAAAAAAUAGUUAAAUACUCUUUCUAUUUUUGAGUUGUUGAAUUUUUUGAAAGUUUUUAUAUUUGUUAUCAAGAAUUUCUAUUUUAUUAAGGGUGAAUAUUUAUAAAUAAGAUAUUAUAUAAUAUUUGGAUAAGAGAGAAUGGUGGAAUAUAAUAAAGUUUUAAUCCUUCCCAAUUUUGAACCUUUUUUUUUUUUUUUGAUAUAAUCGCCUUUCUCUUGCAAUCCUAUUAUCAGGUACCUUAUAUUUGCUGAUGCUAUCUGGAACUAAAUUCCAAUCAGGCAUUGUCCAAUUACUAAUAGGACAGAUCAUAUCUCUCUGUUUCUAAACUAACAUGUAUCGUAAUGUGACCUCAUAAGGAAGGCUAGGAAGAUGGAGGAUUUUGUGGGAAGCGACCAGAAUCAGAUGGAAGAGAGAUAGCCCUGUUGACCUAAUGGCUGUAAUAGGAGAAGCGUGUGGUUUUAUGGGACUUAACUGAUACUAAACCUGUAUGAUGCUUGGAGUGGUGUUUCUUUCAUUUUGUUAAGAAAAUAUGGCAGCAUACAUGCUUUCAACUGAGUGCAUCAGAGCAUCCAUAACAGAUGGUCUGCAACCCUAGGUGCAUGCCACUUUCUGACUGAUAAUGAAAUUGUCAGGUACCUGGCCUUGACUAAGCUCAACAGCAUCACAUAAAGAGAAGCUUUCAUACUUAGAUUACUGUUUAAAGUUUUUGCUUAUUUGAUUUCUUAAUGCCAUUAUGACAUUAUUGAUUCAAUUCUGCUUCCGAUUUUCGAAGUUCUGGGCAUCUACUGAUUGCAUCAUUAUAUGAGAAGUUGCAUGAGUUUAUGUAUCCUGUUAUUGUUCCUUUGCGAUUUCACUGCUCACGGGACUAACCUCUCCAUUCAGUCGAAAUGAAUUGUAAUUUCUUUACUGGUAGCAGUAGUACUUUUCAUAGCAAAGAUAAUAGAAAAUAUGAAAUAUAAAUAGAAGGAAAUCUGGAUUGUAGAUAGCACCAUAAGUAACACUCAAUAUUCACUACAUAAUAAAUAGACAGUGUUACAUAGGUAGAGAAACCUACAAUGAGUACUCAUCACCAUUCUCAAACAGAAACAUAGCAGCGACUUAUACAUAGAACCUAUAGGCUCGCAGGGAAAGAGUAACAUGAUAAGUUCACAGCGGGUAGCAGCUCUUAUUUUACGUAUUACUCAAAAUCUCAAACUAACCAAAGUCACUCAGUUGGGAUGGGUAGGAGAUGGUGGUUUGUGGGGUGGCUUCUGGGUAGGAGCUGGUGGCUUCUUUGUUGGAGUUGAAGGAGGCAUAUUCUUCUGAGGUGGCUUGUAUGACUCUUCGGCACUCUCUGCAGGAGGGUGCCCAGGGUUGUGACCAGAAGGAGGUGGCUUCUGUCCCUUUGGUGGUUUGCCUAAUGGGCUUGGUGGCUUGUGCUCCGGGAGUUGUUUCUCUCCCUCGAGUAGGUUUCGAGUUUUGUCAGAUGGCUUGUGUUCUGGUGGUGGCUUCUCUCCCUGGGGUGGUUUGCCGAAUGGGCUUGGUGGCUUGUGUUCGGGGAGUGGCUUCUCUCCCUGGAGAAGGUUACGAGUUUUGUCAGAUGGCUUUUGUUCUGGUGGCGGCUUCUCUCCCUGGGGUGGUUUGCCAAAUGGGCUUGGUGGCUUGUGUUCGGGAACUGGCUUCUCUCCCUUGGGAGGUUCAUUUGGUGGCUGGUGUUCCGUAGGUGGUUCCUUCACCGGCGGCUUGUGCUCCGGAAGCGGCUUCUCUACCUGGAGAAGCUUACGAGUUUUGUCAGAUGGCUUGUGUUGUGGUGGUGGCUUCUCUCCCGGGGGUGGUUUGCCAAAUGGACUUGGUGGCUUGUGUUCGGGGAGUGGCUUCUCUCCAUGGGGAGGUUUAGUUGGUGGUUGGUGUUGCGUAGGUGGUUUCUGAAGUGGGGGAUGCUUGGGGUAGUCAGCAAUAGACGAGGUAGUGAGAACCACCAGUCCCAACAGCAACACUAGCAAGGAUGUUGAAGACAUCUUUGAGUUCAGGCUGAGAUCUGUGCAAGGAUAAAAGAUUUAGGUGGCCUUUUAUAGAGGGCUGGACCCAACACCCAUAUGACACGUGUCAUGCACUCAUGGUGACACAUAAUUCUAUGGGACCAUUUGGGUCCUACAGAAGUUGCAAAGUUGGACUAUUGAGGUGUGAUCACAACUUUUGUCCUACUUGCUUUCUCUGCGGCCAUUGCACGAUUUCCUUUAGCAUCAUUUUCUUGUCUAAAUAAGCGUAUUAUAUUUGUGGCAGACCGUCCACGUGUCAUAAACAGAUAUAUUAUAAUAAUGUAGUAUGCUUUUCUUCAACGGAACUUGACACUCUUCUAAGUCUUGUUUUAAAUACUGUGCAGGAUUACGUCAUAAGUUGCUUGUUCCAAGUCAAAAUUGGUGGGCAAACGUUGGCCUUUUUUCAUUUUCCCUAAUAUUAAUGCUCACCUGGGAUAGGCACUACAUGAUUUAUCUGCUCUUUUACUGUGAAGUUGCUUUGUGCAUGAGUUACACCUCCCCUGCACACCCUCAACAUUUGUUGCUCUGUUUUUCUUGUGUCCAGACGAGGAUAUUAAUUGGAGGCUGACAAAACGACUGCUAGCCAAGGAUUUACAAGGUCCUGGUUUGAGGCUUUCACGAAAGUAUUUUUGAAAAGAUACACAUAGAGAUUGCGCGUUCGGUGCAAUGCAACAAUGUGAGCCAUUCUGAAGUCUUAAAUUUCAGAUUAAUGAAUGCUACAAAAUUCUAAGAAGGGCCGUUUCCAAAUAUUUGAGUUCAUUCAUCCGAACAUCGGGUAUAUGCUUCUUUCUCUAGCCCCUCCUUGAAGGGAGGAGGGACAAUGUGAUCUGUAUCGUUAGAAGCUAUUCCAUGUCGUCAUCUUUGGGCUCAGUUCAAUACUAAAAGAUAUGGGCGGGGCCCUUAUCAUUUUAUAUUUCUUCUAGAAGGUUUAUUCUGGAAAUCUUUCACAGAAACAUAUCUUUUUCUUCUCUACGUGAUCCGUGGUUUGAAAGUUGGAAAAAUGGGUCCGUUAACAAGCCACCGAGUUGAAAAGUUGGAAAAAUGGCAACACCGCCAACCUCUUGUAUUCGAUAGUUAAAUAAAAGGUCACUGGAAGUGAGAUCCCUUUUGGCCUCUUGAUUUUCAUUCCAGCAUCUCUAUGGCCUGAUAAAUUAAAAAACUAAAAAAAAAGACAGUACGUGGGUUGGUGUUAAGCAUCAAGAGUCAAGACAUGAUAAUGGAGAGAAAGGAUAUUCAAAUUCCAGUUCUGACAACAUGAUUUUCUUUGCUGAACUACCAUAUUAUAUUUGAUCAAGAAAGAGUAGUGCAUGUGGCCAGGAUCAAGACAUACAUUAAUUUCCACAUGAUGAAGACAGUUUCUGAGAGUUUCUUCUAAAGCUCUUGCGCGAGUAGGCUUCAAGUCAAAAUCUCCCAUGUAAACACUGGUUUUUCUUUCAUUGCCACUAAGGAUGCAGUUAAUAUUGACUUAAGAUCCUACGUGAUAUAUUUUUUUAAAAGAGCUAUAUUGUAGAUAAUAUUUGAAAUAAUGUUGAUUCGUUGUGGAAAUAUAUUUGUAAGGAAAGUUGUUGACAAUUUAAUAUAGUAUAAGAAGAAAAAAGUUAUCAACUAGCUAGAGAUGAGUAUGUAAAGUGAGGCUCACGAUUCAACGCGUAAAUAUAAGAUAUUUUAAGGCUCAAUAGUUAUGAUAUCUAUUUUAUUUUUUGUAUCUCAUAUAUUCAAAGAUAUAGUAAAAUGAUUUUACAUAUAUAUAUAUAUAUAUAUAUGAACAUAACUAUUUGUGCCAAUUGAUUUUUAUCUUUAUUUUGUAUAUUAGUAAUUAUAUUAAAGUUUUUACUAAUAUAAUAACUAAUAUAAAAGCUUUUUCUAAAAGAGUCAACAGAGCAAAACACUUAUUAUAAAAAAUAAUUUUGAUUGAAGGUGGAGUCAAUUAUUCUUUAUUUAACAUGUAAUGCAUACGGCGUGUACUUCAUAACUAAAGUAUAUAAGUGUAACAUCUCUUAUAUAUUCUCAUUCAAUCUCGAAAGUGGAAAUUUUAAAAAGAUUAAACGGUUCAAAUUUGUCGUGCAUAAAGGGGAUCAUGUCACAUAAGCAAACCAUGGCAUACCAAAGACAUAGGUAUGGACUAAGAAUUUUUUUCAAAUAAGUUUCUUAUUAGGGUACAUUAAUAGGUGACUUUUUAUGACAUAUCAAAGGAGUCAAGUGCACCAAUAAAAACAUAUAUAGAAAAUUCAUGCAUGACAUGUAUCACUAAGAGAAGAUUGACUUGAUAGAGUUUAAUCCAAAUAGGAGAUUGUUAAAAGGUGUCUCAAAUUCUUGAUUGAUAUAUAUUUUUUUUAUUAAAAAGGUUAUUAUAUAGAUAUUUCAAUAGACUAUUAAUUCUUUGUAAAAAUAGUUAUAUAAUGAGGAUGGUGAUUAAAAAUAUCUCUAUCAAUAUUUUGGAUUAUAAAAAGAAAAAAAAUGAGAUAAUGAUAAACAUAUAAAACUUGUACAAGUAGAUAAAGAUGUGAUGAAAGACACUUGAUGAAUGAAGGCUUUGUAUUUCAAGAUAUAAAUAUAUGGAGCAAAACUCUUAAUUAUAUGAUCAAAUGAUUCUCUCAUAUUCAUGAAUAUAAGCAGGAUUGGGGAACCAUGAUAGAAUCUUAUAUGCCUCUCCAUGUAGAGUGAUCGAUGUUUAUCUUCAUAUUUUACACCAGUGAAUGACAUUGAAACUCUUAUUGAUAAAAGGGAAAAGGCAUGGCCUCCACCCCAAGAAAAACAAGUAACCUCGGUUUAAAUCACUAGUCUACACCCCGAAGAGAGAACUAGCCAAACCUACUAAAAGAGAAACUUAACAAUUUAGAAAGAAACCGUCCAUGAUAAAGGGCCCCUAAAGGUCCAAUUCAGUGAGGUCGUGAACAAAAACACUUUCAUGUCAAAACAGAGAUAGGUACCACCAAAAUGUAAAGGGAAAGAUGUAAACCACGUCGAACUUUGGUAAUCAAUGGUAAAGAUAGCAUGAUAGCUAAAAGCACUAAAGCUGUGCUUGGUAUGCAAAAAUGAAAAGUGGAAAUCAGCGUCUUAUUCUUUUUCACCUUUAUUCACAUAUUAGGAUAACUAAUAUCUAAUGUUUUUUAUGUCUCAAAUUCUAUUCCAUGUUAUGGUAAACUUUCAUCUUGUUUAGAUCACUUUUGUCUGGUUUGGGCUCAAGACGAUAAGCCUAUAGAGACUUCAUAUUGGGUUGAAUCGAUGCCCUUGAUCUGAUCUGUUCGUUAGAAAAAUCUGAAUUAUUAUAAGCAUUUAGAUAAAAAAUAAAUAAAUGUGAAACACAAACUACUCCCUGCACAACCUUGACCCUAGUUACUCAGUUUCACUGCUCACAGGACUAACCUCUCCAUUCAGUCGAAAUGAAUUGUAACAAGAAGAUUUUUGACAGGAGGACGGUAGUUUAAAAUAAUAAUUUCUAAAGUACUUUUGUGAAAAAAAAUAAUUCCAAACGUGGAUUUUAUCAAGUAAAAAGAAAAAAAAAAGUUAUUUUCUUUUAAAAUCUGUUCUUCUAAAGAUGAUAUAUAUACCAAAAAAAAAAAUUGUUUUCUGAAGGUAAAAUUUUUAAAAUUCAUUUUUAAAAAAAUUUACACACUAAAAUUAUCUUUUCAAGAGAAGAUUUUUUUAAUUUUAAAUAAUUAUUAAUUUAUAAUUAAUUUGUUAUUAAUUAUUUAUUAAUUUUUUUAUUUGAAAAAUGCAUUUAUAAAAAACAAAUUUGUUAUUAAUUUAUUAAAUAAUUUUUACAAAAUAAAUAAUUUUUUUUUAUUUUAAUUUUAAAAUUAAUUUUAUUAUAUAAAUUUUAAAAUUAAAAAUAUUAAUAUUUAAUUUAAAAUUUAACUAUAAAAGGAAUAAAAUAUAGAAAAAUAAAUUAAUUUAUUAUUCAAUAAAUUAAUUUUCAAUAAAAUUUUCAGCAUUAAGAGAUAAAUUUUUAAGUAUUAAUCAAUUUAAAAAGAAAUAAUGAUCAUUUGUAUAUUAAGAUAUUUUAUUUAGUAAUUAUGAAUGAUAAACAACUAAAGUAAUUUGAAAAAAUAAUAAAAUAUUUAAAAAAUAAUAAUUUAAUACACGUAAAAUUAGAAAUGAUUAACUAUUUUUUAUUAAGAAAAAAUUGAGGAAAUAUUUUGUUAUUUAAAAUUUUUUAUUUGUUUUCAAUUUUUAAUGUUAUAGGUUUCAAGAAAAUUGAUCAAAUAAAAAUUAAGAAGUCAUUUUUUCAAAAACUAUAUAUCUAAAUAAAAGCCUUGAAAUUCAAAUACACAAUAUCAUAAAUAUAAACACCAAGUCAAUCCUUAAUUAUCAAAUGUUUUUAAUAUUAAAGAAUCAAAAUCACCUACUAUCAUGAUAAUAAGAAAACCAAUAAUAUUGUUCAUAUAAAUACUAAAAAGCUAACAAAUAUCCCAAACAAUUAAUAAAGUAUCAAACAUGAUAAAAAGUCAAUUAUUAUCAUGAAUGCAAAAAAUCAAUAAUUUUGUUUAUAUGAACCAUCAACAAAGAAAAAAAAAAUCAAUAUCUAAAUAUUAAACAUAAUUUAUAUUUUUAUAAAUAUUAUUGUUGAUAAAUAUCUUAACAAUUAUAAUUUUAGUAAAUAAAAUUAAUUAAUUUUAGUUUAAGAAUUAUUUUUUUAUACUUUCGUAUUCUUAUCAAAAAUCCCCAUUUUGCAUGUCUCCUUUGGCAUGACUUUCUUACCUAAACAAGCAUAUAUAUAUAUAUAUAUAUAUAAAAUAUUUGGUUAAGAAAGAGUACUAAAGUUUAUAUGGCACACAUCAAGAUAGAAACAGAAGUGGAAGAUAAUCCAAAUGUAUGAACAGAUAUAUUAUAUCCAUGUAGUGGUAGUGACUUCAUUAUUUACUUUUAUCUAAUGGAGCAUGACACACUUCUUCUGAAUAUUUUGCACGAUUAUGUUAUGUGUCAGCUUGUUCUAAGUCAAAACUAGUGAUAAAAAUCGGUUUUUUUUGCAUUUCCUUCAUGAAGAUGGCACCUGGAUGGGGCACUACAUGAGUGGCAUAGCACGAAGUGAUUUAUCUGCUCCCUUUACUAUAAAGUGCUUUGUGUAUAAGUUACACCUCCCCUGCACUGCCUCAACAUUUGUUGUUCUGUCUUCCGUCUGUCCAAACGAGGACAAACGUAUGUUGUAGGUUGACAAAACCACAGCUAGCCUAGGAUUUGCAAGGAUCUAGUUUGAUUCGUAUGCAAAAGGAUUGGUGAAAAGAUUCACAAAGAUAAUGCUUUUUGCAAUGCAAUCUUGUUCUAAUUCAACAGUGUGGACCAUUUUCAUGUAAUGCUUCAACUAGAUGUCAGUUUCAUGAAUUUUUGUUCAUCUAAUUGAUCACUGGAUAGGCCAUAACCCGAAGAAAUUCAAAAUUCCCUUCAGUACUGUAGCUAAGGAAAGAUCCCUAUCUACCACUGGGAUUUUAAGAGGGUAAAAAUGUAGGUGGGUGCCUAUAUCAUUUGCACUUCACUAUAGGCCUCUUUGGGAAGAUUUCUUCUGAAGACAUUUCAAAGAAACAUAUUUUUCUCUUCUCUCCGUAAACGGCAGCUGCAAGUCAGUCCAUUCACAGGCCACCGAGUUGAAAAGGCUGGAAAAUUGGCCAAAGCACCCGCCUCCUGGAUUCCAUGGGUAAGGAAAAGGUCACUGGAGGUGUGAUCCCUGUUGGCCUCUUGAUUUCCAUUCCGCCAUCUAUAUGACCUGAUAACCCAAAAACACAGAAGGAAAACGUCACCUGGGUUCAUAGUAAGCAUCAAGUCAUGAUAGAGACCAGACAACAUGACCAACAAAGAGUAGCGAAUGGGGCCAACAUCAAGCCCCAUUACGGUUAGAAGAUGGAAGAAGUAGAAGACAAUCCAAUUCUGAUAGAUUCGGGCAAAUGUAGUGCUGUUCAAACUUAAUCAUUUACUAUUUCUUCAUGAAUCACGGCAUUUUUCUUCUGAAAAUUUUCCAAGAUUAGGCCUCUGAAGAAAAAUUUCAUAUGUAAAUUGGUAUAUUAAGGAAAAGGCGUUACAAAGGUGAAAAAAAACCAAUCAAAUCUUAUAUAUGACAUCUCAAAAAUAUGAACUUGCUAUAAAUAUUUAAAAUCAAAAUCUUGCACAUCACCUCGUAGUACGAACUUGCUAUAAAACUUGAAAAUCAAGAAGAAAGGGGCAGUAUUGGACGAGACUACUUAGCACAUAUUAUUAUGAUGUUUUUUCAUUUUCUUAAUGUUGUUUUUAUGUCUUAAAUUCUAUUAUUCUAUGUUACGGUAAACAUUCAUCUUGUUUGUGUGGAAUAGGAUCACUUUUCUCUGGGUUGAGUCGAUGCCCUUAGUUAAUUUGUUCAUUUGAAUAAACUAAAUUAUUAUAAGUAUUUAGAUAAGAAAAACGUGAUACAUAAAUUACGCCUCUCGGCACAACUUCAACACUGGUUACUCUGUUUCAGUUUCCUCACACAAGAUUAUUGGUUCUAGGGUUUAUUUGGUUUUGGUUUGAUUCUAAUUGCUAAACUUUCUCAAGGAAGAUGUUAUAUAGGGAGUGAGAAACCUUCACUCUUGGCUACCUCCAAGAGAAGAGCAAGUGGUCUGAAUCAAAGAUAUACUGCUCACUUUUUCUUCUUCUAAGGACAGCUAUGACCUUGCUUUAAGGUUCGAAUAGCCUAAUGCAACCUCCCAUUUCUCAAGUCAGCUGAUGAUGUAAGUCACCUUGGCUUUCCACAUUCAUACGGUGAGGACGUUUGUGGGUGUAAUUCUCUUAACAGUUUUCAUUUUAUAUGGAAAAAUUCAUAAUUAAGGGUAAUUACUGAUUCCAUUUGACAGUGACCAAGUUUAAAAUAUUAAUUCAUAUAUUAAAUGCACAUUAAAAAAUCAUGGAAUAAAUAUAUUUACUAAUAUAUAGUUCUUUUGCCAUGUUCUGUCACAGAAGCAUCGAACUUUCCCUAGAAAUUUUUGCAUGGUAUUCUACUUAUGAUUUUGAAAACUCUAGGCACCUGAGGCCACUAAUUGCAUGGUUGGAUGAGGAGCUGCAUGAGAUUAUGUAUCGUGUUGUUCCUUAACUACAAAUAUCAGUUUUAAGUAGCAUCUCCAUGUGACAUUUUCCUGAUGCAAUUUCGCUGUCCACCAACAAAUUUCACCAUGCAGCAAGAUGAAUUGUAAUUUCUUUAUUGUUAUCAACAGCUUUAAUUAAUCUUGAUAUAUAUAUAUAACUUAGUAGAAGUAUAUUAAUCUAGAUUGUAGUUGCACUAAGAUAAUAGGCAAUAUUAUAACAGUGCCACAAUGCUCAUCGCCAAAUAGAAAGGUAGAAAAACUACAAUGAGUAACUCACAACAUUCUCAAACAGGACAUAGCGGCGACUGAUACAUAGAACACUAUUGGCACUCAGGAAAUGAUAAGAUCAGUGCCCAGCAGGCAGCACGUCUUAUUUUACAUACUACUUAAAACUAACCAAAGUCAUUCAGUUGGGAUGGGUGGGAGAUGGUGGUUUGUGCGGUGGCUUUUGGGUAGUUGGUGGCUUCUUUCCUGGAACUGAUGGUUUUUUUGUUGGAGUUGAAGGAGGCUUAAUCGUCUGAGGUGGCUUGUAUGAGUCUUCAGCACUCUCUGCGGGAGGGUGCCCAGGGUUGUGACCAUAAUGGGGUGGCUUCUCUCCCUUAGUUGGUUUGCCAAGUGGGCUGGCUGGCUUGUGCUCCGGGAGCGGCUUCUCUCCCUUAGGUGGUUUGCCAAAUGGGCUUGCUGGCUUGUGCUCUGGGAGCGGCUUCUCUCCCUCAAGAAGUUUACGGGUUUUGUCAGAUGGCUUGUGUUCUGGUGGUGGCUUCUCUCCUUGGGGUGGUUUGCCAAAUGGACUUGGUGGCUUGUGUUCGGGGAGUGGCUCCUCUCCCUUGGGAGGUUUAGUUGGUGGCUGGUGUUCCAUAGGUGGUUUCUCAACCGGGGGCUUGUUCUCCGUUGGUGGUUUAUGAACUGGGGGAUGCUUGGGGUAGUCAGCAAGAGACGGGGUGGUGAGAACCACCAGUCCCAGCAGCAACACUAGCAAGUAUGUGGAAGAGUACAUCUUUGAGUUCAGGCUGAGAUUUGUGCGAGACUUGAAGAAUUAGGUGGCCUUUUAUAGCUGGCUGCACCCAACACUCACAUGACACGUAUCAUGGUGACACAUGUGCUAUGGGUCCAUUUGGGUCCUACAGAAGCUGAAAACUUUUGACUAUUGAGGUGUGGUCACAACUUUUGUCCCUAUUGCUUUCUCCGCAACCGUUUUACAUGUUUCCUUUGGCAUAAUUUUCUAAGCUAAACAAGCAUAUAUCAUAUUUGGUUAAGAAAGAGUAAAGUGUAUAUGGCACACAUCAAGGAAGAGAAACAGAAAAAGUGGGAGACAAUCAAUUGUGAUAAACAGAUAUAUUAUAUUCAUGUAGUACUAGUGACUUUAUCAUUUACUUUUAUCCAAUAGAUCAUCACUCUUUCUUCUAAAUAUUUUGGAGGAUAAUGGUACAUGUUGCUUGUUUCCAAGUCAAAAUUGGUGGCAAAAAUCGGCAUGAUACGAAAGGAUUGGUGAAAAGAUUCACAUAGAUGGUGCUUUGUGCAAUGCAGUCUUGCUCUAAUUCAACAGAGUGGACCAUGGUGAUGUAUUUUAAAUUUUAAAUUUUAAAUUAAUGCAUGCUUCAAAGUUUUAACUAGAUGUCACUUCCAUGGAUUUUUGUUCAUUUAAUUGAGCACAGGAUAGGCUAUCAAACUUGAAGUAAUAUAAAAAUCCCUUCAUUACUGUAACUAAUGAAAGAUCAUUAUCUGCGCUUGGUAUUUUGCCAAGGUAUUUGCUGCUCUUUCUAGCCCUGUCUUACAGUUAAGGACAAUGUGAUCUAGUUAACCUUAGAAGCUAUUCCAUGUCAGAUACAAGAGAUCAAGCACAUUAUCUUUGGGCUCAGUUCAAAACUAUAAUAUAUGGGUGGGGUGGAGGCCCAUAUCAUUUGCAUAUCACCACUAUUGGUUUAGUUUGGAAGGUUUCUUCUGGAAGAUUGCUGCUUUCUGGAAUCAUUUCAAAGAAAUAUAUCUUUUUGUUCUCUUGGUGACGAGCAGCGGCAAUCAAGUCUGUUGACAAACAACCGAGUUGAAAAGUUUGAAAAUUGGUCACAGCCCACGUCCAUGGUUAAGGAAAAGGUCACUGGAAGUGAUCCCUUCUGGGCCUCUUGAUUUCCAUUCUGACAUCUAUAUGACCUGAUAAAUAGAAAGAAAAAAAAACAGAAGAAAAGCGGCACCCGGGUUCAUAGUAAGCAUCAAGACAGGAUACUGAAAGAAGGGAGAAAGGAGAUUGCAAGUCCAAUCCUGAUAAAAUGAUCAACAAAGAGUAUCAAAAUGGGGCCAACAUAAAGACCCAUUGAGGUUAGCAGAUGGCAUGGCAUUUUUCUCCUUAAGUUUUCCAUGAUUAGACUUGAAGUCAAAAUUUCACAUGUAAAUUUGUAUUUCUACAUUUCCCACUGACGACACCCAACUUCAACUUGAGUUAGAAUAACAUUGUGUGAACUUAUCUGGCCCUCAAAAUUUACUGUGAAGUGCUUUCUGCGUGUGAAGAUUCAGAAAAGCACCAAGGGAACAUGUAUGGUCUGCCUUUUUCUGAUGUUAUGUUUGUCUCUAAUUCUGUUCCAUGUCAUGGUAAAUGUUCACAUUGCUUGUAUGGAACACACCAGGAUCACUUUUUCGGGUUUAUUUUGAGGCUUCAUAUUGGGUUCAUAUUGGGUUCAAUGCUUUUAAUGUGUUCAUUAGACAAAUCUGAAUUAUCAUAUGCAUUUAGAUAAGAACAAUAAUGUGAAACCCUAGUUACACCUCCCCUGCAUAACCCCAACCCUGCUUACUCUAUUUCAGUUUACUCACACAAGUUUUACCGGUUCUUAUAAGUCAAGAAAAGGCAACUGAUGUUGGAUUGACUCUCUUCCAUGUAUAAAAAGCAACUUUUAUAUAUACAUAAAAUAACUUCUUCCCCUCACCAAUGUGGGAUAUCAUGGAUUUAUUCUGGAAACACAUCAAAGGAACAUCUUUUCUCUUGGGUGACCCUAAGUGGUGAGUCAGACCAUUUGCAUGCCAUUGAGUUGCACAGUUGGAUAAAUGCACCUACCUCCUGGGCUCCAGAGUUAAAAGGGUGGAUCCCUGGAUCGCAACCCUCUUGGCAUCUUGGUUUCCAUUCCAACAUCCACAUGACUUGACAAAACAAAAAACAGAAUAAAAUCAUCACUAUUUUCAUGCUAAGCACCAAUACAUGAUGGAAAUCAUUGCUUAAAGAUUUGGGGUCAUUUAGGUUUUGACUGCCUCCUAACACCUCACCUAAUCACAAGUUUUUAUGCUUACAAAUCAAAUAUCGUUCUUCAUUAUAUUAAAAUCAUUUUAAGAUUUCAGAUCCAUCUGCUAAUUAUGAUUAUGAUAACAUUAAUUCACCUGUGCUUCUCAUUUUCGACACACAAGGCAUCUAGGUUUGCAGGAUUUCCUUAUUAGAUGAGAUAAAUGAGUACGCAUGGUUAUGUAUGCAGCAUUCAUUAACCAUGGUAUGUGACAUUUAGAAUUAAGAUAGCAAGCAAACUUUCCCUGCAGCUUGAGUAAAUUGUGAUUUCUUAGCCUCUAUGAGUGGUUCCCAAAUCAAAUUAACAUAGUGAAAUAUACGUAGUCCAGUGAAAGGAAAUGUAAAUUAUAAACUAACAGCACUACACUACUGGUAACACUCGAUACUCUCUAUAUAAUGCAAUGAAAUAUACGUUAUACGUUGCUUGUUCCAAGUCAAAAUUUGUGGCCAAACGUUGGCCUUUUUUCAUUUUCCCUAAGAUUAAUGCUCACCUGGGAUAGGCACUACAUGAUUUAUCUGCUCUUUUACUGUAAAGUUGCUUUGUGUAUGAGUUACACCUCCCCUGCACACCCUCAACAUUUGUUGCUCUGUUUUCCUUGUGUCCAGACGAGGAUAUUAAGUGGGGGCUGACAAAACGACUGCUAGCCAAGGAUUUACAAGGUCCUGGUUUGACGCUUCCGCGAAAGUAUUUUUGAAAAUAUACACAUAGAGAUUGCGCGUUCGGUGCAAUGCAACAAUGUGAGCCAUUCUGAAGUUUUUAAUUUCAGAUUAAUGAAUGCUACAAAAUUCUAAGAAGGGCCGUUUCCAAAUAUUUGAGUUCAUUUAUCCGAACAUCGGAUAAGUAAUGAUCAUAGAUUAUUAUUAUUAUCUGACGUUCUUAUAAUGGUUGGCAUUAUAAGAGGGUAUAUGCUUCUUUCUCUAGCCCCUCCUUCAAGGGAGGGACAAUGUGAUCUGUAUCGUUAGAAGCUAUUCCAUGUCGUCAUCUUUUGGCUUAAGUCAAUACUAAAAUAUAUGGGCGGGGCCCCUGUCAUUUUAUAUUUCUUCUAGAAGGUUUGUUCUGGAAAUCUUUCACCGAAACAUAUCUUUUUCUUCUCUACGUGAUCCGUGGUUGGAAAGUUAGAAAAAUGGGUCCGUUCACAAGCCACCGAGUUGAAAAGUUGGAAAAAUGGCAACACCGCCAACCUCUUGUAUUCGAUAGUUAAAUAAAAGGUCACUGGAAGUGAGAUCCCUUUUGGCCUCUUGAUUUUCAUCCCAGCAUCUCUAUGUCCUGAUAAACUAAAAAACUAAAAAAAAAACAGUACGUGGGUUGGUGUUAAGCAUCAAGAGUCAAGACAUGAUAAUGGAGAGAAAGGAUAUUCAAAUUCCAGUUCUGACAACAUGAUUUUCUUUCCUGAACAACCAUGUUAUAUUUGAUCAAGAAAGAGUAGUGCAUGUGGCCAGGAUCAAGACAUACAUUAAUUUCCACAUGAUGAAGACAGUUUCUGAGAGUUUCUUCUAAAGCUCUUGCGCUAGUAGGCUUCAAGUCAAAAUUUCCCAUGUAAACACUGGAUUUUCUUUAAUUGCCACUAAGGAUACAGUUAAAAUUGACUUAAAAUCCUACGUGAUAUAUAUCUUUAACAAAAGUAUAUUGUAUAUAAUAUUUGAAAUAAUGUUGAUUCGUUGUGGAAAUAUGUUUGUAAGGAAAGUUGUUGACAAUUUAAUAUAGUAUAAGAAGAAAAAAGUUAUCAACUAGAGAUGAGUAUGUAAAGUGAGGCUCACGAUUCAACGCGUAAAUAUAAGAUAUUUUAAGGCUCAAUAGUUAUGAUAUCUAUUUUAUUUUUUGUAUCCCAUAUAUUCAAAGAUACAGUAAAAUGAUUUUAUAUAUAUGAACAUAGCCGAUAGUAUCAUGUUAAAACCUUAUAUGACUCUUUGUGCCAAUUGAUUUUUAUCUUUAUUUUGUGUAUUAGUAAUUAGUAUUAAAGUUUUUACUAACAUAAUAAUUGAUAUAAAAGCUUUUUCCAAAAGAGUCAAACAGAGCAAAACACUUAUUAUAAAAAGAAUUUUGAUUGAAGGUGGAGUCAAUUAUUCUUUAUUCAACAUGUGAUGCAUACAGCGGGUACUUCAUAACUAAAGUAUAUAAGUGCAACAUCUCUUAUACAUUCUCAUUCAAUCUCGAAAGUGGAAAAUUUUAAAAGAUUAAAUGGUUCAAAUUUUCCGUGCAUAAAGGGGAUCAUGUCACAUAACCAAACCAUGGCAUACCAAAGCCAUGAUAUGGACUAAGAAUUUUGUUAAAAUAAGUUUCUUAUUAGGGCACAUUAUGUGACUAUUUAUGACAUAUCAAAGGAGUCAAGUGCAUCAAUAAAGACAUAGAAAAUUCAUGCAUCACAUGUACCACUAAGAGAAAAUUGACUUGAUAGAGUUUAGUCCAAAUAGGAGAUUGUUAAAAGGUGCAUCAAAUUCUUGAUUGAUAUAUAUUUUUUUUAUUAGAAAGGUUAUUAUAUAGAUAUUUCAAUAGACUAUUAAUCCUUUGUAAAAAUAGUUAUAUAAUGAGGAUGGUGAUUAAAAAUAUCUCUAUCAAUAUUUUGGAUUAUAAAAAGAAAAAAAAUAUGAGAAAAUGAUAAACAUAUAAAACUUGUACAAGUAGAUAGAGAUGUGAUGAAAGACACUUGAUGAAUGGAGGCCUUGUAUUUCAAGAUGUAAAUAUAUGGAGCAAAACUCUUAAUUAUAUGAUCAAAUGAUUCUCUCAUAUUCAUGAACAUAAGCAGGAUUGGGGAACCAUGAUAGAAUCUUAUAUGCCUCUCCAUGUAGAUUGAUCGAUGUUUAUCUUCAUAUUUUACACCAAUGAAUGACAUUGAAACUCUGAUUGAUAAAAGGGAAAAAGCAUGGCCUCCACCACAAGAAAAACAAGUAACCUCGGUCUAAAUCACUAGUCUACACCCCGAAGAGAGAACUAGCCAAACCUACUAAAAGAGAAACUUACCAAUUUAGAAAGAAAUCUUCCAUGAUAAAGGGCCCCUAAAAGUCCAAUUCAGUCAGGUUGUGAACAAAAACACCUUCAUGUCAAAACAGGAAUAGGUACCACCAAAAUGUAAAGGGAAAGAUGUAAACCAAGUCGAACUUUGGUAAACAAUGGUAAAGAUAGCAUGAUAGCUAAAAGCACUAAAGCUGUGCUUGGUAUGCAAAAAUGAAAAGUGGAAAUCAGCGUCUUAUUCUUUUUCUCCUUUAUUCACAUAUUAGGAUAACUAAUAUCUAAUGUUUUUUUUAUGUCUCAAAUUCUAUUCCAUGUUAUGGUAAACUUUCAUCUUGUUUAAGUGGAAGAGUAGGAUCACUUUUGUCUGGUUUGGGCUCAAGACGAUAAGCCUAUAGAGACUUCAUAUUGGGUUGAAUUGAUGCCCUUGAUCCGAUCAGUUCGUUAGAAAAAUCUGAAUUAUUAUAAGCAUUUAGAUAAAAUAAAUAAAUAAAUGUGAAACAGAGACUAUUCUCUGCACAACCUUGACCCUAGUUACUCAGUUUCACUGCUCACGGGACUAACCUCUCCAUUCAGUCGAAAUGAAUUGUAAUUUCUUUACUGGUAGCAGUAGUACUUUUCAUAGCAAAGAUAAUAGUAAAUAUGAAAUAUAAAUAUAUAGAAGGAAAUCUGGAUUGUAGAUAGCACCAUAAGUAACACUCAAUAUUUACUACAUAAUAAAAGAGAUAGUGUUACAAAGGUAGAGAAACCUACAAUGAGUACUCAUCACCAUUCUCAAACAGAAACAUAGCAGUGACUUAUACAUAGAACCUAUAGGCUCGCAGGGAAAGAGUAACAUGAUAAGUGCACAGCGGGUAGCAGCUCUUAUUUUACGUAUUACUCAAAAUCUCAAACUAACCAAAGUCACUCAGUUGGGAUGGGUAGGAGAUGGUGGUUUGUGGGGUGGCUUCUGGGUAGGAGCUGGUGGCUUCUUUGUUGGAGUUGAAGGAGGCGUAAUCUUCUGAGGUGGCUUGUAUGAGUCUUUGGCACUCUCUGCAGGAGGGUGCCCAGGGUUGUGACCGGAAGGAGGUGGCUUCUGUCCCUUUGGUGGUUUGCCUAAUGGGCUUGGUGGCUUGUGCUCCGGGAGUUGUUUCUCUCCCUCGAGUAGGUUUCGAGUUUUGUCAGAUGGCUUGUGUUCUGGUGGUGGCUUCUCUCCCUGGGGUGGUUUGCCGAAUGGGCUUGGUGGCUUGUGUUCGGGGAGUGGCUUCUCUCCCUUGGCAGGUUCAGUUGGUGGCUGGUGCUCCGUAGGUGGUUUCUUCACCGCCGGCUUCUCUCCCUGGAGAAGGUUACGAGUUUUGUCAGAUGGCUUCUGUUCUGGUGGCGGCUUCUCUCCCUGGGGUGGUUUGCCAAAUGGGCUUGGUGGCUUGUGUUCGGGAACUGGCUUCUCUCCCUUGGCAGGUUCAGUUAGUGGCUGGUGUUCCGUAGGUGGUUUCUUCACCGGCGGCUUGUGCUCCGGAAGCGGCUUCUCUACCUGGAGAAGCUUACGAGUUUUGUCAGAUGGCUUGUGUUGUGGUGGUGGCUUCUCUCCCUGGGGUGGUUUGCCAAAUGGACUUGGUGGCUUGUGUUCGGGGAGUGGCUUCUCUCCAUUGGGAGGUUUAGUUGGUGGUUGGUGUUCCGUAGGUGGUUUCUGAAGUGGGGGAUGCUUGGGGUAGUCAGCAAGAGACGAGGUAGUGAGAACCACCAGUCCCAGCAGCAAUACUAGCAAGGAUGUGGAAGACAUCUUUGAGUUCAGGCUGAGAUUUGUGCAAGGCUAGAAGAAUUAGGUGGCCUUUUAUAGCGGGCUGGACCCAACAACCAAAUGACACGUAUCAUGAUACACAUAUGUGUUAUAAGAUCCUUGUGGGUCCUACAGAAGUUGAAAACUUUGACAAUUGAGGUGUGAUUACAACUUUUGUCCCUAUUGCUUUCUCGUCAGCCGUUUUGCAAGAUUUUUGACAGGAGGACGGUAGUUUAAAAUAAUAAUUUCUAAAGUACUUUUGUGAAAAAAAAUAAUUCCAAACGUGGAUUUUAUCAAGUAAAAAAAACAAAAAAAAGUUAUUUUCUUUUAAAAUCUUUUCUUCAUGAUUCAUAUACCAAAAAAAGAAUUGUUUUCUGUAGGUAAAAUUUUUAAAAUUCAUUUUUAAAAAAAAAAAAUUACACACUAAAAUUAUCUCUUCAAGAAAAUAUUUUUUAAAUUUUAAAUAAUUAUUAAUUUAUAAUUAAUUUUUUAUUAAUUAUUUAUUAAAUUUAUAUGUGAAAAAUGCAUUUAUAAAAAACAAAUUUUUUAUUAAUUUAUUAAAUAAUUAUUUACAAAAUAAAUAAUUUUGCUUUAUUUUAAUUUUAAAAUUAAUUUUAUUAUAUAAAUUUUAAAAUUAAAAAUAUUAAUAUUUAAUUUAAAAUUUAACUAUAAAAGGAAUAAAAUAUAGAAAAAUAAAUUAAUUUAUUAUUCAAUAAAUUAAUUUUCAAUAAAAUUUUCAGCAUUAAGAGAUAAAUUUUUAAGUAUUAAUCAAUUUAAAAAAUAAUAAUAAUCAUUUGUAUACUAAGAUAUUUUAUUUAGUAAUUAUGAAUGAUAAACAACUAAAGUAAUUUGAAAAAAUAAUAAAAUAUUUAAAAAUAAUAAUUUAAUACACUUAAAAUUAGAAAUGAUUAACUAUUUUUUAUUAAGAAAAAAUUGAAGAAAUAUUUUGUUAUUUAAAAUUUUUUAUUUGUUUUCAAUUUUAAAUGUUAUAGGUUUCAAGAAAAUUGAUCAAAUAAAAAUUAAGAAGUCAUUUUUUCAAAAACUAUAUAUCUAAAUAAAAGCCUUGAAAUUCAAAUACACAAUAUCAUAAAUAUAAACACCAAGUCAAUCCUUAAUUAUCAAAUGUUUUUAAUAUUAAAGAAUCAAAAUCACCUACUAUCAUGAUAAUAAGAAAACCAAUAAUAUUGUUCAUAUAAAUACUAAAAAGCUAACAAAUAUCCCAAACAAUUAAUAAAGUAUCAAACAUGAUAAAAAGUCAAUUAUUAUCAUGAAUGCAAAAAAUCAAUAAUUUUGUUUAUAUGAACCAUCAACAAAGAAAAAAAAAAUCAAUAUCUAAAUAUUAAACAUAAUUUAUAUUUUUAUAAAUAUUAUUGUUGAUAAAUAUCUUAAUAAUUAUAAUUUUUUAUAUAUUAAAUUUAGUAAAUAAAAUUAAUUAAUUUUAUAAUAUAAGAUAUAUAUAAUAAUUAAGAGACUAUUUGUCCCAAACAAUUUAUUUAUUUUUUUUUUAGGAAAUUGUCUCUUCAAGAGACGACUUCUCCCAACAUUUUUAAAAAAAAAAAAAAAAACAUCUAUUCAAAAGACGAUUUCUCCUCAUUUUUUAAAAAUGAAUUUUAGAAAUCAUAUUUUCAAAAAUGAAUUUUAGAAAUCAUAUUUUCAAAAGACGAUUUUUUUUUAUAUAAAUUAUUUUUUAAAAUGACGAUUUUAAAAGGAAAUAACGAUCUCUCUCCUACUUGGCAAAAACUAUGGUAAAUUUGGAAUUAUUUCUUCCACAACCAUAGUUUAAGAAUUAUUUUUUUAUACUUUCGUAGACUUAUCAAAAAUCCCUAUUUUGCAUGUCUCAUUUGGCAUGACUUUCUUACCUAAACAAGCAUAUAUAUAUAUAUAUAUAUAUAUAUCACUUUUGUCUGGGUUGAGUCAAUGCCCUUAACUAAUUUGUUCAUUUGAAUAGUCUAAAUUAUUAUAAGCUUUUAGUUAAGAAAAAUGUGAAACAUAAAUUACACCUCUCGGCACAACUUCGACACUGGUUACUCUGUUUCAGUUUAUUCACACAAGAUUAUUGGUUCUAGGGUUUAUUUGGUUUUGGUUUGAUUCUAAUUGCUAAACUUUCUCAAGGAAGAUGUUAUAUAGGGAGUGAGAAACCUUCACUCCUGGCUACCUCCAAGAGAAGAGCAAGUGGUCUGAAUCAAAGAUAUACUGCUCACUUUUUCUUCUUCUAAGGACAGCUAUGACCUUGCUUUAAAAUGUUCGAAUAGCCUAAUGCAACCUCCCAUUUCUCAAGUCAGCUGAUGAUGUAAGUCACCUUGGCUUUCCACAUUCAUACGGUGAGGACGUUUGUGGGUGUAAUUCUCUUAACAGUUUUCAUUUUAUAUGGAAAAAUUCAUAAUUAAGGGUAAUUACUGAUUCCAUUUGACAGUGACCAAGUUUAAAAUAUUAACUCAUGUAUUAAAUGCACAUUAAAAAAUCAUGGAAUAAAUAUAUUUACUAAUAUAUAGUUCUUUUGUCAUGUUCUGUCACAGAAGCAUCGAACUUUCCCUAGAAAUUUUUGCAUGGUAUUCUGCUUAUGAUUUUGAAAACUCUAGGCACCUAAGGCCACUGAUUGCAUGGUUGGAUGAGGAGCUGCAUGAGAUUAUGUAUCCUGUUGCUCCUUAACUACAAAUAUCAGUUUUAAGUAGCAUCUCCAUGUGACAUUUUCCUGAUGCAAUUUCGCUGUCCACCAACAAAUGUCUCCAUGCAGCUAGAUGAAUUGUAAUUUCUUUGUUGUUAUCAACAGCUUUAAUUAAUCUUGAUAUAUAUAUAACUUAGUAGAAGUAAUUAAUCUAGAUUGUAGUUGCACUAAGAUAAUAGGCAAUAUUAUAACAGUGCCACAAUGCUCAUCGCCAAAUAGAAAGGUAGAAAAACUACAAUGAGUAACUCACACAACAUUCUCAAACAGGACAUAGCGGCGACUGAUACAUAGAACACUAUUGGCACUCAGGAAAUGAUAAGAUCAGUGCCCAGCAGGCAGCACGUCUUAUUUUACAUACUACUUAAAACUAACCAAAGUCAUUCAGUUGGGAUGGGUGGGAGAUGGUGGUUUGUGCGGUGGCUUCUUUCCUGGAACUGGUGGUUUUUUUGUUGGAGUUGAAGGAGGCUUAAUCGUCUGAGGUGGCUUGUAUGAGUCUUCAGCACUCUCUGCAAGAGGGUGCCCAGGGUUGUGACCAUAAUGAGGUGGCUUCUCUCCCUUAGGUGGUUUGCCAAGUGGGCUGGCUGGCUUGUGCUCCGGGAGCGGCUUCUCUCCCUUAGGUGGUUUGCCAAAUGGGCUUGCUGGCUUGUGCUCUGGGAGCGGCUUCUCUCCCCCAAGAAGUUUGCGGGUUUUGUCAGAUGGCUUGUGUUCUGGUGGUGGCUUCUCUCCUUGGGGUGGUUUGCCAAAUGGACUUGGUGGCUUGUGUUCGGGGAGUGGCUCCUCUCCCUUGGGAGGUUUAGUUGGUGGCUGGUGUUCCGUAGGUGGUUUCUCAACCGGGGGCUGGUGCUCCGUAGGUGGUUUAUGAACUGGGGGAUGCUUGGGGUAGUCAGCAAGAGACGGGGUGGUGAGAACCACCAGUCCCAGCAGCAACACUAGCAAGUAUGUGGAUGACAUCUUUGAGUUCAGGCUGAGAUUUGUGCAAGACUAGAAGAAUUAGGUGGCCUUUUAUAGCUGGCUGCACCCAACACUCACAUGACACGUAUCACGGUGACACAUGUGCUAUGGGAUCCAUUUGGGUCCUACAGAAGUUGAAAACUUUUGACUAUUGAGGUGUGAUCACAACUUUUGUCCCUAUUGCUUUCUCCGCAACCGUUUUACAUGUUUCCUUUGUGGUGUUUAAUAGUGUUUUUUUCCUUAAUUCUAAAUAAACCUUAAUACUUAAUAAUGUUAAAUAUUAGGUUAUUUAUUUUUAUAAUAUUUUAUUUAUAUUAAGUAUUAAAAAGUAAAGAAAAAUCAAUAUAUUUAUUUUUCUAUUUAGAAAAAACUAUAUAUUUUUAAUUUUUUUAUUUAAUAAAAAAUUUAUAAUAAAUCAUGAAAAAAUAGAAAAACAAACAACCUAAAUUUUAAAAAUAAAUUGUUUUUAGUAAAAACCCAAAAAAACAAACACCACCUUAACUAAACAAAUAUAUAUUAUAUUUAGUUAAGAAAGAGUAAAGUGUAUAUGGCUCAAAUCAAGGAAGAGAAACAGAAUAAGUGGAAGACAAUCAAUUGUGAUAAACAGAUAUAUUACAUGCAUGUAGUACUAGUGACUUUAUCAUUUACUUUUAUACAAUAGAUCAUCACACUCUUUCUUCUAAAUAUUUUGGAGGAUAAUGGUACAUGUUGCUUGUUGCCAAGUCAAAAUUGGUGGCAAAAAUCGGCAUGAUACGAAAGGAUUGGUGAAAAGAUUCACAUAGAUGGUGCUUUGUGCAAUGCAGUCUUGCUCUAAUUCAACAGAGUGGACCAUGGUGAUGUAUUUUAAAUUUUAAAUUUUAAAUUAAUGCAUGCUUCAAAGUUUUAACUAGAUGUCACUUCCAUGGAUUUUUGUUCAUUUAAUUGAGAACAGGAUAGGCUAUCAAACUUGAAGUAAUAUAAAAAUCCCUUCAUUACUGUAACUAAUGAAAGAUCAUUAUCUGCGCUUGGUAUUUUGCCAAGGUAUUUGCUGCUCUUUCUAGCCCUAUCUUACAGUUAAGGACAAUGUGAUCUAGUUAACCUUAGAAGCUAUUCCAUGUCAUAUACAAGAGAUCAAGCACAUUAUCUUUGGGCUCAGUUCAAAACUAUAAUAUAUGGGUGGGGUGGGGGCCUAUACCAUUUGCAUAUCACCACUAUUGGUUUAGUUUGGAAGGUUUCUUCUGGAAGAUUGCUUUCUGGAAACAUUUCAAAGAAAUAUAUCUUUUUGUUCUCUUGGUGACGAGCAGCGGCAAUCAAGUCUGUUGACAAACAACCGAGUUGAAAAGUUUGAAAAUUGGUCACAGCCCACGUCCAUGGUUAAGGAAAAGGUCACUGGAAGUGAUCCCUUCUGGGCCUGUUGGAAGCAGGGGAGGUUAACACACCAAGCAACAAAGAACAGAGAUAUGCUGCUACUGAUCUAUAUUUUUUAUUUGAUCAUAAGGCUAAAUUUAUACAGAUUGUGUAACAGAUAUGACCUCAAAAAAAAGCAUCAAAUCAAGCUACUUGUUGAACAAACAACUACCUUCUACAAAAUAACAUCAAAAUUUAACUUAAAAGCAAAAACAUAAAAAUAGCAACAGCAAAAAUAGAAACAUAAAAAUAGCUUCAGCAUUCUAGUAAUCUCGUUGACUUCAAUUGCAUGUGGUUGACGAUUUCAGCCUUUUCCUCAGCAGCUACUAAGGCAUAACUCUCAACACUCCUCCUUGACUUAGGAGGUGCAAACUCCAAGUCUUUCUCAUAGAAACUCAAAUCUUAUUUUAGGAAGAGCUUUAGUCAGAAUAUCUACAUUUUGACUGUCUGUAUUGCAGUAGACUAGUUGUAUAUCUCCUUCUUUCUGUACUUCCCUCAAAAAUUACAAUUUAAUCUUGAAGUGCUUUGUUUUACCAUGAAAAACUGGAUCAUUUGCAAUAGAUAUAGUGGCCUGGUUGUCUACAAACACCUUUGUACUCACUUCUUGCUUCAUAUCCAAAUCUGUCAGCAACUUUCCAAGCCAUAAGGCUUGAUUUACAGCUGUAACAGCAGCAAUAUACUCUGCCUCAGCUGUGGAUUGAGCCACGACUUCUUGCUUCCUUGAACUCCAUGAAAAAACACCAGAACCAAAACUAAAACAAUAGCCUGAAGUACUUCUCAUAUCGUCAACACAACCAGCCCAAUCACUAUCAGAAAAUCCAUGAAAAUUGAAACUUUGAACUUGACUGAACUUAAUGCCAUAAUCCACAGUGCCUUUAACAUUUCUUAUCACACGCUUUGCUGCCUGGAAAUGAAUUUCACUAGCACAAUGCAUGUAUCUCGAAAGUAGACUUACAGCAUGCAUUAUAUCGAGUCUUGUUGCAGUCAAGUACAUUAAGCAUCCAAUCAUGCUUCGAUAAAGUCCUUCAUCUACCUUUUUAGCACCGUCCUCCUUACAGAACUUCUCUUUCUGGUUCAUAGGGGUAGAUGUAGGUUUGCAUUCCUCCAUUUUGAAUUUCUUCAUAAUUUCUUUGGCAUAUUUUUGUUGGCAGAUGAAAAUCUCAUUCUGCUUCUGGUGUACUUCCAUUCCCAAGAAGUAAGACAUCUCAUCUAGGUCUGUCAUCUCAAAAACCUGCUCCAUUUCAGCCUUGAAUUUGUUCACAAACCCUGCAUUACUUCCUGUUACAAGCAAAUCAUCAACAUAUAGAGAAACAAUUAAUAUAUCUUCUUCAAUCUUCUUAAUGUAGAGUGUAAAUUCACUCAAGCUCUUGUGAAAGCCUAAAGUUAGCAGGUGAGUGUCAAUCCUGCUGUACCAAGCUCUAGGGGCUUGUCUUAACCCAUACAAGGCCUUCUUAAGAAGGUAUACUUUUUCUUCUUUUCCUUUGAUAGCAAAACCUUCUGGUUGUUCGACAAAAAUCUCUUCCUCUAAGUAGCCAUUCAAAAAUGCUGACUUCACAUCUAGUUGAUAAAUCUUCCAUUUUCUUUGAGCUACAAGAGCCAACAACAUCCUGAUUGUAUCCAAACGAGCUACUGGUGCAAAGGUUUCCGAAAAGUCAACACCAAACAUUUGUGCAUACCCUUUGACAACCAGCCUUGCUUUAUGUUUGUUUAUAGAACCAUCAGAGUUGAGUUUGGUUCUGUAAACCCACUUAACCCCAAUAGGUUUUUUGUGUGAAGGUCUAUCUACUAGCUCCCAAGUGUUGUUCUUGUCAAUCAUAUCUAGCUCCUCCUGCAUUGCAACCCUCCAUCUUUUAUUUUCAGCAGCUUCAACAAACCCUGCAAGUUCAAGAACAGCUAUAUUACACCUUUGAUAAAUAUCAAAAAGUGUCAUGAAACCUCUAACUGGAAGUUCAUCAACAUCUUCAUCAAUAUAUUGCUGAUUCUGCUCAUCCCAACUCCAUUUCUCCGUUUCCAAAAACUUAACAUCUCUACUUACCACAAUUUUACUAUUUUGUGGCAAGUAGAUUCUGUAAGCUUUUGAGGUGCUGUUGUAUCCAAUGAAAAUUCCUGGUUCUGACUUUUUAUCUAGCUUGUCUCUUUUCACCUGAGGAACAUAAGAGAAACACAAGCAACCAAAGGUCUUUAAAUUCAUUAGCAUAGGCUUAUAAGCAAACCAGGCCUCAAAAGGUGUCUGUUUCUGCAAUGCUUUUGUUGGUAGUCUAUUUAGCAAAAAUACUACUGUAUUUGCAGCUUCAACCCAAAAACUUUUUGGCAGCUCUUUCUCAUGCAAAAGACAUCUUGUCAUUGAUUACUACUCAAAAAGUGCUAUUUGAUAGCCUUUAAUUAAUCCUUUUUAACACUUUUGAGUAGUAGUUUAGGCCUUUUAACUCAAUUGGCAUGUUAAGGAUCCUUUAAAGCAAUUUUGAUCACUUUGUGCAAGUUUUGGUGUUUUUGUUAGUAUUUCGAUCACCAAAGCAAGUCAAGAAUGAGGAGAGCUAUGAGGAAUCUUGGGCAAAGCUUAGAAUUCAAUUGCCAAGAGUGAAUCCGGAUUGCAAGGAGAAAAAGCAAAGAGGAUCAGUCAUGGAGCAUAUUCUUGAUGACAGUCGUAGCAGCCACUUUUGGAUCACUUUCUGAAGUCCAAAUGAUGCAAGCUAUAUACCAUUUCAAAGCUCAGGAAGUCAACAAUCCAAUGCUUCAAACGGUGUGCGAUUCGGAAUUGAAACGAAGAAGUUGCAGCCAUUACAAGCCAGACACUCUAAAGUGUUGCGGAAUCAGCCAUGUGUUGCGAGAAUUUCGCAGCACUUUUGUACAGUAAGGUGUUUCUCCUUCUAACGAUGCACGAACCAUGCCGCGAGAAGGGAGCUGGAAACUUCAAGAUGGAAGCCAACUUUGCAGCCUAGUGAAGAUAGCUCGGUCUUGCAAGAUAAUUUCGCAGCCCUCUUGGGUGUCUGCGAAAUUUCGCAGGCCUCAUUUUUCACCUGCGAAAUGGCUCUUGAAGCCUCCCGAAGCUUGCUACCGACAUUGGGAGAUAUUUUCCAUUAGAUUUUUGUUGUCUAAAUCCCAAAAUACUCCUUGUAAACCACCAAUUACAUGAUUCCUUAGUUUUUAAGUUAGUAAAAAGACCAAAUAUCUUUGUAACAAUUAGUUUUAUAUUUUGUUGUUAUAAAUACCUCUCGGGAGCCUGUUCUCAGGGAGGAGUUCCUUCUGUAAACGUUUGGUAAGCAAGUAAAGUCUAUUUUCUUUCUACUGCCUUACCUUCUCACUUUGUAUUUUCAUUUUAUUUCUAAGUUAUGAAUUCUCUGAGGAGUUUUCCCCAAAGAAUGAGUAACUAAACCUCCAAUUCCUUGGAGCUAAGGUUGCCGGGGAAGGUUCCAAGUGCAAGAAUGCAAAGCUCUGUGGUUUUAGCUAGUAAUGAAGAGGAAGUGAAAUCCUUUAGUGAUUUCAAUGUUUUUAGUUAACUUAAAACACUUUGGAGUCACCUGGGCCAACACUUGGUAAGGCAAGUGAUUUCCAACCAUGGAAAUGCACUAGUUUACCCCUUGCGAGCCUCUGGUAGGUGACUUCAAGGUAGGAUUUUCUGGAAUUACCAACACUUGGUAAGCUUUUGGACUCCUAGGAGACAUCCAUUAGUUAUCUCUUGCGAGUUUGUGAAGGGAAUCCAAGGUUAAAGAUCACCUUGAAUGGUAAGUGCUCGUGAGAGGCAUGAACCAUUGCAAGUUGUAUCAGUGAGAGAAUUAAAGUGAAAUCUAAUUGAAGGAGUCUUUGUACAUCACCGGUUAGAGAAUUGACUAUAAGUUGAAUCUCUAAUGCGAGGAAAUGAACCAACUGACCAGAGCCGUGUCUUUUGCAUGAGGAACCACCCCAGUGAACCUAAAUCUCCAAGGAAUGUUUUUUUCUUCCUAAAUUAUUCCAAACUUCUGUUAAGUUAGUUAGUUUAAAUCUCAACCUUUACAAAUCAAAGUUUGUGUUUUAUUCCUUAAGCUAACCGUGAAAUGAAACAAGACCAAUUCACUUGGAAUUGGUAUCAUUGAUUGCCUGCAAAUCAUUCCCAGUGAACGAUCCUAGAGCCACUAUACUAUAGUAGCUUUGUAUUUGCUACCCUAGUGUAUGGUGUUAUAGGUAUAAAUUUUGUUGAUCACUUCCUCAAUCAAGGAGCACCAGCUGAACACAAAUCAGCUGAGACACCAAUUAGGCAUGAGUCAAAUGGCGCCGUUGCCGGGGAAUGAAUGUCAAGUUCAUUGUGAUACCAUUGUUGAGCACUUGUGAUUUUCAUCACAAGUUGGUAAAGUUUCUUUCACUUUACUAAUUUUCAUUCUUUCUUUGUUUAUUUACAAUCUAAGUUUAUCUUUUUAAAUUUUAGUCUAGUUUAAUUUUGUUGUUGUAGCCCUGUUUUUCUUGUUGUCCUCUGUUUUCAUUUUUUUUUUCAGGUAGAUACUAGUUGUGUAUGCCCAAGUGGAUACGAGACAUAGGAGGUAGGCUUGUUAAGUGUGAUACACCUCAGAAAGGAGAAUUUGAAGUAAUCUUGAAUAUCAUGGAGGCUGCACCUGAAGAUCAGCAUAGUCACCAAGGUCGUCAAGACAAUCUCAAUGAAUUCAGAUCAAUGAGGGACCGUAUGCAUCCACCUCGUAUGAGUACACCAUCAUGUAUAGUGCCCCCUACAGAGCAGCUAGUGAUCAGACCAUAUCUUGUUCCACUUCUACCAACUUUCCAUGGGAUGGAAAGUGAGAAUCCGUAUGCACACAUCAAGGAAUUUGAAGAUGUUUGUAAUACAUUCCAAGAAGGAGGAGCUUCAAUUGACUUGAUGAGGCUUAAGUUAUUUCCUUUUACUUUAAAGGAUAAGGCCAAAAUUUGGCUUAAUUCUUUAAGGCCAAGGAGUAUCCGCUCUUGGACUGAUUUACAAGCUGAGUUCCUUAAGAAAUUUUUUCCUACUCAUAGAACAAAUGGCUUGAAAAGGCAAAUUUCAAACUUCUCAGCUAAAGAGAAUGAGAAAUUCUAUGAGUGUUGGGAAAGAUACAUGGAAGCUAUAAAUGCUUGUCCUCACCAUGGCUUUGAUACUUGGCUAUUGGUGAGCUAUUUUUAUGAUGGUAUGUCCUCCUCAAUGAAGCAACUCCUCGAGACAAUGUGUGGAGGAGAUUUCAUGAGCAAAAAUCCAGAGGAAGCUAUGGAUUUCUUGAGCUAUGUAGCUGAUGUUUCAAGGGGAUGGGAUGAACCAACUAAAGGAGAAGUGGGAAAGAUGAAGUCUCAGUUGAAUGCUUACAAUGCAAAGGCUGGGAUGUAUAAUUUGAAAGAAGAUGAUGACAUGAAAGCAAAGUUGGCAGCUAUGACAAGAAGAUUGGAGGAGCUGGAGCUGAAAAGAAUGCAUGAAGUGCAAGCUGUUGCUGAAGCACCAGUGCAAGUGAAGCUGUGUCCCAAUUGUCAAUCAUUUGAACAUUUGGUGGAGGAGUGCCCUGCAAUUUCAGUUGAAAGGGAAAUGUAUAGAGAUCAAGCAAAUGUUGUUGGACAAUUUAGGCCCAAUAACAAUGCUCCUUAUGGAAAUACCUACAAUUCAAGUUGGAGGAAUCAUCCAAAUUUCUCAUAGAAGGCCAGAGCAACUCAAUACCAACAGCCGGAUCCACCAUCUCAGCAAUCUUCAAGUAUUGAACAAAUAAUAGCCAAUCUCAGCAAGGUAGUGGGAGAUUUUGUGGGAAAGCAAGAAGCCACCAAUGCUCGAGUUGAUCAAAGAAUGGAUAGAAUGGAGAGUGUGUUGAACAAAAGAAUGGAUGGAAUGCAAAAUGAUAUGAACCAAAAGUUUGAUAACAUCCAAUAUUCAAUUUCAAGGCUUACAAAUUUGAAUACACUGCAAGAAAAAGGAAGAUUUCCUUCUCAACCUAACCAAAAUCCCAAAGGUGUCCAUGAAGUGGAAAGCCAUGAGGGAGAAUCAUCACAGGUGAAAGAUGUGAAAGCUUUGAUCACUCUAAGGAGUGGUAAGAAAAUUGAGCAGCCAACACCCAUGCCACAUGUUGAGAAAGAAGAAGGGAUAAAGAAAGGAAAGGAAAUAGAAGAUAAAGACAGUGAGAUCAGUGAAGAAAAGAAGGACUCUGAUUCAACAAUCAAAGCAAUUCCAGAGAAAGAGCUUCUGAAGGAAGAAAUGCUGAAGAAAUCAACUUUUCCACCUUUUCCUCAAGCAUUACAGGGGAAAAAGGGGGUUAGAAAUGCAGCUGAAAUCCUUGAAGUCUUAAGACAAGUAAAAGUUAAUAUUCCACUGCUGGAUAUGAUCAAACAAGUUCCAACGUAUGCAAAAUUCCUAAAGGACUUGUGUACUAUCAAAAGAGGGGUUGACUGUAAACAAGAAAGCCUUCUUGACUGAGCAAGUAAGUGCAAUCUUACAAUGCAAGUCUCCUUUGAAGUACAAAGACCCUGGAAGUCCUACCAUUUCAGUCAUGAUUGGAGGAAAGGUAGUGGAGAAAGCCUUGCUAGACUUGGGAGCAAGUGUGAAUUUGCUUCCAUACUCUGUCUACAAGCAACUGGGACUUGGAGAGUUGAAGCCAACAGCAAUCACUUUAUCUUUGGCAGAUAGAUCAGUGAAAAUUCCAAGAGGAGUAAUUGAGGAUGUAUUGGUUCAAGUGGAUAAUUUCUACUAUCCAGUAGAUUUUGUUGUUCUUGAUACUGAUCCAACUGUAAAGGAAGCUAAUUUAGUUCCUAUCAUCCUUGGAAGGCCAUUUCUUGCAACUUCAAAUGCAAUCAUCAACUGUAGAAAUGGGCUUAUGCAACUCACUUUUGGUAACAUGACACUGGAUCUCAAUAUUUUCUAUAUGUCUAAAAAGCAAAUCACUCCUGAGGAAGAAGAAGGUCCAGAAGAGCUAUGUAUUAUUGAUACUUUGGUGGAGGAGCACUGCAAUCAGCAUAUGCAAGAUAAGUUGAAUGAAAGUCUUGUGGAUAUUGAGGAAGGUUUUUCUGAAUCUCCUAUUGGGCUUGCUACUCUACAAAGUUGGAGAAAGAUAGAAGGAAUUCUACCUUUGUUCAAUGAAAAAGAGGAGGCAACUGUUGAAGAAGAAAUUCCAAAACUCAAUUUGAAGCCUUUACCUGUGGAGCUGAAAUAUACAUAUCUUGAAGCAAAUAAUCAAUGUCCUGUUGUGAUAUCCUCAUCUCUGACCAGUCAUCAAGAGAAUUGUUUAAUGGAAGUUCUCAUGAGGUGUAAGAAGGCAAUAGGAUGGCAAAUAUCUGACUUGAAAGGCAUUAGUCCUUUAGUUUGUACUCAUCAUAUAUAUAUGGAGGAGGAAGCAAAGCCAAUUCGUCAAUUUCAAAGAAGGUUGAAUCCUCAUCUACAAGAGGUGGUGCGAGCUGAGGUGCUGAAGCUACUUCAAGCAGGAAUCAUUUACCCUAUUUCUGAUAGCCCUUGGGUGAGUCCUACUCAAGUGGUACCAAAGAAGUCAGGGAUCACAGUGAUUCAAAAUGAAAAAGGGGAAGAAAUUACUACACGCCUCACUUCAGGUUGGAGGGUGUGUAUUGAUUAUAGAAAGCUGAAUGCUGUCACCAGGAAGGAUCAUUUUCCAUUGCCAUUUAUUGAUCAAGUGCUGGAGAGAGUCUCUGGACAUCCAUUUUAUUGUUUCUUGGAUGGGUAUUCAGGCUAUUUUCAAAUUGAAAUUGAUUUGGCAGAUCAGGAAAAGACCACUUUUACAUGUCCAUUUGGAACAUUUGCUUAUAGAAGAAUGCCUUUUGGUUUAUGCAAUGCACCUGCUACAUUUCAAAGAUGUAUGUUGAGUAUUUUCAGUGAUAUGGUGGAGAGAAUUAUGGAGGUUUUCAUGGAUGACAUCACCGUAUAUGGAGGUACAUUUGAGGAGUGCUUGGUUAAUUUGGAAGCAGUUCUUCAUAGAUGCAUUGAAAAAGAUUUGGUGCUGAACUGGGAGAAAUGCCAUUUUAUGGUACGUCAAGGAAUUGUCCUUGGCCAUAUCAUCUCUGAAAGAGGCAUUGAAGUUGAUAAAGCAAAGGUGGAGCUUAUUGCCAAAUUACCAUCUCCAACAACUGUGAAAGGAGUAAGACAGUUCCUUGGCCAUGCAGGGUUCUAUAGGAGGUUUAUAAAAGGUUUUUCAAGUCUUUCAAAACCUCUUUGUGAGCUGUUAGCUAAGGAUGCUAAGUUUAUAUGGGAUGAAAGGUGUCAGCAUAGCUUUGAUCAACUGAAGAAGUUUUUAACAACAACUCCAAUAGUGAGAGCCCCUAACUGGCAAUUACCUUUUGAACUGAUGUGUGAUGCCAGUGACUUUGCUAUAGGAGCUGUGCUUGGCCAAAGAGAAGAUGGGAAGCCCUAUGUGAUUUACUAUGCAAGUAAAACACUAAAUGAAGCUCAGAGGAACUACACAACUACAGAGAAAGAAUUGUUAGCUGUGGUAUUUGCUUUGGACAAAUUUCGAGCUUAUUUAGUGGGGUCUUUCAUCAUUGUCUUCACUGACCAUUCAGCCUUGAAGUAUUUAUUGACAAAGCAAGAUGCAAAAGCAAGGUUGAUUAGAUGGAUUCUAUUGUUACAAGAGUUCGAUCUUCAAAUCAAAGAUAAGAAAGGAGUGGAGAAUGUAGUAGCUGACCACUUGUCAAGGUUAGUUAUAGCACAUAAUUCCCAUCCCUUGCCUAUCAAUGAUGAUUUUCCUGAAGAAUCACUCAUGUUCCUAGUGAAAACUCCUUGGUAUGCUCAUAUUGCUAAUUAUUUAGUAACUGGGGAAAUUCCAAGUGAGUGGAAUGCACAGGACAGGAAGCACUUCUUUGCCAAAAUUCAUGCUUAUUAUUGGGAAGAGCCCUUUCUCUUUAAGUAUUGUGCAGAUCAGAUUAUUAGGAAGUGUGUCCCUGAAGAUGAGCAGCAAGGGAUUCUAUCUCAGUGUCAUGAGAAUGCAUGUGGAGGCCACUUUGCCUCUCAGAAAACAGCCAUGAAGGUAUUACAAUCAGGGUUUACUUGGCCAUCUCUUUUCAAAGAUGCCCACAUCAUGUGUAGAAAUUGUGAUAGAUGCCAAAGGCUUGGAAAGCUAACAAAAAGAAAUCAAAUGCCUAUGAACCCCAUUCUGAUAGUUGAGAUAUUUGAUGUUUAGGGCAUUGACUUCAUGGGACCUUUCCCAAUGUCUUUUGGUAAUUCUUACAUUUUGGUGGGGGUAAAUUAUGUUUCUAAAUGGGUUGAGGCAAUCCCCUGUAAGCAAAAUGAUCACAGGGUGGUUCUCAAGUUUCUUAAAGAGAACAUUUUCUCAAGAUUUGGGGUGCCCAAGGCCAUAAUCAGUGAUGGAGGAGCUCAUUUUUGCAACAAACCUUUUGAAGCUCUGUUAUCCAAGUAUGGAGUGAAGCAUAAGGUAGCCACACCUUAUCAUCCUCAGACAUCCGGGCAAGUUGAGCUAGCUAACAGGGAAAUAAAGAACAUUUUGAUGAAAGUGGUGAAUUCCAACAGAAAAGAUUGGUCUAUUAGGCUUCAUGAUUCAUUGUGGGCAUAUAGAACAGCUUAUAAAACUAUUCUUGGGAUGUCUCCCUAUCGUCUUGUCUAUGGCAAAGCAUGCCAUCUCCCUGUGGAAGUUGAAUACAAAGCUUGGUGGGCAAUAAAGAAGCUGAAUAUGGACUUGAUCAAGGCCGGAGAAAAGAGAUUUCUAGACCUUAAUGAGAUGGAGGAAUUAAGAAAUAAUGCUUAUAUCAAUUCCAAAGUUGCAAAACAGAGGAUGAAGAAGUGGCAUGAUCAACUCAUCUCCAACAAGGAAUUUCAGGAAGGGCAAAAAGUUUUGAUGUAUGACACAAGACUCCAUAUCUUUCCUGGGAAGCUCAAAUCAAGGUGGAUUGGUCCAUUUGUUAUUCACCGAGUAUAUUCCAAUGGAGUGGUGGACUUAUUGAAUUCCAAUGGCAAGGAUAGCUUUAAAGUCAAUGGAUAUCGUCUCAAGCCGUUCAUGGAGUCAUUCAAAUCAGAAAAGGAGGCAAUCAACCUCCUUGAACCUCAAAAAGCCUAAGUGAAAAGGGUUUGCUGGACGUGGCUUUACCACAGUCCAAAAUUUUUGUAAAUUUUGUAAAUUUUCAAGUUGUUUCUAUACUUUUGAUUUUAGUUUUUGAUCUUAAAUCAUGUUUUUAGGUGUGUUUUAAUCGUUUUAAAUGAUCCCAGGUGGAAGAAAUUUCAAGGGGAUUGAAAGAAAAAAAAUCGGGUCGAAAUUGGAGCCGAAACAGAGCAAAAACAGGGGAAAAACAGAGCUCUGCGAAAUUUCGCAGGGUGAAGGAAACCUCUGCGAAAUGAGCAUUUUGUUGCGAAACCAUUCCGCAGCACUGUAGAAGCCUCUGCGAGUGUAUUUCGCAGCUGCGAAAGUGAAUUUGGCACACGAGUGCCACUUCGCAGUACAGUAGCAUCCAUUUGGCAGCUGCGAAACUCAUUGCGAAAUGGAAAAGCGUGAUUUCGCACCAAAAGUCCCAUUCCGCAGGGUAUUUCGCAAUUGCGAAAGUGGUUUUGGCACACGAGUGCCACUCCGCAGCACAGUAACAUCAAUUUCGCAGCUGCGAAACUCACUGCGAAGUUGCUGCGAAAAUGGCAAGUUGCUGCGAAAUUGGCGUUUAGUUGCGAAACUUAAACUGACCCCUGAGCUUCCGUUUUUCCUAUUUAUACCGGUCAAAAGUGCUGCGAAAAGGGUUUCAAAAAUCAGAGCACCAUUCUCGCAGCCCCUUCAUCUUCUUCGCCAAGCCACGCCGUCCGAACCUCCGGUCGUCUUCUCCGUUUAGCAGCGCCGGCCAAAGAUCGAUAUUCCAAAAUGGCACGAACGCGAGGGGCAAAAUCUUCAUCCCCUUCGAAUCGCAAAAGGAGUCUGCGAAAGGAGCCAAGUCCAGGUUCUGCUCCAGAACCUGCUCCAAAGCCUUCGCCGUCGAGACCACAACCUUCUCCAGUGAAGCCGGCGCCACUAAAGCCGCCGGCAAGACGAUAUUUGACAAGGUCAGGCGGUUGGCCAUUGAAGAAGAAGCCCAGGGUUGAGAGCUCUGAACCAAUUGAUUUGACUGAGCAAUCCCCUGAGCAGUCCCCAAAUCCUUCACCAGUUCAAACUCCAGUGCCGUCACCGGUUCCCUCGCCAAUUCCCUCACCUGAAGCAACUCCAAUUCCAUCGUCGGUACCAUCUCCGGCACCCCAAGAAAAAGCUCAGGAGCCUCAAGCGCCAAUUCCAGAGCCCCAAAUUGCAGCUGAAGCACCUCUGGAAGAAGUGAUCCGAAGGCCAAUGCUGCCCCAGCCCCCAAUCGAAGGAAACUUGGAUUGUCGAACACGGGCAUUCCAUUCUGAGCUUUGCUUCGAUUUAACAGCAUUCAGAGUGAGGCCAGAGCUUGCCCAAUCCUUCCAGCUGCUGAGGAGAUAUCAUAUGGAGCAUCUGCUAGCUCCAAGGGAUUUUUUCUAUCCCCGGGUAGUCACGGACUUCUACCAGACCAUGACAACCAAAGAAGUAAGAAAUCCAACUCUGAUCCAUUUCAUAAUUGAUGGAAGGCAUGGUAUUUUGGGAGCAAGACACAUUGCUGAAGCUCUGCAAAUUCCUUUUGAGCCAACCCAAUUCGACAAUUUUAAAGCUUGGGUAAAUCCUACUGAGUUAGAGAUGGUUCGCACACUAACCAGAGGAGCUGCAAAUCGAUCACACCUGUUGAGGGGGGAGCUACCUCCAGUGAUGUUUUUGAUUGAUGCCUUUUUGAGGCAUAAUAUCUAUCCCCUGCAGCAUUGGACCCAAAGAAGGGGAAUUCUCCUGGAAGCUUUGUACAAGAUGUCAGAAGGAUUCUUCUUUGGGCCCCAUCAUCUUAUCAUGGCAGCCCUUCUAUACUUUGAGGAAAAGGUUCACAAGAAGAAACUUCAAAGAGCAGAUUGCAUUCCACUCCUCUUCCCAAGGCUGCUAUGCCAAGUUUUGGAGCAUCUCGGAUACCCCUCUGAGCCUCAGCAGGAAAGAAAGAGAAUAUGCCGUGAGCCAUUUACUCUUGAUAAAUGGAAUAAUAUGACGGCCUACAAAAUUGAUCAGCCUGGGCAGCCUCAGCCAGCAGCAAGGAGAGCCUCCCCAAGACAUGCACCUGAAGGUAUAACACUUGCUACUCCUGCCAUCCCUCGAGCUUCACCAGCUGCACCUGCUGCAUCACAGCCAUCCACAUCAGCUGAGCCGAGGAUGGCCAUCCCUAUAUCCGAAUAUCGAGAGCUGUGCCGAGCAUUGGAGACUCUUACAGCUUCCCAGAGCAAUCUUGCUCAAGAGUUGGCAGCCAUCAAAGCAUGCCAGGAGCAGAUGUUAGCCUCUCAGGCUCAACAAGCUGCCAUCCUAAGGCAGCUUCAAGUCCAUUUCGAUCUGCCACAAGCUGUAGAGCCCUCCACUGAGACUCCACCAGAGCCACACUCUCAGCCUUCAGAGUCUCUUCCUCCAGAGCCAGAAGCCCCAACUGAUCCACCUACAGAGGAGGCGGAUCCUUCUGCUUAGCACCAUCACCCCACUCAUCAGACAUUAUAUAUAUUUGCUGUUUAUGUUUUUAUGCAUGUUUGUUUUGUUUUAGUUGAAAUGAAAUCCCAGUAUUUUGGUACUAUAUAUGGGAUUCCUUGUGAUUACUUGUCCUUAGCAUUGUACUCGAAUGAAUUGAAAGUAAUACAAGUUGAAUUUUUCUUGUUAAAAGUUAGCAUUAAAAUUCUCCUUAUUUCCUUUUCUCACAUAUUCUAUUCUUUUUGAAACAUGUGGUUUUCCCCAAUCAAUAUUCGAAUUUGAUAUCAGCAUGGAGGUACCACUUCCUCCCUUUUAUUACAGUCACUCAAAUCACAUUGAGGACAAUGCUCAGUUCGGUUGGGGGGUAUGAGGAAGGAAGUAUUCUAAAUCUUUUUGGUAUUGCAAUUAUAUUGGUUAAUUAGUUGUAGAUUUUACGUUUUACUCUUGUUACUCUAUUCUCCAUGAAUUUUGAGGAAAAAUUUUCAAAUUAAACCAAGAGAAAUUGAACUGUUGUUUUUCACUUGACUUAGAGUAUGGAUUAUGCUUACUAAAGUGGUUCAAUUGUUGAAACUUCUACUGAAAUUGAAUUGAGUUCUUCCAUUUUAAGCUAUCCACACACUGUGCACAUUAGUUUCUGAUUAUAAGAUGAAAAGCUAUUUCCCUCUUGACUUAGGAUAAUUUUGGGACUUGGUAUAUUUGACCUCAUUUGAUAAAAAUUGAAACACCCUGCAAAAGGCCAAUGAGCCUUUGAAAUAAAGAAAGAUGUUUGCUUGCCUUGAAACCCGAGCAAGGUCUGAGGGGCAUAUGGUGAAAGCCUUUAAAGCCUGGUGCCCUAAGCCUUAAUUGGUUGGGAGUCACCGACCUCAAUGCUCGUUACAAGGGUGAAUAGGUAGAGCUAGCAUAUGGUAGAUGCUUGGGUAUUAGAAAUUCAUUCUUAAAAGUCCAGGGAAAAAUCCGAGGAGUUAGUGGUUGAAAGAUCCUUAAAACUUGGUGCCCUAAACCUUAAUUGGUUGGGAGUCAUCGAUGGACCCCCAUUACAUGGACAAGUCAGAAAGAGUACCCCAUAAAGCUACUUUAAAAAAAAAAAAAAAAAAAAAAAAAAGAUGAUGAAAGUGUGUUCUUUUCUUAUUGAUUUUGGUCAGAUUGCUAAAGUGUUGAAAAGAGAUAGGUUGGGGGGGGAGACUAGUUUAGCAUAUUAUUCUCGGAAUCUAAGGAACCAAUACACAUAGAUUUUUGUGGAAGAUUGAAGUUUAGUUCUUAGAAAGUGAAAUGAUUUUAAAACUUCAGUUUGCAUAAUGCACUCCCUUGAUUGACAGUGUUUAGCAUAGGUGUUAUGACUCUUGUUGAGAUUUGGGUUUGUAUUUCUUUAAUGAUUCAUGUGAGAAGUAAAUCAUCAUGCCACUUAAGAAUUAUUUUCCUUUCAGCAUGAUGUUGUAAAUUUUAGAUUAGUUUGCUAUUUAUUUUUAUUUUUCUCUCCUUUAUUGCUAAGGGACUAGCAAUAUGUCGGUUGGGGGGAGUGAUUACUACUCAAAAAGUGCUAUUUGAUAGCCUUUAAUUAAUCCUUUUUAACACUUUUGAGUAGUAGUUUAGGCCUUUUAACUCAAUUGGCAUGUUAAGGAUCCUUUAAAGCAAUUUUGAUCACUUUGUGCAAGUUUUGGUGUUUUUGUUAGUAUUUCGAUCACCAAAGCAAGUCAAGAAUGAGGAGAGCUAUGAGGAAUCUUGGGCAAAGCUUAGAAUUCAAUUGCCAAGAGUGAAUCCGGAUUGCAAGGAGAAAAAGCAAAGAGGAUCAGUCAUGGAGCAUAUUCUUGAUGACAGUCGUAGCAGCCACUUUUGGAGCACUUUCUGAAGUCCAAAUGAUGCAAGCUAUAUACCAUUUCAAAGCUCAGGAAGUCAACAAUCCAAUGCUUCAAACGGUGUGCGAUUCGGAAUUGAAACGAAGAAGUUGCAGCCAUUACAAGCCAGACACUCUAAAGUGUUGCGGAAUCAGCCAUGUGUUGCGAGAAUUUCGCAGCACUUUUGUACAGUAAGGUGUUUCUCCUUCUAACGAUGCACGAACCAUGCCGCGAGAAGGGAGCUGGAAACUUCAAGAUGGAAGCCAACUUGGCAGCCUAGUGAAGAUAGCUCGGUCUUGCAAGAUAAUUUCGCAGCCCUCUUGGGUGUCUGCGAAAUUUCGCAGGCCUCAUUUUUCACCUGCGAAAUGGCUCCUGAAGCCUCCCGAAGCUUGCUACCGACAUUGGGAGAUAUUUUCCAUUAGAUUUUUGUUGUCUAAAUCCCAAAAUACUCCUUGUAAACCACCAAUUACAUGAUUCCUUAGUUUUUAAGUUAGUAAAAAGACCAAAUAUCUUUGUAACAAUUAGUUUUAUAUUUUGUUGUUAUAAAUACCUCUCGGGAGCCUGUUCUCAGGGAGGAGUUCCUUCUGUAAACGUUUGGUAAGCAAGUAAAGUCUAUUUUCUUUCUACUGCCUUACCUUCUCACUUUGUAUUUUCAUUUUAUUUCUAAGUUAUGAAUUCUCUGAGGAGUUUUCCCCAAAGAAUGAGUAACUAAACCUCCAAUUCCUUGGAGCUAAGGUUGCCGGGGAAGGUUCCAAGUGCAAGAAUGCAAAGCUCUGUGGUUUUAGCUAGUAAUGAAGAGGAAGUGAAAUCCUUUAGUGAUUUCAAUGUUUUUAGUUAACUUAAAACACUUUGGAGUCACCUGGGCCAACACUUGGUAAGGCAAGUGAUUUCCAACCAUGGAAAUGCACUAGUUUACCCCUUGCGAGCCUCUGGUAGGUGACUUCAAGGUAGGAUUUUCUGGAAUUACCAACACUUGGUAAGCUUUUGGACUCCUAGGAGACAUCCAUUAGUUAUCUCUUGCGAGUUUGUGAAGGGAAUCCAAGGUUAAAGAUCACCUUGAAUGGUAAGUGCUCGUGAGAGGCAUGAACCAUUGCAAGUUGUAUCAGUGAGAGAAUUAAAGUGAAAUCUAAUUGAAGGAGUCUUUGUACAUCACCGGUUAGAGAAUUGACUAUAAGUUGAAUCUCUAAUGCGAGGAAAUGAACCAACUGACCAGAGCCGUGUCUUUUGCAUGAGGAACCACCCCAGUGAACCUAAAUCUCCAAGGAAUGUUUUUUUCUUCCUAAAUUAUUCCAAACUUCUGUUAAGUUAGUUAGUUUAAAUCUCAACCUUUACAAAUCAAAGUUUGUGUUUUAUUCCUUAAGCUAACCGUGAAAUGAAACAAGACCAAUUCACUUGGAAUUGGUAUCAUUGAUUGCCUGCAAAUCAUUCCCAAUGAACGAUCCUAGAGCCACUAUACUAUAGUAGCUUUGUAUUUACUACCCUAGUGUAUGGUGUUAUAGGUAUAAAUUUUGUUGAUCACUUCCUCAAUCAAGGAGCACCAGCUGAACACAAAUCAGCUGAGACACCAAUUAGGCAUGAGUCAGUCAUCUCCAUUAUUGUUUUAUUUUUUCUUUCCACCACCCCAUUUUGUUGUGGGGUGUAUGGUGCAAUGAGCUGGUGAUCUAUGCCUGCAUCUUCACAAAAUUUGUUGAAUUUUUCUGAAGUAUAUUCUGUACCAUUAUUCGACCUUAUAACCUUGAUUCUGUAUUCACUUUGAUUUUCAACCAUGGCCUUAUAUCUCAAAAACACAUCAGCAACCUCAGCUUUGUAAGUGAGAAAAUAAAUCCAACAAAAUCUUGUGAAGUCAUCAAUAAAUGCAAUAUAGUACUUACUCCCUUUCAAAGAUGGUGUCUUUUGAGGUCCACUCACAUCUGUGUGAACCAAUUGUAGUUUCUGUGUUGAUUUCCAUGCUGCUUUUUGAGGAAAAGGAAGUCUUGUUUGCUUCCCAUAUUGAUAGGCUGCACAUAUAGGAAGUUCUUCUUCCAAAUCAGGGAGUCCUUCUACAAUCUAAUUCUUCUUCAUGUAGAGCACGGUAUUGUGGUGGAAAUGCCCUAAUCUUUUAUGCCAAAGCAUUGUAUUGUUCUCGUGUUGUGCAGCAGUAAUUUGCUCAUCUUCUAACAUAUUUAAGGCAAAACUUUUGCCUUUCAUUUUUAUGUUGAACACCUCUUUGCCUUCAGCAUCCUUGAUUAUGCAAUUUUUGUCUUCAAAACAAACUUUAAACCCUUUCUCAACAAGCUGUCCAACACUUAGCAAAUUUUGGUCAAUGUCAGGCACAAACAAAACAUCAGAAAUGAGCUUUAAACCUGUUAGGCUUUCAAUAGCUAAUGUUCUUUUACCUUUUACUGGAAUAUACUCACCAUUUCCUAUUCUAACUUUGGAAAUAGUUGUCCUAUCAAUCUCCCUAAAGCGAUCUUGAUCAUGUCAUGUGGUUUGUGCAACCACUGUCCACGAGCCAGCUUUCAGAGGUGCUACCGUUUGCAAAACAUGUUGCUGAAAAUAGUUGUUCCUCCUGGUAUUGUUCAGCUGCUACAUUGGUUUCUCCCUGCUGCUGCUGAGUUCUACAGAUCCUUUCUAUGUGUCCAUGUCUACCACAUUUGUUGCAUUUCACAUCUGGUCUCCACCAACAUUUUUGUUGAGGAUGAUUUGUUUUCUUGCAAUGAGGACAGGGUGGAUAGGUUCCAGUUUUUUUAUUGUUGUUGUUGCUUGGCUUAUUGUUGUUCUUUUUGUUCUUCCUCCUUCUUGUGUUACCUUCAUUGGUCUGUGUCUUUGCUUGAAAAGCUCCUUCUACAGAACUUCCUUGCCUCAUGAGUCUUCUUUGUUCCAAAGCUUGUAAAGCAUUUAGUAGUUCUGCCAAGGUGAUACUUGACAAAUCUUUUGUGUUUUCCAAAGAAGAAAUUGUAGCUUCAUAUUUUUCAGGAAUUGUGACAAAAUUGUUUUGAACAACUCUUUCAUCAGAAAACUCUUUACCUAGCAACCUCACCUUGUUUGCUAUGGUAAGAAGUUGUUCUGCAUAAUCUUUUAUGGUUUGAGACUCUUUCAUCCUCACCAUUUCAAAUUCUCGAAUUAGAUUCAUUACCUGCACAUUUCUGACUCUUUCAUUGCCUUGAUAUUCUUCCCGUAGAUGCUUCCAGAUUUCUGCAACAGAUUCAAGUUGCAUGAUUCUGGUGAGAAUUAAUGGUGAGACUACAGAAAAUAAGCAAGCCUUGGCCUUAGCCUUCCUCGUCUUUUUCUCCUUAUGGUUUUUCAUCUGUGACACAGUUGGAUUGGCUCCAAGUGGAGAAAUUUCAUAAUCUUCCUCUAUUGCUUCCCAGACAUCAAGAGCCUGUAGAUGAACAGUCAUCCUGACAGCCUAAGUUUGGUAAUUUUCUCCAUUGAAGACUAGUGGUGCUGCUGUGAAGCUUGCUUCUUCCAUUUCUGCAAGGUUUUCAGAUUCAGGUUUGGUAUACGGUGUUUAGGCUCACACACCUCACUGGUCCCUCAAGACAAAAAUUGCUCUGAUACCAAACUGUUGGAAGCAGGCGAGGUUAACACACCAAGCAACAGAGAACAGAGAUAUGCUGCUACUGAUCUAUAUUUUUUAUUUGAUCAUAAGGCUGAAUUUAUACAGAUUGUGUAACAUAUAUGACCUCAAAAAAAGCAUCAAAUCAAGCUACUUGUUGAACAAAAAACUACCUCCUACAAAAUAGCAUCAGAAUUUAACUUAAAAGCAAAAACAUAAUAAUAGCAACAGCAAAAACAGAAACAUAAAAAUAGCUUCAACAUUCUAGUAAUCUCAUUGACUUCAAUUGCAUGUGGUUGACGAUUUCAGCCUUUUCCUCAGCAGCUACUAAGGCAUAACUCUCAACAGGGCCUCUUAAUUUCCAUUCUGGCAUCUAUAUGACCUGAUAAAUAGAAAGAAAAAAAAACAGAAGAAAAGCGGCACCUGGGUUCAUAGUAAGCAUCAAGACAGGAUGCUGAAAGAAGGGAGAGAGGAGAUUGCAAGUCCAAUCCUGAUAAAAUAUCAACAAAGAGUAUUAAAUGGGGCCAACAUAAAGACCCAUUAAGGUCAGCAGAUGGCAUGGCAUUUUUCUCCUUAAGUUUUCCAUGAUUAGGCUUGAAGUCAAAAUUUCACAUGUAAAUUUGUAUUUCUACAUUUCCCACUGACGACACCCAACUUCAACUUGAGUUAGAAUAACAUUGUGUGAACUUAUCUGGCCCUCAAAAUUUACUGUGAAGUGCUUUCUGCGUGUGAAGAUUCAGAAAAGCACCAAGGGAACAUGUAUGGUCUGCCUUUUUCUGAUGUUAUGUUUGUCUCUAAUUCUGUUCCAUGUCAUGGUAAAUGUUCACAUUGCUUGUAUGGAACACACCAGGAUCACUUUUUCAGGUUUAGGGGGAUACAAAAGGCUUCAUAUUGGGUUCAAUGCUUUUAAUGUGUUCAUUGGACAAAUCUGAAUUAUCAUACGCAUUUAGAUAAGAACAAUAAUGUGAAACCCUAGUUACACCUCCCCUGCAUAACCCCAACCCUGCUUGCUCUAUUUCAGUUUACUCACAAGUUUUACUGGUUCUUAUAAGUCAAGAAAAGGCAACUGAUGUUGGAUCGACUCUCUUCCAUGUAAAAAAUGCAACUUUUAUACAUAUAAAAGAACUUCUUCCCCUCACCAAUGUGGGAUUUCAUAGAUUUAUUCUGGAAACACAUCAAAGGAACAUCUUUUCUCUUGGGUGACCCUAAGUGGUGAGUCAGAUCAUUUGCAUGCCAUUGAGUUGCACAGUUGGAUAAAUGCACCUGCCUCCUGGGCUCCAGAGUUAAAAGGGUGGAUCCCUGGAUUGCAACCCUCUUGGCAUCUUGGUUUCUAUUCCAACAUCCACAUGACUUGACAAAACAAAAAACAGAAUAAAAUCAGCACUAUAUUCAUGCUAAGCACCAAUACAUGAUGGAAAUCAUUGCUUAAAGAUUUGGGGUCGUUUUAGGUUUUGACUGCCUCCUACCACCUCACCUAAUGACAAGUUUUUAUGCUUACAAAUCAAAUAUCGUUCUUCAUUAUAUUAAAAUCAUUUUAAGAUUUCAGAUCCAUCUGCUAAUUAUGAUUAUGAUAACAUUUAUUCACCUGUGCUUCUCAUUUUCGACACACAAGGCAUCUAGGUUUGCAGGAUUUCCUUAUUAGAUGAGAUAAAUGAGUACGUAUGGUUAUGUAUCCAGCAUUCAUUAACCAUGGUAUGUGACAUUUAGAAUUAAGAUAGCAAGCAAACUUUCCCUGCAGCUAGAGUAAAUUGUGAUUUCUUAGCCUCUAUGAGUGGUUCCCAAAUCAAAUUAACAUAGUGAAAUAUACGUAGUCCAGUGAAAGGAAAUGUAAAUUAUAAACUAACAGCACUACACUACUGGUAACAAUCGAUACUCUCUAUAUAAUGCAAUAAACAAUGUCACAAUUGCCUACAAGCAAGGCACAAACACUAGAACAAGUAAAGCACAAACCUUUCCCAACAGUUCCCAGUGACUGAUGCAUAUCAUACCCUCAACUCACAGAAGGGGAUGAUAUCAGUGCACUGCAGCACUUAUUUUACACAUACUACCACUACUACUACUACUACUACUACUCAUUAGCCAAAGUCACUCAGUUGGGAUGAGUGUGAGGUAGAGGUUUGUGGGGUGCUAUGUGGAAAGGAGUUUGGCUUCUUCUCAGGAGAUGGUAGCUUCUUUGCAGGAGUUGAAGGAGGCUUAAUCUUCUGUGGUGGAUUGAUUGUAUGAGUCUUUGGCACUCUCUUCUCUAGUACAGGUGAAUACCCAGGGGUGCAUCCAUAAUGCGGUGGCUUCUAUCCCUUAGGUGGUUUGCCAAAUUCAAAAUCGAAGGAUUUUUUUUUUUUAAGUAUACGUAUCUUUGAAAGCUUUUAUUUUGUAUGGCAAAUGGAAUGAGAGGAGCAGUCAUAUUCUAUUUGGCCAGAGCAACAUAUCACAAAUGAACAAGCUAUUUACUGCCACACUGGGCAAAACAUACAUAAUCCUUGUACUUCAAACAUCCAUGAAUUCUCAUCAUUUUCAGGACACGUUGCAUGGUCUAUCAUUCUAUAUGUCGGCAUAGUAAGUGCAGCUAAUAAGCCUAUUCAGAGCUGAAAUUCAAAAUCUAUUCACAGGAUAAUGACCUUAUUAUUGGAUUUUGCUCACUGUCAUACACACAUAUCAGAUAAAGCCCCACAUGCUCAUAAGCUACAAGCAACCUACAAGCACUAAAAUGAGUGUUAGACGUAUGAAACAUUCCCCAAUACUAGUAGUAUUACCUGUUCCAUAGAACACUAAAUUAGAAGAGAGAAGAUGUGAGACUCCAGCUUUUCUUUCUACAUAUUACUCAUAUCAAGUUGGAAUAGUUAGGCGGUAGAGGCUUGGGGUGGCUUGUGUAGGGGACUAGGCAGCUUCUCUCAGGAGUUGAUUUCGUCUUAUUCUGGAUGUCCAGGUUUCGUCCUUUCGAAUUUCCCAUGCAAAUCAGCAUUCUCCUUGGGAAACUUCACUCCGUUGGGAAACUUGUGUGAAUCUUUGGCAUUCUCUACCAGAGAAGGCCCAGGGCAGUGACCAUAAGGUGGUGGCCUUUUUUCAGGUGGUGGCUCCUCUCCCACUGGAGGCUUGUGGUAAUCAGCAAGAGAGGCAGUGGAGAGAAUCAUCACCCCAAGGAACAGCACUAGCAAGUAUUUGUGAGCCAUAUUUGGGAUCUGAUGAUGAAGACUAGAAGAUAGGAGUUGCCUCAUAUAAUGGGUUGGAGACUAUAUCUCAAGGGGACGUGUAUUUAUGCAUAUGAUCUAUAUAGGACCAUCCUCCUAAUAUUUUCAAAAUAAUGUUAUUGUCUCUCUUGGGUGACAGUUUGAUUUGGUCUAUUUCCAUGCCACUGAGUAGAAAAGUUUGACAAUUGGCUACACCACCUACCUGGAUUACAUGGUUGAAAGUGAAGAUCAGUACAGUGUGAUCACACUUGACCUCUUGUUCCCCAUUCCAGUAUCUAAUUAACCUGACAAAAGUAAAAGGAAAGGAAAAAGGGAAAAAAUAGAAUAAUGUUCAAAUAAAAACGAGAAAAAAUAGCAUAAUGUUGAUGAAUCAUGAUAAGCAUCAAGGCAUGAUAGUGAGAGAGAGGAAAGAAGACAGUGUAAUUUGCAAUCCUGAUAAUCAUUAUAUAGCAGUAACUUUAAUCAUUUUUCUAUCACAGGGAACAUGACACUCAUCUUCCUAUGGAGAUAUUGCAUAAGUUUUUUUCUUUGUAUGUCAACACUAACCAAUGAAGCAUGUUAGCUGGUUUGAAACUGAAACUGUAGCCCUCUGUUUGGUUCUUGAAAAACUUGAGAGAAAAUGGAAGUAAAGUUAAAAGGAAAGAAAAAGUGAAAAAAAAUAAAAAUAGAUUGAAAGUUAACAAAUUAUUUUUACAUGUUCCCUCAAAUUUCUUUCACUUAUUUUUCCUUUUCUAUAUAAAGAUUAAAUGAUUUAAAAAUCAUAAAUUUCUAACUAAUUAUAACUAUAUUUGAUUUUCUUUCAUAUUUUCCAAGAUAAAGUCAGACAUGAGAAAAUCAUUUUCCUUAAAAAAGAAAUUCUUUCCUUUACAGUUUCUUAGAACCAAACCUGGCACAAAAGUCCAAAUUGGGGUUUCUCCAUGUUCCAUUUUUUAUGGCUACCUUUAUGGACCAUAUAAUAUAGAAUGUACUUCUGCAUACCUUCAAGAUCAAGCUGAACUAUAAGAAAAAGACAAGCCAUGGCCCACGGAGCAGGGAUACCAAGCUGCCUUCUCCUAGAUUAAGUUCCAAGAUUUCAGUCUUCAAACCUGCUAAAAGCUAAAGGCAUGUUUCCAGCCUGCGGCAGAUAACAUGCACUGUCCAACAAUAAAUUGCAAACACAUUCGAUGCAGUUUAUUAGUACAAUAAGAUUAAAUCCACCAAAUCUUUUACAGUUCAACCAACACUUGAACUAGUAGCUAGCUUCACUACUGGGUAAUAAUAUAUAAACCAAACUCUUGAUAGGAACCAACCUAUCGCAGAUCGAACUUCUUACAUCCACCAUGAAUUACUGAACCAAAAGAAGAAUCGAAGAGACUGCCAAGGAGGAAAGCCUUCCUAUAACUAGAUAUUUAUAUUCCAAAUUAGGGAGAGCACCCACUGCCCAGGCCUCGCCCAGCAUAAACAGAUAGUAUACAUAUACAUGCAAAAAGCUCCAACCUUCAAGAUUUUAACUAUUAACUUAACACAAUUAAAAAUGUAUCCAAAAAGCAAAUCCCCUUGAACUCCUGAAGCAAUUACUCCAACCAAAUAAAGAUUUUAAGAGUUCCAUGUUCAUAUCCUGCAAGGAAAUCAUUCAAUGUUCAGACCUCUAAUUUCUGUCUUUCUAAAUGCCCAGCCAAAAGGCAUAAAGUAUCAUCCAAAUUGGAUGCACAGCAUAUGUUCUUAAAUCAUGGGAUUUCACCAUAAGUUACUACACUCUAACAGGGCCCAGAAAUUGACCUCCAGAUAUGCCUAUCAAAAAAUUAUCCCCACAUACAUUUUUCUGCUGAAAAGACAAUAUUGUUACAUUUGACAUUCAACCACUACUUGAACUCAACAACCAGGGAAAAGAAUAUAGUAUUUCUACCAAUGAGGAUGAGAGGGGCUGGUGAAUUAACAGGUAAAAGUUUGUUUUGGGUUCAUUGUUUGCAUAAUAAUGUAAAAAUGGAGUAGUAUAUUAUAAAUUAAUGUAAAAAUGGAUUAGCAUAACAUAAAUUGCCAUAAGAGAACCACAAACUACAAAGAAACUUAUUUUCCAAACAAGGAAAAUUAUUCAUAGCCAUUAUUACAUAAGAAAGGAAAUUGAUAAAAUUAUUAUCCAGUUCCCCAUCAGGAAAUAUGAAAGUACUCCUAAAAGCCUCAAUUCUAACCAGAAAACCAUAGAAAUGUAUUAGAAAUAUUGUACAGGGUUCUCUCCAAUAUUAGCUUCAGUUGCUAAGGAGAUCAGAACCUUGAAAGUAAGUCACAAAGGUCGUGUGGGUUUCCCAGAGUCUUCAACAACCAGUAUUCACAUAUGUACACAUUAAAAUUAAAUAAAGCAGGUAUCAAUUCCACAGGCUUUAAGAUUUGAAUUGCUUCUCCCUGGAAUCAUACACCACUCAUAUUGUCACUGACUUUCAAUUACUUCUCCCUGCGAUCAUAUGCCACUCAUAUUGUCACUGCCUUAGGGAACAAAGUGAAAAUCUGCAAUUUCAAUUAAUUCCAACAUAAAAAUAAAAAUCAAUCCUCAAAAAAUGGAUUGCCAGGAGGUAAAUAUAAUAGAAGACGAACAACUCUCACAACCAAGUUAAAGAAACCAGCCGCUAGGUACCUUUGAGUUCUAUACUACCAGGAACAAAUUGGAUGAGAUUAUUUAAAGGCUAUUCCACAGUGGAAAUUCAUUCGUUCAAAAAACAUUUGUCAUGCAUAUAGGCAAUCUAUCCUAUGCAUUCAUACAUCAUGGUCUCAUGCAAUCUUAAUAAAAGUGGUCCUGGAAAAAGAGAGAAAAAAGUAAUUACAAGCCUGUGCGACCAGAUUUCUUUUGUUUUUUUUUUUUUUUUCCUUUGCCAAACAACCAUGUUCAUAGUUUCAGAAGUUCAUUCUGUCUUUAAGAGACCAUGGCAGUGACUUGGCCAUUCAGCUAAGANNNNNNNNNNNNNNNNNNNNNNNNNNNNNNNNNNNNNNNNNNNNNNNNNNNNNNNNNNNNNNNNNNNNNNNNNNNNNNNNNNNNNNNNNNNNNNNNNNNNUCACCAAGGACUCCUCAACCUCAAAAUAAUAGAGAAAGUCUAGGACACCAUGUCACUACUGAGGACAACCCAACACCACAACAUUUCAGUCCGUUCAAAAAGAGUAAUUGGAAUUGUUGCAAAAAAUGUUCAACUAGUCCCAACAGGAGGCAAAUUCCUCCAUUUCUUCAUCGGGUCCGGAUCCUUUGCUCAAAAAGGUAAUUUUCUUACUGCCCUAAAAGAAAAAGGGAAAAUGUGAGUCAUUGGAUUGUUGACUCAGGAGCUUUUGAUCACAUGACUAGAGUGCCACAAUUUUUCAAAAUUAUACACCUUGUUUUGGGGAUGAUACAAUUCGUAUGGCUGAUGGUUCUCUCUCAAAGGUGACUGGUACAAGUUUUAUUGUCAUCUCUAAGGACCUAACUCUUGACUCUAUUCUUUUGGUUCCAAACUUGGAUUGCAAUCUAUUGUCCAUUAGUAAACUCACUUAUGAAAAGAACUAUGUUACUAAAUUUUUCCCAAACCAUUGUGUUUUUUAGAAUUUGAAUUCGGGGAAGACGAUUGGCAAUGUUGAAGUGUGUUUAGGACUCUAUGCCUUCAAAGUGAAUUAUUAUAUUGAAAGACAAUCUUAACCAACAGUUGGUGAAAAAUGGUGUCUUUUUGUCUUUAGUUCUAAUAAAGAUAGUGAUGUUAUGUUAUAGCACUAUUGUCUAGGACAUCCUAGUUUCUUAUAUCUCAAAAAACUCUUUCCAUGGUUUUCAGUGUGAAAUUUGUCAACUAUCCAAGCAUCUUUGCAAGCCCUAUCCAUAGUUUUAAAAGACUUAAGGCACACCAAGACGCAAAGUCCUCUUGGAGCCUUAGGCGCAAGGCACACCUAAGGCGCGAACUUUAGUAAAGUGAGGUGCAUCCUGUUUUACAUAUAUAUUUUUAUAUAAUACAAUCAAGUGCCCGAAAAUUUUCCUCUAAUUUUCCCCUUCUUCUUCAUCCUCUUCUCUUCUUCACAUUGUUCGGGAGGCUAGGACAUUUUUUUUUUUUUACAUGUCUAAAACAAGCAUAUAUUGGGUUUUGGAAGAAGAACAAGCCAAAAUGACAUCGUUUUGGAGCCUAAUCUUUUAAAUAAAUAAAUAAAUAAAUAAAAACCAGCCAAAAAUGACACCGUUUUGGCCCCUGUUCUUUUAAAAGAACAAACCAAACAACGUCAUUUUGAUCUCAGGAAAUUAAAAAAACAAAACCCUCGUCAUUCUCCCUUUGCUACUCUACAACUCAUCGUCAAAGGGUAAAAAGAUGACCAAAAGAAGAAGAAGAAAAAAAAAAAACGACGACAGAGGAUAGAGGUGCACCUGUUGAGGGCGUUGCGCCUAGCCAAGAGGCGAGCGCCUUGCACACUUAAUCAACGCCUCUGUGAAGGGGCGGCUCCUGCAAUCAGGCGAAGCGCUGAAGGGUGAUGUCACAUCGUCUAGAGCCUAGGCGCACCUUUCACAACUAUGACCCUAUCCAACUCAACCAUACAAACCAUCUCAUCUUUUUUCCAUACAUAGUGAUGUUUGGAGGUCAUCUAAAAUAAAGAACAUAACAGGGACUAGAUGGUUGAUGAUCAUACUAGAAUUUCUUAGAUAUUUCUAAUGAAAAAAAAAUCAAAAAUUAGUCAAAUUUUCUAAAAGUGGACCAGAAUUUCUUUAUUGAAUUAAAAAGUUGAAAUUAAUAUUUUGGAAAAGUUAGGGCCGCUCAAGAGGUAGAAAUAGCGCUCGAGUGGUAGAAAUAGCGCUCGAGUGGUAGAAAUAGCCCUCAAGUGGUAGAAAUAGCGCUCAAGCGCUAGGACCGCUCAAGCACUUAACUAGCGCUUGAGCGCUCAUAUAGAAUCUGCCAGAAUAUGGAAGAAUAUUUUUUGGAUAAUCAUGAAAAUUGGAUUUGGAAACUUUAGAAUAUCAAUCUCCUUCGGCCUAGAGGUUUAUAUAAACCCUAUUAUAACCCUUUAGGGUUAAGAAAUUCACCAAGUGGUUUACCCUAACUUGUCAUACCAUUCCCGAUCUCUCAUCAAGGAAUCAAAGUGUUUAAUCUUGGGUUGUUUGAAGACCUGCAUCCCUUCAACAAGGCUAAGGUGUAUUCACUAGAACAAUUGAAAUUGUUGCAUUGCGGACAUGAAUCAAGUUGCAGGUUCUAGAGAGUAAGUCUUUAGAAUAAAGCAGACAAAGAGUUCUAUGUGACUUUAUCUCAUAUAGUGGAUUUAGCUUUGAGGUCUUAGACCUCGUGGGUUUUUAUCUCCAUAGUUAGUGUGGGGGUUUUCCACAUAAAAAUUAUUGUGUCUCUUGAUCUUAUGUUUGAUUUUAGAUAUUCUAUUUAUCCCUGAUAUCUCACAGGUUAACUUUAGGUUAAAAAUUCAACUCCCUAUUUAAUAAUUUUUAAAAUACACCCAUUCACGAGUGUUAUCCUACUGGACAUUGGUUUUUCACCAUAUAUAACACUCAUACCAAAACCCAUGCAACAUGGACUCCAACCUUAAGCUUAACUUUCUACGAAUGGAAAAAAAAAAAGACAUAACAUAAAUAGACAGAUUUAACAACAUGCUCCUAAUCAAGGUGAAUGUCCCUCUUUUUGAAAGAUAUGACCUUUUCCAUACGAGGAGCUUUCUUUAAAAUUUCACCUCUACCAAUUCCCAUGCCUUUACAAAGUUGUGGAAAGCUCCAAAGAGAAGGCCCAGACAUGUAAUGGGUAGAUUCCCUACCUUAGAACCUUACACCAAAGCUAAACCCCUAAUAUUUGUGACUUCUAUAAGAAUCAAUUCAUUUUUUUCCAUAUUUAUUUCUAAAUCAGACAUUGCCUCAAACCACAUGAAGUUAUAACUUGGAUGUUACAGAUGCUCUUAAUUAGUGUCACAAAAAAAUAGGGUAUCAUCAUCAAACAAGAAAUGUGACACUUCCAUCCCCUCCUCCUGUCUUCCUCCCACUUUGAAACUUGAGAUGUAACCCCUUUUAUCUAAUUCUCCUCAAAAUUCAAUUGAAAGCCUUCAUUGCCAAUAUGAAAAUGUAAGGGGAGAGAGGAUCUUUCUACCUCAAAUCCCUUGAGCUCUCAAAGAAACUGAAUAGGACACUAUUUACUAGAAUAGAGAAUUGAGUAGUGGAAAUGAACCAUUUGAUCCACCUCACCCACUUAUGAUCAAAGUCCAUUUUAUCCAACAUCAUUAACAAAAAGUUCCAAUUUACAUGGCCAUCGUCCUUUCCAAUGUCUAACUUGCAAAUUACCCCACUAUUGGGACUCUUUAACCUUGAAUCUAGAGCAUCAUUUAUGAUUAGAACUGCAUCUAGAAAUUGUCUGUCUUCCACAAAAGCAUGCAAAUAAACUAAAACUAUUUUACCCACCACAUUUUUUAGUCUUUUAGCCAAGACUUUUUCCAAUAGCUUGUACAAAAAAACCCCCAACUAAGCUAAUCAAUGUAAAAAAUUUUAGGUUCUCUGCUGCACCUAUAUUAGGGAUCAAGACCAAGAACAUGACAUUUAAAUUUUGCUCAAAGGAACAAUUAUCAAAAAACUCCCCAAGCUCAUUUGCCAAAAUAUUAUAAUAAAUCCAUUUGGCCCCUACAGCUUUAUCCCCACUCAAGCUAGACAAGGCAACAAGAAAUUCCUCAUCAAAGAAAGGUAACUCCAAUUUCCUAGAAUCAGCACAUAGCAUAACUUCAAAGGUCAUCCCAUUAAUGUUGAGUCUCCACUCGCCCAUAUCAGAUAGGAGAUUUUGGAAGGCCCUAAACUCCCCUUCCUUUAUAUUUGCUUCCCAAGCAACCAUUUUGCAUUCACUCAAAUUUUAAACAUGAAGUUUUUUAUUCUUUGGGCAUUGACCAUUUCAUGGAAAAUUUUGGUGUUUUUAUCCACCCCCUCUUUUAACCAAAUUUCUCUUUAUUUUUGCCCCCAUACAUAUAGAUUCUUCUAACAAGGCCCACUUGCUAAACUCAAUCACCACUAACCUUUGGCCUCAACGAUUUCAAGAGAUAAGGUAACUGCUCUCUACUUUGAGUCCCAGAAGUUGAUCCAGUUUAGCACCUCUAGGUUUUUUGUUGAGACAUUCCCAAAACCUUCUUCAUUCCAAGAUUUUAAAUCUCGUUUGACAGCCUUUAGUUUAACUUCCAAAAUAUGACCAUACAAGCCAUCCACAUUAUAACCAUCAACCAACUCCUCACAAAAUCUUUUAAGCCUUUUGUUUUAGGCUACAUAUUUUAAAAUGUAAACUGUGUUUUCCCACUCCUUAUCCUACCUCCAUCUAAAACUAUGGGGUAAUGACCAAAAAUUGGUUUAGGUAAAAUACUCUAGAUUAAAGUAGAAAAACGAUUCUACCAAUCAUCUGACACUAGGAAAUGGCCAAGCUAGCCUUGAAGAAGACAAAAGAUUAUGAACACCACUCCAAGUGAAUAGCCCUCCAACUAGCGAAAGAUCCCAAGGUCAAGUCCUCUAUGUCCUCUGAAAAGAACCUCAUAUCAAACAACAUUCUAAGGCAAUUCCUCCUUUUCAUGGGGAACUUGACCAUAUUAAAAUCCCCUCUGAAGCACUAGAGGUCAUCCCAAAGGCCUCUUAUGGCACCCAACUCUACCCAGAAAUCCACUCUUUCUCCCCUUUAAACCAACCCAUAAACUCUUACGUAUACCUAGACAAAGCUAUCUUCACAAUUCAUAGACAAGCAAUAGAGAAUGCUUCCACCUCCUUACCAAUUAACUCUAAUACCCUACUAUCUUGGAAAACCAAAAUGCCUACUAUCAAGCUUCUAACUUCCAAUACCAUUUCAAAAAUUUUCCUACUCCUAAACUCCUUACCAGUUGAACGAACAUCUAUCGAACCUUGGUUUCUUGUUAACAAACUAGAUCAACCCCUUGAGACCUUAUCAAUGACUUUAUUAUCAUAUACUUUUCCUCAUCAUUUGCUCAUUUGACAUUCCAAGACAGGAUUUUUAGCUUCAUCAUGCAACCUAUGUUGGAUCCUAACUGCUACUCUUGGAGCCCUUUUCCUUUUUGUUGAGCUUUUAUAAUUGACUAAGCAUCCCAACUUGUUGAGGUCCCUCUCAAACCAAGAUAUCGAGGUUAACUUCCUCUUCACCUCCAACGAAAAAACAGAAACCCCUCUCCUUAGCCUGCCACACAAGGGAAAAGAUCUCUUUUUCAAAUCCAUCAACUGGCAUUCUUGAGAAACUAUUGAAAUUUGCCAACUUACAAGAUAUACAAUUGGAGGAGUGCUUCUCUACCAAACAACUACUAAAAUUCACCUCAAAGGUGACCUUUUCCCCUGAUCUCUCCCCGGCCUCCAUACCCACUGACCCUUUCACAAAAUUUUCUAGAAUUUCCACUAUCAAGCCGUUACGGAGAACCAUCCUCAACAAACUCCUUUGACUAAUGUGAAAAACCCCACCCAAGAGCAUCUUCCAGAAGUUAACUUACAAGAUUAACUAUAAUCUUGUGAAGACUCGUUACCUAAUGGGUAAAAAAUUUGAAAUUCUAUUAGUAUAAUUCUUUUUAGGCACAAAAGCUGUGAAAAUAGCAUUGGUGCUCUAAUUAAUAACCCCAUAAUUAUUAAGCAAUAAAACAACUUUUAAUAAAUUCUCUUUCACCACAUCCCACCAAUCCUAAUGCAAAAAAGCUAGGAAAAAGUCAUCAUUGCUCUAAGCAUUUCUCCUCACUAGUUGAAAGACUGCUUUAUGAACUUCCUCUUCGACAAAAGGACAAUCCAACCAAUUAGCACCAUUUUCCAAAAUGAGAGACCAACCCCCACUCUUCUAUCCUCUAAGGAUCUUCAUAUAACCAUUAAUGCCUUUCUAUACCAGCUAGUAUAUAUCGGGUUUUGGGCAAGUCCUAUAAAUUGGUUUGAGUAAGAUUUUUAAUUACCCUGUUCUUUCUUUUUAGUUGAUAAAUAUGCAUAUAUGUAGUAAUUCAUACAUCAGAAAAGAUUUUGCUAAAACAAAAGAAUUGACAUGCAGAUAGUGACUUCUUGAUAAGAGUAAUAGCUUAAGGGAGGAAAAUGAACUCCUCCAGUGGCCCCAAAGUGGUAAGUUCCUUCAGAUCCCAUGUUGCUAUUCUGCAUUUCUUUGUGUUUUGGCAUCAGCCCUCUUAAUUAAUUCACUAUCCAGCUUCUCAAAUUCCUCGGAUUCUUCCCUUGUUCUUGUGGAAACAUCUGCAUCUUGUCCUUGCAUUGUUAUGGAUUGGUGAUUAUCAUUCUUUGAGAACUGUGUGGCAGCUGCUCGUGCACCAGCUAUGGCUGCAAGGAGACCUUCUGGUUUCUUGUCUUCAGCAGCUUUGGAGCCAUCAAAGCAAGAAACAAGUAAUCCUGGUUUCAAAGAGAGGGGAUCUUGUGGUUCUGGAAGCAGAAACUUGACAGGUAGUGGAGCUUGAACAGGACGAAGACCCCUAACUGCUGCCUCAUAUAUCUGCAACAAUUUCAGGGGGGAUAAGUAAUUAAAAAUCAGUCACUCUAUUGCAUUAGUUAGACUUGCUUUCAAUGCGAUAGCAAAGAAAGAAUCAUCAAUGAAAAAAGAAAAAAUAAAUGAAAAAGAACAAAAAGGAGAGGGAAAAAAAAAUGAUGGGUGCUCAAUUUGUACUUUUCUUUCCAGGUUAUAAAUACGUUGGUACCCGCGCAUCUCAAAUGGUAUGAUUAAUUUCUGCAUCAGGUCAGGAGAACUAAGUCCAUCAAUAUACUAAAAAGCAAAUAUACCAAAAGGCAAGCAAAAAUGUUUAACCAUCUUGAGUGUCAAACUCUCCAAGAAACUAUAUACUUUUAGCUGAAUGAAAACACAUGCCUGUGGUUGCUCACAGAGCCAGCAAAACUCUGUUUGCGCUUCUAGCCUUACCUACAAAUAGAGUUUAGGUUAUCCAACCAAAAUGGAGAUACAUCACACAAAACAAACUGUACCUAAUCAGUUUACGAAGGGGACGGGGGGAAGCAAAAAGCAAAAGUAAAUUUCUAAGAUGCCCACCCCUUCAGGUACCUCCUUCCAGCACGCCAGCUCUUCACAUUUAACACAACCAACUACUUCAAUACAACCUGUGGCAAGAAUAGAGUUUGUUGGAUUUAUUGUAGCAUGCCAUACAGAAAAAUUUAGCAUUUCAGUAAGAAUAAGAAUAAGAGAGCUACUUUCCACUAAAAUACGAAUCACCCAUCAACUGUUGCAAACAGACAACAAUGUGAAUAACAGGUUUUAUAUAUAUAUAUAUAGAGAGAGAGAGAGAGAGAGAGAGAGAGAGAGAUAGAUAGAUAUAGAGAGAGAGAGAGAGUCAAAUAAUAAUAAAGGACAAAAAUAUUUCUUUGAGAAAGACUAAUUAGAAAGAAGAAACAAAGAACCCACAUGAAAUCAAUUUAGAUAAGAGAAAUACCUUUAAGAAUCUAGUUCUUUUUGCAAAUUGCAACUUAGAAUUGGAAUGCCACAUAUUAUUAUAAGGUAUCACAAGAGAUUAUUGCUUCAUUUUUUUUCUUUGCCAGAUCAGUUUUAAUAAAUAUAAAUAUAAAAAUAUAAGCAUGUACACACACACACGCAAACACAUUAUGUGUGUAUGUUUAUGGAUAUGUAGAUAUAGGUUUUUAAUAAUAGAGCAUGAAAACAUAUCUAGUCAGAAAUUCCAAAAAUCCAAAACCAUUAGCAACACCUAACAGUCUUGAAACUGGGUAAUGUUCUGGAAACUUGAGGUCUGCUAUCCCAUUCACAGCAUAGAUCUCCCUGUAGAAAUUCUCCAUUGCUUUGAUUGUGUCUGAAUCUGGGACCUUACUAGCAGCAUGAAUCCAGAGUCGGCCUUCAUAAAACAAAACAUGUAUAUUAAGAAAUAUCCUUGUAGAACAGUAACAUUUUUGCCAGCAUGCAAUUCGUGUUAAUAAUCCUUGGUUCUCACCACUCAUUGUACAUUACAAUGUAAAGACCUAAUAAGCCCUAAUAUAGGUAGGUGUCUGUGCAGAGAGAGAGAGAGAGAGAGGGGAGGGGGGUGAAAGGAAAGAUGAUUAUAGAACAAAUACAAGUUGAAUCUCCUGAAAUAAUGUCCAUCAAGUUAUUUCCUAGCAACAAGUACUGAUUAUGCUUUUCCUGAUAACAUGAUUUUCUUUGCUAACAACCAUACUAUAUUUUAUCAAGAAAGAGUAGUGCAUGUGGCGUGCAUCAAGACCCAUUAGAGUUCCGCUAAACCUAUAGUUCUGUCAACGUUAUCAUUUACGUUUCCUCUAGAUAAUGGCAUUUUCCUCUAAAACUCUUGCACCAUUAGGCUUCAAGUCAAAAUUUCACAUGUGAACUUUGGAAAUUUUCUCCAUUUGCCCCUAAGGAUACAGUUAGAAUUGACUUAAAAUCCUGAUUGAUGUAUACUUUUAACCGAAGAAUAUUGUAUAUAAUAAUUGAAAUAUUGUUGAUUCAUCGUGGAAAUACAUUUUGUAAGGAAAGUUGUUAAGAAUUUAGUAUGCUAUAUGGAGAAAAAAGUCAUGACUUAAGGUUGAGUAUGUAUAUUCUAUAUCAAAUAUUAGGUAGGAAUGUGGAAAAGAGCAGAGUGUAAUUAUAAGAAACAAAGAAAUAUAAGAUAUUCUUGAAAGUGGAAAAUGUAAAAUGGCUAAAAGUCAAAUUUAUGAUGCAUAAGGGGGAUCAUGUCACAUAAGAAACUCAUGGCAUACCAAAUACGUGUGGUAUGGAGUAACAAUUUUGUUAAAAUAAGUUUCUCGUUGGAGUACAUUAGGUGACAAUUUUUUAAUAUCAAAUUAAAGAGUCAAGUGCAUCAAUGAAGUCAUAUGUAGAAAAUUUGUUUGUGACAUGUACCAUAAAGAUAAGAUUGACUUGAUAUAAUUUAGUCCAGGUAGGAGUUGUUAAAGGUGUCUCAAAUUUCUAAUUGAUAUAUAUUUUUUUCUAAAAAAAUAUUAUAUAGAUAUUUCAAUAAAUGAUUAAUUCUUUGUAAAAAUACUUACAUAAUAAAAAACAUCAUUAGAAAUAUCUCUAUAAAUAUUUUAAAUCACAAAAAGAAAAAAAAAAUCACUAUGAGAUAAUUAUAAACAUGCAACAUUGUACCAAGUAAACAGAAAUGUGAUAAAAAAAUUUUGAGAAACACUAAAUAAAGGAAGGGCUUGUAUAUCAAGAUGUAAAUAUAGAGAGCAAUAUUUUUAAUCAUAUGAUAGAAUUAUUUUCUCUCAUUCAUGAUUAUAAGCAAAAUUGGGAACCAUUAUAAAAUCUUGUACACCUCGUGUAAAUUGAUGUUUGUCUUCAUAUUUUACACCAACAAAUGACAUUGAAGUUGUCAUUGAUAAAAGGGAAAAGGCAUGGCCUCCACACCAUGUGCUUGAAUCGUAUGGUUCAAGUUUAAAGAAUUUUCUCCAUAAUUUGAAGAUCUAAAACAUUUUCACCUUUAAAUUUCAUUUAAUUAUUAAUAUCUACAAAAAAUAGUUAAAUACUCUUUCUAUUUUUGAGUUGUUGAAUUUUUUGAAAGUUUUUAUAUUUGUUAUCAAGAAUUUAUAUUUUAUUAAGUGUGAAUAUUUAUAAAUAAGAUAUUAUAUAAUAUUUGGAUAAGAGAGAAUGGUGGAAUAUAAUAAAGUUUUAAUCCUUCCCAAUUUUUAUCUUUUUUUUUUUUUUUUUUUAUAAUCGCCUUUCUCUUUCAAUCCUAUUAUCAGGUACCUUAUAUUUGCUGAUGCUAUCUGGAACUAAAUUCCAAUCAGACAUUGUCCAAUUACUAAUAGGACAGAUCAUGUCUCUCUGUUUCUAAACUAACAUGUAUCGUAAUGUGGCCUCAUAAGGAAGGCUAGGAAGAUGGAGGAUUUUGUGGGAAGCGACCAGAAUCAGAUGGAAGAGAGAUAGCCCUGUUGACCUAAUGGCUGUAAUAGGAGAAGCGUGUGGAUUUAUGGGACUUAACUGAUACUAAACCUAUAUGAUGCUUGGAGUGGUGUUUCUUUCAUUUUGUUAAGAAAAUAUGGCAGCAUACAUCCUUUCAAUUGAGUGCAUCAGAGCAUCCAUAAUAGAUGGUCUGCAACCCUAGGUGCAUGCCACUUUCUGACUGAUAAUGAAACUGUCAGGUACUUGGCCUUGACUAAGCUCAACAGCAUCACAUAAAAAGAAGCUUUCAUACUUAGAUUACUGUUUAAAGCUUUUGCUUAUUUGCUUUCUUAAUGCCAUUAUGACAUUAUUGUUUCAAUUCUGCUACCGAUUUUCGAAGUUCUGGGCAUCUACUGAUUGCAUCAUUAUAUGAGAAGUUGCAUGAGUUUAUGUAUCCUGUUAUUGCUCCUUUGCGAUUUCACUGCUCACGGGACUAACCUCUCCAUUCAGUCGAAAUGAAUUGUAAUUUCUUUACUGGUAGCAGUAGUACUUUUCAUAGCAAAGAUAAUAGUAAAUAUGAAAUAUAAAUAGAAGGAAAUCUGAAUUGUAGAUGGCACUAUAAGUAACACUCAAUAUUCACUACAUAAUAAAAUAGACAGUGUUACAAAGGUAGAGAAACCUACAAUGAGUACUCAUCACCAUUCUCAAACAGAAACAUAGCAGCGACUUAUACAUAGAACCUAUAGGCUUGCAGGGAAAGAAGGGAAAGAGUAACAUGAUAAGUUCACAGCGGGUAGCAGCUCUUAUUUUACGUAUUACUCAAAAUCUCAAACUAACCAAAGUCACUCAGUUGGGAUGGGUAGGAGAUGGUGGUUUGUGGGGUGGCUUCUGGGUAGGAGCUGGUGGCUUCUUUGUUGGAGUUGAAGGAGGCGUAAUCUUCUGAGGUGGCUUGUAUGAGUCUUCGGCACUCUCUGCAGGAGGGUGCCCAGGGUUGUGACCGGAAGGAGGUGGCUUCUGUCCCUUUGGUGGUUUGCCUAAUGGGCUUGGUGGCUUGUGCUCCGGGAGUUGUUUCUCUCCCUCGAGUAGGUUUCGAGUUUUGUCAGAUGGCUUGUGUUCUGGUGGUGGCUUCUCUCCCUGGGGUGGUUUGCCGAAUGGGCUUGGUGGCUUGUGUUCGGGGAGUGGCUUCUCUCCCUGGAGAAGGUUACGAGUUUUGUCAGAUGGCUUUUGUUCUGGUGGUGGCUUCUCUCCCUGGGGUGGUUUGCCAAAUGGG
RNAcentral lists this long non-coding RNA (286413 nucleotides) under Vitis vinifera (wine grape). RNAcentral describes it as "long non-coding RNA (VVIN_LNC001392)". Lineage: Eukaryota; Viridiplantae; Streptophyta; Magnoliopsida; Vitales; Vitaceae. The record is from RNAcentral.